UUUUCGGAGCAAAAGAAGAGAUGAUUGCUGUACCCAGUGAACAUGAAAAAUCAAGCAUGAAAGCUCUAGCAAAGCCACAAUACCCUGAAGAAAAGGCUAAUCCACGGCAUGCUGUCUGAAGAUAAAACUAAUUCACAGUAGAAUAUACUACCGUUUAUGUCAGACACACACUAAUAAUAACUUGGAAAUUCAACAGGGUUUCAACAACAUAACAAACUUGCUAAUCCAGCAGGAGUUCAAGAAAUUCAGCAGGGUUUCAACAACAUAACAGACCACGACAGUACCAAGGGAGUGCCACUAGUGAGCAUCCGACAGAUUACUGCUGCACACCAUUACAGCAGCAUACACACACAUGCACAUAACAAAACGGAGGAGAGGCGAAAGCAUCAACUGAAGGCCGUCACUCAGUCAGUGGCGACCAGCGGCCUGUUUCUGCGGUCUGAUCCAGUCGUGCAGCACCAUGGUCACCCUGUCGUGCUGCCUCACGGAGGAGCCGUGCAGGAGCGGGGCGGCGCCGGCGAGGACGCGGUUGUAGUGGACGUACUCCUUGUGCCGGAACCUCUCCUGCUCGGGCGGCGUCAUCUCCUCCCACUCGGCGUGCAGCUUCUCCGACAGGCUCCAGUCGAUGUUGUACCUGGUGGCGCCGAAGCACGUCUGGCUCAGGACCCGCCUCGCCAGGGUCUGCAGGUCGGGCACGCGAGCCCCAUGCGUCGACCACCACUGAACUGCAAUUUCAAGUGAGAAACGUGGUAAGAAGAUAGUAAUUCAUGUACAGUAUGAUGUGAACUGAUGAAUGAAAUGAUGAUGGUCUCAGUGAGGGUAAGCUUGGGUUUGAAAGUUGAAGUGAAAAUGGAAGAAGAGAAGGCUCCUGUACAGUUUAAGCAGACCAUAUACCCCAGUUUGCAACUUGCAACUAACUAAGCAACUAUGUUGACAAGCUUAGGCUGAUGCAGAGAAGUUGAUCAUUCUACACGUUCAUCUGUAAACCUUUUAACUUCUCUACUACUCCCUCUGUCCCAUAAUGUAAGACGUUUUUGCAAGCACGUCUUACAUUAUGGAAUGACAGGAGUAUUUAUUUAAACAACCAUGUCGACAAGUUAGGCUAAUGCAGAGGAGUUGAACUUUGAAUAGAAGUGCACUUAUGACAUGAUAUAUUUGUGCCAUGUUCACAUGCUAACUAAAUAUGUUGGCGCACUGUAUGUUACGGUGCACAAAUGCACAUAUCAGAUUUUGUGGAGGACCUCAGACACUAUUCCAGCUCACUCUAAAGAUUGGAAAAAAUCAAGUACAUAUGACACAUAAAGGCACUACCGUCAGUGGCUUGUUAGGGAGUGGUCAUUUUGCAAGAGGUUAGGGUGUAGCUUACCUUGUGGUAAUUCCAUGAUUUGCUGCAUUGCUGGAUCUGUGUCGAAAUAGCCCAACUUCUUUUCAUACACUUCCAACUGUGCAGACGCUUUUCUGGCAUUGUAAUGAGCCUUGCCCAGUUGGAUUGUACAGGUCGCAAUGCCGCUGCUGAUCUCAGCAUCAGGCUGGAAUCCAGCUGUGUAAAAGAUCCUUGGGUUUAGCAUCUGACCAGCAGCAUGGAGAGGACUAUGCAAGUAACCAUCCCAUAUACUGUCAAUCAUACACCAAUAGAAGUCACUUUCAUCUCCAACAUUGAGAAAUAUCUCUUCUUUUGCUCUAUCCAUGGCUUCAUACAGGAUACCCAUCGGACAGAUAUCAGAUUCCAGUUUAUACAACACACUGAGAAGUGGUUUUGUAACCUUCACGACUUCAGCAGCAGCAUGCCAAAAUUCAUCGUCUGUCUUUACUAUACUCUGGAUACGCUCGAACAAAUCAAGACAAGCCCAACCAGAGGGAACCCAUUCAGGUGAGCUAAUCAUCUGCACCAGACCUACUCUUGCAGAAACUAACCUCUCUAAUGUGAUGAACACUGCCACAAAUCUCAGAUAAGAACUGCUCAAAAUCUCCUCCUGAACAUAUCUUCCUUUCAGUUUCAUUGGCAGUGCAUAGCCAUAUAAAAACCUUGUAAUUUCCCUUGCCUUCAUUAGGACUUCACUGACAUGCUCGAGCGCUGCUAUUUUCUCAAGCAGAAGGUUGAUGCAAUGGUCAGCACAUAGCACGAAGAAAAAACUGUCAUAUUUAUUUAGCACAUACUGCCGUGCCAUCUGCAUAUGGGGUGACACGUCAUUCAUGACAAUCUGAACAAUGUUAUGGGCACCAACAUCAUCAACCACGCGAGAAAGCAUUGAUUCUAGCUCAUCCAAGUCCUCAGUGAUUUCAGAGACGUCAAUGGAUCUGAGGAACUGCGUACCUUUGCUGCAGUGCACCAGGACACUUACGAAGCUUUUGUCACACUUGCUCUUCCAACUAUCCACAAUUACAGUGCAGCCACUUGUUUGCCACUCUUGCUUGAGUUCCUUUGCGCGGUUCUCAGUUUCUCUUAGUUGCUCCUGCAGAACAGCUUCGUACGUAGGCAUUACAGCCCCAGGCCCAUGGGGAAACACAACCAUCUCCCUCAAAGAUGAUGAAUGGAGAACACCAGGCUCAGGUCCAGCUUCAGAGAAGAAUUUGCCUAUUGAUUUUGCUGACGCAGAAUUGAAGUAAUCACUUUUCUCAACCUUGGGUUUCAGUUGACAAGAACUAUAUGUGAUUUCCUUGGGCUGCGUCAGAUCCGGUGGAUAAUGAAGAAAGCAGCGGUUAUUGGGCACAGUUUGUUGUAGCUGUGGUUGCUGGACUUGAGCAGAUGGAAGGGCUGGGCUUGUGUGAGGAACCUCAUCAUGUUCAUGCUUCCAUUUCUUCAUUUUUCUGAGCAUCCAAGCUUUCUAUUCUUGCGAUCCACAAGUGAACUCCUUAAGCUUGUGCUGACAUUGCCCCUGAUGCCUGCUAAAUGGUGCUCUAGGCGGUUGUAACUCGAAACCACCUUAACGCAGUAAUGGCAGCUCACUCUGCAACCUUCCUCACCAAUGGUUUUGCCAUGCCUUGCUUUUCCACGGUUACUUGUCUGAGGAUAUUGUACAGACAAAACCUGAAGGAAAGCAAUGAGAGAUACUUCAGUAAUGCAAAAAUUAAAAUGUCAAAUUCCAAAACAUGAGUGCAACAUUUCACCAAUGAUUAGAUUUCAUCUGCUUCCUCUUCAUGACAGCACAUGAUGUACUGCUACUGAUGAAUUUACCACAUGUCAACAGAGAAGACUGUGAUCCAACUAAACACUGUACCUUAGAAGUUUAAACACAGUAUUACUGGAUGAAACGGUUUGUUCUGUAUUUUUUUCCAAUAAAGAACAGUUUGUCUGUAUAACUCUUCAAGAAGAGCACAUAGAGGCGUGGCCAGUGGGUCAUAGUAUAUUUACCAGCGGACUGGAGGCAUGAGCUUGUUCACAAAUUACAAGUUCAUUAUCACCAGGGCAACAAAUCCAUGGGCACCGAUGCGAUGAAUUAACAGUAACUCUAACAGGGCAGUCAACCAUUGGCCAUUUUCACCAUGGUACACUCCAGAAACAUGUAAGUUCAACUAGAUUAGACAGUUGUUCCUCACAAACAGUCUAAAGUUUGAUGUUUGCAAUCCUGAAGGAUUCAAAUGAACCAUACGAAAUAGGCCGGUGUAAAUAUGUAGUUUUUCACAGAUUAGUGAUGUGGUAUAAGCAUAAGACUGCACGAUGAUCUUACAAAGCCAGUAACAUACACCCUCUCCCCCGCCGCAUGAUCUCCCUCCUCCGGCCAAUUCCUCCACAACAAAGAGCAGAUCCGGAACCCUCUCUCCACACAUCCCGAAGUCCAGCGGCGCCGUCACCAGGGUCGGAGCCGCCGUCCACCUCGACGCCUGACUUCAUCCCAGCUCGCUCGCUCCCGUGUGGCCCCGUCGGCCGGCGGCGGGGCCCUGAACUGUCUUGGCGGCGCUGGUUCUCGGGGCUCGACGGGGGCCACGUGAUCCCGUGCGGUGCUAGGCGCGCUUCCAUGGCGGCCCGCGUCGGUGCUGCUGGAGGCGGGGGAGGCCCGGUUCUGCGGCUGGUGGUGGCGUUGUGGUGGCGUGGCGGCAGUUGACCUCGCGGAAGCCACUCGAAAAAAGAAAAAAAAACUUGACCUCGCGGAAGGUUGUGUAACUCGGCAAUAUGAUUUUCGCUCGGUGUUUCCUAAUUAAUUAAGAUCUUCUUAAUGAAUGCACAAAUGGUCAUUCGAAAAAACAAUACCCCUCUGAAACAAAUGGCGUGCAGUGACUUCUUCCUGAUACUAAAAUUAAAAAAAAUCAUAGUUUUAGCAAUUCCUUUAAAUCGUCUCAAACCCCUUUCAAAAUCUAACAUUACGCUGCCCAAUUCAAAAAAAAAAAAACCAGACAAAAUCUAAAAGGGAGAAAGGGGAAUUCUUCCUGGGCAUGCUCCAAUGCACACCCUCUGUGCAGAAGAAAGUCACAAACGACUUUGAUUGUUUACCAUUUCUGGACAUUGAUGAGACGACGGAUUUAAUUGAGGAAAGGACAUUCACUAGUGGGUGGGUGGUAAAAGAAUUUUGCUGGAUAACAACAUUUCAUUCUUUUUACCAUGAUAUGCUUUUAAUAGUUAGAUCAACAAUUAUUCAUGAAAUUCCGGCCACCAAAAGAGGCAACACAAACUUCGGUGGAUUACCGGGGCAAGGUGAACCGAGCAUGGUUCGAAAGAGAAUCCGACGGGGGUGGAUGUGUACAUUGGAAAACAAACAAACAUAGGCUAGAAAAAAAUGUAAAACCCAAGUGAGAUGGGUGUUGUGUUGAAUACAUGUUCCCUUGAUUGGUUACUUCAGAGAACUUCAUCAGCAUAAACACACAAUUCCAAAGAACACCUUGGAAUAAUUCUAGUUCUUAAUGUUGCACUUGAACAAUGAGAUUUCAAAAAAAAAAGCCUGAGAAACAUGCAUUUAGAUCUAACAUAUACUCCCUAGAAAAAAUAGAAAUGGUAUCAACAAAAACAUUUUAUGCUCCUAGUGAAUAAAUUGCUUUUCCUUACCUUUGACUUUAGAUCUCGUCUUCUCAGUUCCAAGAUGUAAAUGAUGGCCUAAAAAUGGGGCAAUGGCUGUGGUGCGCUGGAAAAGGGUGAAUGGUGGAAGCCUGGGAAAUAUGCAUUUAGUUCUAAUAUGCUCCCUAAAAACAAAAAAUGGUAUGAACAAAAUCCUUUAUGCUCCUAGAGAAUACAUUAUUUUUUUCUUACCUUUGACUUUGGAUCUCGCCGUCUUCGUCCAAGAUGUAAAAGGAGGAUGGCCUGGGCAGCGACUGUGGUGCGUCGGGAAAGGGCGGAUGGUGCAGUGCAUCAGUACCUUUGAAUACCACAAUCUCAGCUAAGAGGAAAACAUAGAUUAUGGAUUUACGAGGGCAAACAUAUCUAGAGAGUGGAAAUGGCGGCGAUGGAUGGAGAAGAAGAUAGUUAGAUCUAGACAAUGUUCAUGGUUGACGGUGGAGGAGAAGAUAGUUAGGUCUAAGGAGUGGUGGUGGCGGCGACGAGUGGAGGAGAAUAUGGUUAGAUCUAGACAAUAUUGAUGGUUGCAGGUGGAGGAGAAGAUAGAUGGAUCUAGAUAAUGUUGAUGGUUGUGUCGUGGGGGGGUGGCUUUAUAGCCGCGCGGUUUGGGAUUAGGGGUGCGACCACGAUCCGCGUGAUGCGGGGUGCGGGCCGUCAGAUUGAGAUGGGUGGCGGAUAAUGGGGUAAAUGGGGUGGCGCGGAUAGGUGACGUGGCGAGGGAGCUGUGUUUCUUUCUAAGGGUGAGGCAGGGUGCGGGGAUGCGAGGAAUGCAUGUGUCUCGGGUAGGUGGAUGCCAGUUGGGACCGGGCAUUUUUUGGAUUGAUUGCUUUUGCGUGCGGCGUCGCUCGCUGCCGCAAUUUUUGGAUGGAUAUCUGGUCGAUGGGCCCAUGAGGUGUGUGGUCGUGACGAGACUAGUGCAAAGGCGUAAAAUCAGAUUAUUGCUAGGACAAUUUGGAAAGCGUAUUUCUAUCUUUUCCACGAUCAAUUGAUACGAGGGGUGCUUCUUUCUCGUAUUGUAUAACAUUCCUCAACAAAAAAUCCCUUUGUUCAACUAUUAUGUCGGGGGUUGGGUGCGACAUAUGCCAAAGGAUGGCUUAUCAUGGUGGGAGCGAGUAGAACGUCGCCGGUGCCUGGAAGCGGGAUAAGGCGUAGACACGAACGCCGGCGUACUUUACCCAGGUUCGGGGCUCUCCUAGGAGAUGACACCCCUAGUCCUGCUCUGCGGGGUCUCCGCAUGAUCACUAAGGCACAAGUGAUACAACGUGCUCCUCGAGCUGUUUGCUAUUGGCAGAGGGAGGCAAGCCUAGCUCUCUUCCUGCUCAGGGGGUGGCUAGUUCUAAUGGGGUCGAACCCUUCGCAUGGGUGCCCUGGGGGGUUUAUAUAGGCCUACCCCCUAGGGGUACAAUGGUAAUCUGGCCGGCUGCUGGGCCCGGCUGUCAGCGUCUUCGGCCUCCAGCUUCUCCGCCGACCAUUGGGGCCCGCCGCCUGGUGGACCCCGCCGACUGGUUGGUGGUUGUUCACUGUAGUCGUGUUGUUGGUGAUGGGGGCUUGGUCAUCCCGGCAUGGCUACAGUCCCGCUGCCUGGCGGGAGGACACUAUAGCCGCACCUGGUCUUAUCAGCUUAAUGGCGUGCUUGCCUCGGGACGAGGGACGGCCGCUUGCUGGAGGCCGGCCACUCUCUAAUCCGCUUAGUUGAGCCUCCACCGUCUUCCUUGGGGUCACUGCCUGAUAGGGCCCGCCUCCGGCAGGCCGUACCGACAGGCCGUCGUUCGGAACAGGGCUCCGCCUACCCGGAGUGACGUCGGGGUAGAUACGGCACAAUGCUCCAUCGUGCGGAGAUCUCUGUCUGUACGGAGCACUGUAGCCACACCUGUCUUGAAUGUGUGAGGCGUCGUUCCUCACUGUAGCCAUGCUUUGACUUGUACUCUUAAUGGGAGCUCGGCCGCCCCGUAGUCGCGAGGUGGCCGCCUGCCCGCGCCGCCCUCUCUGGAAGGCGACCGCCAGGAGCCGGCCACUCGGAGCGUCGUAGUCUUGGGUCACCCGCCCUCUGGCAGCCGGCCGCCGAGCCGGCCGGCCCCAGAGGGCGGAGUUUUGGUUUGGGGCUCAGCUGGACGGAGCUGGCCCAAAGUCUUGAUAAUUCUAGGGAGUCGGGUGAGCCUACCCAUGGCCCAUUACUCCGAAAGUAGUCCCCAAAGCCGGUGAUGCGUCGUGGUCGAGGGGCCGCAAAGUCUCAGCGGCUUCCUCCCUCACCGAGCUCUGGGAGAGUGUCGAUCCAUCUUGCGGUUAUCCGACUGCUCAAGCCCGCCUCGCCCAGGCGGAGCUAUAUGGUUGAUUUUGAACUCCAAGGCGGGAAACAGGUGACGUGCCUGUUAAGCUUCCCAGGCAGCCGCCCGCCACGGACGUGCCACGGGCGCACGUCAGCCUGGCAAGCCUGCCACCCCACGUUCUGGACGGGACAGGACACCGGGCUGGGCCCGCCACUACCAUGCCUCGGCAACUGGGCGGAUUCACUAUGCCGGAGGGGGCGGUUGCCGUUCCCACCACUGUUCAUGAUGGGGUAAGUGCGCGCGGGAGACGGGGGUUCAUGGGGACGUGGGCGCAGUUAAUCCCACGACCCCAUGCCCCGCCCCCUCGGCUACAUAGCCCGGAUGCUAUAAGUAGGGAGGGGGAGGUGCGGCAAAGCCCCUGCGCCCCCUCCGACUCUUCCUCUUCUCUUCUCAGCCUCCGCUGCUGCGGCUGCCAUAGCGUCGUCGUCGUCGCUCGUCACCGACGCGUCUCUCCCUUCCGUGCCGCCAGCCGGAGCCAUGGGCGACUGGGAUGGAUCGACCGUGAUCGAGGAUCACAUUACCUUCCUCCGCGACACGCGCUGGAUGCCCAGUGCGGCCUUCGUCAAGGCACGGGUGCCGCCGGAGACGGAGAUCUCGCCGGGUCGUCUUCCGCUCGCAUUUCCUGUGGGGCUUCGUCCCCCUAGCGAGCGACUUCUUCCGCACCUUCCUCAACUUCUACAACCUUCAACCUCACCACCUCACGCCCAACGCCGUGACCUUGCUCUCCGCCUUCGUCACGGCGUGCGAGGGCUACCUCGGCAUCCUCCCCACAAUCGAGCUAUGGGGAGCAUUCUUCUACGGAAAGCUCGGCACCUCCACCAAGGAGACGGCGGCCGAGUGCGGGGGCUUUGUCGCCGUGCGCCGGCCGGCGAAGUAGAACGCCUUCCCCGUCAUCAAGCUGGUGCAGUCGGUGAAGAUGUGACAGCAGUCGUAUUUCUAUGUCGAGAACAUGGACCCUGCUGCCGACCUCCUCAACCUGCCGGCCUACGAGGCCGCCCCCCCCCACCGGAGCUCGCGUCUCCUGGAAGUACAAGCCGAAGCCGGUGUCGGCGAACGCGGCGGCUGCCAUCGGCCGACUCCGAGUGCUCCAAGAGUCGGAGGGGCUCGUGGCCUCUGACCUUCUCGUCGCCUUCGUGGAGCGCCGGGUCCUCCCGCUCCAAAGCCGCCGUCAUCCGAUCUUCCGGAUGGGCGGACACCUCAACCCGUGCCGACUGUGCACGAAGGGAAUGCCGCCUGCUGAAGUCUCAUGGAUGGUGAACGAGAUCUCCGACCUCAAGAUGUCGGAGAAGGAGUGGCGGUACGGGAAGCGGCCGUACUCUCGCCACAACCCGCCCCCUGCUGUAGGUUUCUUCUUUUUGUCCUUUGAACUGCUUCUUCUGCUCUGCUUCUCUUUGUGACGCCGCCCUUCAAGACUUGUUUCCUUCUCGGUUGCAGAUUUAUAUGUCCGAGGCAACGGCUGCCCUCCUGGGGCCGGGUGAUAACCUCCAGGCGGACAGGGCGGAGAGUGACUUGGACGACCCCGACUUGGGGGCGGCCGCCCUGGUCGACGACGCGACAGGCGGCGGUGGCGGAGCGGACGACGGUGGUGGAGCAGGCGGCUUCGAGGGAGGCAGCGGUGUGGAGGCCUGGCUCGACGACGAUGAAGACGAAGAUGAGCCGCGCCCCUCCCGGAGCUCCGCCACCACUGGCGCUGGUCCCUCUUCUGGGCCGCCCGCCCCAGGCAGCAAGCGCAAGCGAAAACAGGGCUCGACCCUGUUCGGCAGCGCCCCAAAGAAGCCCAAGAAUCCGGCCGCGGCGACCAGGCAGAAAGAGACCGCGGCCAGGGCGACCCAAUAUCAGAGGCAGCCGAAGGUGCCAGUUAUGGUGUCGGCGUAAGCAUCAUUUCCUUACUCCUUGUUUUUUCAUCAAUCUGGUGUGAAAAUAUUCUGACUUGUCUUCUCAUUUCAGGGCGCCGCUAACCCUCGAGAAGUUGGGCGCCAGCUCGGUCCUCAGGUUGGCAGCGACCUCUUCGACCAGUCGGCGCAACGACCCGACCGCCGACCUCCGUGAGGCGACAGAGCGGAAUGCGCGAGAGGCGCGCGAUGAGACGGAGGCCGACCACCUGGCCAAGGAGCAGGCGGACUUGUCUGCCGCGUCUGCUGCGAGGGCGUUGGCGCAGGCAGAAGCCCAGGCCGCGGAGAAGGAGCGGUUCGCGGAGGCCGCCCAUUGCCAAGAGCCGCUACUCGUGGCCUCCCUCAACACCGUGCCGCCUUUGCCUGAUUUUGAGGCGACAUCCGGAGGAGCCGGCGACGACUACCCGAUCUGGGAGCAGGGGGGUGGUGACGCAGCCAUGCCGAACGUCUUUGUGCCGCCGCCCCCGCCCCCACCGCCUCCGCCAGCCAGCGAGCCGCAGGACGAGCAGCCAGUGGCAUCGCCGGUACCGCCAGUGGCGCCGCCGGUGCCGCCAGUCGACAAUACGGUGGUGACGGUCCUGAUUCCUUCGGCCCGCAUCCCCACGCGCCGCUAUCUGGAGAAGGCGGCCUCAGCACCGCGACCGCAGGAGAUCGGCACCACGAGCUCGUCGGCCCCCGACACCGAGGCGACCAGCGCCGCGCCCGUGGGUUGGGUACACGGGGGCGGGACUGGUGCCUUGAACCAGGCGUCUCUUGCCGUCCAGGCCAAGCUUCGGGCGGAGGUGGAGGCGCUCAAGCGCUGCAAUGAGGCUUACUUGGAGUCGCGCAUCGCCAUCCGGGUAAGUUGUCUUUGGGCUCUUUCUUCGAAUGAUCUUCUUUGCUUCUCUCGUGGGGCGCGCAAGCACACGCACUAGGUGUAGUCCCCAAGUUCCGGGCCGGCUACUGAGCAGGCGGGUUGGAACUUUAUUUUACAAUUGCCCGACUGCUGAUUUUAUCCGAUGCUUCUUCCGCAGGAUUAUCACAACCUCCGCGCGACCGCCUACAACUCCAAGGUUCGGGAGCUGGAGGCGCAGACGGCCCACCUGGCUGAAAGCCGGCGUAAGUUUCUGUCCUCUUUCUUCGCGGGGGCGUGCUGGCGCACCCGCGGGCUGUAGUCCCCGAGGUUCGGGCCGACUGAUGAGCAGUCAGGCCGAAUCUCCUCAGUUGUCUUUUUCCCUUGUCAAACACUUCUUUUCCGCGGGGGCGCGCUGGCGCACCCGCGGGCUAUAGUCCCCGAGGUUCGGGUCGACUGCUGAGCAGUCGGGCCGAAUCCCCUCGGUUAUUUCUUUCCUCUGUCUUGUUCGCUUGACUGAUGCCUUCUUCUUUUCUUUCUUUCUUCAGAGGCCAAUGCCGACCUGCAGCAGCAGCUGGGCGAAGCCAAGACCGCCCUGCGUGGCAAGGAGGCAGAGUGCAGCAAGCUGGCGAAGGAGCGGGACCGCCUGGCCGCCCAACUUGCCGAAUAGGCGGAAACCCUUAAGGCGGCCCAACUGAAGGCGGAAACGGCGGAGACCAGCCUCCUUGCCGAGUUUGAGCUCGAGCACUCCGCCUGGGCCGACAAGGAGGCCCAGGUGACGGCCUGCUUCAGCAGCAUCGAAGAUUUGGUCGAUGGUAAUCCAUAUUCUCUUGGUUUCUUGCUUUGAGUUAUCAGCCCUAGCUUAUAGCCUUGGCCUUUUCCUUCUUCCACCCGAGCAGACUUCUUCCCGGGCCAUUCUGUAGCCGCUACCCAGAUGAUCGAGGCCCAACGGAGGAGCGAAGGGCAGAGGGUGUGCAGAUCGCCGCUGAUGCCCCCCAGACCCUCGGUGAACAGGUCCUCAGCAUUCAGGCCCGACUUCGGCCUGCUCACCGCUUGCUGCGCCGCCUGCAGCGCAUCAGAGCCUAGGCGGUCUCCGCCCUCUGGCCAGGCUUGCCGGCCCCAUGCACCCCAAGUCGGACUGCCGACUGGCUGAAGGUGGCGGCCGGCCGCCUGGAGGCCUGGAAGGGCUCAGCAGCCCGGGCAGGAGCGCGUCGGGCCUUGGAAUUCGUCAAGGUGUGGUACCCUGGGCUAGAUCUGGCCCAGUUAGCCACGUUCCGACUGGAGGCGCAGGAGGAGCUGGCGGUGGUGGAAACUGAGCUUGUCAGCAGGGCCGCGGCGAUCGCGGACUUCACCAACACCAGCGUCUUCGUCCCGGAGAUGGUCGAGGAAGGCGGUGAAGCUCCGCAUGAAUGGCUUGGGCUAAACCCAGAGGAUAGCGAAGACUCCGCUGAAGUCAUCGACUCCAGCGACAAAGGGGAGGACCGGGAGGAGGAAGAGGAGGAGGAGGAGGAGGAAGACGAGAGCGAUGUCGACAUGCCGGAGGUCGGGGCGGACUGUCAGCCCCAACCUGACCGGGCCUCAAGCAACGAGCCGCGCACCGAGGUGCCGCCCACUACUGGAGGCGUUCAAGUGGGGGCGGACCCGCUGCCCGUUCCUCCGACGGAUGCCACCGGCUCCGUCCUCCAGCACUCCAAUGCCCCGCCUGCUGCCGGCAAUUCCUCUGCCCUUGGCCACGCCAUCCGGCACCGGCCAGCCGGAUCCUUCUGCCGCGCCAACCGGCACCGCCCAGCCGGAGUCCUCUGCUGCGCCAACCGGCACCACCCAGCCGGAGUCCUCUGCUGCUCCUUAGGAUUUUAUCUGCUUUCUGUUUGUUGUUCUGAACAUUUUGUUAAAUUCGUGCAAUUCCACCCUCAGGGUGUAUAUCAAACUCUGUUUGAAUGCUGGCCAGGGGCCUUUAUCCAUGUAAAUAUUUUACCAUCGCUUGUGCUUGUUGUGCCGACCUCCACUCUUUUUUUCCUUUUGCUCCUUGGUUUUUUCCUUUGCCGCCGACCCUUUGGCUUUGCUUUUACCAGCCAGGCGUCCGCUCUGUGGACCGUGGCUGGUUUGAGCACUCUAGCCGUUUGUGAGGGGGGCUAGGACUUAGCCAUUCGGAGCUUUGGGUGGUAAAGUGGAGGCCGGCCGUCUGGCUGCCAAGCAGUCAGAUGGCUAGGUGCGAUGCCCCCUGCUACUAUAUGUGCUUUUCUCCUUAGUCUUUUUUUCGUGUGGGGCACCUAUUUGCAACGUUUUCCCACCAUGCAAUCGCUCUGCGAGCUGUGGCUUCUGAUAAAGGAAGCUUUGGGUGCCGUCACACUACUUGUUCGGCUGCAGGAGGCGGCAUAUUGUAGAAGGUGGCGAGGCUCCGGGCCGACUGGUCGAACCCGGUGCCAGGCGGAAGAAAUAGACUAUACAUUCUCAUAGGCAUGAUACUUAUCAUAUAGAUAAAAGAGGGCAGUCCCCAGCUCCUCUCAGGGGACCCGGAGUCUUUAUACAUUGUACAAAAGGUAGCGUGAUAUAUACUACUUUCAACUGUAAAACCUUCAGAGGAGGUUUGCAUUCCACGGCCUCUCCGUUUCUUUGUCUGAAUCAUCUCUCUUGCGCACUCUGGGCUUCUAGGCAUCGAUCAGAUAGUAGGCAUCGUUGCCCAACACCUUACUGAUGAUAAAAGGGCCUUCCCAAGGUGCCGAGAGCUUGUGCUGUCCGGCUGUUCGCUGGAUCAGCCAGAGCACAAGGUAUCCCUCCAGGAAGGACCUUGGCUUCACCUUGCGAUUGUAGUAUCGGCGCAGGCUCUGCUGGUAGAUGGCCGACCUGCUGAGUGCCAACAGCUGGCCCUCCUCCAGCAAGUCGACACCGUCUUCUCGUGCCUCCUUGGCGUCCGCCUUGGUGUACAUGGUGACUCUUGGGGAGUCGAACUCAAUAUCCGUCGAGAUGACGGCUUCGGCACCGUAGAUGAGGAAGAAAGGCGUAAAGCCCGUUGAUUUGUUUGGAGUUGUGCGCAAGCUCCAGAGGAUGGCCGACAUCUCGUCGAGCCAGCAGUCAGCCGAACGCUCCAGAGGCUCGACCAGUCGGGGCCUGAGGCCGGACAAAAUUAGGCCGUUUGCACGCUCCACCUGGCCAUUUGACUGUGGGUGGGCAACGGACGUUAAGUCCAGGCGGAUGCCCUGCGUUGCACAGAAACGAGCCAAGGCUCCUUUGGCGAAGUUGGUGCCGUUGUCGGUGAUGAUGCUGUGUGGGAUGCCGUAUCGCGUGGUAAUGUCAGCGAUGAAGGUCACGACAGUCGGCCCAUUCAGCUUCUUGAUUGGUUUUGCCUCUAUCCACUUGGUAAACUUGUCCACCGCAACCAGCAAGUGAGUCAUGCCACCGCAGGCCGUCUUGAAUGGUCUCACCAUAUCCAAUCCCCACACAGCAAAGGGCCAGGCUAUGGGAAUGGUCUUGAGUGCAGAAGAUGGCAGGUGUGGCUUGGAGCGGAACCUCUGGCACCCUUGACACUUCUGAACCAGCUCUUUGGCUUCUUCCAGGGCAGUCGGCCAGAAGAACCCGUGGCGGAAAGCUUUGGCCACAAGUGAUCUUGAAGCCGCGUGGUGGCCGCACUCGCCCUGGUGGAUAUCUCUAAGUAUUUCUUGGCCUUGGUCCGACUCCACACAUCACUGAUAAACUCCUGUGACACUUCUUCGCACCAGCUCUUUGUUGACUAUGGUAUAAGCUACAGCUCGCCUCUGUACUUGUCGGGCUAAGAUUUCAUCGGUUGGCAGCUCCUUGUUCACCAAAAACUUGAGGAUCGGCUGAGCCCAUGAGGGCGCCACAAUUUCUUCAAUUGCGACCACUGCAACCUGUAUGAGGGCGGUUAGGCCGGGAGGCGACGGGUUGGCAGCUGCUUCUGCCUGCUGUGCUGGAGAAGUCCCCAGGCCGACUGCUGAAGUCCCCGGGUCGGGCUCCGAAGUCCCCGGGCCAGGUUCUGAAGUCCCUGGGCCUAGCGUGGCAGCAGCAGUCCCCGGGCCGCCUGUCGAGAUCCCCGUGCCGGCCUCUAGGGUAGCCAAGUUGGAUCCGACUGCUUCGGGGGGGGGGGGUCGGCACAAAGAUGGAGUCUGAAUCAGAAGACGGCUUGACAGACGACUUCAGAAGGCGGCGUAGGGCAACGCCGACUGGUAUUGCUUGUCGGGUGGAGCCAAUCAGUGCUAAGGCAUCUGCUUGCUCGUUGUCAUUCCUUGGCACGCGAAGGAACUCGCACCCAUCAAAGUAUCCGUUGAGUUGCUGCACGAGGAAACGGUAGCUCGCUAUAUUUGCGUCCUUGGCGUCCCAGUCGCCUGAAGACUGCUGGACCACCAAGUCGGAGUCACCAUAGCACAGGAUCCGGCGAAUGCCGAGUUCCUUGGCAAGCCGGAACCCGUGUAUGAGUGCCUCGUAUUCUGCUACGUUGUUGGAGGCGGAGAAGUGGACUUGCAAUACAUAUUUAAGCUUGUCGCCCUUGGGAGAGGUGAGGACGACGCCGGCUCCCAGACCUGUGUGCAUUUUUGAACCGUCAAAAUGCAUCCGCCAAUGAGUGGAGUCUGGUGCAGGCGGCAAAUAUUGGGUCUCGGUCCAAUCAACGAGGAAGUCGGCCAACACUUGUGAUUUGAUGGUGGUGCGAGGCUAGUAGUAGACGGUGUAAGGGGCCAGAUCAAUAGCCCAUUUGGCGACUCGGCCAGAGGCAUCCCGGCUUCCAAUGAUCAAAGCGAGCGGGGCUGUGCAGACGACAGUUAUGGGGUGCUCUUGGAAGUAAGGUUUCAGCUUCUUGGCGGCAAAAUGCAUGCCGUAACACAUCUUCUGGUAGUGGGGGUAGUUUUGCUUGGAGGCGGACAAUACUUCGCUCAAGUAAUACACCAGUCUCUGGACCGGCAAUGCUUUGUCCUUCUCCUUGCGCUCUACCACCAUGACUAUGCUAACAACCUGACUGGUGGCUGCAAUGUAGAGGAGCAUGGGCUCCUUCUCAGUCGGAGCUGCCAGGACAGGCGGGGUUUCCAACAUCUUCUUGAGUUGGAGAAAUGCUUCAUCCGCCUUGUUGUUCCACUCGAAAAAAGUGGUCUUCUUCAUGAGUUGGUAUAGGGGAAGAGCCUUCUCGCCCAGCCGGCUGAUGAAACGGCUGACUGACGCCAGGCAGCCGGUGAAUUUCUGCACGUCCAGCAGUCGGGUGGGCACCUCCAUCAUCUCAAUUGCCUUGAUCUUCACAGGAUUGCACUCUAUAUCGCGCUCUGAGACCAAGAAACCGAGAAGCUGGGUGGCUGGUACUCCAAAGACACAUUUCUCCGGGUUGAGCUUUAUCUGGAAUCGGCGCAGGUUUUCAAAGGUCUCCUUGAGGUCCUCUAGCAGAGUGCCACGCUUCUCUGUCUUCACCACCACAUCAUCCACAUAUACGUGGGCAUUUCUGCCGAGUUGCUUAAGGAGGCACUUCUGCAUGCAACGCUGAAACGUGGCGCCGGCAUUUCUCAAGCCAAACGUCAUGGUCAGGUAGCAGAAGGCUCCGAACGACGUGAUGAAGGCGGUCUUCAGCCUGUCGGCCGGGUUCAGCUUUAUCUGGUGAUAACCUGAGUAUGCAUCUAGAAAACUCAACAGCUCGCAUCCGGCUGUGGAGUCUAUCACUUGAUCAAUCCUUGGCAGAGCGAAGGGAUCUUUGGGGCAGGCUUUGUUGAGGCUGGUAUAGUCAAUGCACAUGCGCCACUGCUUGUUCUUCUUCAAUACUAGGACUGGGUUGGCCAGCCACUCUGGGAAGAAUACUUCCAUGAUGAAUCCGGCUGCUAGGAGCCGGGCUAUCUCUUCUCCGACAACUCUUCUCUUCUCUUCUGACAAGCGAGGCAAAGGCUGCCUGACUGGCUUGGCGUCAGGUCGGACGUGUAGCUUGUGCUCGGCGAAAUCCGUCGGAACACCCGGCAUGUCCUUGGGGGACCAUGCGAAGAUGUCCCGAUUCUCACGGAGGAAAUCGACGAGCUCGCCUUCCUAUUUGCUAUCAAGGCCUGUGCCUAUAACAACGUGCCUCUCCGGGUGCUCUGGGUCCAAGGGUAUUUUCUUUGUUUCCUUGGCCGGCUUGAAUGAGCCCUCAGCAUCCGACUCCUGGGGUGUGGGUGACAUUUCCGGCUUCUUGCCUGCCAGUGCCACCACCCGGUCAAGGAGCCGCUUCUCGGCAGCGAUCACGAGGGACUCGGCCAGCCGGCUGCUAUCUGUGGCGCAAGCGAUCGACUUCUUAUAGUCUCUGGCGACUGUCAAGAUCCCCUUGGUACUCGGCAUCUUCAUCUUGAGGUAGGUGUAGUGGGGGACUGCCAUUAAUUUGGCCAGAGUAGGCCGGCCUAGCAGUGCAUGGUAGGGGCUCUGAAGGUCCACCACUUCAAACCAAACUGGCUCUCGGCAAAAGUGAUUCUUGUCUCCGAAGAGGACGUCAAUCUGGGUCUUGCCGAUUGGUGAGCAGGAAAGGCCAGUGACUAUGCCAUGGAAUACAGUCCGACUGGGAACGAGCUGCUUCUGCUUGAUUCCCAACUUCUCCAUUGUAUCGUGGUAUAGGAUGUUGAUGCUGCUGCUGCCAUCUAUCAAGACUCUGGAGAAACAGGCUGCUCGCCUCUCCGUUGCAAGGGUCGCUUCUAGGACCAGGGCAUAUGAACCAGGGGAAGGCAUCACUUCCGGGUGGUAGGCCCUGCUCCAACUGAUAGGCUUCUCGGACCAAUGCAUGAACUCAGGAGUGUUGGAGGCCACUUCUUGCACUUCUUGUUGUUGUUGCCGUCUGCUGCGUCUGUCAUCGGCCACACUGGUGAAAACAACAUAAGCUCCGUGUUCCUCUGGGUACUCGUCUUGUAAGGCGCUGACUGGACGGGCCGCCGGCUAUUGGGGCUGAGGAGGCGGCGGUCCAGUAGGCGGAGGAGGCAGGAGUCCAUCUCCCUUGGCAAUUCUGGUGAGCCAGUGACACUUCCGAGUGGUGUGGUUGGAGGGCUUAGCGCCGUUAUGGAACUUGCAGGGUGCAUCCAAGGUUUGCUCGUAAGAGAAGGCGGACAACCAAUUGGACUUGCCGCCUUUCUACCAUUUGGGGGCAGGCCGCCCUUCUGGUUGCUGAUCCUCGACCGUCGCCACCUGCCGGCUAGUGGAAGCCGGCUGGGUGGCCUUUCGCUUGUUAUCACCUGGCUGCUGUCGCCGGCUGGUGUCACCUGCCGGAGUCCGAGGUGCCUGAAGUGCCACCUUGCCGGAUGCGUCAACCAGGAUUUCCGCCUUCAUGGAGUCGGCCAUGGCGUGCUUGUCGGCGAUGACCAGCAGCUCAUCGAGGGUCUCGGGCUCGUCGCAGAGGAGUCGAUGCUUGAGGAGGGUGCCCUCUCGGCACCCGGCAGUGAAGUAUUCAAUUGCCUGCACCUCGUGCACGCCUUCGCAGGAAUUGCGCAGCUCGGUCCAGCGUGUGAGGUAGUCGCAGGUUGACUCUGUAGGCCCUUGGACGCAUAAGGAGAGUUGUCGGGGCUUGGGGGCCCGCUUGUAAGUGUUGGUGAAGUUGCGGAUGAAGACCUCGGUGAAAUCGACCCAGCUGUUGAUGCUGUGGGGCUUCAGGCUGUUGAGCCACGUCCGGGCCGUGCCCUGAAGCAUGAGCGGGACGUACUUCACGGCAACGCGCUUGUUGCCGUUUGCUAUGCUGACAGCUGUGGAGUAGUCGACCAGCCAGUCCUCCGGCUUCACGGAGCCGGUGUAUUUGGGCGUGUCUCGCGGGAGGGUGAACCCCUUGGGGAAAGGCUCAUCGCGGAUUCGGGGGCCGAAACAGGGCGGGCCCAGCGCAUCUUCUUCUUCAAGCGCCAGGGAUCGGUUGAGACGAUCGAUCCGGUGGUGAGCAUCAUUCUCUACGACUCCCUCUCGGCGACCAAGGUGGUCGCCGAGUGUCGGGUGCGUGACAGGAGCCGGAGUGGGGUGUCUUGCUCCACGAGGCGGGGGAGGCGGCAGGUCGCCUUGCCGCUCUACAGCACGAGGGCGGCCUUCCUCGUCCCGCUCGAUGGAGAUGUGUGUCCGACUGCGGCUAGCAACCGUCUCAUUGCCCUUUCCUCCGCGGGCGCCACCAAUCGGCGUCCGGGAGGUCGCCCCAUGAUCUCGGCAUGGGGGCGGCUCGUUGUUUCGUCCGGCUGGGUCUUCAGUCCGGCAAACGGCCUUGUGCUGUGUGGCAGCCGCGUCCAGGAACUGUUGGACUCGCUCCGUCAUGUGGCGGAGCUCGUCGCCGUUGUACUUGUUCAGCUCAUCCGUUACCGCCUGGGCGGCCCGGAUGUUCUCUGCAGGCGUGGCGUAGACGGGGCGCUCCGCCCCGAACAUGGUGGUGAUGGUCGCGUCACGCUGCCGAACUGUGCCGAGGCGGCUAGGCCCCUCCGGAGCCGGCGUGCCGCCUACGGCCCGGUCCAUCUCACGCCGAUAGGCGUCCGACAACCGGCACAUGCUGGCCAGGCAGCCAGCACUCUCGAUAAGCUGGAGGCGGCGUGCCUCCAGCACCUCACCAUCCGCGCCCUCGGGAAUGGGCACCGUGAGGUCGCGCAGGGUGGUCUCGAGGGGAUCUUGAGCACGCCCGUCCGAGUGCUCCUCGCUGUUGAUAACGAGCACCUCCGUGACGGUGCUCCCAUCGCUGUACUUGCAAGGAGGCGGCUCGUCGUAGACAACCAUGUUGGUGGGAAACGCGUCGAGCGACGUCGUAUCAGAGUCGACGAUCAUCGGAUCGGUCGAGCCGACAGACUCCAGGUCCACAGCAGGCUCGCUGGUGACACGGAGCUGGUCGAGGAGGCUGACAAGGCGGCUCUCAGGGCAGCUUGUGCCCGUGUCAGAGGCCGGCUCGUCGGAGAGGUCGAUCUCGCCGACGAGGUCAGUGAGGCAACUCGCCGCGCAGGCGAUCUCCGCGCCGUGCAGCGCGUCGAGGCUGACGCCAUCCGGCGUGCUGGGCUGGCUUCGCUCGCCAGAGAGGAACAAGGUUCCCAUCCAGAGCAGAUCUCCGGGAGAUGGUGCACCUCGCCCCAUGGUGGGCGCCAAAUGUCGGGGGUUGGGUACGACAUAUGCCAAAGGAUGGCUUAUCAUGGUGGGAGCGAGUAGAACGUCGCCGGUGCCUGGAAGCGGGAUAAGGCGUAGACACGAAUGCCGACGUACUUUACCCAGGUUCGGGGCUCUCCUAGGAGAUAACACCCCUAGUCCUGCUCUGCGGGGUCUCCGCAUGAUCACUAAGGCACAAGUGAUACAACGUGCUCCUCGAGCUGUUUGCUAGAGGCAGAGGGAGGCAAGGCUAGCUCUCUUCCUGCUCUAGGGGGUGGCUAGUUCUAAUGGGGUCGAACCCUUUGCAUGGGUGCCCUGGGGGGUUUAUAUAGGCCUACCCCCCAGGUGUACAAUGGUAAUCUGGCCGGCUGUUGGGCCCGGCUGUCAGCAUCUUCGACCUCCAGCUUCUCCGCCGACCGCUGGGGCCCGCCGCCUGGUGGACCCCGCCGACUGGUUGGUGGCUGUUCACUGUAGCCGUGUUGUUGGUGACGGGGGCUUGGUUAUCCUCGCGUGGCUAUAGUCCCGCCGCCUGGCGGGAGGGCACUGUAGCCGCACCUGGUCUUAUCAGCUUAAUGGUGUGCUUGCCCCGGGACAAGGGACGGCCGCCUGCUGGAGGCCGGCCACUCUCUAAUCCGCUUAGUUGAGCCUCCGCCGUCUUCCUUGGGGUCACUGCCUGAUAGGGCCCACCUCCGGCAGGUCGUACCGACAGGCCGUCUUUGGGAAUAGGGCUCCGCCUACCCGGAGUGACGUCGGGGUAGAUACGACACAGUGCUCCGUCGUGCAGAGAUCUCCGUCUGUACGGAGCACUGUAGCCACGCCUGUCUUGAAUGUGUGAUGCGUCGUUCCUCACUGUAGCCAUGCUUUGACUUGUACUCUUAAUGGGAGCUCGGCCGCCCCGUAGUCGCGAGGUGGCCGCCUGCCCGCGCCGCCCUCUCUGGAAGGCGGCCGCCAGGAGCCGGUCACUCGGAGCACCGUAGUCUUGGGUCACCCGCCCUCUGGCAGCCGGCCGCCAAGCUAGCCGGCCCUAGAGGGCGGAGUUUUGGCUUGGGGCUCAGCUGGGCGGAGCCGGCCCAAAGUCUUGAUAAUUCUAGGGACUCGGGUGAGCCUACCCGUGGCCCAUUACUCCGACAUAUUAUCUAGUUGUUUCUCAGCAGCGGUCGUAACACCACAACACCUCGACUUGCCACCUAGGGUCUCAGCAGCCCCGAUGUUUGAUGGCAAUGAUGCCCCCUCCUCUGCUUGUUGUGUUAUGUUUUCUGGUUGCUGCUGUACUCUAGCCUUUUCUUUCUGAUCAACGUGGCGCUCAGUGGUGGCAGAGAGGAGGGAGGAGGUGGCAAGGGGGAGGAACGGACUGGGAUUUUGGGGGUGAGAUGGAAAGGACUUUGUUUGUUUACCAUUUCCAGAGAUAGAUGAGACCAGGGGUUUUAAUAGUUGGAAGGAGAUCUACAGGUAGGUGGGUGGGUGGAACAAUUUUCUUUGGGAGAAAUAGCUUUUCCUUUUUUACGCCUGAUAUAUUUUCAAUAGCUAGAUCAACAAUUAUUCAUGAAAUCACGGUUACAUCAUCAGUAUAACAUCCAAUAGAAACUUUGGUGGAUUAUCGGGGCAAUCCUUGACGAACCAAUGAUGGUUCGAAAGAAAAUUCAAUGGGGGUGGAUGUAUACUUGAGAGACAUUGGAAGAGAAAAAAUAUAGGUUGGAAACAAAUUUAAAUCUCGAGUGAGGUGGUUGUUGUGUUGGAUACAUUUGCCCUUGAUUAGCUACUCCAUACAAGUUCAUCAACAUAGACACACAAUUACAAAUGCCAACUCGCCAGAAUCCUAGUUGAAUAUAUUAACGCUCUUACUGCACUUGAACAAUGAGAUUUUGACAAGAAGUCUAGGAAGCAUGCAUUUAGUUCUAAUAUAAUCCCUAGAAAAAAAUGGUAUCAACAAAAAUCGCUUUCAUGCACCUAGUGAAUAAAUUGAUUUUCCUUACUUUUGUUAUAUGAGAGAGGGGAAUUUUUUCGAUUAAACUCACAUUCAUGCUUAUAAAUUUGUGGUGAAUUUAAAAUUCCAUCCAAAUCACUGAGUCUAUUUGCUAUAAAUUUGACAUGACCUUUGCUCUUAUUUAGAGUUUUGUUUCAUUCUCAAAUUAGAAAUAAUAUGAAGGGCUUUGAAGUCAAUAGUACAAUUCAAUAUGAACUGGAAAUUCAUUUAUAAAUAAUAAACAACUGGAUAAGGGGAAAUCAAACUUUAUUGAUAAUUGGGAAAUAAUACAAAGUUAUGUUACAAAAAAGGAAACUUUAUUAAAAAAUAUCAUUUUUUGACAAUGGAAACAGUAGGAAAGGCUCCUACUAUAUAUAUAUUAAUAUGGUAAUCAAUAUACAAAUUACGUCCUUUCUGUAUGGAGAGAAAUGAGGUGGGGGUGUGGAGACAAGGAGGUGUUUGUACUAAAGUGUUUUAGCUAAGGUAUGGUGUCCAAGAGGGUAGUAAUAAACUGCACUUUGGAGGGGUGUACCCUAUAUAUUAGAUUAGAGAAAUCAAUCUUGAAUCUUUGUUUCCAAGAUGUUGCAGUGGGCUUCACCUUUCUGAAAUGAUUAUUGUUGCAUUCUUUCCAAUGUCUCCAUGCAGACACCAAGAAUAUAUCCAUCCACAACUUGUGGGGGUGAAGCAUUUUCUGUUGGCUUAUCAGCUCUAGCCUAUGAUCAUGAGUGGACCAAUGGAUGGCGAGGGAUCUCCAACAUUCCUGGCUGAAAUUGCAAUGGAAGAACAGGUGCUCCACAGUUUCCUCCACGUGCUCCCCACACAGCAGGCAGUCAAAGUUGUUACCAAUAUUUUAGUGUCUCUGUUUGAGCAUGUUUCUGGUAUUAAGGCCGUCAGCCAGAAGAAACCAACCAAAGACUUUAUUAUUGGGCAUGCAUUUGGCUUUACAUAACCACCUGAAUGCCUCAUGGGCGACCACCUCACUAAAAUAGAAUAUGUAAUAGGCGGUGAUUUUGAAUUUGUCACUCCCCCCCAAACGUACGUCCAAGUAUCAUGCAGAUCCGAAGGAAUAGUGGUGGUCACUUCAUCUUGGAUUUUUCUUAGUUCAACAUGUGCUUGUACCGAGAGGCGAAGGUGAAAAGUUGCAUGCAAGUCAAUGGUAGCAAGGAAAUCGUUCACUGAGGCGUCUGAUACGUCUCCAAUGUAUCUAUAAUUUUUGAUUGUUCUAUGCUAUUAAAGUAUCAUUCUUCGAUGUCUUAUACUCAUUUACUAACAACUUUAUAUCAUUUUUUGGGGACUAACCUAUUGACAUAGUGCCUAGUGCCAGUUGCUCUUUUUUGCUUGUUUUUUACUCCGCAGAAUAUCAAUACCAAACGGAGUCCAAAUGCCACAACACUUUUUGGAGAUUUUUUUUCUGCCCAUAAGACACCCAUGAGGCCCAAGAAGUGCACUAGAGGGGGCCUGUGGGGCCCACUAGGCACCAGGGCGCACCCUGGUGGGUAGUGGAGCCCACAUGCACCCCUCCACCGACCUCUACCUCUAUAAAUACUCUAAAAUACCAAAAACCCUAAGGGAGUCGACGAAACACAAUUCCAGCCGCCACAAGUUCCAGAACCACGAGAUCCAAUCUAGGGGCCUUUUUCGGCACUCCGUCGGAGGGGGCAACUAUCACAGAUGGGUUCUUCAUCAUCACCCUUGCCCCUCCGAUGAUGCGUGAGUAGUUUACCACAGACCUACGGGUCCAUAGGUAGUAGCUAGAUGGCUUCUUCUCUAUUUUUGAUCUUCAAUACAAUGUUCUCUUCGAUGUUCUUGGAGAUCUAUUUGAUGUAGUGACUUUUUGCGGUGUGUUUGUUGGGAUCCGAUGAAUUGUGAGUUUAUGAUCAGAUCUAUCCAUGAAUAUUAUUUGAGUCUUUGCUGAACUCUUUUAUGCAUGACCUUUAUAGCCUCGUAUUUCUUCUUCGAAACUUUGGUUUGGUUUGGCCAACUAGAUUGAUUUUUCUGGCAAUGGGAAGAGGUGCUUUCUGAUGGGUUCAAUCUUGCGGUGCUCAAUCUUAGUGACAGAAAGAGACAUGACACACAUGUAUAUUUGCUAUUAAGGAUAAAAAGAUGGGGUCUAUUCCUACAUGAAUUGAUCUUAUCUACAUCAUGUCACCGUUCUUAUUGCAUUACUCCGUUUCUCCAUGAACUUAGUACACUAGAUGCAUGCUGGAUAGCGGUGGAUGUGUGGAGUAAUAGUAGUAGAUGCAGGUAGGAGUCGGUCUACUAAUCUUGGACGUGAUGCCUAUAUACAUGAUCAUUGCCUUGGAUAUCGUCAUAAUUAUUUGCUUUUCUGUCAAUUGCCCAAUAGUAAAUUGUCUACCCACUAUAUGCUAUUUUCUCGAGAAAAGCCUCUAGUGAAAUCUACGGCCCCCGGGUCUAUUUCCUAUCAUAUUAUUUUCAGAUCUAUUUAUCCAAAAAUCCAAAAAGACCUUGCUGCACUUUUUCUUUAAUUAUUUUAUUUUGUGUUUUUGCUAGACCUAUUUAUCAAACCUCAUACAAUUUAAUAUAUCUCAAUACUGAGGAGGGAUUGACAACCCCUCUUACGCCUUGGGUUGCAAGUUUUUGUUGUUUGUGUGUAGGUGAUAUUUUGUAGGAUCGAAAGUAUGUCUAAAGGGGGGGGGGGGUGAUUAGACUACUUGAACAAAUAAAUACUUAUCCCUUUCCCAAUUUUAGUUCUUGGCAGUUUUUAGCAACUUAGCACAAGUCAAGCAAUCUUAAUACAAUUCAAGCAAGCAUGCACAGAGUAUAUAGGCAGCGGAAAGUAAAGCAUGCAACUUGCAAGAAAGUAAAUGGGAGGAGUUUGGAGGGAGCAAACGCAAUGUUGACACGGAUAUUUUUGGCGUGGUUCCGAUAGGUGGUGCUAUCGUACAUCCACGUUGAUGGAGACUUCAACCCACGGAGGGUAACGACUGCGCGAGUCCACGGAGGGCUCCACCCACGAAGGGUCCACGAAGAAGCAACCUUGUCUAUCCCAUCAUGGCCAUCGCCCACGAAGGACUUGCCUCACUAGGGUAGAUCUUCACAAAGUAGGCGAUCUCCUUGCCCUUACAAACUCCUUGGUUCAACUCCACAAUCUUGAUGGAGGCUCCCAAGUGACACCUAACCAAUCUAGGAGACACCACUCUCCAAAAGGUCGUAGAUGGUGUGUUGUUGAUGAACUCCUUGCUCUUGUGCUUCAAAUGAUAGUCUCCCCAACACUCAACUCUCUCUCUCUCACACAGAUUUGGCUAUGGUGGAAAGAUGAUUUGACUGGAAAGCAACUUGGGGAAGGCUAGAGAUCAAGAUUCAUAUGAUAGGAUUGGAAUAUCUUGGUCUCAACACAUGAGUAGGUGGUUCUCCCUCAGAAAAUGAGUAGUGGAAGUGUAGGUACGUUCUGAUAGCUCUCCUCUGUAAUGACGAAUGGGUGGAAGGGUAUAUAUAGCCUCCACACAAAAUCUAACCGUUACACACAGAUUCCCAAACUUGGUGGGACCGAAACAGCAAACUCGGUCAGACCGAUCCAGGUAAAAAUAUGAACGUUAGAGUUUUCGGUGGGACGGAUAUAGUCAUCCCGAUGAGACCGACAUGCUAGGGUUUGGGCAUAACGUAAUAUCGGUGUGACCGAUCGCAUAAACUCGGUGGGACUAAUUUCAACAGUAGGUACACAGAGGGUUGGUCAGGCAAACUUGGUGGGACUAAUUCGCUCACUUCGGUGGGAUCGAAGUGUUAAAAAAGGAAACAUGGAGUUUGCAAUGCAGACACGGUGGGACCGAUUUGCUCAUUCCGGUGAGACCGAAAUGUUACAAAAAGCAAAUAGAGAGUUUGCAAUCCCAUCUCGGUGAGACCGAGAUCCCUAUCGGUGAGACCGAAGUAACUAGGGUUUGUGGCAAUGGCUAUGUCAAAUGAAACUCGGUGGCGCCAAAUAGAUCAAAUCGGUGGGGCCAAAUUUGACUUUUAGGUUUAGGACAUAUGUGGAAAUGAGAAAGUGGUUGAGUGUUUUGGAGCAUAUCACUAAGAAUUUUGAGCAAGUAAGCCAUUAAGAAACACCUCACCUCCUUUUAAUAGUAUUGGCUUUCCUAUGGACUCAAUGUUAUCUUGGAUCACUAAAAUGAAAAUGUAGAUUCUUGAGCUUGUUGCCAAUGUAUGUCCUUUGCAUUUUGAGGGGUCCACAUCUCUAGUCCAUGCCAUGCCAAUCAUUGAACUUUCUGAAAUGAUCAUCUUGAAAGAGCAUUAGUUCAAUGAACUAUAUGUCGUUAAGAAUUACCCAAACCACCCAGGGAUUAGUUGCACUUUCAAUCUCCCCCUUUUUGGUAAUUGAUGACAACAUAUAGAUCAAAGCUUUGACAAAUGAUAAUAAGAAUGAAGUACAUUGUCGCUUUAAGAAGUAUGUGAUAAGGAAGAGCUCCCCCUAAAUUUGUGCAUUAUUUAGAAUUUGCUUUGGACUGCAAAUGCAUAAUCUGUUAGGAUCAUGGGUUACUCUUCCAUGUCACAUACAUCUUGAUGGAGCGCUCAAAAUGACAAUAAAUAAGAACAAGCACUCAUCACCAAGGCAAAGUGAAUGAUCAUACAAGAGAUAGAUAAUGUCAUCAUUCAAGCAUAAGUAUAAAGUAUGAUAUGAUCAAGCACAUGAUCAUACAACACACAUGCAUAAGGUAUCUCAAACAAGCAAAUAAAACAAAUGAGUAGCAAAAAGAAUCAAAGCUCUCUCUCCCUCGAAGCCUAUGAUCUAUACACUUUCUCCCCCUUUGGCAACAAGUUACCAAAAAUCUUGAAAAUGCAUAGUCCUAUGCGACUCUGUAGGCUUGAUCUUUGGAAGGAGGUGUUGAGAUGACUCCAAGGACGAAUGCAUCUGUAGAUGAUGUUGGAGCUGGAGGGGUUGCCACUCGAGGGCUAACUGGAGCUAUAGGAGCUGUGGCUGCAGGUGCUGAAGAUGUUGCUCUUGUGUCUGGUGAUACGUCCAUUUUGCAUCAUGCUUUUAUAUCAAUAUUUAUUGCAUUAUGGGCUGUUAUUACACGUUAUGUCACAAUACUUAUGGUAUUCUCUCUUAUUUUACAAGGUUUGUCAUGAAGAGGGAGAAUGCCGGCAGUUGGGAUUUUGGCUGGAAAAGGAGCAAAUAUUGGAAACCUAUUCUGCACAACUCCAAAAGUCCUGAAACUCCAUGAAAGUCAUUUUUGGAAUUAAUAAGAAUUAUUGAGCGAAGAAAGUACCAGAGGGGGCCCACACCCUGGCCAGGAGGGUGGGGGUGUGCCCCCCUACUAGGCGUGCCCCCUGUCUCCUGGGCCCCCUGGUGGCCCUCCGGUGCCCAUCUUCUGCUAUAUGAAGGCUUUUACCCUGAAAAAAAAAUCAUAAGCAAGCUUACGGGACGAAACUCCACCGCCACGAGGCGGAACCUUGGCGGAACCAAUCUAGGGCUCCAGCAGAGCUGUUCUGCCGGGGAAACUUCCCUCCGGGAGGGGGAAAUCAUCACCAUCGUCAUCACCAACGAUCCUCUCAUCGGGAAGGGGUCAAUCUCCAUCAACAUCUUCACCGGCACCAUCUCCUCUCAAAACCCUAGUUCAUCUCUUGUAUCCAAUCUUGUAUCAAAACCACAAAUUGGUACCUGUGGGUUGCUAGUAGUGUUGAUUACUCCUUAUAGUUGAUGCUAAUUGGUUUACUUGGUGGAAGAUCAUAUGUUCAGAUCCUUAAUGCAUAUUAAUACUCCUCUGAUCAUGAAGAUGAAUAUGCUUUAUGAGUAUUUACGUUUGUUCCUGAGGACAUGGGUGAAGUCUUGCUAUUAGUAGUCAUGUGAAUUUGGUAUUCGUUCGAUAUUUUGAUGAGAUGUAUGUUGUCUCUCCUCUGGUGGUGUUAUGUGAAUGUCUACUACAUGAGACUUCACCAUUAUUUGGGCCUAGAGGAAGGCAUUGGGAAGUAAUAAGUAGAUGAUGGGUUGCUAGAGUGACAGAAGCUUAAGCCCUAGUUUAUGCGUUGCUUCGUAAGGGGCUGAUUUGGAUCCACUAGUUUCAUGCUAUGGUUAGGUUUACCUUAAUACUUCUUUUGUAGUUGCGGAUGCUUGCAAUAGGGGUUAAUCAUAAGUGGGAUGCUUGUCCAAGAAAGGGCAGUACCCAAGCACCGUUCCACCCACAUAUCAAAUUAUCAAAGUACCGAACGCGAAUCAUAUUAGCGUGAUGAAAACUAGCUUGACGAUAAUUCCCAUGUGUCGUCGGGAGCGCUUUUCUCAUUAUAAGAAAUUGUCAAGGCUUGUCUUUUGCUACAAAAAGGAUUGGGCCACCUUUCUGCACCUUAUUUACUUUCAUUGCUUGUUACCCGUUACAAACUAUCUUAUCACAAAACUAUCUAUUACCUACAAUUCCAGUGCUUGCAGAGAAUACCUUACUGAAAACCGCUUGUCAUUUCCUUCUGCUCCUCGUUGGGUUCGGCGCUCUUACUUAUCGAAAGGACUAUGAUAGAUCCCCUAUACUUGUGGGUCAUCAAGACUCUUUUCUGGCGCCGUUGCCAGGGAGUGAAGCGCCUUUGGUGAGUGGAACUUGGUAAGGAAACAUUUAUAUAGUGUGCUGAAAUUUUCUGUCACUUGUUACUAUGGAAACUAAUCCUUUGAGGGGCUUGUUCGGGGUAUCUUCGCCCCGACCAGUAGAGCAAAGAGUUGCUCCUCAACCCUGAAAAUGUUUACUUUGAUAUUCCUUCGGUUAUGAUAGAGAAACUGCUAGCUAAUCCCUUUGCAGGAGAUGGAACAUUGCAUCCCGAUUUACACCUUAUCUUUGUGGAUGAAGUUUGUGGAUUAUUUAAGCUUGCAAGUAUUCCCGAUGAUGUUGUUAAGAGGAAGGUCUUUCCUUUAUCUUUGAAGGGAUACGCAUUGACAUGGUAUAGGCUAUGUGAUGAUACGGGAUCUUGGAACUAUAAACAAUUGAAGUUGGAAUUUCACCAGAAGUUCUAUCCUAUGCAUCUUGUUCAUCGUGAUCGUAAUUACAUAUACAAUUUCUGGCCUCGCGAAGGAGAAAGCAUCGCUCAAGCUUGGGGGAGGCUUAAGUCAAUGUUAUAUUCAUGCCCCAAUCAUGAGCUCUCAAGAGAAAUGAUUAUUCAAAAAAUUUAUGCUCGACUUUCUCUCAAUGAUCGCACGAUGCUUGAUACUUCAUAUGCUGGUUCGUCUAUGCUGAAGACUACUGAAUUCAAGUGGGAUUUAUUGGAAAGAAUUAAACAACUCUGAAGAUUGGGGUUCCGACGAUGGUAAGGAGUCAGGUAUGAUACCUAAGUUUGAUUGUGUUAAAUCUUUUAUGGAUACAGAUGCUUUUCGUGGAUUUAGCGCUAAAUAUGGACUUGACUCUGAGAUAGUAGCUUCUUUUUGUGAAUCUUUUGCUACUCACGUUGAUCUACCUAAGGAGAAGUGGUUUAAAUAUAAUCCUCCCACUGAAGUAAAAGUAGUUGCACCUAUUAUAGUUGAAGAAAAGACUAUCACUUAUAAUGAUCCUAUUGUUCCUACUACUUAUGUUGAGAAACCACCUUUGCCUGUUAGAAUAAAGGAUCAUGCUAAAGCUUCAAUUGUGGUUCGUAAGAGUAAUACUAGAACAUUUACACCUCCUGAGCAAAUUAAAGUUGAACCUAGUAUUGCUAUGGUUAAAGAUCUCUUGGAUGAUAAUAUAGAUGGGCAUGUUAUUUACUUCUGUGGUGAAACUGCUAAUAUUGCUAGACCAGAUGCUAAGAUACAUAGACCUGUUGUAGGCAUGCCUGUUAUUUCUGUUAAAAUAGGAGAUCAUUGUUAUCAUGGCUUAUGUGAUAUUGGUGCUAGUGCUAGUGCAAUACCUUUUUCCUUAUAUGAAGAAACUAUGCAUGAUAUUGCAGCCGCUGAAAUAGAAGGUAUUGAUGUUACAAUUAAGCUUGCCAAUAGAGAUACUAUUACACCAGUUGGGAUUGUUAGAGAUGUUGAAGUCUUGUGUGGGAAAGUUAAAUACCCUGCUGAUUUUCUUGUUCUUGGUUCCCCACAAGAUAGCUUAUGUCCCAUUAUUUUUGAUAGAACCUUCUUGAAUACUAUCAAUGCUAAGAUUGAUUGUGAAAAGGACGUUGUUACAAUUGGCUUGGGGGAUAUGAAACAUGAGUUUAAUUUCGCUAAGUUUCGUAGACAACCCCAUGAUAAAGAAUUGCCUAGUAAGGAUGAAAUUAUUGGUCUUGCUUCUAUUGCCGUGCCUCCUACUGAUCCGUUAGAACAAUAUUUGCUAGACCAUGAAAAUGCUAUGUUUAUGAAUGAAAGAAGGGAAAUAGAUGAAGUAUUACUUCAACAGGGUCCUAUUCCGAAACACAACUUACCUGUUGAAAUCCUAGGGGAUCCCCCUCCACCCAAGGGUGAUCCCGUGUUUGAGCUUAAACCUUUACCUGGUAAUCUUAAGUAUGCUUAUCUUGAUGAAAAGAAGAUUAUCCUGUUAUUAUUAGUGCUAACCUUUCAGAGCAAGAAGAGGAGAGAUUAUUGAAAACUUUGAAGUAGAACCGUGCCACUAUUGGAUAUACUCCGGAUGAUCUUAAGGGCAUUAGUCCCACUUUAUGCCAACACAAAAUAAAAUUGGAAAAAGAUGCCAAACCAGUUAGAGACCCUCAACGGAGGUUAAAUCCUAAGAUGAAAGAAGUGGUAAGAAAGGAGAUACUAAAGCUCCUUGAGGUAGGUAUAAUUUAUCACGUUACUGAUAAUGAUUGGGUAAGUCCUGUCCAUUGCGUUCCUAAGAAGGGAGGUAUUACUGUCGUUCCUAAUGAUAAAGAUGAAUUGAUCCCGCAAAGAAUUAUGACAUGUUAUAGGAUGGUAAUUGAUUUCCGUAAAUUAAAUAAAGCUACUUGCUACAUCUUGAACUUGUGAUGGUUUUCCUCGAAGAGGAGAGGGUGAUGCAGCAAAGUGUAGCCUAAGUAUUUCCUUCAGUUGUGAGAACCAAGGUAUCAAUCCAGUAGAAGGCUCCUCAAAAGUCCCACGCACCUACACAAACAAACUGAGAACUCGCAACCAACGCAAUAAAGGGGUUGUCAAUCCCUUCACUACAACUUGGGAGAGUGAGAUCUAAUAAAGAUAGUAUGAUAAGAUAAAUAUAUUUUUGGUAUUUUAUAAUAUAGAUGCAAAAAGUAAAGAUGCAAAUAAAGAUAGAUUGAAAGCAAAUAUUGAUAAGAGAUAGACCUGGGGCCAUGGGUUUCACUAGAGGCUUCUCUCAAGAUAGCAUAAGUAUUACGGUAGGUGAACAAAUUACUGUCGAUCAAUUGAUAGAAAAGCACAUAGUUAUGAGAUUAUCUAGGCAUGAUCAUGUAUAUAGGCAUCACGUCCAUAACAACUAGACCGACUCCUGCCUGCAUCUACUACUAUUACUCCACACAUCGACCGACUCCUGCCUGCAUCUAGAGUAUUAAGUUCAUAAGAACAGAGUAACACAUUAAGCAAGAUGAGAUGAUGUAGAGGGAUAAACACAUGCAAUAUGAUAUAAACCCCAUGUUGUUGUCCUCGAUGGAAACAAUACAAUACGUGUCUUGCAACCCUUUCUGUCACUGGGUAAGAACACCGCAAGAUUGAACCCAAAGCUAAGCACUUCUCCCGUGGCAAGAAAGACCAAUCUAGUAGGCCAAACCAAACUGAUAAUUUGAAGAGACUUGCAAAGAUAACUCAAUCAUACAUAAAAGAAUUUAGAGAAGAUUCAAAUAUUAUUCAUAGAUAAACUUGAUCAUAAACCCACAAUUCAUCGGAUCUCGACAAACACACCGAAAAAGAGUUUACAUCGAAUAGAUCUCCACAAGAGAGGGGGAGAACAUUGUAUUGAGAUCCAAAAAGAGAGAAGAAGCCAUCUAGCUAAUAACUAUGGACCCGUAGGUCUGUGGUAAACUACUCACAACUCAUCGGAGGGGCAAGGAUGUUGAUGUAGAAGCCCUCCAUGGUUGAUUCCCCCUCUGACAGAGUGCUGGCGAAGGCUCCAAGAUGAGAUCUCGCGGAUACAGAAGGUUACGGCGGUGGAAAUUGUGUUUUGUGGUGCUCCUGGAUGUUUUCGGGGUACGUAGGUAUAUAUAGGAGGAAGAAAUAUGUCAGUGGCCGCCCGAGGGUCCCACGAGAUAGGGGGCGUGCCCUACAAAGGGGGGGGGGGGCUAUCUCGUGGGGCCCUUGGAAGCUUCUUGACUUGCACUCCAAGCUCUCCGGAUCAGAUUUGUUCCAAAAAUCACGCUCCCGAAGGUUUCAUUCCGUUUGGACUCCGUUUGAUAUUCCUUUUCUUCACAAUACUGAAAUAGGCAAAAAAACAGCAAUAUGGGCUGGGCCUCCGGUUAGUAGGUUAGUCCCAAAAAUGAUAUAAAUGUGUAAAAUAAAGCCCAUAAACAUCUAAAAGGGGUAAUAUAAUAGCAUGGAACAAUCAAAAAUUAUAGAUAUGUUGGAGACGUAUCAAGCAUCCCCAAGCUUAAUUCCUGCUCUUCCUCGAGUAGGUAGAUGAUAAACGGAGAAUUUUUGAUGUGGAAUGGUACCUAGCAUAAUUCAUAAUGUAAUUUUCUUUAUUGUGGAAUGAAUGUUCAGAUCCAAAUGAAUACAAAAUAAAAGUUCAUAUUGACAUAAGAAAUAGUAACACUUCAAGCAUACUAAUCAAAGUAAUCAUGUCUUCUCAAAAUAACAUGGCAAAAGAAAGUUCAUCCCUACAAAAUCAUAUAGUUAGGCUAUGCUUCAUUUUCGUCACACAAAGAUGUUCCCAACUUCUAUACCCCCGAUGACAAGCCAAUCAAUUUUUUCAUACUUAAAUAAUCUCAAACUUUUUCAACCUUCACGCAAUAUAUGAGCGUGAGCCAUGGAUAUAGCACUAUGGGUGGAAUAGAAUAUGAUGAUGGGGAUUGUGUGGAGAAGACAAAAAAAAGAGAAAGUCUCACAUGGACGAGGAUAAUCAAUGGGCUAUGGAGAUGCCCAUCAAUUGAUGUCAACAUGAGGAGUAGGGAUUGCCAUGCAAUGGAUGCACUAGAGCUAUAAAUGCUUAACAAAAUAAAACUAGUGGGUGUGCAUCCAACUUGCUUGCUCACGAAGACCUAGGGCAUUUGAGGAAGCCCAUCGUAGGAAUAUACAAGCCAAGUUCUAUAAUGAAAAAUUCCCACUAGUAUGAAAAAGACAACUUAUGAGACUCACUAUAUGAAGAACAAGGUGCUACUUUGAAGACAAAAUAUGAGACUCACUACAUGAAGAACAAGGUGCUACUUUGAAGCACAAGUGUGGAAAAAGAGAUAGUAACAUUGCCCUUUUUAUUUGUUUUCUUUUUUUCUCUCUUUUUUUCUUUUUUUGGGCCUUUCCUUUUUACUUUUUUGUGCCUUUCUUUUUUUUCUUUUUUUCUUUGGGCAAUGCUCUAAUAAUGAUGAUCAUCACACUUCUAUUGAUUACAACAUAAGAAUUACAACUCGAAAGUAGAACAAGAUAUGACUAUAUGAAUGCCUCCAGUGGUGUACCGGGAUGGUGCAAUGAAUCAAGAGUGACAUGUAUGAAAAAUAAUGCUUGGUGGCUUUGCCACAAAUAAAGAUGUCAACUACAUGAUCAUGCAAUGGCAAUAUGACAAAAGUAAAGUAUGUCAUGAAAAUGAUGAACGGAAUGGUGGAAAGUUGCAUGGCAAUAUAUCUCGGAAUGGCUAUGGAAAUGCCAUAAUGGGUAGGUAUGGUGGCUGUUUUGAGGAAGAUAUAAUGAGGUUUAUGUGUGAUAGAGCGUAUCGUAUCACGGGGUUUGGAUGCACCGGCGAAGUUUGCACCAACUCUCAAGGUGAGAAAGGGCAAUGCACGGUACCGAAGAGGCUAGCAAAGGUGGGAAGGUAGAAGUGCUUAAUCCAUGGACUCAACAUUAGUCAAAAGAACUCAUAUACUUAUUGCAAAAAUUUAGAAGUCAUCAAAAACUCAAGUACUACGCGCAUGCUCCUAGGGGGGUGGAUUGGUAGGAAAAGACCAUCGCUCGUCCCCGACCGCCACUCAUAAGGAUGCACAAGCCAAGUACACUUCAUGUUUCAAAUUUGCUACACAACUUUAACCAUACGUGCAUGCUACGGGACUUGCUAACUUCAACACAAUCAUUCUUUGAAUUCAUAAUCACCCAAAUAGCAUGACUUUAAUAUCACUACCUCCAUAUCUCAAAACAAUUAUCAAGUAUCAAGUUGAUCAUAGAAUCCAAUUCACUUCCUAUGAUAGUUUUUAUUAUACCCAACUUGGAUGCUCAUCAUUCUAGGACCAACUUUAUGAUAAUAGCAAAUACCAUGCUGUUCUAAAAGACUCUCAAAAUAAUAUAAGUGAAUCAUGAGAGACUAGUAAUUUUCUUCAAAAUUAAGACACCACCGUGCUCUAAAAGAUAUACGUGAAGCACUAGAGCAAAAACUAUCAAGCUCAAAAGAUAUAAGUGAAGCACAUAGAGUAUUCUAGAAAAUUCUAAUCAAAUAGGCUUCUCCAAAAAGGUGUGUACAGCAAUGAUGAUUGUGGUAAACUAAAAAGCAAAGACUAAUAUAAUACACGACGCUCCAAGCAAAACACAUAUCAUGUGGCGAAUAAAAAUAUAGCUCCAAGUAAAGUUACCAAUGAACGAAGAUGAAAGAGGGGAUGCCUUCCCGGGGCAUCCCCAAGCUUAGGCUUUUGGCUAUCCUUGAAUAUCUUGGGGUUCCAUGGGCAUCCCCAAGCUUAGGAUCUUGCCACCCUUUAUUCCAUAGUCCAUAAAAGCUUUACCCAAAACUUGAAAACUUCACAACACAAAACUCAACAGGAAAUCUUAUAAGCUCCAUUAGUGAAAGAAAACAAAACCACCACAUAAGGUACUGCAAUGAACUCAUUCUUUAUUUAAUUUGGUGUUAAACCUACUGUAUUCCAACUUCUUUAUGGUUCAUAGACUGAAUUACUAGCCAUAGAUGCAUUGAAAUAAGCAAACAACACACGAAAAACAGAAUCUGUCAAAAACAUAACAGUCUGUAGCAAUCUGUAACUAACGCAAACUUCUGGAACUCGAAAAAUCCUGCCAAAAUAGGAGGUCCUGGAAAAUUUGUCUAUUGAACAGCAUCAAAAAGAAUCAACGCAAAAGAAAGUUCCUGUGAUUUAAUAAAAUUAUAUUUGUGCGCGCAAAGUUUCUGUUUUUCAGCAGAAUCAAAUCAACUAUCAUCGUAGGUUAUCCUAUAGGUUCUACUUGGCACAAACACUAAUUAAAAGAUAAAAACACAUCUAAACAGAAGGUAGAUUCAAGAUUUAUUACUAAACAGGAGCAAAAACAAAAAACAUAAAGAAAAUUGGGUUGCCUCCCAACUAGCGCUAUCGUUUAACGCCCCUAGCUAGGCAUAAAAGCAAAGAUAGAUCUAACGAGUGCCAUCUUUGGCACUAAAUUCAUAAGUAGCACGCAUGAUAGAUUCAUAAGGUAAUUUGACUUUCUUUCUUGGAAAGUGCUCCAUGCCGUUCUUUAAAGGAAAUUGGAAUCUAAUGUUCCCUUCCUUCAUAUCAAUAAUCGCACCAAUCGUUCUAAGGAAAGGUCUACCAAGAAUAAUAGGGUAAGAAAGAUUGCAAUCUAUAUCAAGAACGAUAAAAUCUACGGGCACCAAAUUUCUAUUUGCAACAAUAAGAACAUCAUUGAUCCUUCCCAUAGGAUUUUUAAUGGUGGAAUCCGCAAGGUGCAAAUUUAAAGAGCAAUCAUCAAGAUAAUGGAAACCUAGAAUAUCACAUAAAGUUUUCGGAAUCGUGGAAACACUAGCACCCAAAUCACACAAAGCAAAACACUCAUAAUCUUUAAUCCUAAUCUUUAUAGUAGGUUCCCACUCAUCAUUAAGUUUUCUAGGUAUAAAAACUUGCAAAUUAAGUUUUUCAUCAUAAGAUUGCAUCAAGGCAUCAACAAUAUGUUCGGUAAAAGCUUUAUUUUGACUAUAAGCAUGAUGAGAAUUAACAACGGAUUGCAACAAGGAAAUACAACCUUUUAAAGAGCAAUUAUCAUAAUCAAAUUCCUUGCAAUCCGAGAUAGUAGGUUCAAUAUUAUUAUAAGUUGAGGAUUCCCCAAUCUCACUUUUACCAAAUUUAGCAUCAAGAUCUAAAGACUCCGAAUUUUUGGGACGCCUUCUAGGCAAAGUUGAUUCAUCAUCACUCCCAUAAUCAUCAAAAUUCAUAUUGCAAAACAUAGAUCUAAUCAGAGACACAUCAAUAACUUUAAGAUUCUCAUCAUUAUUUUCACGAAGACUAGAAGAACACGCUUUUAUAAAGCUUUCUUUUUUAGCAUGCAAUCUAGUAGUUCUUUCCUUGCACUCGUCAAUGGAAAUUCUCAUUACUUUGAGAGACUCAUUGAUAUCAUGCUUAGGAGAAGAAGAUCCAAGUUUAAGAAAAUUAACAUCAAGCGAAAGUCUAUCAACGUUCCUAGCCAAAUCAUCAACUUUGAGCAUUUUUUCUUCAAGCAAAGCAUUAAAAUUCUUUUGAGAAAUCAUAAAUUCUUUCACACUAUUCUCAAAAUCAGAGGGCAUCUUAUUAAAAUUACCAUAAGAAUUAUUGUAGGAAUUUCCAUAAUUAUUAGAGGGAUUACUAGGGAACGGUCUAGCAUUAAAAUUUCCUCUAUAAGCAUUGUUUCCAAAACUAUUCCUACCAACAAAAUUCACAUCCAUAGAUUCAUUAUUAUUCUCAAUCAAGGAAGACAAAGGCAUAUAAUUUGGAUCAAGAGGAGUAUUUUUAGUAGCAAACAUCUUCAUAAGUUCAUCCAUCUUUCCACUCAAAACAUUGAUUUCUUCUAUAGCAUGUACUUUUUUACUAGAAGAUCUUUCGGUGUGCCAUUGAGAAUAAUUAGCCAUAAUAUUAUCAAGAAAUUUUGUAGCAUCUCCUAACGUAAUUUCCAUAAACGUGCCUCCCGCGGCCGAAUAUAAGAGAUUUCUAGAAGCAAAGUUCAAACCGGCAUAAAAUUUUUGUAUGAUCAUCCAUAAAUUCAAACCAUGAGUAGGGCAAUUGCGAAGCAUCAAUUUCAUCCUUUCCCAAGAUUGGGCAACAUGCUCAUGAUCAAGUUGUUUAAAAUUCAUAAUAUCGUUCCUAAGAGUGAUGAUCUUAGUGGGAGGAAAAUACUUAGAGAUAAAAGCAUCUUUGCACUUGUUCCAGGAAUCAAUAAUAUUUUUAGGCAAAGACGAAAACCAAACUUUAGCAUGUUCUCUAAGUGAAAACGGAAAUAACUUCAAUUUGACAAUAUUGUUAUCCGUAUCUUUCUUCUUUUGCAUAUCAGACAAAUCAACAAAAUUGUUUAGAUGAGUAGCGGCAUCUUCACUAGGAAGGCCGGCGAAUUGAUCUUUCAUAACAAGAUUCAGCAAAGCGGUAUUGAUUUCACAAGACUCAACAUCAUUAAGAGGAGCAAUCGGAGUACUAAGGAAAUCAUUAUUAUUGGUGUUCGAGAAGUCACACAAUUUGGUAUUAUCUUGCGCCAUGGCAACAAGUAAUCCAACACACAAGCAAACAGAAAAGCGGCAAGCGAAAAAGAGAGGAGGAGAUUGGGAAAGAUAGGGCGAAUAAAACGGCAACGGUGAAGUGGGGGAGAGGAAAACGAGAGGAAACUGGAAAUUAAUGUAAAUGCGAGGGAGAUGGGUUUGUGAUGGGUACUUGGUAUGUCUUGACUUGAGCGAAGACCUCCCCGGCAACGGCGCCAGAAAUCCUUCUUGCUACGUCUUGAGCUUGCUUUGGUUUUCCUCGAAGAGGAGAGGGUGAUGCAGCAAAGUGUAGCGUAAGUAUUUCCAUCAGUUUUGCGAACCAAGGUAUCAAUCCAGUAGGAGGCUCCUCAAAAGUCCCACGCACCUACACAAACAACUAAGAACUCGCAACCAACACAAUAAAGGGGUUGUCAAUCCCUUCACGGCCACUUGCGAAAGUGCGAUCUAAUAAAGAUAGUAUGAUAAGAUAAAUAUAUUUUUGGUAUUUUAUAAUAUAGAUGCAAAAAGUAAAGAUGCAAAUAAAGAUAUAUUGAAAGAAAAUAUGAUAAGAGAUAGACCCGGGGGCCAUAGGUUUCACUAGAGGCUUCUCUCAAGAUAGCAUAAGUAUUACGGUGGGUGAACAAAUUAUUGUCGAACAAUUGACAGAAAAGCGCAUAGUUAUGAGAUUAUCUAGGCAUGAUCAUGUAUAUAGGCAUCACGUCCAUAACAACUAGACCGACUCCUGCCUGCAUCUACUACUAUUACUCCACACAUCGACCGACUCCUGCCUGCAUCUAGAGUAUUAAGUUCAUAAGAACAGAGUAACGCAUUAAGCAAGAUGACAUGAUGUAGAGGGAUAAACACAUGCAAUAUGAUAUAAACCCUAUCUUGUUGUCCUCGAUGGCAACAAUACAAUAUGUGUCUUGCAACCCUUUCUGUCACUGGGUAAGAACACCGCAAGAUUGAACCCAAAGCUAAGCACUUCUCCCAUGGCAAGAAAAACCAAUCUAGUAGGCCAAACCAAACUAAUAAUUCGAAGAGACUUGCAAAGAUAACUCAAUCAUACAUAAAAUAAUUCAGAGAAGAUUCAAAUAUUAUUCAUAGAUAAAAUUGAUCAUAAACCCACAAUUCAUCGGAUCUCGACAAACACACUGCAAAAAGAGUUUACAUCGAAUAGAUCUCCAAAAGAGAGGGGGAUAACAUUGUAUUGAGAUCCAAAAAGAGAGAAGAAGCCAUCUAGGUAAUAACUAUGGACCCGUAGGUCUGUGGUAAACUACUCACAACUCAUCGGAGGGGCAAGGAUGUUGAUGUAGAAGCCCUCCGUGGUUGAUUCCCCCUCCGGGAGAGUGCCGGCGAAGGCUCCAAGAUGAGAUCUCGCGGAUAUAGAAGGUUACGGCGGUGGAAAUUGUGUUUCGUGGUGCUCCUGGAUGUUUUCGGGGUACGUAGGUAUAUAUAGGAGGAAGAAAUAUGUCGGUGGCCGCCCGAGGGGCCCACGAGACAGGGGGGCGGCCCGCUAUCUCGUGGGGCCCUCGAGAGCCUCUUGGCUUGCACUCCAAGCUCUCCGGAUCAGAUUUGUUCCAAAAAUCACGCUCCCGAAGGUUUCAUUCCGUUUGGACUCCGUUUGAUAUUCCUUUUCUUCGAAAUACUGAAAUAGGCAAAAAAACAGCAAUAUGGGCUGGGCCUCCGGUUAGUAGGUUAGCCCCAAAAAUGAUAUAAAUGUGUAAAAUAAAGCCCAUAAACAUCUAAAAGGGGUAAUAUAAUAGCAUGGAACAAUCAAAAAUUAUAGAUACAUUGGAGACAUAUCACUACUAAGAAAGUCAUUACCCUUUACCGUUUAUUGAUCAAAUGCUAGAAAGACUAUCCAAACAUACACAUUUCUGAUUUCUAGAUGGUUAUUCUGGCUUCUCUCAAAUACCUAUGUCAGCGGAGGAUCAAUCAAAAACUACUUUUACUUGCCCUUUCGGCACUUUUGCUUAUAGACGUAUGCCUUUUGGUUUAUGUAAUGCACCUGCUACCUUUCAAAGAUGCAUGAUGGCUAUAUUCUCUGACUUUUGUGAAAAGAUUUGUGAGGUAUUCAUGGAUGACUUCUCCAUUUAUGGAUGCUCUUUUGAUGAUUGCUUGAGCAACCUUGAUCAAGUUUUGCAGAGAUGUGAAGACACUAGUCUCGUCUUGAAUUGGGAAAAGUGCCACUUUACGGUUAAUGAAGGCAUUGUCUUGGGGCAUAAAAUUUCUGAAAGAGGUAUUGAAGUUGAUAAAGCUAAAGUUGAUGCUAUUGAAAAGAUGCCAUGUCCCAAGGACAUUAAAGGUAUAAGAAGUUUCCUUGGUCAUGCCGGUUUUUAUAGGAGGUUCAUUAAGGACUUUUCUAAAAUAUCUAGGACUUUGACCAAUUUAUUGCAAAAAGACAUUCCUUUUGUCUUUGAUGAUGAUUGUGUAGAAGCAUUUAAAAUACUUAAGAAAGCUUUGAUCACUGCACCUAUUGUUCAGCCACCUGAUUGGAAUUUACCCUUUGAAAUUAUGUGUGAUAAUAGUGAUUAUGCUUGUUGGGGAACAUAGUAAUUUCAAAAACAUUCCGACACACACGAAAGAUCAUGGUGAUGCAUAGCAACGAGAGGGGAGAGUGUGUCCACGUACCCUCAUAGACCGAAAGCGGAAGCAUUAGCACAACGCGGUUGAUGUAGUCAAACGUCUUCACGAUCCGACCGAUCAAGUACCGAACGCACGGCACCUCCGAGUUCUUGCAAACGUUCAGCUUGAUGGCGUCCCUCGAACUCCGAUCCAGCCGAGCUUUGAGGGAGAGUUCUGUCAGCUCGACGGUGUGGUGACGAUGAUGAUGUUCUACCGACGCAGGGCUUCUUCUAAGCACCGCUACGAUAUUAUCGAGGUGAACUAUGGUGGAGGGGGCACCGCACAUGGCUAAGAGAUCUCAAGGAUCAAUUUUUGUGUCUCUAGGGGGUGCCUCCCUCCCCGUAUAUAAAGGAGUGGAGGAGGGGGAGGGGGCCGGCCACCCUUGGCGUGCCCCAUGAGGAUUCCUACUCCCACCGGGAGUAGGACCCCCCCUUCCUUGUUGGAGUAGGAGAGGAGAGGGAAGGAGAGAGAGGGGGAAAGGAAAGGGGGGGCACCGCCCCCUCCUUGUCCAAUUUGGACUUGGGGGGAGGGGCGCGCGGCUGCCCCUUGGCCGCCUCUCCUCUUCCACCACUUGGGCCCAUGAGGCCCAUUAACCUCCGGGGGGGUUCCGGUAACCCCCGUACUCCGGUAUAUAUCCGACAACCCCCGGAACCAUUCCGGUGUCUGAAUAUAGUCGUCCAAUAUAUCAAUCUUCAUGUCUCGACCAUUUUGAGACUCCUCGUCAUGUUCGUGAUCACAUCCGGGACUCCGAACUACCUUCGGUAUAUCAAAAUACAUAAACUAAUAAUAUAACCGUCAUCUAACUUUAAGCGUGCGGACCCUACAGGUUCGAGAACUAUGUAGACAUGACUGAGACACGUCUCCGGUCAAUAACCAAUAGCGGAACCUGGAUGCUCAUAUUGGCUCCUACAUAUUCUACAAAGAUCUUUAUCGGUCAAACCACAUAACAACAUACGUUGUUCCCUUUGUCAUCGGUAUGUUACUUGCCCGAGAUUCGAUCGUCGGUAUCUCAAUACCUAGUUCAAUCUCGUUACCGGCAAGUCCCUUUACUCGUUACGUAAUGCAUCAUCCCGUAACUAACUCAUUAGCUACAUUGCUUGCAAGGCUUAUAGUGAUGUGCAUUACCGAGAGGGCCCAGAGAUACCUCUCCGACAAUCGGAGUGACAAAUCCUAAUCUCGAAAUACAUCAACUUAACAAGUACCUUCGGAGACACCUGUACAACACCUUUAUAAUCACCCAGUUAUGUUGUGAUGUUUGGUAGCACACAAAGUGUUCCUCUGGUAAACGGGAGUUACAUAAUCUCAUAGUCAUAGGAACAUGUAUAAGUCAUGAAGAAAGCAAUAGCAACAUACUAAACGAUCAAGUGCUAAGCUAACGGAAUGGGUCAAGUCAAUCACAUCAUUCUCCUAAUGAUGUGAUCCCGUUAAUCAAAUGACAACUCAUGUCUAUGGUUAGGAAACUUAACCAUCUUUGAUUCACGAGCUAGUCAAGUAGAGGCAUACUAGUGACACUCUGUUUGUCUAUGUAUUCACACAUGUAUUAUGUUUCUGGUUAAUACAAUUCUAGCAUGAAUAAUAAACAUUUAUCAUGAUAUAAGGAAAUAAAUAAUAACUUUAUUAUUGCCUCUAGGGCAUAUUUCCUUCAGUCUCCCACUUGCACUAGAGUCAAUAAUCUAGAUUACACAGUAAUGAUUCUAACACCCAUGGAGCCUUGGUGAUGAUCAUGUUUUGCUUGUGGAAGAGGCUUAGUCAACGGGUCUGCAACAUUCAGAUCCGUAUGUAUCUUGCAAAUCUCUAUGUGUCCCACCUGGACUUGGUCCCGGAUGGAAUUGAAGCGUCUCUUGAUGUGCUUGGUUCUCUUGUGAAAUCUGGAUUCCUUUGCCAAGGCAAUUGCACCAGUAUUGUCACAAAAGAUUUUCAUUGGACCCGAUGCACUAGGUAUGACACCUAGAUCGUAUAUGAACUUCUUCAUCCAAACUCCUUCAUUUGCUGCUUCCGAAGCAGCUAUGUACUCCGCUUCACAUGUAGAUCCCGCCAUGAUGCUUUGUUUAGAACUGCACCAACUGACAGCUCCACCGUUCAAUAUAAAGACGUACCCGAUUUGCGAUUUAGAAUCGUUCGGAUCAGUGUCAAAGCUUGCAUCGACGUAACCAUUUACGACUAGAUCUUUGUCACCUCCAUAAACGAGAAACAUUUCCUUAGUCCUUUUCAGGUAUUUCAGGAUGUUCUUGACUGUUGUCCAGUGAUCCACUCCUGGAUUACUUUGGUACCUCCUUGCUAAACUAAUAGCAAGGCACACAUCAGGUCUAGUACACAACAUUGCAUACAUGAUAGGGCCUAUGGCUGAAGCAUAGGGAACUUCUUUCAUUUUCUCUCUAUCUUCUGCAGUGGUCGGGCAUUGAGUCUGACUCAAUUUCACACCUUGUAUUACAGGCAAGAACCCUUUCUUUGCUUGAUCCAUUUUGAACUUUUUCAAAACUUUAUCAAGGUAUGCACUUUGUGAAAGUCCAAUUAAGCGUCUUGAUCUAUCUCCAUAGAUCUUGAUGCCCAAUAUAUAAGCAGCUUCACUGAGGUCUUUCAUUGAAAAACUUUUAUUCAAGUAUCCUUUUAUGCUAUCCAGAAUUUCUAUAUCAUUUCCAAUCAAUAAUAUGUCGUCCACACAUAAUAUUAGAAAUGCUACAAAGCUCCCACUCACUUUCUUGUAAAUACAGGCUUCUCCAAAAGUCUGUAUAAAACCAUAUGCUUUGAUCACACUAUCAAAACGUUUAUUCCAACUCCGAGAGGCUUGCACCAGUCCAUAAAUGGAUCGCUGGAGCUUGCACACUUUGUUAGCAUCCUUUGGAUCGACAAAACCUUCUGGUUGCAUCAUAUACAACUCUUCUUCCAGAAAUCCAUUCAGGAAUGCAGUUUUGACAUCCAUUUGCCAAAUUUCAUAAUCAUAAAAUGCAACAAUUGCUAACAUGAUUUGGACAGACUUAAGCAUCGCUACGGGUGAGAAAGUCUCAUCGUAGUCAACCCCUUGAACUUGUCGAAAACCUUUCGCAACAAGUCAAGCUUUGUAGACAGUAACAUUACCAUCAGCGCUAGUCUUCUUUUUGAAGAUCCAUUUAUUCUCGAUGGCUUACCAAUCAUCCAGCAAGUCAACCAAAGUCCAUACUUUGUUCUCAUACAUGGAUCCCAUCUCAGAUUUCAUGGCCUCAAGCCAUUUUUUGGAAUCUGGGCUCAUCAUCGCUUCCUCAUAGUUCGUAGGUUCGUCAUGGUCAAGUAACAUGACCUCUAGAAUAGGAUUACCGUACCACUCUAGUGCGGAUCUUACUCUGGUUGACCUAUGAAGUUUGGUAGUAACUUGAUCUGAAGUUUCAUGAUCAACAUCAUUAACUUCCUCACUAAUUGGUGUAGUCGUGACAGGAAACGGUUUCUGUGAUGAACUAUUUUCCAAUAAGGGAGCAGGUACAUUUACCUCAUCAAGUUCUACUUUCCUCCCACUCACUUCUUUCGAGAGAAACUCCUUCUCUAGAAAGGAUCCAUUCUUGGAAACAAAGGUCUUGCCUUCGGAUCUGUGGUAGAAGGUGUACCCAACAGUUUCCUUUGGGUAUCCUAUGAAGACACAUUUCUCCAAUUUGGUUUCGAGCUUAUUAGGUUGAAGCUUUUUCACAUAAAUAUCGCAGCCCCAAACUUUAAGAAACGACAACUUUGGUUUCUUGCCAAACCACAGUUCAUAAGGCGUCGUCUCAACGGAUUUUGAUGGUGCCCUAUUUAACGUGAAUGUAGCCGUCUCUAAAGCAUAACCCCAAAAUGAUAGCGGUAAAUCAUUAAGAGACAUCAUAGAUCGCACCAUAUCUAGUAAAGUAUGAUUACGAUGUUCGGACACACCAUUACAUUGUGGUGUUCCGGGUGGCGUGAGUUGUGAAACUAUUCUGCAUUGUUUCAAAUGUAGACCAAACUCGUAACUCAAAUAUUCUCCUCCACAAUCAGAUCGUAGAAACUUUAUUUUCUUGUUACGAUGAUUUUCAACUUCACUCUGAAAUUCUUUGAACUUUUCAAAUGUUUCAGACUUAUGUUUCAUUAAGUAGAUAUACCCAUAUCUACUCAAAUCAUCUGUGAAGGUGAGAAAAUAACGAUAACCGCCGCGAGCCUCAAUAUUCAUUGGACCACAUACAUCAGUAUGUAUGAUCUCCAACAAAUUAGUUGCUCGCUCCAUAGUUCCAGAGAACGGUGUUUUAGUCAUCUUUCCCAUGAGGCAUGGUUCGCAAGUACCAAGUGAUUCAUAAUCAAGUGAUUCCAAAAGUCCAUCAGUAUGGAGUUUCUUCAUGUGCUUUACACCAAUAUGACCUAAACGGCAGUGCCACAAAUAAGUUGCACUAUCAUUAUCAACUUUGCAUCUUUUCGCUUCUGAAUAUGUGUAUCACAACUAUCGAGAUUCAUCAGAAAUAGUCCACUCUUUAAGGGUGCAUGACCAUAAAAGAUAUUACUCAUAUAAAUAGAACAACCAUUAUUCUCAGAUUUAAAUGAAUAACCGUCUCGCAUCAAACAAGAUCCAGAUAUAAUGUUCAUGCUCAACGCUGGCACCAAAUAACAAUUAUUUAGGUCUAAAACUAAUCCCGAAGGUAGAUGUAGAUGUAGCGUGCCGACGACGAUCACAUCGACUUUGGAACCAUUUCCCACGCGCAUCAUCACCUUGUCCUUAGCCAGUGCCCGCUUAAUCCGUAGUCCCUAUUUCGAGUUGCAAAUAUUAGCAACAGAACCAGUAUCAAAUACCCAGGUGCUACUACGAGCUCUGGUAAGGUACACAUCAAUAACAUGUAUAUCACAUAUACCUUUGUUCACCUUGCCAUCCUUCUUAUCCGCCAAAUACUUGGGGCAGUUCCGCUUCCAGUGUCUAGUCUGCUUGCAGUAGAAGCACUCAGUCUCAAGCUUAGGUCCAGACUUGGGUUUCUUCUCUUGAGCAGCAACUUGUUUGCCGUUCUUCUUGAAGUUCCUCUUCUUCUUCCCUUUGCCCUUUUUCUUUAAACUGGUGGUCUUAUUGACCAUCAACACUUGAUGCUCCGUCUUGAUUUCUACCUCUACAUCCUUUAGCAUUGCGAAGAGCUCGGGAAUUGCCUUGCUCAUCCCUUGCAUAUUAUAGUUCAUCACGAAGCUCUUGUAGCUUGGUGGCAGUGAUUGAAGAAUUCUGUUAAUGACACUAUCACCCAGAAGAUUAACUCCCAGUUGAUUCAAGUGAUUGCAAUACCCAGACAUUUUGAGUAUAUGUUCACGGACAGAACCAUUCUCCUCCAUCUUGCAGCUGUAGAACUUAUUGGAGACUUCAUAUCUCUCAAUCCGGGCAUAUUCUCGAAAUAUUAACUUCAACUCCUGGAACAUCUCAUAUGCUCCAUGACGUUCAAAACGUCGUUGAAGUCCCGGUUCUAAGUCGUAAUGCAUGGCACACUGAACUAUCGAGUAGUCAUCAGCUUUGCUCUGCCAGACGUUCUUAGUCGUCAGUUGCAUCUACAGCAGGCCUGGCACCCAGCGGAGCUUCCAGGACGUAAUUCUUCUGUGCAUCAAUGAGGAUAAUCCUCAAGUUACGGACCCAGUGCGUGUAAUUGCUACCAUCAUCUUUCAACUUUGCUUUCUCAAGGAACGUAUUAAAAUUUAACGGAACAACAACACAGGCCAUCUAUCUACAACAAACAUAGACAAGCAAAAUACUAUCAGGUACUAAGUUCAUGAUAAUUUAAGUUCAAUUAAUCAUAUUACUUAAGAACUCCCACUUAGAUAGACAUCCCUCUAAUCAUCUAAGUGAUCACGUGAUCCAAAUCAACUAAACCAUAACCGAUCAUCACGUGAAAUGGAGUAGCUUUCAAUGGUGAACAUCACUAUGUUGAUCAUAUCUACUAUAUGCUUCAUGCUCGACCUUUCGGUCUCAGUGUUCCGAGGCCAUAUCUGCAUAUGCUAGGCUCGUCAAGUUUAACCUGAGUAUUCUGCGUGUGCAAAACUGGCUUGCACCCGUUGUAGAUGGACGUAGAGCUUAUCACACCCGAUCAUCGUGUGGUGUCUGGGCACGACGAACUUUGGCAACGGUGCAUACUCAGUGAGAACACUUUUAUCUUGAAAUUUAGUGAGAGAUCAUCUUAUAAUGCUACUGUCAAUCAAAGCAAGAUAAGAUGCAUAAAAGAUAAACAUCACAUGCAAUCAAUAUAAGUGAUAUGAUAUGGCCAUCAUCAUCUUGUGCUUGUGAUCUCCAUCUCCGAAGCAUCGUCAUGAUCACCAUCGUCACCGGCGUGACUCCUUGAUCUCCAUCGUAGCAUCAUUGUCGUCUCGCCAACUAUUGCUUCUACGACUAUCGCUACCGCUUAGUCAUAAAGUAAAGAAAUUACAUGGUGAUUGCAUUGCAUACAAUAAAUCGACAACCAUAUGGCUCCUGCCAGUUGCCGAUAACUCAGUUACAAAACAUGAUCAUGUCAUACAAUAAAAUAUAGCAUCAUGUCUUGACCAUAUCACAUCACAACAUCCCCUGCAAAAACAAGUUAGAUGUCCUCUACUUUGUUGUUGCAAAUUUUACGUGGCUGCUACGGGCUUAGCAAGAACCGUUCUUACCUACGCAUCAAAACCACAACGAUAGUUCGUCAAGUUAAUGCUGUUUUAACCUUCUCAAGGACCGGGCGUAGCCACACUCGAUUCAACUAAAGUUGGAGAAACUGACACCCGCCAGCCACAUGUGUGCAAAGCACGUCGGUAGAACCAGUUUCGCGUAGGCGUACGCAUAAUGUCGGUUCGGGCCGCUUCAUCCAACAAUACCGCCGAACCAAAGUAUGACAUGCUGGUAAGUAGUAUGACUUGUAUCGCCCACAACUCACUUGUGUUCUACUCAUGCAUAUAACAUCAACGCAUAAAACCAGGCUCCGAUGCCACUGUUGGGGAACGUAGUAAUUUAAAAAAAAUUCCUACGCACAUGCAAGAUCAUGGUGAUGCAUAGCAACGAGAGGGGAGAGUAGGUCCACGUAGCCUCAUAGACCGAAAGCGGAAGCGUUAGCAAAAUGCGGUUGAUCUAGUCGUACAUCUUCAUGAUCCGACUGAUCAAGUACCGAACGCAUGGCACCUCUGAGUUCUUGCACACGUUCAGCUCGAUGACGUCCCUCGAACUCCGAUCCAGCCGAGCUUUGAGGGAGAGUUCCGUCAGCACGACGGCGUGGUGAUGAUGAUGAUGUUCUACCGAUGCAGGGCUUUGCCUAAGCACCGCUACGAUAUUAUCGAGGUGAACUAUGGUGGAGGGGGGCACCGCACACGGCUAAGAGAUCUCAAGGAUCAAUUGUUGUGUCUCUAGGGGGUGCCUCCCUCCCCGUAUAUAAAGGAGUGGAGGAGGGGGAGGGGUCCGACCACCCUUGGCGCGCCCCAUGAGGAGUCCUACUCCCACCAGGAGUAGGACUCCCCCCUUCCUUGUUGGAGUAGGAGAGGAGAGGGAAGNNNNNNNNNNNNNNNNNNNNNNNNNNNNNNNNNNNNNNNNNNNNNNNNNNNNNNNNNNNNNNNNNNNNNNNNNNNNNNNNNNNNNNNNNNNNNNNNNNNNNNNNNNNNNNNNNNNNNNNNNNNNNNNNNNNNNNNNNNNNNNNNNNNNNNNNNNNNNNNNNNNNNNNNNNNNNNNNNNNNNNNNNNNNNNNNNNNNNNNNNNNNNNNNNNUGAGGCCCAUUAACCUCCGGGGGGGUUCCGGUAACCCCCCGGUACUCCGGUAUAUAUCCGAUAACCCCCGGAACCAUUCUGGUGUCCAAAUAUAGUCGUCCAAUAUAUCAAUCUUCAUGUCUCGACCAUUUCAAGACUCCUCGUCAUGUCCGUGAUCACAUCCGGGACUCCAAACUACCUUUGGUACAUCAAAACACAUAAACUCAUAAUAUAACCGUCAUCUAACUUUAAGCAUGCGGACCCUACGGGUUCGAGAACUAUGUAGACGUGACCGAGACACGUCUUCGAUCAAUAACCAAUAGCGGAACCUGGAUGCUCAUAUUGGCUCCUACAUAUUCUACGAAGAUCUUUACCGGUCAAACCGCAUAACAACAUACGUUGUUCCCUUUGUCAUCGGUAUGUUACUUGCCCGAGAUUCGAUCAUCGGUAUCUCAAUACGUAGUUCAAUCUCGUUACCGGCAAGUCUCUUUACUCGUUACGUAAUGCAUCAUCCCGUAACUAACUCAUUAGCUACAUUGCUUGCAAGGCUUAUAAUGAUGUGCAUUACCGAGAGGGCCCAGAGAUACCUCUCCGACAAUCGGAGUGACAAAUCCUAAUCUCGAAAUACAUCAACUCAACAAGUACCUUCGGAGACACCUGUAGAGCACCUUUAUAAUCACCCAGUUACGUUGUGACGUUUGGUAGCACACAAAGUGUUCCUCCACUAAACGGGAGUUACAUAAUCUCAUAGUCAUAGGAACAUGUAUAAGUCAUGAAGAAAGCAAUAGCAACAUACUAAACGAUCAAGUGCUAAGCUAACGGAAUGGGUCAAGUCAAUCACAUCGUUCUCCUAAUGAUGUGACCCCGUUAAUCAAAUGACAACUCAUGUAUAUGGUUAGGAAACUUAACCAUCUUUGAUUCACGAGCUAGUCAAGUAGAGGCAUACUAGUGACACUCUGUUUGUCUAUGUAUUCACACAUGUAUUAUGUUUCCGGUUAAUACAAUUCUAGCAUGAAUAAUAAAGAUUUAUCAUGAAAUAAGGAAAUAAAUAAUAACUUCAUUAUUGCCCCUAGGGCAUAUCUCCUUCAAUGUUGUAGGUGCUGCUCUAGGGCAAAGAGUUGAUAAGAAAUUAAAUGUUAUCCAGUAUGCUAGUAAAACUCUUGAUACUGCCUAGAGAAAUUAUGCUACUACUGAAAAAGAAUUCUUAGUAGUUGUAUUUGCAUGUGAUAAGUUCAGACCUUAUAUUGUUGAUUCUAAAGUUACUAUUCACACUGACCAUGCUGCUAUUAAAUAUCUUAUGGAAAAGAAAGAUGCUAAGCCUAGACUUAUUAGAUGGGUUCUCUUGCUCCAAGAAUUUGAUUUGCAUAUUAUUGAUAGAAAGGGAGCUGAGAACCCCGUUGCAGACAACUUGUCUAGGUUAGAGAAUGUUCUUGAUGACCCACUACCUAUUGAUGAUAGCUUUCCUGAUGAACAAUUAGCAGUCAUUAAUGCUUCUCGUACUGCUCCAUGGUAUGCUGAUAUGCUAAUUACAUUGUUGCUAAAUUUAUACCACCAAGUUUCACAUACCAGCAAAAGAAAAAGUUCUUUUAUGAUUUAAGACAUUACUUCUGGGAUGACCCACACCUUUAUAAAGAAGGAGUAGAUGGUGUUAUUAGACGUUGUGUACCUGAGAGAGCAGUAACAGAUCCUACGCAAGGGUCACUCCGAGCCAUAUGGAGGACACCACGCUGGAGAUAGAACUGCACAUAAGGUAUUGCAAUCCGGUUUUUAUUGGCCUACUCUCUUCAAAGAUGCCCGUAAGUUUGUCUUGUCUUGUGAUGAAUGUCAAAGAAUUGGUAAUAUUAGUAGACGUCAAGAAAUGCCUAUGAAUUAUUCUCUUGUUAUUUAACCAUUUAAUGUUUGGGGCUUUGAUUAUAUGGGACCUUUUCCUACCUCUAAUGGAUAGACACAUAUUUUAGUUGUUGUUGAUUAUGUUACUAAGUGGGUAGAAGCUAUUCCAACUAGUAGUGCUGAUCAUAACACCUCUAUUAAAAUGCUUAAAGAAGUUAUUUUCCCGAGGUUUGGAGUCCCUAGAUAUCUCAUGACUGAUGGUGGUUCACAUUUUUAUUCAUGGUGCUUUUCGUAAAAUGGUUGCUAAGAAUGAUGUUAAUCAUAGAAUUGCAUCUCCUUAUCACCCACAGUCUAGUGGUCAAGUAGAAUUGAGUAAUAGAGAGCUCAAAUUAAUUUUGCGAAAGACUGUUAAUAGAUCUAGCAAGAAUUGGUCCAAGAAACUUGAUGAUGCAUUAUGGGCUUAUAGAACUGCAUAUAAAAAUCCUAUGGGUAUGUCUUUGUAUAAAAUGGUUUAUGGAAAAGCAUGUCACUUACCUCUCGAACUUGAACAUAAGGCAUAUUGGGCUAUUAAAGAGAUCAACUAUGAUUUCAAACUUGCCGGUGAGAAGAGGUUAUUUUAGAUUAGCUCACUUGAUGAAUGGAGAACCCCAAGCAUAUGAGAAUGCCAAGCUGUUCAAAGAAAAAGUUAAAAGAUGGCAUGACAAAAGAAUACAAAAGCGAGAUUUUAACGUAGGUGAUUAUGUGUUGCUAUUCAACUCUCGUUUAAGAUUUUUUGCAGGAAAACUUCUCUCUAAAUGGGAAGGUCCUUACGUUAUCGCGGAGGUCUAUCAUUCCGGUGCCAUAAAAAUCAACAACUUGGAAGGCACAAAAUCGUGGGUGGUGAACGGUGAAAGAAUCAAACAUUAUAUCUCAGGUAAUCCUAUCAAUGUUGAAACUAAUAUAUGGAGACCGUAACCCCGGAGGAAUACAUAAGGGACACCUUUCAGAACGUUUCAGACUCCGAAAAAGAAUAGGUAUGUGGUACGGUAAGUAAACCUACUACAAAACAGUUCUAAUGGCAUUUUUUUCUCCGUUUUGGAAUAUUUAAGAAUUUUGGAAAGCAAGAAGUAAUCCGGGAAUGACACAAGGCCUCCACAAGGGUGGACGGCGCCCCCCCUUACUGGAUGCGCCCCCCUGUCUUGUGGGCACCUCGUGUGCCUCCCGGACUCCAUUUUCUUGCACGUUACUUCUUUUGGUCACUAAAAAUUCAUUAUAUAAUCUCCCAAAAGUUUUGACCACCGUAUCACGCAAAAAUCCUCUGUUUUUGUUUCGAGUUGUUUCUGUUACAGAUUUAGAGCAAGAUGUGUCCUCCCAAGAGUUAGUUGGGGAGAGUCGGGUGUCUCACCCGACGCCAGGUCUAGGAGCAAACAACGAUGCUUAUCACUUUGGGCCAUCAACGGAGGAUGAGAUGGAGGCCGACUUGAAAAGGAUAGAUGCCAUGGAGGAAGAUCAAGAACUUACCUCUCGCUUCCAAGCAGGAUUCAUGAUGGGGGAACUACAAAGCUCGGCUAUUCCAAAUUCGGUCAUCCCUUCCAACGUUAAAUUUCUUUCUUAUGAAAAUAUUAAAAAGGAUCUAUGCAGCAUCCUUGGGUAAAAGGAGCUUUAGCCGUCACGGGCAAGCGCCGCAAGGAAAAUAUGGACCUCAAGCAACAAGUCAAUAAACUCGAGGAUGAGAAUCAUAUCCCGAGGGGCAUCAUCACCAACAAGAUCGCAACACCAACUCUGAAGAAGGAGACAUAAUCACAUGGGUAUGGCCACUCCCCUUGGAAACUGCCAAGAUUGGGGGAGGUGCCCCGGUAUCGUAUCACCCAUUGUUGAGGAAAUCGUUAACUAGUAGCUGCUCAGUUGGUUGGUGAGUAGGGGAUUAAUCGGCUAAUCAGCAAGUUAAUCGGCCAUUUAAUCAAUUAAUUGGAUGAUUUAUCGGUUUAUAGGCUACUCGGUGACCCUACGAGUAGGGAUUAAUCAGCAAGUUAACUGGUUAAUCGGAUGAAUUCUUGAAUAGGGGUAUCACCAUCAGACUCCUAUCUUUACCGUUUUACUUAGUUUGAUCCUUUUAGCAAUAUCUUGAUCUAGUAGAAUAGAGUUUUGGUAUGAAUUAGUUAUGAGUUUUGCUUUGUGAUCUCUUUAUGUAAUCGAGUCCGUGAGCUAUAUAAUAAAGAUUAGUGUUGAGUCAAGGGCUUCGGUAUCUUGCUAUGAUCUUGAGAAAAUAGAAAGAAUAAAAAGAAAUAAAAGAGUUCAUAUUGAUCUUAUGGAUAGUAAUGACUUCACAUAUAAAGAGUAUGAGGCUUAAAAGUUGUUGAGAAUUGACAAACAUAGUUUUGGUCAUCGUUGGAAUUAAUAGGAAGUAAUAAAGAAAGAGAGGUUUUCACAUAUAUAUACUAUCUUGGACAUCUUUUAUGAUUGUGAGCACUCAUUAAGUAUGACAUGCUAAAGAGUUGAUGUUGGACAAAGAAGACAACAUAAUGGGUUAUGUUUUCUCACAUCUCAGUUAAUGUAUAUUGUCAUGGAUCAUUCCAACAUGUUGAGCUUGCCUUUCCCCCUCAUGCUAGCCAAAUUCCUUGCACCAAGUAGAGAUACUACUUGUGCUUCCAAAUAUCCUUAAACCCAGUUUUGCCAUGAGAGUCCACCAUACCUACCUAUGGAUUGCGUAAGAUCCUUCAAGUAAGUUGUCAUGUUGCAAGCAAUAAAAAUUGCUCUCUAAAUAUGUAUGACUUAUUAGUGCAGAGAAAAUAAACUUUAUAUGAUCAUGUGAUAUGGAAGUAAUAAAAGCGACAGACUGCAUAAUAAAGGUUCAUAUCACAAGUGGCAAUAUAAAGUGACAUUCUUUUGCAUUAAAAUUUUGUGCAUCCAACCCUAAAAGCACAUGAAACCUCUGCUUCCCUCUGCGAAGGGCCUAUAUUUACUUUAUGUCUUUACUUUAUGCAAGAGUCAAGGUGAUCUUCACCUUUCCCUUUUUGAUUUUAUCCUUUGGCAAGCACCUCGUGUUGGAAAGAUCCUGAUAUAUAUAUAUAUAUAUAUCCAAUUGGAUGUAAGUUAGCAUGAACUAUUAUUGUUGACAUCACCCAAAGGUGAAUACGUUGGGAGGCAACACUAUAAGCCCCUAUCUUUCUCAGUGUCCGAUUAAAACUUCAUAACCAUAAGUAUUGCGUGAGUGUUAGCAAUUGUAGAAGAGUAUAUGAUAGUUGAGUAUGUGGACUUGCUGAAAAGCUCUAUUCUUGACUCUUUCCGAUGUUAUGAUAAAUUGCAAUUGCUCCAAUGACUGAGAUUAUAGUUUUUUAGUUCUCAAUGAAGUUUAUGAUCCAUACUUGACAUUGUGAAUAGAUUGUUACUUGAGCAUAAGAAAUCAUAUGACAAUAUCUAUAUAUAUAUUGCUAUUAUAUGAAUGAUCAUGAUGCCCUCAUGUCCGCAUUUUAUUUUUAUCGACACCUCUCUAAACAUGUGGACAUAUUUCUCGAUAUCGGCUUCCGCUUGAGGACAAGCGAGGUCUAAGCUUGGGGGAGUUGAUACGUCCAUUUUGCAUCAUGCUUUUAUAUCGAUAUUUAUUGCAUUAUGGGCUGUUAUUACACGUUAUAUCACAAUACUUAUGGCUAUUCUAUCUUAUUUUACAAGGUUUAUCAUGAAGAGGGAGAAUGCCAGCAACUGGGAUUCUGGCUGGAAAAAGGAGCAAAUAUUGGAAACCUGUUCCGCACAGCUCCAAAAGUCCUGAAACUCCACGAAAGUCAUUUUUGGAAUAAAUAAGAAUUAUUGAGCGAAGAAAGUACCAGAGGGGGCCCACACCCUGGCCAGGAGGGUGGGGGCCCCCCCUACUGGGCGCACCCCCUGUCCGCUGGGCCCCCUGGUGGCCCUCCGGUGCCCAUCUUCUGCUAUAUGAAGGCUUUUACCCUGGAAAAAAAAAUCAUAAGCAAGCUUACGGGACGAAACUCCGCCGCCAUGAGGCAGAACCUUGGCGGAACCAAUCUAGGGCUCCGACGGAGCUGUUCUGCUAGGGAAACUUCCCUCCAGGAGGGGGAAAUCAUCACCAUCGUCAUCACCAACGAUCCUCUCAUCGGGAGGGGGUCAAUAUCCAUCAACAUCUUCACAAGCACCAUCUCCUCUCAAAACCCUAGUUCAUCUCUUGUAUCCAAUCUUGUAUCAAAACCACAAAUUGGUACCUGUGGGUUGCUAGUAGUUUUGAUUACUCCUUGUAGUUGAUGCUAAUUGGUUUACUUGGUGGAAGAUCAUAUGUUCAAAUCCUUAAUGCAUAUUAGUACUCCUCUAAUCAUGAACAUGAAUAUUCUUUGUGAGUAGUUACGUUUGUUCCUAAGGACAUGGGUGAAGUCUUGCUAUUAGUAGUCAUGUGAAUUUGGUAUUCAUUCGAUAUUUUGAUGAGAUGUCUGUUGUCUCUCCUCUAGUGGUGUUAUGUGAACGUCGACUACAUGACACUUCACCAUUAUUUGGGCCUAGAGGAAGGCAUUGGGAAGUAAUAAGUAGAUGAUGGUUGCUAGAGUGACAGAUGCUUAAACCCGAGUUUAUGCGUUGCUUCGUAAGGGGCUGAUUUGGAUCCACUAGUUUCAUGCUAUGGUUAGGUUUACCUUAAUACUUCUUUUGUAGUUGCGGAUGCUUGCAAUAGGGGUUAAUCAUAAAUGGGAUGCUUGUCCAAGAAAGGGCAGUACCCAAGCACCGGUCCACCCACAUAUCAAAUUAUCAAAGUACAGAACGCGAAUCAUAUGAGCGUUAUGAAAACUAGCUUAACAAUAAUUCCCAUGUGUCCUCGGGAGUGCUUUUCUCAUUAUAAGAAAUUGUCCAGGAUUGUCCUUUGCUACAAAAAGGAUUGGGCCACCUUGCUGCACCUUAUUUACUUUCAUUGCUUGUUACCCGUUACAAAUUAUCUUAUCACAAAACUAUCUAUUACCUACAAUUUCAGAACUUGCAUAGAAUACCUUACUGAAAACCACUUGUCAUUUCCUUCUGCUCGUCGUUGGGUUCGACACUCUUAGUUAUCAAAAGGACUAGAUAGAUCCCUAUACUUGUGGGUAAUCAUCUGGCACUGGCACAGCUAUAGACCUCUGUCCUGUAGGUACUCUGGAGAACACCCGUGUAGUUUCUUUGCCCUUCCUCUCAUGUGCUUCUUCCUGGAGUUCUUCAACAACUGUCUGUAUCUCAAUCACUUUCAAGUCCAUAGCAUAGAACUUUGUCUCAAUGAUCCUCUCCAAGCUCUCCUGGUUCUGAGUCAGGGUGGCCAGUCCGUUCUCAAUCCUCAAGGUUGCUUGAAUCAGAUAUCCAAGCUAGUCUUGCUUUGACUUGAGAAGGACUUCUGAAGCUUCUGCAGCACUUGGCAUCUUUGCUGCUUUUUUUUGCUUUGGCUUUCUCCUUCUUCUCAUGAGCUGCAACUAAAGUGGGAUCUUUAGCAUCCAUGACAAUUGUGUUGUCCUCAAAGUCAGGCAACAAAGGAAGAUGUUCUUUGUCCAAUAGAUAUACUCCUUGCUUCAUCUUGGAAUUGAUUAACUCUUUGAUGCGUGGAGCAUACCCACAUGAUCUCUUUUGGUCAGCUGUUGUCCUCUUAAUUGUCUCUACAAUCAAGCUCAUAACCUUGAACUUCUAUGGCACAACAUCAAAUAACUGUAGCAAGUUGAUGGAGUGGACUCUGAUCAUCCUGUGAUCUCCAGACUUGGGAAACAAAGUGUGCCUCAAUAUGGUGUUUAUGGUGGCCAAACCAGACAACAAGUUGUAGACUGACCCAAACUUAUGUGUCUCCAAGGCCUUGUCUGGAAUUUCCUUAUACAUAUUGGUCAUGGAGUUAUGAUCUUUCAUCUUCUCAGCAUAAACAUCUAUGUCAUUCUCUUCUUCUUCAGGUGCAUUUAUGAGCUUAGCCCAUUCUUCAAUUGUAAAUUGGUGUCUUUGUCCUUCUGUCAUCCACACAAUCCUUCCAUCUGGAUAAAAGUGAGCUGUUGAGUAGAAUUGCAUAAUGAGUUCAUCUUUCCACUUGGUUAGCUUCUGACCAACAAAGUCAUCAACACCAUUUGACUUGAAGCUUUCAUGCACUCCUAGGAAAUGAUCAACAUUUGCAUCAAUGUAUUUCCAGUCCACCCAUCUCAUAUCACUAAUUAUGUGUUUCUUGUCCAGCAACACUGUCUCAUAAAAAUCUUGUUGCUCUUUGGUGUGCAAUCUGUAGUCCACUGCAGUCCUCCUCCUCACAGCAUAUGGAUCUGCUUGUCUACAUUUUUGAGACCCGCAUCCUUUCUUUCCUUCAUGUUUCCAGCAACUGGGUGACUGUCAUUAUGGUCUGGAAUCUUGGGUUUGAGGUUCCUAAGCACUGGGGCUUCAACAUCAUUUGCAGCUUCAGGCACUGGGGCCUUGUUCUUCUCUGUUGUAGGUAUGUUCCUGGUGCUUCUCUUUGGAGCUUGUGCUGGAGCUUUGGGAGUUGUCUUGGGCUUUGAAGGAGCUACCCCAGACUUGAUGGCAUCCCCCAUCAGCUUCUGUGACUUAGAAGGAGGUGCUUGAGAAGCAACCUCUUCUUCCUCUUCCUCCUUGACGGUGUCCUAGACUAGGGGGUACUCACCACGUCGUCUCCCGAUCAGUUGGAUUGGGCCGAGGACCCCCAUGGCCGUAUACUCAUGGGCCAGUUCGGACAACCCCUGCCGCAUACAAGGAAGACUCCACAAGACUUGACGCCCAAGACAAGGACUCUCCUAAACCCUAGGCCUCCGAUGUCUUAUAUAAACCGAGGCCAGGCUAGUUAAUAGACAAUCUCAUAUUCAUUACUACAAUCUCGUGGUAGACACAUGUACUCUGUACUACACCCAUACGAAUACAAUCAAAAGUAGCAUGUAGGGUAUUAUCUCAUCAAGAGAGACGAAGCUGGGUAAAACCCCGUGUCCAUGUUACCAUCGCUCCAAGACGCCUAGCUUAGGACCCCUACUACGAGAUACACUGGAUAUUGAACCGACAUUGGUGCUUUCAUUGAGAGCCUGCUGGGUGUCGCCGCAUUUUGAUGGAUCUUCAGUAGAUGCCAAAUCAGGUGUUCUAGUUUCUGUUUAUUCCGUUUUACACAGAUCAAUUCUUUUGCAAAAAUAACGUUGCCAUUCUGUGCUAUUUUUUCUGCAGAUCGAAUUUACCUCCGCAUGUACAAGCUAUCUAGGCCAAAAGCCUUCGAAGAUACACCAACGCCACAUGGCGAUGAGCGCCUAGAGCAGCGGCGGUGGGAGGUGUGGCGGCCGAACCCUGCACUAGCACGGGGAAGUUUGGGAGCACUAGGGAUGCAUCGCCCCUGGCUGCCUGAUGUCCCGAUCGGGAGCAGGCCCGCACGCUGGCUGGACAGCAAAAUAUGGGACCUCCCUAAAAAAAGCUACCCGCGCAGAGUACUACCGACCCCAUGCAGAACAGGGCGUAGAGGCCAACAAGAAUCCAGAUCGCUGGAAGUACAGGGUGAUCCGAUCCCUGUUUCUCUUUCCUUCAUUAUUUAAUCCUUAGUUAAUUACAAGGCAAUCUGUGCUUUUCACCAACGAUCUUCUUUUUAUGCACUUCCCGCGUGCAAGUACCCCUCGUAGUAUUAGGACUGUUUGUGUCCAGGUAAAAGGAGCAACGCAUGUUUUUCUUGGUAUUACCGUAGCAAUAACUUCGAGAUAAGGAUCUGAAACACACAACAGGGAGAUUCCUUUCUCUUUGCUUUAUUUAAUUAUAUGUGGAGACACAAAGUGCUACCCUAGUAGUACUAAUUAAAGCACUCUUUGACAGUUCGGCUAUUCAUCUGUAGUCAGACAAACUUUAUGUCAGCUUUUGCACUAUCUGUCUUUAGUUUGGCUAGUCUCAUAUUACUACCAUGCUACCUCUUUGCACUAUUUUUAAUACCUUUUCUUCUCUCUUGAGAAUUAUUACUUCGGCCAGUGUUAUCUUUUUUACAAAGGUAAUUUAUGGCCCCAAUGAUUACGCUUGGGGAGUUCAUGGUUCAUUGCUAUGUCGUAUUGGCAUUGUCGUUCCACACGCCCUGAGUCGAUGCUGUCGGUGUCAAAACCGGUGGAUCUCGGGUAGGGGACCCGAUCUGUGCGUCUAAGGCUGAUGGUAACAGGAGGCAAGGGACACAAUGUUUACCUAGGUUCGGGCCCUCUCGAUGGAGGUAAAACCCUACUUCCUGCUUGAUUGAUAUUGAUGAUAUGAGUAGUACAAGAGUUGAUCUACCACGAGAUCAUAGAGGCUAAACCCUAGAAGCUAGCCUAUGAUGAUUAUGAUUCUGUCUCUAAGGACUAAACUCGCCGAUUUAUAUAGACAUCGAAGAGGGCUAGGGUUUACAUGGAGUCGGUUACAAAGAAGGAAAUAUAAUAUCCAGAUCACCAAGCUUGUCUUCCACGCAAAGGAGAGUCCCAUCCAGACACGGUACGGAGGCUUGAGUCUUGUAUCUUCACGCUCCAAUAGUCCAGACAAAGUAUGUAGUCCGGCUGUCCGGAUACCCCCUAAUCCAGCACUCCCUCAGUAGCCCCUGAACCAGGAUUCAAUGACGAUGUGUCCGGUGCGCAGUUUGUUCUUCGGCAUUGCAAGGUGGGUUCCAUCUCCGAAUACUCCAAAGUAAUUAUCGAACACUUAGACCGUGUCCGGAUCUGCAAGAUGAUCUUCAUAUACCACCGUAGAGAGAUAUUUCACAAAUGUAAUCUGCUGACAACUUCAGACAACGUGACAUGACACUACGGUCGGGUCAUUAUUCGAACCGUUUUCCCACAACCAGCCAUAGCGCAUAUUGCGAGGCGGUUUCCUUGACACGUCUUGUCAAAGCAGAGAUCAUGUCCCCUUAUCACAGGAUUCCAAUCAAUACGGGUAUGGGUAAUCCAACCGCGCCAUCAAUCGUGGCGCUUGGGAAAUAAGCGUCCUUCAACGGGUAAGUGGGGAGGCGCACUGCUUUCGUCGCCUCUAUAAAGGGAUAAGUAUUCCCCAUUUUCACCCACGCCUUCUUACUCCUCUGCUUAUCCAUUCUCACACCCUCGAGCUCCAGCACCCUAGUUCACGCUUUCUCCGCACAGCCAAACAUGUCCGGAGCAGGAGGUAAAUGGGUGGCCUCCACCAUGAAGUAGGAGCAUAUUGCGAAGCUCCGGGUGGCCGGAUACUUGGCCGCAGACAUCGCACACCGGCUACCGGACGAAGGGAAGAUCAUUCCAACUCCGGAACCCCACGAGAGGGUCGUGUUUCUCGCCCACUUCAUCCGUGGACUGGGAUUUCCACUUCAUCCCUUCGUCCACAGGCUCAUGUUCUACUACGGGCUAGAUUUCCAUGAUCUAGCCCCAAAUUUCGUCCUCGACAUCUCAACGUUUAUCGUCGUGUGCGAGGCCUUCCUCCGCAUCAAGCCUCACUUUGGCUUGUGGCUACGAAUCUUCUACGUGAAGCCGAAGAUCGUGAGCGGCCAGCAAGCGGAGUGUGGAGGUGCCAUGGUGGGCAAGAUGCCCAAUGUCAUCUGGCUUGAUGGCUCCUUCGCGGAGACCGUGAAAGGGUGGCAAUCGGGGUGGUUCUACAUCACCGAGCUGCACGACACCAACUGGGCGGCGGCCCCUGAAUUUCGAUCUGGAAUCCCCAUGCGGCUCACCUCCUGGGAAAAGAAGGGCCUGGCCUGGGGCGAGCCUGUGGAGCUGAUCGGACUUCAAAACUGCAUCAAAAAUAUGAAGGACAAGAAAAUCAAGCUUGUCAACAUGGUCCAAGUCAUGCUUGUCCGCCGGGUUCUUCCGUGCCAAAGGCGGACAUUUAACCUGUGGGAGUUCGUCCUGGCCGAACACCAGACGCUUCAAAAGCUCUACGGCAUGACACACAAGGGCGCAUGGAAGGCGCUAUUCAAGGCCUCCGAAAUACCUCCUCCCACAUCCGAGGACCGUGGACUUCACGCCACGCGGCUCCCCCAUAUGGUGAGUUUUCUGACUACCACCGGAUGCAGUUUUUCCCAAUGUACUCAUGGGGGAAUCUUCAGUCAUUGUGUGUAUUUGAUCAGGAGUAUGUGGAGACGGCGGGGCGGAUUGACUGUCCGACUCCACUGCCAGAAGGUCCAGUAGAUGCUCUCCUGACGGAGAUGCUAGUCCCGGCGCCCUACAAGGCGUCGGAAAAGAACGCCGAAAAGAAGGCCCCGGGGACCAGGAAGGGUCUCCGGUGAAAGGUCGUACCGGACGCUUCGUCCGAAGACGACGAGGCACACUCCUCCCCUGAAGGAGAGGAGGAAGAGGAAAGGGCCGCCCCAUCUGGAGAGGAUGAGGGGCCUGAGAAGGCGGCCCAAGGGACCAGGAAAGGUCCCCGGCGUAAGGCCGUCAUACCCUCGUCGUCUGAAGACGACGAGGCAGAUUCCUCCCGCGGAGGCGGGGGGAAACACGAGGAACCUCUGCCUCCCUGCACUGGGGAGGAGAAGAAGAGGAAAGCUGCCCCGGAGGGGGAGGCUAGGAUGCCCAAUAAGGGAAAGGCGUCCCUUCCGGAUUAUUCCACCGCGGCCGCCUAUAGCGAGGAGGAGUGGCUGCCCAGGGGGAAGCGCAUAGUAAGAUCAUGAGUACCCGCACUCCGUUGUACUUUAGUACGAUUUUUCUUUAUAGUCUGUUAUAACGCUGAACUCAUAUGCAGUCCGGCCAGGUUCCACCCCGAGGUAUCCUCUUCGGAUGGGUCCUUGAGUGAUUCAGCGAUGAACUCGCUCCCGACGGCCACUACUCUUCGGCUUGCAGAUGACACGGAGGUGUUGUCCCAAAGGCUCCCAGAACGGGGGAGGUGACUCUGGAGACGCUCCACGGUGAGAUUCCAGACACCGGGCACACAGGGUAUAAGAUCCCCACGGAUUGUGCCGACGAGUGCCGCAGCAAGCCGGGCUCUCAGCCGGAUACCAUGCCGGAACCUCCAAUGGUUCCAGAUUCGGGCAGGCAGCCCCUCGCUAGGCAGGGCGAGCCAUCCGUGCCGAUGACUUCCGUUACGCUAGAGGCGUCGGAUAGUCUGCUGGAAGCGCUUCACGACGCUUCCAUGGAUGGAGAGCACCGUACUCUUAUGAGUGCGAUGAUUCAGAAGGUUCUGUCCGCCAAGAGCGGACUAACUGAAGCCUACACCAGCCUCCUGACAGGUUUUGAGGUAAGUAAUAAAAAUGUGUGAAAUUGUCACCCGAUAGGUAGUAGCCCCUGAUACUCUGUUUGGUGUUCGGAACGAAAAGCCAAAUAGAGGGUCAAUUAUAAUCCACAGGAAUCUAAUAGUAGGUAUGCGUGUGAAUAAGCAGGCAGUGCUGCUUGCCGCUGCUGCCCGCACGGCCGAGGUCGCCGGACUCAAACGGGACCUGGAGCAGGCGCAGGGAGAGCUCGGCCUCACGAAGAGGCAGCUCGAAGAGAACAAAGGUUUGUGAUACCUCGUUCGAAUAUCAUAAAGAAUAGUCAAAAUUGGUGAUUCUGACGACAAAGCGUCGUGACUUUGAAAUAGGGGCCACAACCGAAGUGGCAUCCUUGAAGAAAGCGUUGUUCGAGGCCGAAGACAAGGUGGCCCUAGAGUGCAUCGAGAACGAAAAGCAGAAUGCAAGGGUGGGCGAGGUACAGCAAGAGCUCCAGGAGCUCGGCAAGAAGUUCGAGUCCUUGCAGCGUGACCUCAAGCCGAAGGAGUCUGAGCUUGCGAAGGCCCUUGCGAGUGUGAAGGACGCCAAGGCCGAAGACGAAAAGGCCCAGCAGGAAAUCCAGGUGGCCAAGAAGAUAGCGGCGGGUAAGACAUUCUUUAUGCAAAGCAAGCAUGUGGAGAAGGCGUUUCUUUUACUUACCCGAAUUUGGAGCUCUCCAGGGGCAUUCACAGAUCUGCCACGCAGCAUAUUAGAUGCUGCUGAGUUCUACUGUGCCGAGGAGGGGAGCUCAACGGAGAAGCUGUUCUGGUCCCAGUUGAAGGAAAUAUGCCCUAGAGGCAAUAAUAAAGUUAUUAUUUAUCUCCUCAUAUCAUGAUAAAUGUUUAUUAUUCAUGCUAUAACUGUAUUAAUCGGAAACAUGAUACAUGUGUGAAUACAUAGACAAACUUAAUGUCACUAGUAUGCCUCUACUUGACUAGCUCAUUAAUCAAAGAUGGUUAUGUUUCCUAACCAUAGACAUGUGUUGUCAUUUGAUUAACGGGAUCACAUCAUUAGGAGAAUGAUGUGAUUGACUUGACCCAUUCCGUUAGCUUAGCACUUGAUCGUUUAGUAUGUUGCUAUUGCUUUCUAAAUGACUUAUACAAGUUCCUAUAACUAUGUGAUUAUGCAACUCCCGUUCACCAGAGGAACACUUUGUGUGCUACCAAACGUCACAACGUAACUGGGUGAUUAUAAAGGAGCUCUACAGGUGUCACCAAAGGUACAUGUUGAAUUGGCGUAUUUCAAGAUUAGGUUUUGUCACUCCAAUUGUCGGAGAGGUAUCUCUGGGCCCUCUUGGUAAUGCACAUCACUAUAAGCCUUGCAAGCAAUGUAGCUAAUGAGUUAGUUACGGAAUGAUGCAUUACGUAACGAGUAAAGAGACUUGCCGGUAACGAGAUUGAACUAGGUAUUGAGAUACCGACGAUCGAAUCUCGGGCAAGUAACAUACCGAUGACAAAGGGAACAACGUAUGUUGUUAUGGGGUUUGACCGAUAAAUAUCUUCGUAGAAUAUGUAGGAGCCAAUAUGAGCAUCCAGGUUCUGCUAUUCGUUAUUGACCGGAAACAGUUCUAGGUCAUGUCUACAUAGUUCUCGAACCCGUAGGGUCCGCACGCUUAAGGUUUCGAUGACAGUUAUAUUAUGAGUUUAUGAGUUUUGAUGUACCGAAGUUUGUUCGGAGUCCCGAAUGAGAUUACAGACAUGACGAGGAGUCACAAAAUGGCCGAGACAUGAAUAUUGAUAUAUUGCAAGCCUAUAUUUGGAUGUCGGAAGUGUUCCGGGUGAAAUCGGGAUUCUACCAGAGUACCGGGAGGUUAUCGGAACCCCCCGGGAGCUUAAUGGGCCUAUAUGGGCCUUAGUGGAAAUAGAGGGCAGAAAGGGGGUGUGGGGCGCACCCCCCAAGGCCCAAACCGAAUUGGUUUAGGGCAAGGGGGGCCGGCCCCCCUCUUUCCUUCUCCUCCUCUCCCUUUCCUUCCCCUCUCCUAGUCCAACAAGGAAGGAGGGAGUCCUACUCCCGGUGGGAGUAGGACUCCCCAUGGCGCGCCCCCUCCUAGGCCGGCCGCCCCCUCCCCCCUUGCUCCUUUAUAUACGGGGGCAGGGGGGCACCUCUAUGACACAACAAUUGAUGUCACAUCCCUAGCUGCUGGUAGUGCUCUAGGCUAGCUUCAUGUGUGCAUCAUGUCUAUAUUUUCGAAACUUGAACUGAGGAAUUUUGGAAGCCUCAAAAACUUAAAUAAAAGAGGGGCAAAAACCCUAGAAAUCUCAUUCAUUGCUCCAAAAAUGCCCCUUUUAAAUGUUUGAUAAUUUUGGUAAGGGUUCUGGUCCCAACCAAAAUAUUGAACAUUUUUAAGGAAUUAUUUUUGGGACUUUGGAUUUAAUUCAUUAGCUAUUUGAAUUUGAAUUAUAUUCAUAUAAUUAGAAUAUAAUUUCAAAUACCCCCUGAAAUAUUUUAUAAGCUUUUGGAAAAGUCCAUCUAGCAAUAUAAAAUAUUUAGAGGAGUUUUUGGCAUUGUUUGAAUUAUUUUAAAUUCAAAACAGUGGCAAAAUAAAUAAAAUAAAAUAAAACAAAACAAAACAGAAAUAAAAGACAGAGGAGAGAAACCUUACCUGGACUUACCUCUGCAGCCCACCAGGCCCACCUGGCCAGCCCAGCCCAUCUCCACACCCCCUGUCGUCUUCCUCCCUGCCAGGAGGACAGACACCGCGACGCCGCCGCGUGCGCCACCUCCUGCUUCCCUGGCCACCUCCUGCUUCCUCCCCGAGCCCUCUAGCGACGCCACGGAGUCGUCCCCGACCGCUAUCCCUCCCUCUGCUCGCUCUGGCUCUCUCCCUCUCCCGAUUUGGAGCACCACCGAGAGCCACCGGAGGGCGCCGCCGUCGCAUCCAUAGCCACCGGCCACCCCUCGCCCUUCCGAUGAGCUCAGGAGCUCCGUUCCGACCCCAUGGAGCUGCACACCGACGCACGCGACCAGAGGAGGCCCCAGUCGACCGGAGCAUCGUCGUCUUCAUCCCCGGUGCCCGGAGAUCGCCGUCGUCAAUUCGCCGUUGCAGAGGCUUCCCCGAGCCCACCGAGCUUCUCUCCCGACCCCUUGUGAGCUCCUACGCCUUUCCCCUCUCUCCCUGAAGUCUAACUCACCCUCUAGCACUAGCGCUGCCGCGCCCGAGAGCUUGCUGCCGCCGUCCAUGGCGCCGCCACGGCCACAGCUGCUGCCACUCGUGUCCGAGCAUUGCCGCGUGCUCAGCACGCUCCCAGGAGCCGGGCGCGCCCACCUGUUCGACCUACCGUUCCCCCUAGCGCCAACCCGCAUCAACCCCGAGCUCCGGCCGCCGCCGCGAGCUCGAUUCCGGCGAGCCCGUUCGACCUCAGCCCCUCCCGUUUGCCUAGAUGGAUGCGGCUGAGCGCCAGCUACGCGUAGAUGAUCGCUGCCGCUGUUUUGGUUGCCGGAGGACGUUUCCCGAGCCCCUCCGCCGCGUCUGGACUCGCCGGCGGUUAAACGCCGGCGACCGUUGACCCUUGACCGGCGUGGGUUGACCCCACUGCCCGAUUUGACCCUCCCCUCUCUCAGCCCCCCUGUUUAAUUAGUACCAGGUUAAGUUAGUGUUAACUAACUUAGUUAAGUAGAUAGGACACUGACAUGCGGGCCCAGGCUCUAAUUAAACUUAGGUUAGUUAACUGUGUCACUGACGUGUGGUCCCCACACGUCAGGUUUGACCGGACCAGCCCCUGUUGACCUGUGACGUCAAGGUGAUGUCAUGCUGACGCAAUAUUCAUUUUCUGGAAUUUAGUUUAUUUUAUUAUAUUCAGGAAAUUCCAGAAAAUAGCUAAAACUUCUAAAAAUCAUAGAAAUUCAACCGUAACUCCAAAUUAAAUAAUUUAUAUAUGAAAAAUUAUCAGAAAGAUUCAAGGAAUCCAUCUGUACCAUUUUCAUGCAUGUUAGAACAACUUAUAGCUGCUGUUUAGCACAAAUCAAUUAAAGGGCAUUUGAAUAAUCACAUAUGGAGUUUGAAUUUGAAUCUUGUAUUCAAACCAACUUCAUUUAAUCUAUUGCUAGUUGCAUUAGCUCAUAACACAUUCAUUUUGCCAUGUCAUGAGCAUGCAUCAUAUUGUGCAUUGCAUUGAUUGUAUUUCUUCCUUGUUGCCGGUAUCUGUUCCCUUCCGGUAGACGAUGUUCCGACGUUGUGAUCGUUGACACUGAUGAAGACUCAAUGUUAUCUUCAGAAGUGCCAGGCAAGCAAAACCCCCUUGUUCAUUCCGAUACAAUCCUACUCUCUCGCUCCUGCUCUCUUUUAAUGCAUUAGGAUAACACCGAUCCAUCUGUUACUUGCUGCGGUAGAUGAACCCCUUUAUCCUUUGCAUGACCUGUCAUUGCCACAGUAAAUAGAUGAAACCCACUAGCAUGAGUAGGAGUUGUUUGAGCCCUGUUGUGCCUACUCAUUCAUGUUUGUUUGUCAUGCCUGCUACUGCUUAGAGUUGAGUCAGGUCUGAUUCAUCGGGGAUGAAUCAGAGGUGUGUGAACAUGUCCUACUGUGUGUGAGCUAAGUGUGUGAACAUGAUUUGGUAAAGGUAGCGGUGAGAGGCCAUGUAGGAGUACAUGGUGGGUUGUCUCAUUGCAGCCGUCCUCAGGAACUGAGUUCUGUGUUUGUGAUCCAUGAUUCAGCUACUACCAUACAUUGGGCCCUGAAAUAUGACCCCGCUCGACUUCUUAUUCACCCUCGUCCUCUGUCCAGGAGUUGCAAGUAGAUUCUGGUGUUUGUAGUAUGCUGGAGGCCGUGGACAGCGCUGACCGUAGGGGUGGGCUGUGAUGCGGUAGGCACGUGGCCGGGUAUACUGGGCGCCCGUUUGGUGUCACGGAACCCUGUUCACAUCGUUUGGGGCUGUGAGCGAAACUCCGGCCGGAUCUCCUCAUGGAUGGAACCCGAAUAGGCGAUAAACCUGGACUAGAGACUUGAGUGUUUAGGUAGGUCGUGGUCUACACCCACGUCGGCUUUCGCUUGAAGUCUGCCGAGCACAUGUCGUGUGCAGACGCUAAGUGGUGGAAACAUGUAUGAAGAAGUACACCCCUGCAGGGUUAACAUCAUCUAUUCGAAUAGCCGUGUCCGCGGAAAAGGACUUCUGGGUUGCUUAUAUCAGUUCAUAGACAAGUGAAAGUGGAUACUUUAAAAUGCGCAAGAUAAGCGUGAGUGCUAUGGAUGGCGUUCUCGUAGGGAGACGGGAGCGGAUCCAUAGUGGUGUAUUGAUAUGGUGAAUAUGUGGACUCGUGUGCGCCACCUCAAAAGAGUUACAUUGCAGUCGUAGUUCAGGAUAGCCACCGAGUCAAAGCUGGCUUGCUGCAGUUAAACCCCACCAUCCCCUUUGUUGAUAAUGAUGCAUAUGUAGUUAGUUCUGAUGUAAGUCUUGCUGGGUACAUUUGUACUCACGUUUGCCUAUUUUAUGUUUUUGCAGAGAGACUUCGGUCUCACUAGUAGUUCCACGUGGACUCCCACGUUUAGCUUGUUACCUCAGCUACGAUCUUGUGCCCUCGGCAGGAUCUGGUAGAUAGUCAGGCUUCUCAGCCUUUUUCAUUUAUAGAUGUCUGUACUUAGACAUGUUAAGCUUCCGCAUGUGCUUUGACUUGUAUGCUCUGAUUGUUGGGUCAUGAGACCCAUGUUUGUAAUAUCUCGCUCCUCGGAGCCUAUUGAAUAAAUUACUUGUGUCGUAGAGUCAUGUUGUGAUGCCAUGUUGUAUUUGCACAUAUCGAGCAUAUGUGUGUAUGUUAUUGAAAUGCUUGGUAUGUGUGGGAUCUGGCUAUCUAGUUGUUUAUCCUUAGUAGCCUCUCUUACCGGGAAAUGUCUCCUAGUGUUUCCACUGAAUCAUGGUAGCUUGCUACUGCUCCGGAACACUUAGGCUGGCCGGCAUGUGUCCUUCUUCGUUCUUGUGUCUGUCCCUUCGGGGAAAUGUCACGCGAUGAAUACCGGAGUCCUGUUAGCCCGCUACAGCCCGGUUCACCGGAGUCCUGCUAGCCCAGUGCUACAGCCUGGGUUCACUCGCUGAUGACCGACACGUUCGAUGCUGGGUCAUGGAUGUCUGUCCCUGUAAGUUUAUGCCACUUUGGGUUUGCGACUAGCCAUGUCAGCCCGGGCUCCUUAUCAUAUGGAUGCUAGCGACACUGUCAUAUACGUGUGCCAAAAGGCGCAAACGGUCCCGGGCAAAGGUAAGGCGACACCCGUGGGAAUACCGUGCGUGAGGCCGCAAAGUGAUAUGAGGUGUUACAUGCUAGAUCAAUGUGGCAUUGAGUCGGGGUCCUGACAGCGUUGGUAUCAGAGCUUGACUGCCUGUAGGAUUACCAAGCCAAACUGGUCGAUGUUGAGUCUAGAAAUUCUUUAGUUAUAUGUAGGGGAAUUGAUUGUGGGAUGGAACGUAAGGCUCUUUUUACUCCUUAUACCUCAUGGCCUUCUGAUCUGAGUCAUCAUCUUCUCUUCUACGGGGAUUAAGAACUAGGCUAUCUCUUCUUUCUAUUAGGAUCACGUGUUACUAAUCAGUGGACUUAUAAGAUUGUUGGAUUUAAGUCUCAGUUCAGUUCCUACUACUUCCGCAUGUGAAUUGUUGAUCUCGAAACCUUGAUAUUGUGCUUCUGAGUGGUUAUGCCACCAUUUUUGUGAAUGUCUCAAAUCUUUUCUGAGCAUUUACAGCCGUUAUGCUGUCCGAGUCAUCCCAGGUUUCUAAGUAGUCUGAUGCAUUUGCAAAUCCUUUCUUCCCGUUUCAAUGUUCCCAUGGGCCAGAUUAACCACACUAAUCAGUGAGUUGAGGUACUCCGUUACCUUGACAUAUAUGUUGGAGAUAUUAUUAUGACCCUAGGUGUCUUAGGGGAUCAUCUAGUAAUUUAGCCAUGAUUUGUGUUACCAGUGUGAUGAUUCUGGCCAUCAUUCUCGAAAGCAUCCCGUGAUGCUACUUAGUAAUAGGUAUUCUGUUCCUGGGUUCUUGAACCCGAGAUUCACUCUACCUACUUCAUGUUGAUAGUAAUUGCUAGUGCCUUUAGGAUAUUAGUAACCUUUGCGAUAGUCCUUGAAGUCCGUGGUAUCUUCUUCUUCCAAAUACCAUGAACUACUUAUGGCAGAAGUUCCUCGUUGAACUGAAAUAUCACAACAGGAUUAUUCUUGAUGAGUUCUCCAUUAUAUAUUGUGGCUCUGCCAGUUCUACCUUUCUGCAUGGGUUAUCUGGAAGAAAUAUGUUAAACUUCGUUCGACAUGCUAAUCCAUGCAUCCACAACUCAGAAAAUCAUAUGUUCUUUUGAGUUGUCCCAUCUUAGUUGUUUCCGACCCUCGCCUAUCAAUUGAUAGUCAAGAGUAUGCGUGCAUUCGUUCGUCGAUGCCUAUUACCCUUGUGGUCCGCCAAGCCAUUCUAUUUCAGAAUGAAUAGGAGAAACAAACUCCAGAAUCUCAUCCAUAUCUAGGAUUGGGUCAAAGCAAUUGUAUUCCGCAGAUCAAAAUGCCAAUCCAGCUUCUGGUCUGUUCUACCUUGAAGUAUUACCAUCUUUAUAUCAGGAAUAUCAUGGGAAUUGCACACCAUCUUAUGAAUUCUUGACGCAGUAAUACUUCUGAUCAUCAUUGAUAAUUUCUCGGUUUCCGUGUUAUUGUAACCGGAAUGCCGACAAAUGAAUCAUGGCGUGUGAAAUCAAUACUGCUAGCAACUCCAUUGCUUGGUAGUUAAAUGGACGAUAACCUCAUUCUUAGCGUGUUGAUUAUUGAAUCGUCACCCUAAGGUUGAUUGUGCUACCUAGUCCUUAUUUCUGGUGCACUCUCCGAUCAGUGAGUUAGGAUAGUGCCAAUCCUUGCUUAUUUGAUCAUAUCGUCUUGCCCUGAAAAGUAAGAUUGUUCUCGAGCUUAGUAACAUACCGGUGGUUCAUGAUAUUCCAAAUUUCUUCUCGGAAGUAUCACCCGGUUGUCGCCUGACCGCUAUGUUGAUCUCGUGAUCAAGUUGGGUUCUUGUGAACCACCUUCUCUCCAAAAAUCGGUGUUAGAUAUCCCUGAGCUAGUUAGUUAAGCUAGACAACAACUUGGAGAGUUGGAAGAUAAAAGCUUGCCUGACUUAGUUCGUUCCAAAGGGAUAUUCUUGUGUAGGGUGUGCUGAAGAAAGAUGAUAUCUUCAUCGAUUGGUCCUUGUGAUCAGUUGCUGGAACUAUUGUCUUAUCAAUCCUUGAUUUGAGUGUGGGCUAUCGUCAAAUCAAAUCAGUACCAACGAUGUUCGUAAUGUUGUCUUACUCGUGGUUGAUCCCUCGAGCAUACACCAUUACAUCUUUGGUCUGACCAAUGCUAUCACCGUGUUCACUUAACUAUGGAAUUCCUUUUAAAAGGAAACCUAGAUGAAUUGUUGUUGAGCCCAUUGGCAACAUCCUUAUCUCCUCCAUGAUGUUGUUGAACAUUAAGCUAGUGUUGGAAACUUUUGAAAGCAUUUUCUUCAUGCUAGCUCAUGAAGUAUUGUUUGAUGGAAGGAGUGACUUCCUCUUAUACACGUGCAUUUGGUGAAAGUUGCCGCCGUGAAUUUGAGAAAGAUUGUUUUGUUUCCUUUGGAAUCAUCCCAAAUCAGUCAUGCACACGUGCGAAGUAUUCUGUAGUCUGGAGACUUGCAACCUUCGUUCUAUAUGUGUCCCUAGCACACUAAGCCACUGAUUGACUUGUUCAAGGAAAAGAAGUCUAUGCUUGGGAUCUAAUCCAUGGACUUGCGUAAAGACUUCGAUAUCCUCGAUUAUGGUUCCCCACCCGAACUCGGUAGUGUUUGAUUAUAAGACUACUACGUGGCCAUGCUUGUCUGGGACAACGUGUUCACAUGCUAGUAGCAGAACCAGCUCAUGUUUGGAGCUUGCUAUCGUAGUUCAUUCCCGAGAAUCUCGCAACGUCAUCUCAUCGAUCUGUGUUGCAAACUUUCGUUUUUCUUCCUAGACUCGAUGAGUCUGGAAUAUCCUGACACCAACCAGAUCUGAAUCUCAGGCAGAUAUGAUGGUUUGGAACAUUUCCCAAGAACUAUAAUAUCGGUCCCUCGAAAACCGGUAAAGUGGAUGUCGUGGCCAACACACCCAUCCGGUAGACCUGUUAUUAUAAUAUCUUGAUUGAGGAAGUUGGCCACCUCCCCAUAAGGAUUUCGUAGGAUUUACCUCCCUAGUUGUUCCUUAUGGAUUCUUGUGCUCCCGAAGUCCGACCUUUACUUGAUGUUCUAGAUAUCAAACCAUAUCUAUGAAUGGGUUACACUAGCACAUCAAGAAGAACAUUAGAAGCGGAGUGCUAAAUGUCUCUCGGUCGAUCAUCCAGAUUUUUUUUCCUUGGCCUCGCUAAGAUGAAAUCUGAGAAGUGUUAUCUUCCUUUGCAUCUGCAUCAUCCAUCAUCAUUCAUCGUGGUAGCAAGUUGUGUUGCCAGGAUCCUUGACACGGAUAUUGGUAAAACCUUGAUGAAUGUGGAAAUGCUCAAGUUCUUGAGAGCACGCACAAGCACUACGUGUUAUCAUCGGCACUAACUGGGUUUGCUCUCAGUUCCCUCGGCAAUGCUAUGACCUUCUCAAACAGUGAAUUCACUCUCUAUUGUUGGGUUCUCCCCAGUUACUAGAAUCAUUCCCAUCAUUUGCAUUUUGUUCCCAGCUUGCACCGCCAAUGUGCCAUUCUACCAUGGGUCUCUUCCAUUUCCGGUGAUAAGCAAAUUCAUCCAUUGCGUUGUCUUCAACAAGGUAAUCCACAUCAUCCAAGUCUGAGUAUGCCAUUCUACUGACCCCCUCCAAACGAUCGCUUGAGAAUUGCCUUAGGCUGGUAUAAAGGUUUUCAAUGAUCUCUGAAUCAAAGGUAAUUCUUUUUGCCACUUAAGGAAAUAAUCUACGAAUCACCCUCCUCCAGGAUGUUUCGUCGUGGUAUCAUAGCAACUCAACUCCUCGCUACGUGGACAAUCGUUUACCACCUUCUUAAGUGUGGAAUUGUUGUCUACCUAGUGAACCUUCGUCAUCCGUCUCUUUUCACCCCUCUUGAUGUGUAUCUCGUGUCUCAACCCGAGAGAUGGUCCUAUGUCUCAUUCCGUGAGUUGUUCGAUCUUCGAGAAGAUCGACCCUGCUAGAGUCUCCUUCUUUCCUCCAUGUCAUGUUGACAGGAUUUUUCAAGGCAAGACUUCAAGACAAUGAUGGUGAAUGAAUCAACGUUCAACUGAAGUGCACCCUGGAUCGUGAAGAUUAUACUAGUCUGCGUUACCCUUCACUUUACCCUACGCUUGAAUCUCGAGACGAGAUUCUUGUUUAGUGGGGGUGAGUUGUCACAUCCCUAGCUGCUGGUAGUGCUCUAGGCUAGCUUCAUGUGUGCAUCAUGUCUAUAUUUUCGAAACUUGAACUGAGGAAUUUUGGAAGCCUCAAAAACUUAAAUAAAAGAGGGGCAAAAACCCUAGAAAUCUCAUUCAUUGCUCCAAAAAUGCCCCUUUUAAAUGUUUGAUAAUUUUGGUAAGGGUUCUGGUCCCAACCAAAAUAUUGAACAUUUUUAAGGAAUUAUUUUUGGGACUUUGGAUUUAAUUCAUUAGCUAUUUGAAUUUGAAUUAUAUUCAUAUAAUUAGAAUAUAAUUUCAAAUACCCCCUGAAAUAUUUUAUAAGCUUUUGGAAAAGUCCAUCUAGCAAUAUAAAAUAUUCAGAGGAGUUUUUGGCAUUGUUUGAAUUAUUUUAAAUUCAAAACAGUGGCAAAAUAAAUUAAAUAAAAUAAAACAAAACAAAACAGAAAUAAAAGACAGAGGAGAGAAACCUUACCUGGACUUACCUCUGCAGCCCACCAGGCCCACCUGGCCAGCCCAGCCCAUCUCCACCCCCCCUGUCGUCUUCCUCCCUGCCAGGAGGACAGACACCGCGACGCCGCCGCGCGCGCCACCUCCUGCUUCCCUGGCCACCUCCUGCUUCCUCCCCGAGCCCUCUAGCGACGCCACGGAGUCGUCCCCGACCGCUAUCCCUCCCUCUGCUCGCUCUGGCUCUCUCCCUCUCCCGAUUUGGAGCACGACCAAGAGCCACCGGAGGGCGCCGCCGUCGCAUCCAUAGCCACCGGCCACCCCUCGCCCUUCCGAUGAGCUCAGGAGCUCCGUUCCGACCCCAUGGAGCUGCACACCGACGCACGCGACCAGAGGAGGCCCCAGUCGACCGGAGCAUCGUCGUCUUCAUCCCCGGUGCCCGGAGAUCGCCGUCGUCAAUUCGCCGUUGCAGAGGCUUCCCCGAGCCCACCGAGCUUCUCUCCCGACCCCUUGUGAGCUCCUACGCCUUUCCCCUCUCUCCCCGAAGUCUAACUCGCCCUCUAGCACUAGCGCUGCCGCGCUCGAGAGCUUGCUGCCGCCGUCCAUGGCGCCGCCACGGCCACAGCUGCUGCCACUCGCGUCCGAGCAUUGCCGCGUGCUCAGCACGCUCCCAGGAGCCGGGCGCGCCCACCUGUUCGACCUACCGUUCCCCCUAGUGCCAACCCGCAUCAACCCCGAGCUCCGGCCGCCGCCGCGAGCUCGAUUCCGGCGAGCCCGUUCGACCCCAGCCCCUCCCGCUUGCCUAGAUGGAUGCGGCUGAGCGCCAGCUACGCAUAGAUGAUCGCUGCCGCUGUUUUGGUCGCCGGAGGACGUUUCCCGAGCCCCUCCGCCGCGUCUGGACUCGCCGGCGGUUAAACGCCGGCGACCGUUGACCCUUGACCGGCGUGGGUUGACCCCACUGCCCGAUUUGACCCUCCCCUCUCUCUGACUGACGUGUGGGCCCAGCCCCCCUGUUUAAUUAGUACCAGGUUAAGUUAGUGUUAACUAACUUAGUUAAGUAGAUAGGACACUGACAUGCGGGCCCAGGCUCUAAUUAAACUUAGGUUAGUUAACUGUGUCACUGACGUGUGGUCCCCACACGUCAGGUUUGACCGGACCAGCCCUUGUUGACCUGUGACGUCAAGGUGAUGUCAUGCUGACGCAAUAUUCAUUUUCUGGAAUUUAGUUUAUUUUAUUAUAUUCAGGAAAUUCCAGAAAAUAGCUAAAACUUCUAAAAAUCAUAGAAAUUCAACCGUAACUCCAAAUUAAAUAAUUUAUAUAUGAAAAAUUAUCAGAAAAAUUCAAGGAAUCCAUCUGUACCAUUUUCAUGCAUGUUAGAACAACUUAUAGCUGCUGUUUAGCACAAAUCAAUUAAAGGGCAUUUGAAUAAUCACAUAUGGAGUUUGAAUUUGAAUCUUGUAUUCAAACCAACUUCAUUUAAUCUAUUGCUAGUUGCAUUAGCUCAUAACACAUUCAUUUUGCCAUGUCAUGAGCAUGCAUCAUAUUGUGCAUUGCAUUGAUUGUAUUUCUUCCUUGUUGCCGGUAUCUGUUCCCUUCCGGUAGACGAUGUUCCGACGUUGUGAUCGUUGACACUGAUGAAGACUCAAUGUUAUCUUCAGAAGUGCCAGGCAAGCAAAACCCCCUUGUUCAUUCCGAUACAAUCCUACUCUCUCGCUCCUGCUCUCUUUUAAUGCAUUAGGAUAACACCGAUCCAUCUGUUACUUGCUGCGGUAGAUGAACCCCUUUAUCCUUUGCAUGACCUGUCAUUGCCACAGUAAAUAGAUGAAACCCACUAGCAUGAGUAGGAGUUGUUUGAGCCCUGUUGUGCCUACUCAUUCAUGUUUGUUUGUCAUGCCUGCUACUGCUUAGAGUUGAGUCAGGUCUGAUUCAUCGGGGAUGAAUCAGAGGUGUGUGAACAUGUCCUACUGUGUGUGAGCUAAGUGUGUGAACACGAUUUGGUAAAGGUAGCGGUGAGAGGCCAUGUAGGAGUACAUGGUGGGUUGUCUCAUUGCAGCCGUCCUCAGGAACCGAGUUCUGUGUUUGUGAUCCAUGAUUCAGCUACUACCAUACAUUGGGCCCUGAAAUAUGACCCCGCUCGACUUCUUAUUCACCCUCGUCCUUUGUCCAGGAGUUGCAAGUAGAUUCUGGUGUUUGUAGUAUGCUGGAGGCCGUGGACAGCGCUGACCGUAGGGGUGGGCUGUGAUGCGGUAGGCACGUGGCCGGGUAUACCGGGCGCCCGUUUGGUGUCACGGAACCCUGUUCACAUCGUUUGGGGCUGUGAGCGAAACUCCGGCCGGAUCUCCUCAUGGAUGGAACCCGAAUAGGCGAUAAACCUGGACUAGAGACUUGAGUGUUUAGGUAGGUCGUGGUCUACACCCACGUCGGCUUUCGCUUGAAGUCUGCCGAGCACAUGUCGUGUGCAGACGCUAAGUGGUGGAAACAUGUAUGAAGAAGUACACCCCUGUAGGGUUAACAUCAUCUAUUCGAAUAGCCGUGUCCGCGGAAAAGGACUUCUGGGUUGCUUAUAUCAGUUCAUAGACAAGUGAAAGUGGAUACUUUAAAAUGCGCAAGAUAAGCGUGAGUGCUAUGGAUGGCGUUCUCGUAGGGAGACGGGAGCGAAUCCAUAGUGGUGUAUUGAUAUGGUGAAUAUGUGGACUCGUGUGCGCCACCUCAAAAGAGUUACAUUGCAGUCGUAGUUCAGGAUAGCCACCGAGUCAAAGCUGGCUUGCUGCAGUUAAACCCCACCAUCCCCUUUGUUGAUAAUGAUGCAUAUGUAGUUAGUUCUGAUGUAAGUCUUGCUGGGUACAUUUGUACUCACGUUUGCCUAUUUUAUGUUUUUGCAGAGAGACUUCGGUCUCACUAGUAGUUCCACGUGGACUCCGACGUUUAGCUUGUUACCUCAGCUACGAUCUUGUGCCCUCGGCAGGAUCUGGUAGAUAGUCAGGCUUCUCAGCCUUUUUCAUUUAUAGAUGUCUGUACUCAGACAUGUUAAGCUUCCGCAUGUGCUUUGACUUGUAUGCUCUGAUUGUUGGGUCAUGAGACCCAUGUUUGUAAUAUCUCGCUCCUUGGAGCCUAUUGAAUAAAUUACUUGUGUCGUAGAGUCAUGUUGUGAUGCCAUGUUGUAUUUGCACAUAUCGAGCAUAUUGUGUGUAUGUUAUUGAAAUGCUUGGUAUGUGUGGGAUCUGGCUAUCUAGUUGUUUAUCCUUAGUAGCCUCUCUUAUCGGGAAAUGUCUCCUAGUGUUUCCACUGAGCCAUGGUAGCUUGCUACUGCUCCGGAACACUUAGGCUGGCCGGCAUGUGUCCUUCUUCGUUCCUGUGUCUGUCCCUUCGGGGAAAUGUCACGCGAUGAAUACCGGAGUCCUGUUAGCCCGCUACAGCCCGGUUCACCGGAGUCCUGCUAGCCCAGUGCUACAGCCUGGGUUCACUCGCUGAUGACCGACACGUUCGAUGCUGGGUCAUGGAUGCCUGUCCCUGUAAGUUUGUGCCACUUUGGGUUUGCGACUAGCCAUGUCAGCCCGGGCUCCUUAUCAUAUGGAUGCUAGCGACACUGUCAUAUACGUGUGCCAAAAGGCGCAAACGGUCCCGGGCAAAGGUAAGGCGACACCCGUGGGAAUACCGUGCGUGAGGCCGCAAAGUGAUAUGAGGUGUUACAUGCUAGAUCAAUGUGGCAUUGAGUCGGGGUCCUGACAAUUGAUCUCUUGAUCUCUUAGCCGUGUGCGGUGCCCCCCUCCACCAUAGUCCUCGAUAAUAUUGUAGCGGUGCUUAGGCGAAGCCCUGCGACGGUAGAACAUCAAGAUCGUCACCACGCCGUCGUGCUGACGGAACUCUUCCUCGACAUUCUGCUGGAUCAGUGUCCGGGGAUCGUCAUCGAGCUGAACGUGUGCUUGAACUCGGAGGUGCCGUAGUUUCGGUGCUUGAUCGGUCGGGCCAUGAAGACGUACGACUACAUCAACCGCGUUGUUCUAAUGCUUCCUCUUUCGGUCUAUGAGGGUACGUGGACAACACUCUCCCCUCUCGUUGCUAUGCAUCACCAUGAUCUUGCGUGUGCGUAGGAAUUUUUUUGAAAUUACUACGUUCCCCAACAGUGGCAUCCGAGCCAGGUUUUAUUCAUAGAUGUUAUAUGCACGAGUAGAACACAAGUGAGUUGUGGGCGAUAGAAGUCAUACUGCUUACCAGCAUGUCAUAAUUUGGUUCAGCGGUAUUGUUGGAUGAAGCGGCCCGGACUGACAUUACGCGUACGCUUACGUGAGACUGGUUCUACCGAUGUGCUUUGCACACAGGUGGCUGGCAGGUGUCUUUUUCUCCAUCUUUAGUUGAACCGAAUGUGGCUACGCCCGGUCCUUGCGAAGGUUAAAACAACAGUAACUUGACGAACUAUCGUUGUGGUUUUGAUGCGUAGGUAAGAACGGUUCUUGCUCAGCCCGUAGCAGCCACGUAAAAUUUGCAACAACAAAGUAGAGGACGUCUAACUUGUUUUUGCAGGGCAUGUUGUGAUGUGAUAUGGUCAAGAUGUGAUGCUAUCUUUUAUUGUAUGAGAUGAUCAUGUUUUGUAACCGAGUUAUCGGCAACUGGCAGGAGCCAUAUGGUUGUCACUUUAUUGUAUGAAAUGCAAAUGCCCUGUAAUUGCUUUACUUUAUCACUAAGUGGUAGCGAUAGUCGUAGAAGCAAUAGAUGGCGUAACGACAAUGAUGCUGCGAUGGAGAUCAAGGUGUCGCGCCGGUGAUGAUGGUGAUCAUGACGGUGCUUCAGAUAUGGAGAUCACAAGCACAAGAUGAUGAUGGCCAUAUCAUAUCACUUAUAUUGAUUGCAUUGAUGUUUAUCCUUUAUGCAUCUUAUCUUGCUUUGAUUGAUGGUACCAUUUUAAGAUGAUCUCUCACUAAAUUAUCAAGAAGUGUUCUCCCUGAGUAUGCACCAUUGCGAAAGUUCUUCGUGCUGAGACACCACAUGAUGAUCGGGUGUGAUAGGCUCUACGUUCAAAUACAAUGGGUGCAAAACAGUUGCACACGCGGAAUACUCAGGUUAAACUUGACGAGCCUAGCAUACACAGAUAUGGCCUCGGAACACGAAGACCGAAAGGUCGAACGUGAAUCAUAUAGUAGAUAUGAUCAACAUAGUGAUGUUCACCAUUGAAACUACUCCAUCUCACAUGCUGAUCGGACAUGGUUUAGUUGAUUUGGAUCAUGUAAUCACUUAGAUGACUAGAGAGAUGUCUGUCUAAGUGGGAGUUCUUAAGUAAUAUGAUUAAUUGAACUUAAAUUUAUCAUGAACUUAGUACCUGAUAGUAUUUUGCUUGUCUAUGUUUGUUGUAGAUAGAUGGCUCGUGCUGUUGUACCGUUGAAUUUUAAUGCGUUCCUUGAGAAAGCUAAGUUGAAAGAUGAUGGUAGCAAUUACACGGACUGGGUCCGUAACUUGAGGAUUAUCCUCAUUGUUGCACAGAAGAAUUACGUCCUGGAAGCAACGCUGGGUGCCAGGCCUACUGCAGAUGCAACUGACGACGUUAAGAACGUCUGGCAGAGCAAAGCUGAUGACUACUCGAUAGUUCAGUGUGCCAUGCUUUACGGCUUGGAACUGGGUCUUCAACGAUGUUUUGAACGUCAUGGAGCAUAUGAGAUGUUCCAGGAGUUGAAGUUAAUAUUUCAAGCAAAUGCCCGGAUUGAGAGAUAUGAAGUCUCCAAUAAGUUCUAUAGCUGUAAGAUGGAGGAGAAUAGUUCUGUCAGUGAACAUAUACUCAAAAUGUCUGGGUAUAAUAAUCACUUGAUUCAACUGGGAGUUAAUCUUCCUGAUGAUAGUUUCAUUGACAUAAUUCUUCAAUCACUGCCACCAAGCUACAAGAGCUUCGUGAUGAACUAUAAUAUGCAAGGGAUGGACAAGACUAUUCCCGAGCUCUUCGCAAUGCUAAAAGCCGCGGAGGUAGAAAUCAAGAAGGAGCAUCAAGUGUUGAUGGUCAAUAAGACCACCAGUUUCAAGAAAAAGGGCAAAGGGAAGAAGAAGGGGAACUUCAAGAAGAACAACAAACAAGUUGCUGCUCAAGAGAAGAAACCCAAGUCUGGACCUAAGCCUGAGACUGAGUGCUUCUACCGCAAGCAAACUGGACACUGGAAGCAGAACUACCCCAAGUAUUUGGCGGAUAAGAAGGAUGGCAAAGUGAACAAAGGUAUAUGUGAUAUACAUGUUAUUGAUGUGUACCUUACUAAUGCUCGCAGUAGCACCUGGGUAUUUGAUACUGGUUCUGUUACUAAUAUUUUCAACUGAAAACAGGGACUACGGAUUAAGUGAAGAUUGGCUAAGGACGAGGUGACGAUGCGAGUGGGAAAUGGUUCCAAAGUCGAUGUGAUCGCGGUCGGCACGCUACCUCUACAUCUACCAUCGGGAUUAGUUUUAGACCUAAAUAGUUGUUAUUUGGUGCCACCGUUGAGCAUGAACAUUAUAUCUGGAUCUUGUUUGAUGCGAGAUGGUUAUUCAUUUAAAUCAGAGAAUAAUGGUUGUUCUAUUUAUAUGAGUAAUAUCUUUUAUGGUCAUGCACCCUUGAAGAGUGGUCUAUUUUUAUUAAAUCUCGAUAGUAGUGAUACACAUAUUCAUAAUGUUGAAGCCAAAAGAUGCAGAGUUGAUAAUGAUAGUGCAACUUAUUUGUGGCACUGCCGUUUGGGUCAUAUUGGUGUAAAGCGCAUGAAGAUACUCCAUAUUGAUGGACUUCUGGAAUCACUUGAUUAUGAAUCACUUGUUACUUGCGAACCGUGCCUCAUGGGCAAGAUGACUAAAACGUCGUUCUCCGGAACUAUGGAGCGAGCAACUGAUUUGUUGGAAAUCAUACAUACUGAUGUAUGUGGUCCAAUGAAUAUUGAGGCUCGCGGCAGGUAUCGUUAUUUUCUCACCUUCACAGAUGAUUUGAGCAGAUAUGGGUAUAUCUACUUGAUGAAACACAAAGUCUGAAACAUUUGGAAAGUUCAAAGAAUUUCAGAGUGAAGUGGAAAAUCAUCGUAACAAGAAAAUAAAAUUUCUACGAUCUGAUCGUGGAGGAGAAUAUUUGAGUUAUGAGUUUGGUUUACAUUUGAAGCAAUGCGGAAUAGUUCCGCAACUCACGCCACCCGGAACACCACAGCGAAAUGGUGUGUCCGAACGUCGUAAUCGUACUUUACUAGAUAUGGUGCGAUCUAUGAUGUCUCUUACUGAUUUACCUCUAUCAUUUUGGGGUUAUGCUUUAGAGACGGCCGCAUUCACGUUAAAUAGGGCACCAUCAAAAUCCAUUGAUAUGACGCCUUAUGAACUGUGGUUUGGCAAGAAAUCAAAGUUGUCAUUUCUUAAAGUUUGGGGCUGCAAUACUUAUGUGAAGAAACUUCAACCAUGUAAGCUCGAACCCAAAUCGGAGAAAUGUGUCUUCAUAGGAUACCCAAAAGAGACUAUUGGGUACACCUUCUAUCACAGAUCUGAGGGCAAGAUUUUUGUUGCUAAAUUCAGAUCCUUUCUAGAGAAGGAGUUUCUCUUGAAAGAAGUGAGUGGGCGGAAAGUAGAACUUGAUGAGGUAAUUGUACCUGCUCCCUUAUUGGAAAGUAGUUCAUCACAAGAACCGAUUCCUGUGACUACUACACCAAUCAGUGAGGAAGCUAAUGAUAUUGAUCAUGAAACUUCAGAUCAAGUUACUACCGAACCUCGUAGGUCUACCAGAGUAAGAUCCGCACCAGAGUGGUAUGGUAAUCCUAUUCUGGAAGUCAUGUUACUUGACCAUGGCGAACCUACGAACUAUGAGGAAGCGAUGAUGAGCCCAGAUUCCACAAAAUUGCUUGAGGCCAUGAAAUCUAAGAUGGGAUCCAUGUAUGAGAACAAAGUAUGGACUUUGGUUGACUUGCCCGAUGAUCGACAAGCCAUCAAGAAUAAAUGGAUCUUCAAGAAGAAGACUGACGCUGAUGGUAAUGUAACUGUCUACAAAGCUCGACUUGUUGCAAAAGGUUUUCGACAAGUUCAAGGGGUUGACUACGAUGAGACUUUCUCACCUGUAGCGAUGCUUAAGUCUGUCCGGAUCAUGUUAGCAAUUGCCGCAUCUUAUGAUUAUGAAAUUUGGCAAAUGGAUGUCAAAACUGCAUUCCUGAAUGGAUUUCUAGAAGAAGAGUUGUAUAUGAUGCAUCCGGAAGGUUUUGUCGAUCCAAAAGGUGCUAACAAAGUGUGCAAGCUCCAGCGAUCCAUUUAUGGACUGGUGCAAGCAUCUCGGAGUUGGACUAAACGCUUUGAUAGUGUGAUCAAAGCAUAUGGUUUUAUACAUACUUUUGGAGAAGCCUGUAUUUACAAGAAAAUGAGUGGGAGCUCUGUAGCAUUUCUGAUAUUAUAUGUAGAUGGCAUAUUGUUAAUUGGAAAUGAUAUAUAAUUUCUGGAUAGCAUAAAGGGAUACUUGAAUAAAAGUUUUUCAAUGAAAGACCUCGGUGAAGCUGCUUACAUAUUGGGCAUCAAGAUCUAUAGAGAUAGAUCAAGACGCUUGAUUGGACUUUCACAAAGCACAUACCUUGAUAAAGUUUUGAAAAUGUUCAAAAUAGAUCAGGCAAAGAAAGGAUUCUUGCCUGUAUUACAAUGUGUGAAGUUGAGUCAGACUCAAUGCCCGACCACAACAGAAGAUAGAGAGAAAAUGAAAGAUGUUCCCUAUGCUUCAGCCAUAGGCUCUAUCAUGUAUGCAAUGCUGUGUACCAGACCUGAUGUAUGCUUAGCAAUAAGUUUGGCAGGGAGGUACCAAUGUAAUCCAAGAGUGGAUCACUAGACAGCAGUCAAGAAUAUCCUGAAAUACCUGAAAAGGACUAAGGAUAUGUUUCUCGUUUAUGGAGGUGACAAAGAGCUAGUCAUAAAUGGUUACGUCGAUGCAAGCUUUGACACUAAUCCGGAUGAUUCUAAAUCACAAACCAGAUACGUGUUUAUAUUGAACGGUGGAGCUGUCAGUUGGUGCAUGUCUAAACAAAGCGUCAUGGCGGGAUCUACAUGUGAAGCGGAGUACAUAGCUGCUUCGGAAGCAGCAAAUGAAGGAGUCUUGAUGAAAGAAUUCAUUUCCGAUCUAGGUGUCAUACCUAGUGCAUCGGGACCAAUGAAGAUCUUCCGUGAUAAUACUGGUGCAAUUGCCUUGGCAAAGGAAUCCAGAUUUCACAAGAGGACCAAGCACAUCAAGAGACGCUUCAAUUCCAUCCGGGACCAAGUCCAGGUGGGAGACAUAGAGAUUAGCAAGAUACAUACGGAUCUGAAUGUUGCAGACCCAUUGACUAAGCCUCUUCCACGAGCAAAACAUGAUCAGCAGCAAGACUCCAUAGGUGUUAGAAUCAUUACUGUGUAAUCUAGAUUAUUGACUCCAGUGCAAGUGGGAGACUGAAGGAAAUAUUCCCUAGAGGCAAUAAUAAAGUUAUUAUUUAUUUCCUUAUAUCAUGAUAAAUGUUUAUUAUUCAUGCUAUAAUUGUAUUAACCGAAAACAUGAUACAUGUGUGAAUACAUAGACAAACUUAAUGUCACUAGUAUGCCUCUACUUGACUAGCUCAUUAAUCAAAGAUGGCUAUGUUUCCUAACCAUAGACAUGUGUUGUCAUUUGAUUAACGGGAUCACAUCAUUAGGCGAAUGAUGUGAUUGACUUGACCCAUUCCGUUAGCUUAGCACUUGAUCAUUUAGUAUGUUGCUAUUGCUUUCUUCAUGACUUAUACAAGUUCCUAUAACUAUGAGAUUAUGCAACUCCUGUUUACCGGAGGAACACUUUGUGUUCUACCAAACGUCACAACGUAACUGGGUGAUUAUAACGGAGCUCUAUAGGUGUCACCAAAGGUAGAUGUUGAGUUGGCGUAUUUCGAGAUUAGGUUUUGUCACUCCGAUUGUCGAAGAGGUAUCUUUGGGCCUUCUCGAUAAUGCACAUCACUAUAAGCCUUGCAAGCAAUGUAGCUAAUGAGCUAGUUACGGAAUGAUGCAUUACGUAACGAGUAAAGAGACUUGCCGGUAGCGAGAUUGAACUAGGUAUUGAGAUACCGACGAUCGAAUCUCGGGCAAGUAACAUACCGUUGACAAAGGGAACAACGUAUGUUGUUAUGCGGUUUGACCGAUAAAGAUCUUCGUAGAAUAUGUAGGAGCCAAUAUGAGCAUCCAGGUUCCGCUAUUGGUUAUUGACCAAGAAUAGUUCUAGGUCAUGUCUACAUAGUUCUCGAACCCGUAGGGUCCGCACACUUAAGGUUUCGAUGACAGCUAUAUUAUGAGUUUAUGAGUUUUGAUGUAUCGAAGUUUGUUCGGAGUCCCGAGUGAGAUUACGGACAUGACGAGGAGUCUCGAAAUGAUCGAGACAUAAAGAUUGAUAUAUUGGAAGCCUAUAUUUGGAUGUCGGAAGUGUUCCAGGUGAAAUUGGGAUUUUACCGGAGUACCGGGAGGUUACCGGAACCCCCCGGGAGCUUAAUGGGCCUAUAUGGGCCUUAGUGGAAAUAGAGGGCAGCAAGGGGGUGUGGGGCGCGCCCCCCAAGGCCCAAACCGAAUUGGUUUAGGGCAAGGGGGGCAGGUCCCCCUCUUUCCUUCUCCUCCUCUCCCUUUCCUUCCCCUCUCCUAGUCCAAAAAGGAAGGAGGGAGUCCUACUCCCGGUGAGAGUAGGACUCCCCAUGGCACGCCCCCUCCUAGGCAGGCCGCCCCCUCCCCCCUUGCUCCUUUAUAUACGGGGGCAGGGGGCACCUCUAUGACACAACAAUUGAUCUCUUGAUCUCUUAGCCGUGUGCGGUGCCCCCUCCACCAUAGUCCUCGAUAAUAUUGUAGCGGUGCUUAGGCGAAGCCCUGCGACGGUAGAACAUCAAGAUCGUCACCACGCCGUCGUGCUGACGGAACUCUUCCCCGACAUUCUGCUGGGUCGGAGUCCGGGGAUCGUCAUCGAGCUAAAUGUGUGCUAGAACUCGGAGGUGCCGUAGUUUCGGUGCUUGAUCGAUCGGGCCGUGAAGACGUAUGACUACAUCAACCGCGUUGUUCUAAAGCUUCCGCUUUUGGUCUACGAGGGUACGUGGACAACACUCUCCCCUUUAGUUGCUAUGCAUCACCAUGAUCUUGCGUGUGCGUAGGAAAGUUUUUGAAAUUACUAUGUUCCCCAACACAAGUAUGCUGGAGCCGAACACCCAAUGCCUUUGAGUGACCAACUGAAGCAGUUGGUUGAACUCCACAGGGCGGCCGAAGUGGCUAUGAAGUAUUUCAUAGUCCGGAUGUGGCCUGGUGAGCCCCUGCCCGCUAGGUACUUCGGCCUGAUAAAGCGGAUGCUAAAUGCCUGUCCGCGGCUUGAAGUGAUCAAGCCAUCCGUCGGGCCUUUGCCCGUGCGAAGGUGCAUUGGGGCAAGCUGGAUGCGGAGAAGCUGGUGAAGGACGGACCACCAGAGGGCAAGGCGCAUCGCUGUCCCGAAAAAUAUUAUGAUAGCGUUAUGAAGGACGCUCGCCUCGUGGCCGAAGAAUGUACCAAGAACACGAUCAUUGAAUGAAUGUACUUCUGUCGUUUUUGUAAUAUAAAGACGAAGUUAUUUGUGUUAUAUAGCGCUUUCUUUUGAUUUAAAAUAUUACCUUCUGUGCGGCUAUUUAUAAAAUUCUAAAAGUAGGCCAGUCAUCGGCUUCCGCCCCCACGUAACCAGUACCGGGGUGUUCGUGGAAAACCCAAAACACUCUUUUAUCCAAAUUUUGGUCCAUGAAGGAGGAGUUUGGCGCAGCGAACAAGGCAAUCGGACUAUGCAACUUUAUAGCUUUCACUUAGCCAUAGAAGUCUACAAUUUUAAAUUUCGGCGAAGCCCCUAUGUCGGUGUCUAAACCGGCGGAUCUCGGGUAAAGGGGUUCCGAUCUGUGCGUCAAGGGUGAUGGUAACAGGAAGCAAGGGACACAGAUGUUUACCCAGGUUCGGGCCCUCUUGAUGGAGGUAAAACCCUACUUCCUACUUGAUUAAUAUUGAUGAUAUGGGUAGUACAAGAGUAGAUCUACCACGAGAUCGUAGAGGCUAAACCCUAGGAGCUAGCCUAUCAUGGUAUGAUUGUAAUUGUGAUCGUCCUUCUAAGGACCAACCACUCCGGUUUAUAUAGACACCGGAGAGGGCUAGGGUUUACAUGGAGUCGGUUACAGGAAGGAAAUAUAAUAUCCGGAUCACCAAGCUUACCUUCCAUGCCAAGGAAAGUCCCAUCCGAACACGGGCCGAAGUCUUGAGUCUUGUAUCUUCACGCUUCAAUAGUCCAGACGUUGUACACAGUCCGGCUGUCCGGAUACCCCCUAAUCCAGGACUUGAUGCUAUCAAGCAAUCAGUCUACAUAGAAGGCACGUGUAUGGCGUUUUCCCGUGCUAAAGUGCAUUGGGGGAGGCUUGACGCGGAGAAGCUGAUGACUGAGGGGCCGCCGAAGGGUAAGGAGCACCGCAAGCCCGAGCUGUAUUAUGAAGGUGUGAUGAAAGGGGCCCGCCUUGUGGCGGACAAGUGUGCUAAAGACAUCAUAUUUCCCUGAGGGCAUUUGUGCCACUUGUUGUAAUAUGGGAUAAUGGCAUGUUUAUUAUAUAUUGCCUGUUUUAUUUGAACAUAUGUUCUUCCUGUGCGGCUGUUUAUUUUAUGCAAAUUCUGGGAGUUGGCCAGUCGUCGGCUUCCGUCCCCUCAUAAAAAAGGAUACGGGGGUGUUCGGGAUAUAUCUGAACGCUCUUUAUCCAAUAGUUGGGUCCUUUUAAGGAGGUGUAUCUUUCCGCGAACCAGGCAAUCGGACUAUAGAGCUUUAUUACUCUCACUUAUCCAUAGGAAUUCGAGUAUGGUCGGCGCAGCCCCUAGUGUUCGGAAGGCCGAACUAGGGGCUCUAUUGGCGCCUGAUCAGAAGACCAAUCCGUCACACUUAGCAUUUAUAAUGGCGUUGUCCGGAAUGAAUCUUUAAGGAUUUUAUAACCUCUCGAACAGCGGACCGGCUCUCGCUUCAUCAUGAUAGUCGGUUUUCGGCUUUCUCUACUAAGGUGCUCGUCGGCUGAACCGGGACACAAUCGCAGUAGUUCUCCCAGCGCUACCUUAGCCGAUAGAAUGGAAUGUAAGGUACCAAAACAUGGGAGCCGGGCAAACCCAACCAAUGACCCAAGACAUGAUUCGGAGUAGAUGCAUAUAGUGCUAUAAGUUCGGGGUGCCGAAUGACCAAAAAGGUGGUCGUACUUUAUUGCCGUACUAUGGAGCCCCUGGUAUAACCAGGUGAACGUGAAGCGUGGCUGUCAUUUUCGGCAAAGAGGCGUCGGUGAUAAACGACAGCCGGUAAUUGCUAUUUAAGUCUACGCAUUGCAGUAGGAUGAUAUGUCUAUGCAUAUGAGUAUGAUGUAUGGAAAGAGGUGUUAUUUGGCGGAACCUGUUGUGCCGGACUGGAGGGGGUUGUGAGUGGAUCGAGAAUGAAUCCGAACUGCCUUCUACCUGCAUGUUCCUUCCUUUUUGUGUCUGGGAUAAUUCCAUGCCGCCAUUCCUGUUCUGCGUCAAUCGUUAGUUUGCAAAUGCGAAAUGCUUGAAGGCAGCUAGGUGUCCUCUUGUUGUUGCUCCCAGGGUCCCCAAUCGGGCCCUGGUGUGCCCAGCCAUUAGACCGUGAGGUAGUGCAUACUCCACAAUGGAUGUCCAGAUGGUUGGCCUAGGCAAUUUACCAUGUGGAAUCUAGUCGACGUGGUUUUUCCCGUUAGCAUACGGUAAACUAUCGUAUGGUGGGGAGGUGCCGAGGAUUUAUUCUUUGGCGUAGCAUUUUUUGGGUGAUCCGAAGACAACCGUUUAGAGUGGUGGGCCAAUAAAACUUGGCCUUUGCACCUUACAUCUUUUAGGAGAUGUUUUUCGUGGCGUCAUACCCUUGUGGGCUUUGUGUGUUAUGGAGCCCCCGGACUACUAGGUCUAGAGGCACUGCAAUUGACUUGUUGUGGUUUAUGUGGUCCUGGGCGGUCGGCCGUACUGUUACGCUCUGGGGAGGGGGUCUUGACGAGGUAUCUCCCCUUAUUGCUUCCGACGUGCGACGAGCCGCUUUGUUUUGAGGAUCCUCCAUUCUCUAUUGGUAUGCUUUGCCGUCCUUCUGGGGGUACCGUGAAUUUCACACGGCUGAUCCAGCGUGUGGCUUUGGUCGAGUAGGCUUGUGUUGUUCUUUGUCCGUUUAGCGGAUGGAGCGUUGCCGGACUUGGCACCAGCUUCCUUGUCUUGAUGUUUAUGACCUUUGUGUCGAGGCCUGAGGGUGCCUCUUUGUGUCUGCUUCUUGCUGCCUUGGACCGUAGUGAUGCAUGGGCAUUUGUGUGCGUGCCCGUGGUUUUCUUGCUCGAGUUGAGGUAGCCAGUUGUACCGUGUGUGCCCUUUAUUGGGGUUGUCGAGUUCGUACUUUUCGGCGGCCAGUAUCUUGGUCCACCUAUCCUCUAGCACGUCUUGGUCAGCUGUAAGCUGCUCUUGCUUCCUUUGCAGGCUCCUUGCGGUAGCCAUGAGCUGUCGCUUGAAGCGAACUUGUUCCAUUGGGUCUUCUAGUACGCCGAAUUCGUCAUUGCCAAGGCCUGGCUCAUCGUCGGAGGGGGGUGUGUGAUUGUCCCUCUCCAAGCAUCCCAUCAUCAUUGGUCCGGCCUGCUUAAGUGUAGGCUGACUAGGGUUGUAUUCCUCUUUGGCACCGUCCAGAGUGCUCUCGUUUCCGGGGCCGUUUUUGAUGUGGCGGGGCUUGGAGUGGUGCCGAUAAUGCACAUGUUUUGCUUUUCUCCCUGAGGGGUUAUCCUUCGUUGCCUCACCGCCACUGGUUUCCAUUGGGGUGUCCACCAUAUAUAUAUAUAUAUAUAUAUAUAUAUAUAUUGUAUGAGGAGGUGGCCGCCCACCACCCUGUACGCGGUGGUUCCUGUAGUCCUCUUGCAUCGUCGUCCAUACCGUCGAUGUUUUCGGAGUCAAAGUCAAGCACGUCGGUUAAAUCGUCAAUCGUGGCAAUGAAGUGGGUGGUGGGUGGGCAACGAAUUCCAUCAUCGUCUGCUUCCCACUCAAGCCGGACAUAGUUCGGCCCAGAGUCUCCUGACAAAGAGAGAGACUUCAAUAAGUUCAGCAUGUCGCCAAAGGGCAAGUGUUGAAAGACGUCCACCGCAGUGAACUCCAUCACCGGAGCCCAGCCAGGCUCGGCGGGCUCGGGGACGUGCGGACUGGAACCUGCAUCCGGAUAUGAAUCCGGGGGUCCGGAGUCACAGGCUCCCUUAGAGGUGAGACCUGUGUUCGGCUCCAUCGCUGAUGAGGGUAUGACCUGCGGGGCAGGGUCCAGCCCUCCGUCCUUAGGCGAAGCAACCUGUCCCGGAUUUAGAUCCGAGGCUUCUACCGGGGUGAUAUCCCGAGCAACGUCCGACAGCGGGUCUAAGCCGUGCUCAUCGUGACUGUUCGGCGCUUCUGGCGCUGGCCCGAAUACGUCAAAGAUCAAGUCUCCGCGGAUAUCCGCCGUGUAGUUCAGGUUUCUAAACUUGAUUUCAUGGCCGGGGGCAUACCUAUUGAUCUGCUCCAGGUGGCCAAGCGAGUUGGCCCGCAGCGCGAAGCCGCCGAACGCGAAGAUCUGUCCGGGGAGGAAAGUCUCACCCUGGACAGCGUCGUUGAUGACGAUUGAAGGAGCCAUCGAGCCUGACAGCGACGACACAGAGGAACUCUUAAUUAAAGCACCAAUGUCGGUGUCAAAACCGGCGGAUCUCGGGUAGGGGGUCCCGAUCUGUGCGUCAAGGCUGAUGGUAACAGGAAGCAAGGGACACAGAUGUUUACCCAGGUUCGGGCCCUCCCGAUGGAGGUAAAACCCUACUUCCUGCUUGAUUAAUAUUGAUGAUAUGGGUAGUACAAGAGUAGAUCUACCACAAGAUCAUAGAGGCUAAACCCUAGGAGCUAGCCUAUGAUUGUAUGAUUGUAAUUGUGAUCGUCCUUCUAAGGACCAACCUCUCCGGUUUAUAUAGACAUCGGAGAGGGCUAGGGUUUACAUGGAGUCGGUUACAAGGAAGGAAAUAUAAUAUCCGGAUCGCCAAGCUUGCCUUCCACGCCAAGGAAAGUCUCAUCCAGACACGGGCCGAAGGCUUGAGUCUUGUAUUUUCACGCUUCAAUAGUUUGGACGUUGUACACAGUCCGGCUAUCCGGAUACCCCCUAAUCCAGGACUCCCUCACCCUAGAAUUCGGUAAGCUGAAUUGGGGCGCUAUAUAUGCCUAAAUCGUACAAGGCCGAUUCCUCGCCUAAAGCGGAAAAAAUCUUUAAGAAUUUUAAGACAUCUCAAACAGCGACCAGCUCUCGUCGUAUCAUGCUGGUCAGUUUCCCACUUUCUCUACUGAGGUGCUCAUCUAGAAGAACCGGGACACAAUCGCAGUAGUUCUCCAUGCGCUACCUUAGCAAAGGAAAUAUGCCCUAGAGGCAAUAAUAAAGUUAUUAUUUAUUUCCUUAUAAUCAUGAUAAAUGUUUAUUAUUCAUGCUAGAAUUGUAUUUUCCGGAAACAUAAUACAUGUGUGAAUACAUAGACAAACAGAGUGUCACUAGUAUGCCUCUACUUGACUAGCUCGUUAAUCAAAGAUGGUUAUGUUUCCUAACCAUGAACAAUGAGUUGUUAUUUGAUUAACGAGGUCACAUCAUUAGUAGAAUGAUCUGAUUGACAUGACCCAUUCCAUUAGCUUAGCACCUGAUCGUUUAGUAUGUUGCUAUUGCUUUCUUCAUGACUUAUACAUGUUCCUACGACUAUGAGAUUAUGCAACUCCCGUUUACCGGAGGAACACUUUGGGUACUACCAAACGUCACAACGUAAAUGGGUGAUUAUAAAGGAGUACUACAGGUGUCUCCAAUGGUCGAUGUUGGGUUGGCGUAUUUCGAGAUUAGGAUUUGUCACUCCGAUUGUCGGAGACGUAUCUCUGGGCCCUCUCGGUAAUACACAUCACAUAAGCCUUGCAAGCAUUACAACUAAUAUGUUAGUUGUGAGAUGAUGUAUUAUGGAACGAGUAAAGAGACUUGCCGUUAACGAGAUUGAACUAGGUAUUGGAUACCGACGAUCGAAUCUCGGGCAAGUAACAUACCGAUGACAAAGGGAACAACGUAUGUUGUUAUGCGGUCUGACCGAUAAAGAUCUUCGUAGAAUAUGUAGGAGCCAAUAUGGGCAUCCAGGUCCCGCUAUUGGUUAUUGACCAGAGACAUGUCUCGGUCAUGUCUACAUUGUUCUCGAACCCGUAGGGUCCGCACGCUUAAGGUUACGAUGACAGUUAUAUUAUGAGUUUAUGCAUUUUGAUGUACCGAAGGUUGUUCGGAGUCCCGGAUGUGAUCACGGACAUGACGAGGAGUCUCGAAAUGGUCGAGACGUAAAGAUUGAUAUAUUGGAAGCCUAUGUUUGGACAUCGGAAGUGUUCCGGGUGAAAUCGGGAUUUUACCGGGUUACCGGGAGGUUACUGGAACCCCCCGGGAGCCAUAUGGGCCAUCAUGGGCCUUAGUGGAAAGGAGAAAGGGGCAGCCCAAGGUGGCUGCACCUCUUUCCCCUCCCCUAGUCCUAUUAGGACUAGGAGAAGGUGGCCGGCCCCCCUCUCUCCCUUCCCCUCCGAGGAAUCCUAGUUGGACUAGGAUUGGGGGGAGGAAUCCUACUCCCAGAGGGAGUAGGACUCUCCUGCGCCUCCCUCUUUGGCCGGCCAGCCUCCCCUCCUCUCCUCCUUUAUAUACGGAGGCAGGGGCACCUCUAAACACACAAGUUGACACAAGUUGAUCCACGUGAUCGAUUCCUUAGCCGUGUGCGGUGCCCCCUGCCACCAUAUUCCUCGAUAAUACUGUAGCGGAGUUUAGGCGAAGCCCUGCUGCUGUAGUUCAUCAAGAUCGUCACCACGCCGUCGUGCUGACGAAACUCUUCCCCGACACUUUGCUGGAUCGGAGUCCGGGGAUCGUCAUCGAGCUGAACGUGUGCUCGAACUCGGAGGUGCCGUAGUUUCGGUGCUUGAUCGGUUGGAUCGUGAAGACGUACGACUACUUCCUCUACGUCGUGUCAUCGCUUCCGCAGUCGGUCUGCGUUGGGUACGUAGACAACACUCUCCUCUCGUUGCUAUGCAUCACAUGAUCCUGUGUGCGCGUAGGAAAAUUUUUGAAAUUACUACGAAACCUAACAAGAACAUCCUAAAAUACCUGAAAAGGACUAAGGAUAUGUUUCUCGUAUAUGGAGGUGACAAAGAGCUCACCGUAAAAGGUUACGUUGAUGCAAGCUUUGACACUGAUCCGGACGAUUCUAAAUCGCAAACCGGAUACGUGUUUACAUUAAACGGUGGAGCUGUCAGUUGGUGCAGUUCUAAACAAAGCGUUGUAGCGGGAUCUACAUGUGAAGCGGAAUACAUAGCUGCUUCGGAAGCAGCAAAUGAAGGAGUCUGGAUGAAGGAGUUCAUAUCCGAUCUAGGUGUCAUACCUAGUGCAUCGGGUCCAAUGAAAAUCUUUUGUGACAAUACUGGUGCAAUUGCCUUGGCAAAGGAAUCCAGAUUUCACAAAAGGACCAAACACAUCAAGAGACGCUUCAACUCCAUCCGGGAUCUAGUCCAGGUGGGAGACAUAGAGAUUUGCAAGAUACAUACGGAUCUGAAUAUUGCAGACCCGUUGACUAAGACUCUUCCACGAGCAAAACAUGAUCAGCACCAAAGCUCCAUGGGUGUUAGAUUCAUUACAGUGUAAUCUAGAUUAUUGACUCUAGUGCAAGUGGGAGACUGAAGGAAAUAUGCCCUAGAGGCAAUAAUAAAGUUAUUAUUUAUUUCCUUAUAAUCAUGAUAAAUGUUUAUUAUUCAUGCUAGAAUUGUAUUUUCCGGAAACAUAAUACAUGUGUGAAUACAUAGACAAACAGAGUGUCACUAGUAUGCCUCUACUUGACUAGCUCGUUAAUCAAAGAUGGUUAUGUUUCCUAACCAUGAACAAUGAGUUGUUAUUUGAUUAACGAGGUCACAUCAUUAGUAGAAUGAUCUGAUUGACAUGACCCAUUCCAUUAGCUUAGCACCUGAUCAUUUAGUAUGUUGCUAUUGCUUUCUUCAUGACUUAUACAUGUUCCUACGACUAUGAGAUUAUGCAACUCCCGUUUACCGGAGGAACACUUUGGGUACUACCAAACGUCACAACGUAAAUGGGUGAUUAUAAAGGAGUACUACAGGUGUCUCCAAUGGUCGAUGUUGGGUUGGCGUAUUUCGAGAUUAGGAUUUGUCACUCCGAUUGUCGGAGAGGUAUCUCUGGGCCCUCUCGGUAAUACACAUCACAUAAGCCUUGCAAGCAUUACAACUAAUAUGUUAGUUGUGAGAUGAUGUAUUACGGAACGAGUAAAGAGACUUGCCGUUAACGAGAUUGAACUAGGUAUUGGAUACCGACGAUCGAAUCUCGGGCAAGUAACAUACCGAUGACAAAGGGAACAACGUAUGUUGUUAUGCGGUCUGACCGAUAAAGAUCUUCGUAGAAUAUGUAGGAGCCAAUAUGGGCAUCCAGGUCCCGCUAUUGGUUAUUGACCAGAGACAUGUCUCGGUCAUGUCUACAUUGUUCUCGAACCCCUAGGGUCCGCACGCUUAAGGUUACGAUGACAGUUAUAUUAUGAGUUUAUGCAUUUUGAUGUACCGAAGGUUGUUCGGAGUCCCGGAUGUGAUCACGGACAUGACGAGGAGUCUCGAAAUGGUCGAGACGUAAAGAUUGAUAUAUUGGAAGCCUAUGUUUGGACAUCGGAAGUGUUCCGGGUGAAAUCGGGAUUUUACCGGGUUACCGGGAGGUUACCGGAACCCCCCGGGAGCCAUAUGGGCCAUCAUGGGCCUUAGUGGAAAGGAGAAAGGGGCAGCCCAAGGUGGCUGCGCCUCUUUCCCCUCCCCUAGUCCUAUUAGGACUAGGAGAAGGUGGCCGGCCCCCCUCUCUCCCUUCCCCUCCGAGGAAUCCUAGUUGGACUAGGAUUGGGGGGAGGAAUCCUACUCCCAGAGGGAGUAGGACUCUCCUGCGCCUCCCUCUUUGGCCGGCGAGCCUCCCCUCCUCUCCUCCUUUAUAUACGGAGGCAGGGGCACCUCUAAACACACAAGUUGACACAAGUUGAUCCACGUGAUCGAUUCCUUAGCCGUGUGCGGUGCCCCCUGCCACCAUAUUCCUCGAUAAUACUGUAGCGGAGUUUAGGCGAAGCCCUGCUGCUGUAGUUCAUCAAGAUCGUCACCACGCCGUCGUGCUGACGAAACUCUUCCCCGACACUUUGCUGGAUCGGAGUCCGGGGAUCGUCAUCGAGCUGAACGUGUGCUCGAACUCGGAGGUGCCGUAGUUUCGGUGCUUGAUCGGUUGGAUCGUGAAGACGUACGACUACUUCCUCUACGUCGUGUCAUCGCUUCCGCAGUCGGUCUGCGUUGGGUACGUAGACAACACUCUCCUCUCGUUGCUAUGCAUCACAUGAUCCUGUGUGCGCGUAGGAAAAUUUUUGAAAUUACUACGAAACCUAACAAGAACAUCCUAAAAUACCUGAAAAGGACUAAGGAUAUGUUUCUCGUAUAUGGAGGUGACAAAGAGCUCACCGUAAAAGGUUACGUUGAUGCAAGCUUUGACACUGAUCCGGACGAUUCUAAAUCGCAAACCGGAUACGUGUUUACAUUAAACGGUGGAGCUGUCAGUUGGUGCAGUUCUAAACAAAGCGUUGUAGCGGGAUCUACAUGUGAAGCGGAAUACAUAGCUGCUUCGGAAGCAGCAAAUGAAGGAGUCUGGAUGAAGGAGUUCAUAUCCGAUCUAGGUGUCAUACCUAGUGCAUCGGGUCCAAUGAAAAUCUUUUGUGACAAUACUGGUGCAAUUGCCUUGGCAAAGGAAUCCAGAUUUCACAAAAGGACCAAACACAUCAAGAGACGCUUCAACUCCAUCCGGGAUCUAGUCCAGGUGGGAGACAUAGAGAUUUGCAAGAUACAUACGGAUCUGAAUAUUGCAGACCCGUUGACUAAGCCUCUUCCACGAGCAAAACAUGAUCAGCACCAAAGCUCCAUGGGUGUUAGAUUCAUUACAGUGUAAUCUAGAUUAUUGACUCUAGUGCAAGUGGGAGACUGAAGGAAAUAUGCCCUAGAGGCAAUAAUAAAGUUAUUAUUAUUUCCUUAUAAUCAUGAUAAAUGUUUAUUAUUCAUGCUAGAAUUGUAUUUUCCGGAAACAUAAUACAUGUGUGAAUACAUAGACAAACAGAGUGUCACUAGUAUGCCUCUACUUGACUAGCUCGUUAAUCAAAGAUGGUUAUGUUUCCUAACCAUGAACAAUGAGUUGUUAUUUGAUUAACGAGGUCACAUCAUUAGUAGAAUGAUCUGAUUGACAUGACCCAUUCCAUUAGCUUAGCACCUGAUCGUUUAGUAUGUUGCUAUUGCUUUCUUCAUGACUUAUACAUGUUCCUACGACUAUGAGAUUAUGCAACUCCCGUUUACCGGAGGAACACUUUGGGUACUACCAAACGUCACAACGUAAAUGGGUGAUUAUAAAGGAGUACUACAGGUGUCUCCAAUGGUCGAUGUUGGGUUGGCGUAUUUCGAGAUUAGGAUUUGUCACUCCGAUUGUCGGAGACGUAUCUCUGGGCCCUCUCGGUAAUACACAUCACAUAAGCCUUGCAAGCAUUACAACUAAUAUGUUAGUUGUGAGAUGAUGUAUUAUGGAACGAGUAAAGAGACUUGCCGUUAACGAGAUUGAACUAGGUAUUGGAUACCGACGAUCGAAUCUCGGGCAAGUAACAUACCGAUGACAAAGGGAACAACGUAUGUUGUUAUGCGGUCUGACCGAUAAAGAUCUUCGUAGAAUAUGUAGGAGCCAAUAUGGGCAUCCAGGUCCCGCUAUUGGUUAUUGACCAGAGACAUGUCUCGGUCAUGUCUACAUUGUUCUCGAACCCGUAGGGUCCGCACGCUUAAGGUUACGAUGACAGUUAUAUUAUGAGUUUAUGCAUUUUGAUGUACCGAAGGUUGUUCGGAGUCCCGGAUGUGAUCACGGACAUGACGAGGAGUCUCGAAAUGGUCGAGACGUAAAGAUUGAUAUAUUGGAAGCCUAUGUUUGGACAUCGGAAGUGUUCCGGGUGAAAUCGGGAUUUUACCGGGUUACCGGGAGGUUACUGGAACCCCCCGGGAGCCAUAUGGGCCAUCAUGGGCCUUAGUGGAAAGGAGAAAGGGGCAGCCCAAGGUGGCUGCACCUCUUUCCCCUCCCCUAGUCCUAUUAGGACUAGGAGAAGGUGGCCGGCCCCCCUCUCUCCCUUCCCCUCCGAGGAAUCCUAGUUGGACUAGGAUUGGGGGGAGGAAUCCUACUCCCAGAGGGAGUAGGACUCUCCUGCGCCUCCCUCUUUGGCCGGCCAGCCUCCCCUCCUCUCCUCCUUUAUAUACGGAGGCAGGGGCACCUCUAAACACACAAGUUGACACAAGUUGAUCCACGUGAUCGAUUCCUUAGCCGUGUGCGGUGCCCCCUGCCACCAUAUUCCUCGAUAAUACUGUAGCGGAGUUUAGGCGAAGCCCUGCUGCUGUAGUUCAUCAAGAUCGUCACCACGCCGUCGUGCUGACGAAACUCUUCCCGACACUUUGCUGGAUCGGAGUCCGGGGAUCGUCAUCGAGCUGAACGUGUGCUCGAACUCGGAGGUGCCGUAGUUUCGGUGCUUGAUCGGUUGGAUCGUGAAGACGUACGACUACUUCCUCUACGUCGUGUCAUCGCUUCCGCAGUCGGUCUGCGUUGGGUACGUAGACAACACUCUCCUCUCGUUGCUAUGCAUCACAUGAUCCUGUGUGCGCGUAGGAAAUUUUUUGAAAUUACUACGAAACCCAACAGUGGCAUCCGAGCCUGGUUAUUGAUGUUGAUGUUAUAUGCACGAGUAGAACACAAGUGAGUUGUGGACGAUACAAGUCAUACUGCCUACCAGCAUGUCAUAUUUUGGUUCGGAGGUAUUGUUGGACGAGACGACCCAGACCAACCUUACGCGUACGCUUACGCGAGACCGGUUCCCUCGACGUGCUUUGCACAGAGAUGGCUUGCGGGCGACUGUCUCUCCAACUUUAGUUGAACCAAGUAUGGCUACGCCCGGUCCUUGCGAAGGUUAAAACGGAGUCUAUUUGACAAACUAUCGUUGUGGUUUUGAUGCGUAGGUGAGAUUGGUUCUUACUUAAGCCCGUAGCAGCCACGUAAAAAAUGCAACAACAAAGUAGAGGACGUCUAACUUGUUUUUGCAGGGCAUGUUGUGAUGUGAUAUGGUCAAGGCAUGAUGCUGAAUUUUAUUGUAUGAGAUGAUCAUGUUUUGUAACCAAGUUAUCGGCAACUGGCAGGAGCCAUAUGGUUGUCGCUUUAUUGUAUGCAAUGCAAUCGCGAUGUAAUGCUUAACUUUAUUACUAAACGGUAGUGAUAGUCGUGGAAGCAUAAGAUUGGCGAGACGACAACGAUGCUACGAUGGAGAUCAAGGUGUCGCGCCGGUGACGAUGGUGAUCAUGACGGUGCUUCGGAGAUGGAGAUCACAAGCACGAGAUGAUGAUGGCCAUAUCAUAUCACUUAUAUUGAUUGCAUGUGAUGUUUAUCUUUUUAUGCAUCUUAUCUUGCUUUGAUUGACGGUAGCAUUAUAAGAUGAUCUCUCACUCAAUUAUCAAGAAGUGUUCUCCCUGAGUAUGCACCGUUGCCAAAGUUCGUCGUGCCCAGACACCACGUGAUGAUCGGGUGUGAUAAGCUCUACGUCCAUCUACAACGGGUGCAAGCCAGUUUUUGCACACGCAGAAUACUCAGGUUAAACUUGACGAGCCUAGCAUAUGCAGAUAUGGCCUCGGAACACGGAGACCGAAAGGUCGAGCGUGAAUCAUAUAGUAGAUAUGAUCAACAUAAACGAUGUUCACCAUUGAAAACUACUCCAUCUCACGUGAUGAUCGGUUAUGGUUUAGUUGAUUUGGAUCACGUGAUCACUUAGAGGAUUAGAGGGAUGUCUAUCUAAGUGGGAGUUCUUAAAUAAUAUGAUUAAUUGAACUUAAAUUUAUCAUGAACUUAGUACCUGAUAGUAUCUUGCUUGUUUAUGUUGAUUGUAGAUAGAUGGCUCGUGCUGUUGUUCCGUUGAAUUUUAAUGCGUUCCUUGAGAGAGCAAAGCUGAUGACUACUCGAUAGUUCAGUGUGCCAUGCUUUACGGCUUAGAAUCGGGACUUCAACGACGUUUUGAACGUCAUGGAGCAUAUGAGAUGUUCCAGGAGUUGAAGUUAAUAUUUCAAGCAAAUGCCCGGAUUGAGAGAUAUGAAGUCUCCAAUAAGUUCUAUAGCUGCAAGAUGGAGGAGAACAGUUCUGUCAGUGAGCAUAUACUCAAAAUGUCUGGGUAUAAUAAUCACUUGAUUCAAUUGGGAGUUAAUCUUCCGGAUGAUUGCGUCAUUGACAGAAUUCUCCAAUCACUGCCACCAAGCUACAAGAGCUUCGUGAUGAACUAUAAUAUGCAAGGGAUGAACAAGACUAUUCCCGAGCUCUUCGCAAUGCUAAAAGCUGCGGAGGUAGAAAUCAAGAAGGAGCAUCAAGUGUUGAUGGUUAACAAGACCACUAGUUUCAAGAAAAAGGGCAAAGGAAAGAAAAAGGGGAACUUCAAAAAGAACGGCAAGCAAGUUGCUGCUCAAGAGAAGAAACCCAAGUCUGGACCUAAGCCUGAAACUGAGUGUUUCUACUGCAAGCAGACUGGUCACUGGAAGCGGAACUGCCCCAAGUAUUUGGCGGAUAAGAAGGAUGGCAAGGUGAACAAAGGUAUAUGUGAUAUACAUGUUAUUGAUGUGUACCUUACUAGAGCUCGCAGUAGCACCUGGGUAUUUGAUACUGGUUCUGUUGCUAAUAUUUGCAACUCGAAACAGGGACUACAGAAUAAGCGGGCACUAGCAAAGGACGAGGUGACGAUGCGCGUGGGAAACGGUUCCAAAGUCGAUGUGAUCGCGGUCGGCACGCUACCUCUACAUCUACCUUCGGGAUUAAUAUUAGACCUAAAUAAUUGUUAUUUGGUGCCAGCGUUGAGCAUGAACAUUAUAUCUGGAUCUUGUUUAAUGCGAGACGGUUAUUCAUUUAAAUCAGAGAAUAAUGGUUGUUCUAUUUAUAUGAGUAAUAUCUUUUAUGGUCAUGCACCCUUGAAGAGUGGUCUAUUCUUACUAAAUCUCGAUAGUAGUAAUACACAUAUUCAUAAUGUUGAAACCAAAAGAUACAGAGUUGAUAAUGAAAGUGCAACUUAUUUGUGGCACUGUCGUUUAGGUCAUAUCGGUGUAAAACGCAUGAAGAAACUCCAUACUAAUGGACUUUUGGAACCACUUGAUUAUGAAUCACUUGGUACUUGCAAACCGUGCCUCAUGGGCAAGAUGACUAAAACACCGUUCUCCGGUACUAUGGAGAGAGCAACAGAUUUGUUGGAAAUCAUACAUACCGAUGUAUGUGGUCCGAUGAAUAUUGAGGCUCGUGGCGGAUAUCGUUAUUUUCUCACCUUCACAGAUGAUUUGAGCAGAUAUGGAUAUAUCUACUUAAUGAAGCAUAAGUCUGAAACAUUUGAAAAGUUCAAAGAAUUUCAGAGUGAAGUUGAAAAUCAUCGUAACAAGAAAAUAAAGUUUCUACGAUCUGAUCGUGGAGGAGAAUAUUUGAGUUACGAGUUUGGUGUACAUUUGAAAAACUGUGGAAUAGUUUUGCAACUCACGCCCCCCGGAACACCACAGCGUAAUGGUGUGUCCGAACGUCGUAAUCGUACUUUACUAGAUAUGGUGCGAUCUAUGAUGUCUCUUACAGAUUUACCGCUAUCAUUUUGGGGAUAUGCUUUAGAGACGGCCGCAUUCACGUUAAAUAGGGCACCAUCAAAAUCCGUUGAGACGACGCCUUAUGAACUAUGGUUUGGCAAGAAACCAAAGUUGUCGUUUCUUAAAGUUUGGGGCUGCGAUGCUUAUGUGAAAAAGCUUCAACCUGAUAAGCUCGAACCCAAAUCGGAGAAAUGUGUAUUCAUAGGAUACCCAAAGGAAACUGUUGGGUACACCUUCUAUCACAGAUCCGAAGGCAAAACAUUUGUUGCUAAGAAUGGAUCAUUUCUAGAGAAGGAGUUUCUCUCGAAAGAAGUGAGUGGGAGGAAAGUAGAACUUGACGAGGUAACUGUACCUGCUCCCUUAUUGGAAAGUAGUUCAUCACAGAAAACUGUUUCAGUGACACCUACACCAGUUAGUGAGGAAGCCAAUGAUAAUGAUCAUGAAACUUCAGAUCAAGAUACUACUGAACUUCGUAGAUCAACCAGAGUAAGAUCCGCACCAGAGUGGUACGGUAAUCCUGUUCUGGAGGUCAUGCUACUAGAUCAUGAUGAACCUACGAACUAUGAAGAAGCGAUGGUGAGCCCAGAUUCCGCAAAGUGGCUAGAAGCCAUGAAAUCUGAGAUGGGAUCCAUGUAUGAGAACAAAGUAUGGACUUUGGUUGACUUGCCCGAUGAUCGGCAAGCGAUUGAGAAUAAAUGGAUCUUUAAGAAGAAGACUGACGCUGAUGGUAAUGUUACUGUCUACAAAGCUCGACUUGUCGCAAAAGGUUUUCGGCAAGUUCAAGGAAUUGACUACGAUGAGACCUUCUCACCCGUAGCGAUGCUUAAGUCCGUCCGAAUCAUGUUAGCAAUUGCUGCAUUUUAUGAUUAUGAAAUUUGGCAAAUGGAUGUCAAAACUGCAUUCCUGAAUGGAUUCCUGGAAGAAGAGUUGUAUAUGAUGCAACCAGAAGGUUUUGUCGAUCCAAAGGGAGCUAACAAAGUGUGCAAGCUCCAGCGAUCCAUUUAUGGACUGGUGCAAGCCUCUCGGAGUUGGAAUAAACGUUUUGAUAGUGUGAUCAAAGCAUUUGGUUUUAUACAGACUUUUGGAGAAGCCUGUAUUUACAAGAAAGUGAGUGGGAGCUCUGUAGCAUUUCUGAUAUUAUAUGUGGAUGACAUAUUACUGAUUGGAAAUGAUAUAGAAUUUCUGGAUAGCAUAAAGGGAUACUUGAAUAAAAGUUUUUCAAUGAAAGACCUCGGUGAAGCUGCUUACAUAUUAGGCAUUAAGAUCUAUAGAGACAGAUCAAGACGCUUAAUUGGACUUUCACAAAGCACAUACCUUGAAUUAAUUUUGAAGAAAUUCAAAAUGGAUCAAGCAAAGAAAGGGUUCUUGCCUGUGUUACAAGGUGUGAAAUUGAGUAAGACUCAAUGCCCGACCACUGCAGAAGAUAGAGAGAAUAUGAAAGAUGUUCCCUAUGCAUCAGCCAUAGGCUCUAUCAUGUAUGCAAUGCUAUGUACCAGACCUGAUGUGUGCCUUGCUAUAAGUUUAGCAGGGAGGUACCAAAGUAAUCCAGGAAUGGAUCACUGGACAGCGGUCAAGAACAUCCUGAAAUACCUGAAAAGGACUAAGGAUAUGUUUCUCGUAUAUGGAAGUGACAAAGAGCUCAUCGUAAAAGGUUACGUUGAUGCAAGCUUUGACACUGAUCCGGACGAUUCUAAAUCGCAAACCGGAUACGUGUUUACAUUAAACGGUGGAGCUGUCAGUUGGUGCAGUUCUAAACAAAGCGUCGUAGCAGGAUCUACAUGUGAAGCGGAAUACAUAGCUGCUUCGGAAGCAGCAAAUGAAGGAGUCUGGAUGAAGGAGUUCAUAUCCGAUCUAGGUGUCAUACCUAGUGCAUCGGGUCCAAUGAAAAUCUUUUGUGACAAUACUGGUGCAAUUGCCUUGGCAAAGGAAUCCAGAUUUCACAAAAGGACCAAACACAUCAAGAGACGCUUCAACUCCAUCCGGGAUCUAGUCCAGGUGGGAGACAUAGAGAUUUGCAAGAUACAUACGGAUCUGAAUGUUGCAGACCCGUUGACUAAGCCUCUUCCACGAGCAAAACAUGAUCAGCACCAAGGCUCAAUGGGUGUUAGAAUCAUUACAGUGUAAUCUAGAUUAUUGACUCUAGUGCAAGUGGGAGACUGAAGGAAAUAUGCCCUAGAGGCAAUAAUAAAGUUAUUAUUUAUUUCCUUAUAAUCAUGAUAAAUGUUUAUUAUUCAUGCUAGAAUUGUAUUAACCGGAAACAUAAUACAUGUGUGAAUACAUAGACAAACAGAGUGUCACUAGUAUGCCUCUACUUGACUAGCUCGUUAAUCAAAGAUGGUUAUGUUUCCUAACCAUGAACAAUGAGUUGUUAUUUGAUUAACGAGGUCACAUCAUUAGUAGAAUGAUCUGAUUGACAUGACCCAUUCCAUUAGCUUAGCACCUGAUCGUUUAGUAUGUUGCUAUUGCUUUCUUCAUGACUUAUACAUGUUCCUACGACUAUGAGAUUAUGCAACUCCCGUUUACCGGAGGAACACUUUGGGUACUACCAAACGUCACAACGUAAAUGGGUGAUUAUAAAGGAGUACUACAGGUGUCUCCAAUGGUCGAUGUUGGGUUGGCGUAUUUCGAGAUUAGGAUUUGUCACUCCGAUUGUCGGAGACGUAUCUCUGGGCCCUCUCGGUAAUACACAUCACAUAAGCCUUGCAAGCAUUACAACUAAUAUGUUAGUUGUGAGAUGAUGUAUUAUGGAACGAGUAAAGAGACUUGCCGUUAACGAGAUUGAACUAGGUAUUGGAUACCGACGAUCGAAUCUCGGGCAAGUAACAUACCGAUGACAAAGGGAACAACGUAUGUUGUUAUGCGGUCUGACCGAUAAAGAUCUUCGUAGAAUAUGUAGGAGCCAAUAUGGGCAUCCAGGUCCCGCUAUUGGUUAUUGACCAGAGACAUGUCUCGGUCAUGUCUACAUUGUUCUCGAACCCGUAGGGUCCGCACGCUUAAGGUUACGAUGACAGUUAUAUUAUGAGUUUAUGCAUUUUGAUGUACCGAAGGUUGUUCGGAGUCCCGGAUGUGAUCACGGACAUGACGAGGAGUCUCGAAAUGGUCGAGACGUAAAGAUUGAUAUAUUGGAAGCCUAUGUUUCGACAUCGGAAGUGUUCCGGGUGAAAUCGGGAUUUUACCGGGUUACCGGGAGGUUACCGGAACCCCCCGGGAGCCAUAUGGGCCAUCAUGGGCCUUAGUGGAAAGGAGAAAGGGGCAGCCCAAGGUGGCUGCGCCUCUUUCCCCUCCCCUAGUCCUAUUAGGACUAGGAGAAGGUGGCCGGCCCCCCUCUCUCCCUUCCCCUUCGAGGAAUCCUAGUUGGACUAGGAUUGGGGGGAGGAAUCCUACUCCCAGAGGGAGUAGGACUCUCCUGCGCCUCCCGCUUUGGCCGGCCAGCCUCCCCUCCUCUCCUCCUUUAUAUACGGAGGCAGGGGCACCUCUAAACACACAAGUUGACACAAGUUGAUCCACGUGAUCGAUUCCUUAGCCGUGUGCGGUGCCCCCUGCCACCAUAUUCCUCGAUAAUACUGUAGCGGAGUUUAGGCGAAGCCCUGCUGCUGUAGUUCAUCAAGAUCGUCACCACGCCGUCGUGCUGACGAAACUCUUCCCCGACACUUUGCUGGAUCGGAGUCCGGGGAUCGUCAUCGAGCUGAACGUGUGCUCGAACUCGGAGGUGCCGUAGUUUCGGUGCUUGAUCGGUUGGAUCGUGAAGACGUACGACUACUUCCUCUAUGUCGUGUCAUUGCUUCCGCAGUCGGUCUGCAUUGGGUACGUAGACAACACUCUCCUCUCGUUGCUAUGCAUCACAUGAUCCUGUGUGCGCGUAGGAAAAUUUUGAAAUUACUACGAAACCCAACAUGAUCCUCGAACGGUCGAUGCCCAUUUUGUGCACUGUGUCCUGAAAAUGUAGGUUCAGGAUGUUGCCGCCAUCCAUAAGGACUCGCGUAAGGUGGAAUCCGUCGAUGAUUGGGUCUAGGACCAAUGCGGCUGAAGCACCGUGACGGAUGCUGGUAGGGUGAUCCCUACAAUCAAAGGUGAUCGGACAGGCUGACCAUGGGUUAAAUUUUGGGGCGACUGGCUCCAUCGCAUAGACGUCCCGUAGUGCUCGCUUCCGUUCCCGUUUGGGAAUGUGGGUGGCGUAGAUCAUGUUGACCGUUUUCACCUGGGGAGGGAAUUUCUUCUGUCCCCCCGUGUUCGGACACCGGGGCUCCUCGUCAUCGUUGCUGUGCAGCCCCUUGUCCUUGUUUUCGUCGUUUAUUUUUCCGGCCUGUUUGAACACCCAGCUGUCUCUAUUAGUGUGGUUUGCUGGCUUAUCCGGGGUGCCAUGAAUAUGGCACAAGCGAUCAAGUAUGCGGUCCAGACUGGACGGUCCUUGAUUGUUUCUUUUGAACGGCUUUUUCCGCUGACCGGAUUUCGAGCCACUGAAUCCGGCGUUGACUGCCGUGUCUUUAGUGUUGUCACUGUUGUUCCGUCGCUUAUGUCUAUUGCGCCGUGGCUUGCCGUUACUGUCGCGACCGUCUGGAGUGCCAGAGUUCAUUGGUGUGGUGCUACUACGAGCCAGCUAGCUGUCCUCGCCCGCGCAAAAGCGGGUCGUGAGUGUCGUGAGGGCCGCCAUGGAUUUUGGCUUUUCCUGGCCGAGGUGUCGGGCGAGCCACUCGUCAUGGAUAUUAUGCUUGAAGGCCGCCAGGGGUUCGGCGUCCGGACAGUCGACUAUUUGGUUGUUUUUGGUUAGGAACCAAGUCCAGAAUUUCAUGGCUGACUCUCCGGGCUGUUGGGUAAUGUGGCUAAAGUCAUCGGCAUUUGGUGGUCGCACAUACGUGCCCUGGAAGUUGUCGAGGAAUGCGUCCUCCAGGUUUUCCCUACUGCCAAUGGAAUUUGCCGGCAGGCUAUUUAGCUAGUGCCUUGUCGGUCCUUUGAGUUUAAGGGGAAGGUACUUGAUGGCGUGUAGAUCAUCACCACGGGCCAUGUGAAUGUGGAGAAGGAAGUCCUCGAUCCAUACUGCGGGGUCUGUUGUGCCAUCGUAUGAUUCGAUGUUUACGGGUUUAAACCCUUCUGGGAAUUCAUGAUCCAUCACUUUGUCAGUGAAGCAGAGGGGGUGAGCGGUGCCUCUGUGCCAGGCUAUGUGGCUACGCAGCUCGACUCAGUACGGUUGGCUGUAUUCGGCCGGGCCGGACUUGCCGGUGGUGUAUCCGGCGUAACGAUCAUCAUUACGUGUUGGGGUGCGCCCCCGCGAUCCGUAGAUCGAUCUUGGAUGUCCUGCCUUGUUUUCCAGUAUAUCUUGCAGGUCCUGCCUAUUGCCCCGAGCCGUAGUGUAUUGGCGUGGGGGUACGGGCUGGUAUGCCAUUUUGUCCCGGCCACGAGGUGGCCGGUCAGCCGUCUGGCACUUGGGUCUGUAGUCCUCAGCUGCCAGGACUUCAGUCCAUCUGUCUAUGAGCAGGUCUUGGUCAGCUUGAAGCUGCUGCUGCUUCUUUUUCAGGCUUCUCGCAGUGGCCAUAAGUCGGCGCUUGAAGCGCUCCUACUCCACGGGGUCCUCAGGCACGCCGAACUCAUCGUCGCCGAGGCUAAUCUCAUCUUCGGAGGAGGGCAUGUAGUUGUCCUCCUCCGAAUAUCCGUUCGUCGGCUGUUCAUCUGGGUUGUCCUGCCCAACUUCCUGUUCGGCCUGCUUGAAGGCAGGCUGAUCGCGGUUGUAUUCAUCUUCGGCACCAUCCGGACCGUUUUCGUCACCUGUGCUGGUAUUGCUGUGGCGGGGCUUGGAGCGGCGCCGAUGACGCCCAUGCUUUGUUUUCUUCCUUGAGGGGUUAUCCUCCAUUGCCUCAUCACCAUUGGUUUCUUUUGGAGUGUCCACCAUAUUUAUAUCAUAUGAGGAAGUGGCUGUCCACCGCCCCGUGGGCGGUGGUUCCUGUUCUUCUCCUGCAUCGUCGUUCACACCGUCAAUGUCUUCAGAGUCGAAGUCAAGCACGUCGGUUAAAUCAUCGACCAAGGCAAUGAAGUGGGUGGUGGGUGGGCAACGAAUUCCUUCGUCGCCUGCUUCUCACUCGAGCCGGACAUAGUUCGGCCAAGAGUCUCCUAACAAAGAGAGAGACUUUAACGAGUUCAGCACGUCGCCAAAGGGCGAGUGCUGGAAGAUAUCCGCAGCGGUGAACUCCAUUACCGGUGCCCAACCAGAUUCGGCGGGCUCGGGAGUGCGCGGACUGGAAGCUACAGCCGGAUACGAGUCCGGGGGUCCGGUGUCAUAAGCUUCCUUGGGGGUGACGCCUGUGUUCGGCUCUACCGCCGAUGAGUGUGCGGCUUCCGGGGCGGGGUCCAUCCACCCGUCCUUGGGUGACGCAAUCUGCUCCGGAUUUAGGUUCGGAGCUCCAGCAGGGGCGAUAUCCCGAGCAUAGUCCGACAGUAUGUCUAAGUCGUGCUCAUCGUGACUGUCCGGUGCUCCUGGCGCAGGCCCGAAUCCGUUGAAUAUCAAGUCUCCGCGGAUAUCGGUUGUGUAGUUCAAGUUUCCGAACCUGACCUGAUGACCAGGGGCGUAGCUGUCGAUCUGCUCCAGACGGCCAAGCGAAUUGGCCCGCAGUGCGAAGCCACCGAACACGAAGAUCUGUCCAGGGAGAAAAGUCUUCCCCUGGACCAUGUUGUUGGUGAUGAUUGAAGCAACCAUCAAGCCUUGCAGCGGAGACACAGAGGAACUCUCAAUGAAAGCACCAAUGUCAGUGUCAAAACCGGCAGAUCUCGGGUAGGGGGUCCCGAUCUGUGUGUCUAAGGCUGAUGGUAACAGGAGGCAAGGGACACAAUGUUUACCCAGGUUCGGGCCCUCUCGAUGGAGGUAAAACCCUAGUUCCUGCUUGAUUGAUAUUGAUGAUAUGAGUAGUACAAGAGUUGAUCUACCACGAGAUCGUAGAGGCUAAACCCUAGAAGCUAGCCUAUGAUGAUUAUGAUUCUGUCUCUAAGGACUAAACUCUCCGGUUUAUAUAGACAUCAGAGAGGGCUAGGGUUUACAUGGAGUCGGUUACAAAGAAGGAAAUAUAAUAUGCGGAUCGCCAAGCUUGUCUUCCACGCAAAGGAGAGUCCCAUCCGGACACGGGACGGAGUCUUGAGUCUUGUACCUUCACGCUCAAAUAGUCCCGACAAAGUAUAUAGUCCGGCUGUCCGGAUACCCCCUAAUCCAGGACUCCCUCAGAUGCCCCGCGGGUUCGGACCAACAACGAUGUCGUCGUCGCGUCACUCCACCAACCGCGUUGUGUCAUCACCCAGGCCUUUAUUCCUUUAAACAAUAUGUUUGCAAAAAUUAAUUACGCAAAGAUGUUUAUCAUUAUUAAUAUUUCUUCUGGCCUGUGCAAUUUACACAUGGGCAGGAAAUCUACUUUGUGUGCACCACCUUGGCGAGCAUCGCUGCCGCAUCGUCUAUUUUGUUUGUUGUCAAAUCAGAGAAGAAAAUAAAGAUGAUGACGCCCGCCGUCAGGCGGUACAUCGGAUCCGGACUCUGCUGCGGCGACGCGCAGCACACCCAACUCAUGGAAACAUUCUACCCCGCGCGUCUUGGCAAUUCUUGGAGAAGCGAGCGAUCCAGCCGAGGGGACCAGGCAUGUGCAACUUUGCGCUGACGAACAUUAAGCCCGAUAGCAGCACACAUCAGGGAGACUUCGUUCUUUUCCUUUUUCAUAUUUGGCAUCUAGUCGGCCCCUGGUUCUCUGCUACUUUCUACUAAAAAGACAUCAGGAAAUCUACUUCUUCUGCUUCACUUCGGCAAACCAACGUCAUCGUCCCAAUCGGCUUGUGUGAUCACCUUGUUGGUUGAAUUGCUAUACCAACAUGUUAGGUCGCCUCGGGGACUUCGGCAUCGCUGAGAGAGCUCUACCUCAACGAGUGUUUAGCACAAGGGCCAUAUUUCUCUUAUUACUCAUUUUGCGUAAAUUAUUUAUUAUGCUAUGAUUUUUUACUAUUAAUUCUGGCUUGCACUAUUUUCUGUGCACAGAUAAAUGGUCCGGGUUAGGCAGCGCUGUCACCUCAGCAUAUCGACGUACCACAUCACCUCGGCUGGACCGGGGCUUCACCUCUUCGGAGUGUCGAGCUCUUCGCUCGGCCACAUUGGGCUUGGGGGCUGAGACCUUGUCCCGCACCAAGCUCGGACUGCAUCAUCAAUGCCAAACACAUUAACCAGCUAAGUCGCUUUCAUGCUCAAAAACUCCCAGUUUUAAAUUUUGUUCGGUUCGACCAAGCAUUAUAAUUUUCUGGCAAAAUGUUGCUUGCGAAAAACUUCCUUGUCAAAACUUUGUUUGUGACACACAAAUUCAAAUACCCCAUUUAACCGGGGGCUUCCUUUAUGAAGCCUUUCCUCUUGCAUAUGAUUAUACUUGUACAGCUUCGUUCCUUGUUCGUGUAUUAUGCCACAAUAUGCACCAUGUUGACUUAAGCGACUUGCAAGCUGGGUUGCCUUGCUCCUGUGUUUACCCCUACAUUCCCGAUUGUUUGGCUAGGGAGUAAAGGGAGUACCUCUGCGAUUGUCACAAUCGGGUCAUCCGAGCUCGGACCUCAGACUGGGUGAAGCCGAAAGCUAGCGCUCUUAUUGUUUCCAACAAUGGUCGGCACACAACAGAACUUAUGAGUACAAAAAAUCUAUUGCACAAGUCUCAUAAGUAACAAUGAGCAACCGAAGAAAGGUAUCAGUGGAGGUACUAUUUUCUUCGAAGAUGCUUCUUACACUUUGUCAGUAAUAUAGCAUAAGUUCCCUGAGCGCGCUUUGUCUGUUACAGCCUUAUGGCCUGAUUGCCUGGUUAUCGGAAACACCGUCGAUAUUCUCGACAGGUGGAGUACAUAACACUUUUCGGCCCUUGGCCGAAGAGGGAGAAGCCGACGGUUGGUUAAGACGCGUUUAAAGUUUGGGUGAACGCAUAUAUGAUGCAAGCACUUCGGUACAUGCAAUCAUUAUACAUAAAAUUCUUUUACCCAAGUCACUCGGGGGCUCUUAUGUGAGCUGUUUUAUAAUAAGUGUUCUUCUUCAUAGUCGUUGCAAAAUCUUUUUUCUAUCACCCCUUUUUUCGACGCGAGUGUGUGGUCAAUAGCCAGGGAGCCUAGUUUCUCUCUCAAAGCCGCUAAAGUUUGCUAAACUAGCCUAACAGGAAGUACUCCGCCUUCGGGAUAGGAGGUUGAAGCCGUAGGAUGACCCGCUUGAAGUCUUGAGAUAGGAUGUGUCAUGUUAAAGCACGACAUAAUCACAAUUUUUUUCUAAGACCAAUUUUCUGAUUGGCACCGAACAAUUCUAGUUCGGACGUCGAGUUUUUCUUGACGUUUUUUUGGUUUUCCAAUCCUAUGGCACUUUUCAACUAUUUAUGUGUUUUCCGCAUAAGUCUCGAGUGCAACGCCGGAAACCUUUAGAGAUUCGGCAAAAAUUCUCGGAUAUUGCUAUAUAUGCAUCAGUUUCGAAUUGUGUUUUCGGUGAAUAGUUGGGUUGCCCGGCUCCUGUGCUUGCCUCCUAUGUUCCGCUUUGUUCGACUAGGUGUGCAAAGGGAGAACCACUGCGAUUGUGAUUCCAUCUCGCAUGGUUAAGCACCGCAGUGGAGAAAGCCGAAAACUAACUUUCACAAUAAGCGUAAACUGGUCAGUGGUCUGAUGACUAUAUUAAAUCACGGGUCGUUCAUAACAUUGGCUGAAGUGUUUACGGCUUGACCUCAGCUGUCGCCGAACACUAACCAGGGGGCUACUUGCUGGCCUCCCAACUUUAAGCUCCUAUGACUAAGUGAAAGUUAUAAAGCCCGCAUAUCUGAUCGCCUCGUUUUCGCCAACACAACCGCCUUCGCGCACCGAGACGUUGGUUAAGGGUUGUUUUGUUAUCGAAAACACCCUGCGUAGCAUUUACAAGGGGGUAGAAGCCGACGAUGGGCCACUUUCAGAUUAUAAACGGUCGCAACGGAAGUGAAAAUUUGGGUUCAUUUAGACCAUAGAGUUUGGAAGCUUUCCCCGAACUAAAUCCUCAGUAUUUUCCUCCCACAUUGAUUGGAGCUGAGGUUUCAUGAUCAUGCUUAGCAUGACAACCCAAAGAAAGGGACCGAUAGCGGGACUAUUUCCUUUGGACGAUGUUUCUUGUGUUAAACAAUAACAUAACAUGUCGCUCUGCGUACCUUUGUUUAUAAAACCGUAUGGCCGGAUUGCCUUGUUUGCCGUAAAUCUUUGCCCUCAUAAAGGCUUUAUAAAGUAGGACAAACAAUCCUCGGCUGCUGGCCGAGGAGGUUGAAGCCGAUGGUCAGUCAACAAAUUUUUGUACAAUGCAGAUCCGAGCAUUAAUGAUGUAAAGUACUUGGAUACAUAGAGCCAUUACACAUAAUUUGUGAUUUUACUAUGGAUAUCGAUCCUUAAUUCGGCCUCUCGUGCCCGCAUUAAGACCCGGGGGCUACUAGGCUUCGGGCUUAUUAUUUACAAGUAUUAAAAGGGCACAUCGAUCCCCUGAUCUGGUGUUGCCACCCGACCAGUGUCUUGGGGGCUACUGCAUUGACAAUCCAAUGCAGAAAAUUUAAAGUGCAAUAUAGUUUUCGAGGAGAUUAUUAUCCUCAGGUUGGUCGGCCGCACCCAACCUGAGUCUCGAGGACUUUGCACACCGAGUUUCUAUUCCUAAGUAUGCUGCUGAGCUGGGAAUUGAUCCUAAGACUGAUUUUAUGAAUCGACCUGAGUCUCAGGGGCUACUAGGGUCAGCGGUUUGAUUUUUUCCUUCAGGUGCAUCCCGGAUAUUAGGCCAACACGCACCUUGAGGGCUACUGGCUAUACAUCCCGGCAGAGAUUACAUUGCAUAAUUCGGAAUUAAAUUCAUAAAAAGCAGCCCAUGGCCGAGGUGGUGCACCACCUCGGAUAUAGUCCGGCGUUGGUGCUCAACUACAAUAGACACCCCAGAAGCAGUCCGGCAUAAAGCUCGGCCGCCAGUGGCUGGCUCCAUAGAGGGCAUUCUCGGCAUUAAGCUCGGCUAAACUCCUUCAACUUUUUUGAACCAAGGUGAUCUAUGACACCUCGAAUAUAGUCCGGCGUUGGAGCUUGGACAUAGUCCGUGGAGCUUGGACAUAGUCCGGCGUUGGAGCUCGGAUACAGUCCGGCGUUGGAGCUUGGACAUAGUCCAACGUUGGAGCUCGGAUACAUUCCGGCGUUGGAGCUCGGAAGCGGUCCGGCGUUGGUGCUCGACUGCUAAAGAUACCUCGAAUGUAGUCCGACGUUGGAGCUCGGACGCAAGAGGACGUUGCCGCUCGGGAACAACUUCAAACCCGAGGUAUGGCAUAAAAGUAACAAGGCAUUGAUAAAGGCCGGAAACUUAAAGGGGCUCCUCGGAUACCCGACGUGUAAACUCUUCGGAGUCACCUUGGUGAUCCUCAAGAUGAAAGACGAGAAGAUUUGUUGAACCAAUUUUCAAGACCAACGACCGAAGGUGAAGAAUAGUUCAGAAGAAUCGAGGAGCGUCCCCAACUUGAAAACCGGUUCAGGGGGCUACUAACAGUGUCCUGGACUAGGGGGUACUCACCACAUCGUCUCUCGAUCAGUUGGAUUGGGCCGAGGACCCCCAUGGCCGUAUACUCAUGGGCCAGUUCGGACAACCCCUGCCGCAUACAAGGAAGACUCCACAAGACUUGGCGCCCAAGACAAGGACUCUCCUAAACCCUAGGCCUCCGGUGUCUUAUAUAAACCAAGGCCAGGCUAGUCAAUAGAAAAUCUCAUAUUCAUUACUACAAUCUCGUGGUAGACACAUGUACUCUGUACUACACCCAUAUGAAUACAAUCAAAAGCAGCAUGUAGGGUAUUAUCUCAUCAAGAGUGCCCGAAGCUGGGUAAAACCCCGUGUCCAUGUUACCAUCGCUCCAAAGCGCCUAGCUUAGGACCCCUACUAUGAGAUACGCUGGAUAUUGAACCGACACUCCUCACUAGCAGAAUCCUUCCUCAUAGAUGGAUUUCCAAGCACUCUAGCUGUAGUUUUUCUGACCCUCUUCUUGCCUUCUUCACCUGAUCUUCUCUCAAGUGUUAAAACCAUAGUUCCUUGAGUUGAUGCUCUGGCCUUUGACAUAGGAAUUCUCUUGGCAGGUGCCUUCUUGUGCAUACCAGGUUUUGUUGCAGCUGCAGUUCCAUAUUCCUUCUUCAACACUUUCUUCUUGGAGCUUACUUCCUCCUCAGCAGCCACAUAGUCCUCAUCCUCUGAGUCUGAGUUUCUCUUUCUCCUUGUCCUUGUAGCUUCCUUGGGCAAAUUGCUUGGAGUGCUCCUGCUGCCAUCAUCAGAGUUGCUAGAUGGACUAAUGAAGGAAAUAUGCCCUAGAGGCAAUAAUAAAGUUAUUAUUUAUUUCCUUAUAUCAUGAUAAAUGUUUAUUAUUCAUGCUAGAAUUGUAUUAACCGGAAACAUAAUACAUGUGUGAAUACAUAGACAAACAGAGUGUCACUAGUGUGCCUCUACUUGACUAGCUUGUUGAUCAAAGAUGGUUAUGUUUCCUAACCAUAGACAUGUGUUGUCAUUUGAUUAACGGGAUCACAUCAUUAGGAGAAUGAUGUGAUUGACAUGACCCAUUCCGUUAGCUUAGCACACGAUCGUUUAGUAUAUUGCUAUUGCUUUCUUCAUGACUUAUACAUGUUCCUAUGACUAUGAGAUUAUGCAACUCCCAUUUACCGGAGGAACACUUUGUGUGCUACCAAACGUCACAAUGUAACUGGGUGAUUAUAAAGGAGCUCUACAGGUGUCUCCAAAGGUACAUGUUGGGUUGGUGUAUUUCGAGAUUAGGAUUUGUCACUCCGAUUGUCGGAGAGGUAUCUCUGGGCCCUCUCGGUAAUGCACAUCAAUUAAGCCUUGCAAGCAUUGCAACUAAUGAGUUAGUUGUGAGAUGAUGCAUUACGGAACGAGUAAAGAGACUUGCCGGUAACGAGAUUGAACUAGGUAUUGAGAUACCGACGAUCGAAUCUCGGGCAAGUAAUAUACCGAUGACAAAGGGAACAAUGUAUGUUGUUAUGCGGUCUGACCGAUAAAGAUCUUCGUAGAAUAUGUGGGAGCCAAUAUGAGCAUCCAGGUUCCAUUAUUGGUUAUUGACCGGAGACGUGUCUCGGUCAUGUCUACAUUGUUCUCGAACUCGUAGGGUCCGCACGCUUAAAGUUACGAUGACAGUUUCAUUAUGAGUUUAUAUGUUUUGAUGUACCUAAGGUUGUUCGGAGUCCCGGAUGUGAUCACGGACAUGACGAGGAGUCUCGAAAUGGUCGAGACAUGAAGAUUGAUAUAUUGGAAGUCUAUGUUUUGACAUCGGAAGUGUUCCGGGUGAAAUCGGCAUUUUACCGGAGCACCGGGAGGUUACCCGAACCCCCCGGUAACUUAAUCGGCCUUAAUGGGCCUAGUGGAGGAAGAGGAGAGGAGGCCAUGGGGCAGCCGUGCACCCCUCCCCCCCAAGUCCUAAUUGGACAAGGAGGGGGGCGGCGGCCCCCCUUUCCUUUCCCCUCACUCUCUCCUCCCCCCCUAAGUCCUAGUCCAACAUGGAAAAGGGGGGGAGUCCUACUCCCAGUGGGAGUAGGACUCCUCCUGGCGCGCCCUCCUCUUGGUCGGCCGCACCCCCCUUGCUCCUUUAUAUACAGGGGCGGGGGCACCCUAGAGCACAACAAUUGAUCCUUGAGAUAUCUCAGCGGUGUGCGGUGCCCCCCUCCACCAUGGUCCUCGAUAAUAUUGUAGCAGUGCUUAGGCGAAGCCCUGCGACAAUAGAACAUCAAGAUCGUCACCACGCCGUUGUGUUGACGGAACUCUCCCCCGACACUUUGCUGGAUUGGAGUCCGGGGAUCGUCAUCGAGCUGAACGUGUGCUAGAACUCGGAGGUGUCGUAGUUUCGGUGCUUGAUCAGUCGGGCCGUGAAGACGUACGACUACAUCAACCGUGUUGUUAUAAUGCUUCCGCUUUCAGUCUACGAGGGUACGUGGACAUACUCUCCGCUCUCGUUGCUAUGCAUCACCAUGAUCUUGCAUGUGCAUAGGAAUUUUUUUGAAAUGACUACGUUCCCCAACAGUGGCAUCCGAGCCUGGUUUUAUGCGUAGAUGUCAUAUGCACGAGUAGAACACAAGUGAGUUGUGGGCGAUAUAAGUCAUACUGCUUACCAGCAUGUCAUACUUUGGUUCGGCGGUAUUGUUGGAUGAAGCGGCCCAGACCAACAUUACGCGUACGCUUACGCGAGACUGGUUCUACUGACGUGCUUUGCACACAGGUGGCUGGCGGGUGUCCGUUUCUCCAAUUUUAGUUGAAUCAAGUGUGGCUACUCCCGGUCCUUGCGAAGGUUAAAACAACACCAACUUGACAAACUAUCAUUAUGGUUUUGAUGCGUAGGUAAGAACGGUUCUUGCUAUGGUCAAGACAUGAUGCUAAAUUUUAUUGUAUGAGAUGAUCAUGUUUUGUAACAGAGUUAUCGGCAACUGGCAGGAGCCAUAUGGUUGUCGCUUUAUUGUAUGCAAUGCAAUCGCCCUGUAAUGCUUUACUUUAUCACUAAGCGGUAGCAAUAGUCGUAGAAGCAUAAGAUUGGCGAGACGACAACGAUGCUACGAUGGAGAUCAAGGUGUCGCACCGGUGACGAUGGUGAUAAUGAUGGUGCUUCGAAGAUGGAGAUCACAAGCAUAAGAUGAUGAUGGCCAUAUCAUAUCACUUAUAUUGAUUGCAUGUGAUGUUUAUCUUUUAUGCAUCUUAUGUUGCUUUGAUUGACGGUAGCAUUAUAAGAUGAUCCCUCACUAAAUUAUCAUAGUAAAAGUGUUCUCCUGAGUAUGCACCAUUGCAAAAGUUCUUCGUGUUGAGACACCACGUGAUGAUCGGGUGUGAUAGGCUCUACAUUCAAAUACAACGGGUGCAAAAUAGUUGCACACGCGGAAUACUCAGGUUAAACUUGACGAGCCUAGCAUAUAACAGAUAUGGCCUCGGAACAUGGAGACCGAAAGGUCGAGCGUGAAUCAUAUAGUAGAUAUGAUCAACAUAUUGAUGUUCACCGUUGAAACUACUCCAUCUCACGUGAUGAUCGGACAUGGUGUAGUUGAUAUGGAUCACGUAAUCACUUAGAGGAUUAGAGGGAUGUCUAUCUAAGUGGGAGUUCUUUAGUAAUAUGAUUAAUUGAACAUAAAUUUAUCAUGAACUUAGUACCUGAUAGUAUCUUGCUUGUCUAUGUUGAUUGUAGAUAGAUGGCCCGUGUUGUUGUUCCGUUGAAUUUUAAUGCGUUCCAUGAGAAAUACAAAGUUGAAAUAUGAUGGUAGCAAUUACACGGACUGGGUCCGUAACUUGAGGAUUAUCCUCAUUGCUGCACAGAAGAAUUACAUCCUGGAAGCACCGCUGGGUGUCAGGCCUGCUGCUGGACCAACACCAGAUGUUAUGAACGUUUGGCAGAGCAAAGCUGAUGACUACUCUAUAGUUCAGUGUGCCAUGCUUUACGGCUUAGAACCGGGUCUUCAAUGACGUUUUGAACGUCAUGGAGCAUAUGAGAUGUUCCAAUAGUAGAAGUUAAUAUUUCAAGCAAAUGCCCGGAUUGAGAGAUAUGAAGUCUCCAAUAAGUUCUAUAGCUGCAAGAUGGAGGAGAACAAUUCUGUCAGUGAGCAUAUACUCAAAAUGUCUGGGUAUAAUAAUCACUUGAUUCAACUGGGAGUUAAUCUUCCGAAUGAUAGCGUCAUUGACAGAAUUCUCCAAUCACUGCCACCAAGCUACAAGAGCUUUGUGAUGAACUAUAAUAUGCAAGGGAUGGAAAAGGCUAUUCCCGAGCUCUUCACGAUGCUAAAAGCUACGGAGGUAGAAAUCAAGAAGGAGCAUCAAGUGUUGAUGGUUAACAAGACCACUAGUUUCAAGAAAAAGGAGAAAGGGAAGAAGAAGGGAAACUUCAAUAAGAACAGCAAGCAAGUUGCUGCUCAGGAGAAGAAACCCAAGUCUGGAACUAAGCCUGAAACUGAGUGCUUCUACUGCAAGCAGACUGGUCACUGGAAGCGGAACUGCCCCAAGUAUUUGGCGGAUAAGAAGGAUGGCAAGGUGAACAAAGGUAUAUGUGAUAUACAUGUUAUUGAUGUGUACCUUACUAAUGCUCGCAGCAGCACCUGGGUAUUUGAUACAGGUUCUGUUGCUAAUAUUUGCAACUCGAAACAGGGACUACGGAUUAAGCGAAGAUUGGCUAAGGAUGAGGUGACGAUGUGCGUGGGAAAUGGUUCCAAAGUCGAUGUGAUCGCGGUCGGCACGAUACCUCUACAUCUACCUUUGGGAUUAGUUUUAGACCUAAAUAAUUGUUAUUUGGUGCUAGUGUUGAGCAUGAACAUUAUAUCUAGAUCUUGUUUGAUGCGAGACGGUUAUUCAUUUAAAUCAGAGAAUAGUAGUUUUUCUAUUUAGAUGAGUAAAAUCUUUUAUGGUCAUGCACCCUUUACGAGUGGUCUAUUUUUUAUUGAAUCUCGAUAGUACUGAUACACAUAUUCAUAAUGUUGAAGCCAAAAGAUGCAGAGUUGAUAAUGAUAGUGCAACUUAUUUGCGGCACUGCCGUUUAGGUCAUAUCAGUGUAAAGCGCAUGAAGAAACUCCAUACUGAUGGAGUUUUGGAACCACUUGAUUAUGAAUUACUUGGUACUUGUGAACACGUGCCUCAUGGGCAAGAUGACUAAAACACCGUUCUCCGGUACUAUGGAGAGAGCAACUGAUUUAUUGGAGAUCAUACAUACAGAUGUAUGUGAUCCAAUGAAUGUUGAGGCUCGUGGCGGAUAUCGUUAUUUUCUCACCUUCACAGAUGAUUUGAGCAGAUAUGGGUAUAUCUACUUAAUGAAACAUAAGUCUGAAACAUUUGAAAAGUUCAAAGAAUUUCAGAGUGAAGUUGAAAAUCAUCGUAACAAGAAAAUAAAGUUUCUAUGAUCUGACCGUGGAGGAGAAUAUUUGAGUUACGAGUUUGGUCUACAUUUGAAACAAUGUGGAAUAGUUUCGCAACUAACGCCACCCAGAACACCAUAACGUAAUGGUGUGUCUGAUCGUCGUAAUCGUACUUUACUAGAUAUGGUGCGAUCUAUCAUGUCUCUUAUAGAUUUACUGAUAUCAUUUUGGGGUUAUGCUUUAGAGACGGUUGCAUUCACGUUAAAUAGGGCACCAUCAAAAUCCGUUGAGACGACGCCUUAUGAACUAUGGUUUGGCAAGAAACCAAAGUUGUCAUUUCUGAAAGUUUGGGGCUGCGAUGCUUAUGUGAAAAAGCUUCAACCUGAUAAGCUCGAACCCAAAUCGGAGAAAUGUGUCUUCAUAGGAUACCCAAAGGAGACUGUUGGGUACACCUUCUAUCACAGAUCCGAAGGCAAGACGUUUGUCGCUAAAUUCGGAAACUUUCUGGAGAAGGAGUUUCUCUCGAAAGAAGUGAGUGGGAGGAAAGUAGAACUUGAUGAGGUAACUGUACCUGCUCCCUUAUUGGAAAGUAGUAUAUCGCAGAAACAGGUUUCUGUGACACCUAUACCAAUUAGUGAGGAAGAUAAUGAUGAUGAUCAUGAAACUUCAGAUCAAGUUGUUACUGAACCUCGUAGAUCAACCAGAGUAAGAUCUGCACCAGAGUAGUACAGUAAUCCCGUUCUGGAAGUCAUGUUACUAGACCAUGAUGAACCUACGAACUAUGAAGAAGCGAUGGUGAGCCCAGAUUCCGAAAAAUGGCUUGAGGCCAUGAAAUCUGAGAUGGGAUCCAUGUAUGAGAACAAAGUAUGGACUUUGGUUGACUUGCUCAAUGAUUGGUAAGCCAUCGAGAAUAAAUGGAUCUUCAAGAAGAAGACUAGCGUUGAUGGUAAUGUUACUGUCUACAAAGCUUGACUUGUUGCGAAAGGUUUUCGACAAGUUCAAGGGGUUGACUACGAUGAGACUUUCUCACCCGUAGCGAUGCUUAAGUCUGUCCGAAUUAUGUUAGCAAUUUUUUGCAUUUUAUGAUUAUGAAAUUUGGCAAAUGGAUGUCAAAACUGCAUUCCUGAAUGGAUUUCUGGAAGAAGAGUUGUAUAUGAUGCAACCAGAAGGUUUUGUCGAUCCAAAGGAUGCUAACAAAGUGUGCAAGCUCCAGCGAUCCAUUUAUGGACUGGUGCAAGCCUCUCGGAGUUGGAAUAAACGUUUUGAUAGUGUGAUCAAAGCAUAUGGUUUUAUACAGACUUUUGGAGAAGCCUGUAUUUACAAGAAAGUGAGUGGGAGCUUUGUAGCAUUUCUAAUAUUAUAUGUGGACGACAUAUUAUUGAUUGGAAAUGAUAUAGAAUUUCUGGAUAGCAUAAAAGGAUACUUGAAUAAAAGUUUUUCAAUGAAAGACCUCGGUGAAGUUGCUUAUAUAUUGCGCAUCAAGAUCUAUGGAGAUAGAUCAAGACGCUUAAUUGGACUUUCACAAAGUACAUACCUUGAUAAAGUUUUGAAGAAGUUCAAAAUGGAUCAAGCAAAGAAAGGGUUCUUGCCUGUAAUACAAGGUGUGAAAUUGAGUCAGACUCAAUGCCCGUCCACUUCAGAAGAUAGAGAGAAAAUGAAAGAAGUUCCCUAUGCUUCAGCCAUAGGAUCUAUCAUGUAUGCAAUGAUGUGUACCAGACCUAAUGUGUGCCUUGCUAUAAGUUUAGCAGGGAGGUACCAAAGUAAUCCAGUAGUGGAUCACUGGACAGCGGUCAAGAACAUCCUGAAAUACCUGAAAAGGACUAAGGAUAUGUUUCUCAUUUAUGGAGGUGACAAAGAGCUCAUCGUAAAUGGUUAUGUUGAUGCAAGCUUUGACACUGAUCCGGACAAUUCUAAAUCGCAAACCGGAUACGUGUUUACAUUGAACGGUGGAGCUGUCAGUUGGUGUAGUUCUAAACAAAGCGUUGUGGCGGGAUCUACAUGUGAAGCGGAGUACAUAGCUGCUUCAGAAGCAGCAAACGAAGGAGUCUGGAUGAAGGAGUUCAUAUCUGAUCUAGGUGUCAUACCUAGUGCAUCGGGUCCAAUGAAAAUCUUUUGUGACAAUACUGGUGCAAUUGCUUUGGCGAAGGAAUCCAGAUUUCACAAAAGAACCAAGCACAUCAAGAGAUGUUUCAAUUCCAUUCGGGAUUUAGUCCAAGUGGGAAACAUAGAAAUUUGCAAGAUACAUACGGAUCUGAAUGUAGCAGACCCGUUGACUAAGCCUCUUCCACGAGCAAAACAUGAUCAGCACCAAGGCUCCAUGGGUGUUAGAAUCAUUACAGUGUAAUCUAGAUUAUUGACUCUAGUGCAAGCGGGAGACUGAAGGAAAUAUGCCCUAGAGGCAAUAAUAAAGUUAUUAUUUAUUUCUUUAUAUCAUGAUAAAUGUUUAUUAUUCAUGCUAGAAUUGUAUUAACCGGAAACAUAAUACAUGUGUGAAUACAUAGACAAACAGAGUGUCACUAGUAUGCCUCUACUUGACUACCUUGUUGAUCAAAGAUGGUUAUGUUUCCUAACCAUAGACAUGUGUUGUCAUUUGAUUAACGGGAUCACAUCAUUAGGAUAAUGAUGUGAUUGACAUGACCCAUUCCGUUAGCUUAGCACACGAUCGUUUGGUAUAUUGCUAUUGCUUUCUUCAUGACUUAUACAUGUUCCUAUGACUAUGAGAUUAUGCAACUCCCAUUUACCGGAGGAACACUUUGUGUGCUACCAAACGUCACAACCUAACUGGGUGAUUAUAAAGGAGCUCUACAGGUGUCUCCAAAGGUACAUGUUGGGUUGGCGUAUUUCGAGAUUAGGAUUUUUCACUCCGAUUGUCGGAGAGGUAUCUCUGGGCCCUCUUGGUAAUGCACAUCACUUAAGCCUUGCAAGCAUUGCAACUAAUGAGUUAGUUGUGAUAUGAUGUAUUACGGAAUGAGUAAAGAGACUUGACGGUAACGAGAUUGAACUAGUUAUUGAGAUACCGACGAUCGAAUCUCGGGCAAGUAACAUACCGUUGACAAAGGGCACAACGUAUGUUGUUAUGCAGUCUGACCGAUAAAGAUCUUCGUAGAAUAUGUGGGAGCCAAUAUGAGCAUCCAGGUUCCGCUAUUGGUUAUUGACCGGAGACGUGUCUCGGUCAUGUCUACAUUGUUCUCGAACCCGUAGGGUCCGCACGCUUAAAGUUACGAUGACAGUUUCAUUAUGAGUUUAUAUGUUUUGAUGUACCGAAGGUUGUUCGGAGUCCCGGAUGUGAUCACGGACAUGACGAGGAGUCUCGAAAUGGUCGAGACAUGAAGAUUGAUAUAUUGGAAGUCUAUGUUUGGACAUCGGAAGUGUUCCGGGUGAAAUCGGCAUUUUACCGGAGCACCGGGAGGUUACCGGAACCCCCGGUAACUUAAUGGGCCUUAAUGGGCCUAGUGGAGGAAGAGGAGAGGAGGCCAAGGGGCAUCCAUGCGCCCCUCCCCCCAAGUCCGAAUUGGACAAGGAGGGGGGGCGGCGCCCCCCUUUCCUUUCCCCUCUCUCUCUCCUUCCCCCCAAGUCCUAGUCCAACAUGGAAAAGGGGGGAGUCCUACUCCCGGUGGGAGUAGGACUCCUCCUGGCGCGCCCUCCUCCUGGAUAGCCGCACCCCCCUUGCUCCUUUAUAUACGGGGGCGCGGGGCACCCUAGAGACACAACAAUUGAUCCCUGAGAUCUCUCAAUCGUGUGCGGUGCCCCCCUCCACCAUAGUCCUUGCUAAUAUUGUAGGAGUGCUUAGGCGAAGCCCUGCGGCAGUAGAACAUCAAGAUCGUCACCACGCCGUCGUGCUGACGGAACUCUUCCCCGACACUUUGCUGGAUCGGAGUCCGGGGAUCGUCAUCGAGCUGAACGUGUGCUAGAACUCGGAGGUGUCGUAGUUUUGGUGCUUGAUCGGUCGGGCCGUGAAGACAUACGACUACAUCAACCGCGUUGUUAUAACGCUUCCGCUUUCGGUCUACAAGGGUACUGGACAUAUUCUCCCCUCUCAUUGCUAUGCAUCACCAUGAUCUUGCGUGUGCGUAGGAAAUUUUUUGAAAUGACUACGUUCCCCAACAACUAAUGCCCUCACUCAUGUCCACUUGCUCUUUUGAUUUGUUUUGGCUAUCACUCUGGUCAAACAUACUGGCAAAGCAAACUGAUAGCAGAACCUGUUAAUAGAUAUACAUGAGGUAGAGUAGAUGAGCAUCACAAAGUGCAGAGUUUUUGCAAAAAGGAUGAGUCAAAAACUUAGUUUUAGUUUUCUACAGGAAGCAUUUCGGAGCUACCGAUUUGAAAAACUCGGUGACACUGAAGCAACUUUGGAGUCUAAACAUGUGGAAUCCGUCAGACUGAGACACAAUUCGGUGAAUCCAAGUUUGCUAGGGUUUCACAAACCCUGUUAUCGGUCACACCGAUUUGCAACUUUCGGUUAGACUGAAAAUCACUUGUGCAUUGGCCUAAGCCAAAUCGGUGGAACCGAUUCCUACAAUUCGGUCAGUCCGAGAUGAGUCCGGCGGAAACCUAACCCUAAAUUUUCAACUCAAAUCUAAUCUAAAGGAUGUUUUCUCUGGAUAGAUUGAUCUCAUACAUGGUAAAGAACAUGGCAUUGACCUUGUGCUCGGAAUCGGAGGUAAAAAGAAUGCACAAGGGGUCGAACUCAUACCCUGGUUCGGCGGUGAGUUCACUACGGUGGCAACGGCGGCGGAGACCAACGGUGGGAGGUCCCUGGUGACAAGAAGACGAUCCGGAGACCCAGGCAGCAGAGUAGGACACGUGCGGGCAAAGAGGUUUUGGAGAAAUUUCCAAAUUCUGACUCAUCAGUAUAUAUAUCAUGGCACUGUCGGUGUGACCGAGUGGAACAACUCGGUGGCACCGAGACGCAAAAUCGUAAGCGGUUACUGCAACUCGGUGAGAUCAAAAUGUUCUAAUUGGUUGCACCGAGAUUGAAAACUUGAUCAACCCAGUGAACUCGGUGUGACCGAAAUGGAGGAGUCGGUCAGACCGAAAUACACAGAGAGGUUUUGGAAAUUUUAAGUCAAUGAGAAAACAGGAAUCCGAGUGCUCCUCACAUAGAGGGUUUGAAUUUGACUUAGAUCAAACUUUGCGAUGUAGCAUGAAUAGAAUUUGAGAAGAGAAAAGCAUAGAUAGCUAGAGGGAGUUAUUAGGCAUUCUUGUCCAUCCAUUUGGCAAAAAUAAGAAACUCCAAACAAUCAAAGCAACAAAUGGAUGUCCUUGAAUGAGAAAAAUAUGCAAUCAACAUGCUCACACAAUAAAAUAGCAAAGGAAAUAUGUGGCAAAGCAUGCACAAUCACUCUAGAAUCUAUCAAGCAAUUUGCGAUGACUAGGUCAUCUAUAUAUGAGUAUAUUGACUUAGGAGUCAAAUGAGAACAUGUGAUCAUAGGUCAUACUCAUCGUUUAAGCACAAGUAGGGUUACCACUUUUACAUAAAGCAUUGUUGUGUUCACACCAUUAGAGUUGCUUUAGCUCAAUUCGUAGAGUAAAGCUCCCCCUAGAUGUGAUAUCCCCCCUAAUAGGGAUGAACUAACCUUGGGUUUUGUCGAUGAUGACUUCGUGUAGAUAUCGAAGAUGUGGAUGCUCAUUGUUGAUGUAGAUCAUUUGAAGCAACCCAUUGGAGUGAGUAGCACUUUCAAUACCUACAUGGGUUAGUCCCACAAGGAACAAACAAGGAUAUCCACGGACAAAGAGUAAAACACACACAUGAUGAUGUCCAUGAUAGCAUUAGGUUACCUUGUCCCUUGUAUUACCAACAAGAGGGUUUGUGACUCCUUGAGCUAGUGCAAGAUGUGGAAGUUGUUUGCACCUGUCCUUGCCAAAAUGAAUAUAAGUGAUGUAUGUUGGCGGAGUCACCCUCAAGAACUCUCUAGUUCUUCUUCUUCGGGAUCCACAUCAUCUUGAUGGGAAUCCUUGGAGUUGUAGAUGUACUUGAUGAAGUAGAACUUGAUGUAGUCUUGGGAACCCACUUGACCAAGGCCUUCAGAGCAUCUUCAAAUGCAUCAAUCUCCUCUUGAAGCUUGUCCUUGCCUUUUAGCUUGUGGUCUUGUGGUGGAAGAUCAUCCUGAGCUUGUGUCCCUUUGAAGGAAGUAGGUUCAUACUUCUAUUGUUGAGGAACAAACUUCGUCUUGGGGUAUUGAUCUUCUUCCCAAUCAACUCCAUUGGCAUUGAACUUUCAUUCAAAACCAACACCUUGAUUCUUCCGGUGCCUUCCUUGCUUCCGUAGAAUUUCCUCAAAUUGCUUACUUUCGGCAAGGCUUUUGUAAACAGCUUUCUCUAUAAUUCCCUUCAAUAAGCUAUUUUCUUACUCAAGUAUAACUUGGCUAAGAGAUUCAUUAUUGGAAUCAAGAGAACUACUAGAAGCAACAAUAUUGGAUUUAACAUGAUUAUUGUUACUGCUAGAAGAAGAAUCUUUCUUGUUCUUGUUGCUAGAUUUUACUUGUGGCAUGUAAGUAGACAAGAGUAAACGCUUAGCAAUGUAAUAAGAACUUUUCUCCUGAAGAUCAUCAUUGAUGGCCUUUAAGAACCCAUGCUCUUGUUCAAGAUUGAGCUUUUCGAAGCGUAACUUCUCAUGAGCUUUUAAAAGUUCUCGAUGAUCUUCUAAAUUGUUUAAUGAGCUAACUUAAGAGUGUUUAGUUCUUUAGUUAGAUGCUCAAUCUCCUUCUUAUCAUUGUCAUUCGUUUUAUCUUGAUUAUCAUGAUUAAUUAACAUUUCGUCAUAGUAUUCAUCACUAGAGUUGUCAACAAGUAAAUCAUCAUCACCUAGGAAAUCAUCUUCAUCACUAUUGAAAUCAACAUACUCGGGGUGUGAUACCUUGGGGCCUUUAGCCAUGAAGCAUCGUCCAAUUCCUUCAUUAUGUGAGUCAAGUAUGUCAUGGGAGUUGGUUGACACAAGUGCUAGACCGGAAACACCUUCAUUUUGAGUAUAUUCAGAGUUGGAGUGAUAACUUCUCUCAUAGUGGUGGUCAGAGUCAGAGCCGGAUACCCAUUCACCAACAUGAGCUUGAUGUCUUUGUUUUGUGUAGCUCCUUGAUGUCUUAUCCUUCCUUUCUGAAUCCUUGCUUCUUCGAGAGGUUCUUUGUUCAUAGCGAUCAUCUCUACUCCUUCUCUCUCUUGGAGGUGAUUCUUCCCUUUUGCUUCUUCUUUUAGGUGAGUCUUCUCUUCUUUUGUAAGGAGCCCUACACUCAUUGGAGUAGUGUCUGGGUCUUCCACAAUUGUAGCAGUUUCGCUCACGACUAGAAGAUCUUUUGUCAUUGUAGGACCUUGACUUGGAACUUCUUUCCUUGCUUCUACUCUUGUAGAAUUUGUUGAAGUUCUUCACCAUUAAGCUUAAUUAUGGCUUGUUUCUCAUUUGAUGAUGUAGGAGCAUCACAUGAGGCUUUGUAAGCACCACUAGACUUGUUGCGAAGCUCUUCUUUGUCCUUGAGUGACAUCUCAUGAGCAACAAUUCUUCCAAUGACUUUGGUUGGCUUGAGAUCUUUGUAAUUUGGCAUCAUUUGGAUCAAUGUGCACACAGUAUCAUAUUUUCCAUCCAAGGCUCUUCUUGAUGAUGAAUUUGUUGGUCAUAUCUUCACUUCCUAAGCCGGCAAUCUCAUUUGUGAUGAGAGCAAGCCUAGAGUACAUUUCAGCGACACCUUCACCAUCCUUCAUUUUAAACUUGUCAAGUUGACUUUGGAGUACAUCCAACUUGGAUUCCUUGAUAGAGUUGGUACCUUCAAGCAUAUCAGUCAAAGUAUCCCAAAUUUCCUUUACAUUCUCAAGACGACUGAUUUUGUUGAAUUCUUUGGGGCACAAUCCAUUGAAGAGGAUAUCACAAGCUUGAACAUUAUAUUGCAACAUCUCCAAUUCUUCUGCGGUAGCCUCACGGUUUGGUUCUCUCCCAUCAAAGAAUUCACCUUGCAAACCAAUACACACAAUAGCCCAAACGGCGGGGUUAUGUCCAAGAAUAUGCAUUUUCAUCUUAUGUUUCCAACUAGCAAAAUUAGUACCAUCAAAGUAAGGACCUCUACGGUGGUAAUUUCCCUCGCUAGACGCCAUACUCUCCUAGGUUGUGAAACCAAGGCUAGGAUCACCAAAGCUAUGGAAAUCAAGGCAAAAGGAGACCCAAGGCUCUGAUACCACUUGUAGGAUCGAAAGUAUGUCUAGAGGGGGGUGAUUAGACUACUUGACCAAAUAAAUACUUAUCCUUUUCCCAAUUUUAGUUCUUGACAGUUUUUAGCAACUUAGCACAAGUCAAGCAAUCUUAAUACAAUUCAAGCAAGCAUGCAAAGAGUAUAUAGGCAGCGGAAAGUAAAGCAUGCAGCUUGCAAGAAAGUAAACGGGAGGAGUUUGGAGGGAGCAAACGCAAUGUUGACACGAAGAUUUUUGGCGUGUUUCCGAUAGGUGGUGCUAUCGUACAUCCACAUUGAUGGAGACUUCAACCCACGGAAGGUAACAGCUGCGCGAGUCCAUGGAGGGCUCCACCCACGAAGGGUCCACGAAGAAGCAACCUUGUCUAUCCCAUCAUGGCCAUCGUACACAAAGGACUUGCCUCAUUAGGGUAGAUCUUCAUGAAGUAGGCGAUAUCCUUGCCCUUACAAACUCCUUGGUUCAACUCCACAAUCUUGACGGAGGCUCGCAAGUGACACCUAACCAAUCUAGGAUACACCACUCUCCAAAAGGUAAUAGAUGGUGUGUUGUGGAUGAACUCCUUGCUCUUGUGCUUCAAACGAUAGUCUCCCAACACUCAACUCUCUCUCACAGAUUUGGCUAUGGUGGAAAGAUGAUUUGAGUGGAAAGCAACUCGGGGAAGGCUAGAGAUCAAGAUUCAUAUGGUAGGAUAGGAAUAUCUUGGUCUCAACACAUGAGUAGGUGGUUCUCCCUCAAAAAAUGAGUAGUGGAAGUGUAGAUACGUUCUGAUGGCUCUCCUCUGUAAUGAGGAAUGGGUGGAGGGGUAUAUAUACACUACAAAAAAAAGACACAUCCGUGACAUUUUGGGCCGAACGAAUUUUUUUUGUCAUACAUAUGACACUUCUAUGACGAUAAUUUUGACAAAACCCGGUAUCAUCAUAGAUGUGGUGGGCUCCUACUUCUAUGACAAAAAAUCAUGACAGAAAAUGGGCUUUUCGUCCUGGGCGGGCCAGAGACGCAGCUGCAUGACAUUCUUUGGGCCGUCCAUGAUGGAAAAAACCGUGGUAGAAGCGAGAGGGAGGAAAAUUUCGGGGAGUUGCCGGUUACGGUGGGAGGUCGGGGGUCGAGCGAUGCACGUUAAUCUCGUACACAUACGCGUGUGUGUGAACCCAAGUGAGGCGUUGGGCUCUAACUCAACCCGAGCGAUUGCACCGCAGGCUACGCAUUACUGAACCCGAGCGAUCGAUCGAUGGCUGUUAACUGAACCAGAUCGAGCGAUUCCUUCACUACUGCUGCUAACUGAAGCCGAUCGAUGCUGCCUCUNNNNNNNNNNNNNNNNNNNNNNNNNNNNNNNNNNNNNNNNNNNNNNNNNNNNNNNNNNNNNNNNNNNNNNNNNNNNNNNNNNNNNNNNNNNNNNNNNNNNNNNNNNNNNNNNNNNNNNNNNNNNNNNNNNNNNNNNNNNNNNNNNNNNNNNNNNNNNNNNNNNNNNNNNNNNNNNNNNNNNNNNNNNNNNNNNNNNNNNNNNNNNNNNNNNNNNNNNNNNNNNNNNNNNNNNNNNNNNNNNNNNNNNNNNNNNNNNNNNNNNNNNNNNNNNNNNNNACAGGACCCCGUGGUGUGGUGGGCUGGAUGAACAGUAGAUGGUGGAGGGGUGCCCGUGGAAGGGUGGUUGAACAGGACCCCAUGGUGUGGAGGGCUGGAUGAACAGUAGAUGGUGGAGGGAUGCCCGUGGAGGGGUGGUUGAAUAGUAGCCGAUGGAGUAGCGCGCGGUGGAGGCUGGAUGAACAGGAGCGCGUGGAGGCUGGAGGAAGUCGACGGUAGCCCGUGGAGGCUGGAGGAGGUCGACGGUGGAGAUGAACAGCAUCCCGUGGAGUCCCAUUUUGCGGUACGCCACACCCCUCCCGAUGAACAGGACCCCCGUUUCGACCGUAGCGCUCCAACACAAGUCUGUUUCGUCCGUUUUGCGGUACACCACACCCCUCCUGAUCAACAGGACCCCCGUUUCGAUCGUAGGAGGUCCGUUUCCUCCGUUUUGCGGUACGCCACAUCCCUCCCGAUCAACAGGACCCCCGUUUUGACCGUAGGAGGUCUGUUUCCUAUGUUCUGCGGUACGCCAAGCCCCUCCCGAUCAACAGGAUCCCGUUUUGAACAUGGCCGGUCGAACACAAGGCCGUUUCCUCCGUUGUGCCAUACGCCAGGCCUCGUUUCCAUCGCCUAUUCCAUCCAAGCCCUCCCGAUGAACACGAACACGCAUUCCUUUCCGCCCCAGCCGGUUGGUUCCCCAUGAACACAACGAUGAUGUUGUUUCUCCGUUCCGACCCAGCCAUGUACGUAUGCGCGAGUAGGCAUUCGAGACCCUGCCCGUAUGUACGUACGUGGCCGUAUUUUCUUUCUUGCACCCUCGCCGUUGUACGUACGUGUACAUGCUACGUGCGCGCCUCUACUACGACACGUGCGCGCCUCUACAUCGACCAGUAUGUACGUACAUGUUUGCGACCAGAAUGACAACGCUACGUACGCUUCGACCAGGUGGGUCCCGACUGUCAGGCACUUCCUUGCCUACGAAGAUGUAGCUGGUGGGUCCCAGCAGUCUGGGGGGGGGGCGAAUUGUUUUUUUUCGGACGCACUUCCUUGCGUGCGAAGAUGUAGCUGGUGGGUCCCAGCAGUUAGGGGGGGAAUCGUUUUUUUUUUUGCCCNNNNNNNNNNNNNNNNNNNNNNNNNNNNNNNNNNNNNNNNNNNNNNNNNNNNNNNNNNNNNNNNNNNNNNNNNNNNNNNNNNNNNNNNNNNNNNNNNNNNNNNNNNNNNNNNNNNNNNNNNNNNNNNNNNNNNNNNNNNNNNNNNNNNNNNNNNNNNNNNNNNNNNNNNNNNNNNNNNNNNNNNNNNNNNNNNNNNNNNNNNNNNNNNNNNNNNNNNNNNNNNNNNNNNNNNNNNNNNNNNNNNNNNNNNNNNNNNNNNNNNNNNNNNNNNNNNNNNNNNNNNNNNNNNNNNNNNNNNNNNNNNNNNNNNNNNNNNNNNNNNNNNNNNNNNNNNNNNNNNNNNNNNNNNNNNNNNNNNNNNNNNNNNNNNNNNNNUUUUUGCCCGAACAUACUUCCUUGCGUGCGAAGAUGUAGCUGGUGGGUCCCAGCAAUCAAGGGGGCGAAUCGUUUUUUUUGCCCGGACGCACUUCCUUGCGUGCGAAGGUCUAGCUGGUGGGUCCCAGCAGUCAGGGGAAACGUUUUUUUUGCGAAAUACGGUGGCCCGUCCGGUGGGUCCCCGCUGUCAGGUGGAGGAAUAAUUAUUUUCCGUGUAAUAAGGAGGCACUUCCUUGCUGCGGCCGUGGACCCAGCUGUCAGCCUCUCCACAUACAGUCCAUGUUCGAUGGAAGUCGUUCCUUGACCACGUUGACCACGCCGCACUGAGAGCACCAGUGCGGUGGAUGACGGCGAGGCCUAGGAAGGGGACAACGGGGAGCCGGGGAAGACGCUGAAGUGGAAGCCCACGCGGAGAGGAGUACAAGGGUUCACUAGUUCGGCUGCGGUGUGAGGCUGCCGUCGCCGCAGGGCCUCACCAACGAUGGGAAUAGUAGGGGGCGGUGAGGCCUCCGCGGCAGCACAUCCGGCCACGGGAGGCAGGAGCAUGCGGCACGACCGGCGCUGCUUUGGGCGGCUAGAGCAAGAAGACCAGAGGUUGAAGAAGAACUACGGCCGUUGGAUGGACAUCGUACGGUCAUUGGAGCUAGAAUCGUUUAUAUUGACUAAGUUGAAAAAGCCCUCCGUCCCCGUCAACUUAGUAGGCCCACAAGUAAGCCUCCCACCAAGGUGGGUCCCAGCUAGUAGGGGGUAUUCAUUUUUUGUGCGUAAUAAGGAGGCACUUCCGGUGGGUCCGAGCUGACAGCAGGGGGAACGUUUUUUUCACGAAAUACGGUGGUCCGUCGGGUGGGUCCCAGCAGUCAGGGGCAAACAUUUUUUUUGCAAAAUACUGGUGGCCCGUCUGCUGGGUCCCUGCUGUCAGGUGGAGGAAUAAUUAUUUUCCGCGUAAUAAGGAGGCACUUCCUUGCGGCUGCCGUGGACCCAGCUGUCAGCCUCUCCACAUACAGUAUUCUUCCGAUGGAAUUCGGUCGUUGACCACAUUGACCAUGCCGAGCCGAGAGCACCACGGCGGUGGACGACGGUGAGGCCUAGGAAGGGGACGAUGUGGAGCCGGGGAAGACGCGGCAGUGCAUGCCCACGCGGAGAGGAGUACGAGGGUUCACUGGUUCGGCUGUGAUGCCGUCACCGCAGAAUAACAGGGGGUGUGGGUGACUGGACUAGAGGGAUGGCCUGGCCACCGGUGGGAGUAGUAUGGGGGCGGUGAGGCCUCCGCAGCAGCACAUCGGCCACGGGAGGCAGGAGCAGGCAACACGACCGGCGCUGCUUUAGGCGGUUGGAGCAAGAAGACCAGAGGUUGAAGGAGCACUACGGCCGUUGGAUGGACGUCGUACGGUCAGUCGAGCAAGAACCGUGCAUAUUGACUAAGUUGACAAAGCCCUUCGUCCCCGUCAACUUAGUAGGCCCACUAUAUUGGGUCCCAGCUAGCAGGGGGAGUAUUCUUUUUUUGGGCGUAAUAAGGAGGCACUUCCUUGCGUGCGAAGAUAUAGCUAGUGGGUCUGAGCUGUCAGCGGCGGUAAUGUUUUUUUCGCGAAAUAUAGAGGCCCUUUCGGUGGUUCCCAGAUGUCAGGUGGAGGAAUCAUUAUUUUGCGCGUAAUAAGGAGGCAUUUCCUUGCGUGCGGCCGUGGACCCAGCUGUCAGCCUCUCCACGUACAGUCCACUUCAGAUGCAUGUCGGUCGUUGACCAUGUUGACCACGCCACGCCAAGAGCACCAGGGCGGUGGACGACGGUGAGGCCUAGGAAGGGAACGACAUGGAGGCAGGGAAGACUCGGCAGUUGUUUCCCACGCGGAGGGGAGUACGACUGUACGAGGGUUUACUGGUUCGUCUGCCGUCACCGGAGAAUAACAGCAGGUGUGGGACUGUUGGUGAGUAGAGGGAUGGCUAGGCCAGCGAUGGGAGUACGGUGGGGCGGUGAGGCCUGCGUGGCAGCACAGCCGGCCGCAGGGAGGAGGGAGCAGGCAGUCCCGCCGGCGCUUGUUUGAGCGGCUAGAGCAGGAAGAGCAGAGAUUGAAGAAGCACGACGGCCGUUGGAUGGACAUCCAAUAGUAUACAGGCCAUCUGUGGAAAGCCUCAAAUCUGUGGAAACAGCAUACAGCCCAUCUGCCAUUAUUUCAAAUAGUUUACAACCCAUUUGCUAAUUCUUACGGUUUUUUUGGAGCGCAUAUUCUUUUUGUUAGCAUUACAGCCCAUAUUGUGGCCACGGUUAAAAAAUUAUGCGAAAUUUGGCAUAUGUCAGUGCAGUCUGAACUGUUUUUAAUCCUGAAAUUUCGAGUCACAUUUAGACUAAUUUUAAAAAUAAAUGUAUAUCAAUAUAAAAUCCAAUAAAUUGUCCACGCAUAAAAAUCAAUGCAAUUUAAAAUCUCGAAAUGAAAAAAAGAUAUUUGAAACUAAUUGUCGGUUUGAUGUGUUUUAAAAAUGUACAGCCCAUUUCUCAUUACUGAUUGGCCAUUUUCUGGGCCAGCCGAAUGAAGCUCUCCUCGUCUUGAAAGAUUUGCAGCCCAAUAGGCCUGAUAAAGCGACUUACUUGACAAAUCACAAAAAACUUGGCUAGCCAUUUUCAAAAAGAAAAAAAAUAUUGGGCUGGUCUGUGGUAAACAUAAAAGAAAAGGUUGUCUAGACAGGCGAGAGUGUCCCGCACAACCCAGGUUGACACCCUGCUUCCGUCUCAAAAACAAAUUUGAUAAAUGCCACUCCAAUUAUGGUGAUUCAUAAAAAUGCCACUGCAAUUUCCAAACAUUGAAAAAUGCCACUGCAACUUUUGCAAACUUUGAAAAACGCCACUGCAGUUUGCAAACUUUGAAAAACGCCACUCCAGACUUCAAAAAAUGCCACUAGAAAUGGCAUGAAAUGGCAUUUUUUAAAGUUUGGAAAUUGCAGUGGCAUUUCUCGGAGGCAUUUAUCAAAUUAACCCAAAACAAAAAUAACUGGGCGAGCUGUUGGGUCCCUGGUGUCAGCCGCUCGUUGUGCAAUUCUCUCGUUUAUUGACUACAUUGACAAUGGCAUGGGACCCAGAUGUCAGAAAUCCACUAGGAGGAGCCAUUUUUUUAUUGGCUUGAAAUGAGGCACUUGCUUGCGUACUGCCAUGACCUUGGCGGGUCCCUGCUGUCAUCCUCUCCAUGUACAAUCAUCUCCUGAUUGUGUACGCGUCAACUCGCUAGGCCCACAAGUCAGUCGCUAAACCCGUGGAGGACAAUACAACCCAUUGAAAAAAAUAGGGUCAUUUGCAUUACUGCCCCUAACUUGAACCACCUACUCACAUUUGCCCCUAAUUUCAAAGCAUGCUCAAAUUUUCCCCUUUGCUGUUAAGUCACUACUUAGAAAUGCCCUUCCGUCCAGUCAAAGGCCUUUGACCGUCAAAGCCCCAUGUGUACUGUAGCAGACGGAAAGUGCUACAGUAUUGGACGGAAAGUGCUACAGUAUUGUAUGGAAGGGCAUUUCUGAGUAGUGAAUUAACAGGGGAGGGGUAAAUUUGAGCAUGCUUCAGAACUAGGGGAAAAUCUGAGUAGUGGAUUCGAGUUAGGCGCACAGAUGUAAAUGUCCCAAAAAAAUAACAGCCCAUUCCAUACGUUCAAACAGAAAGUUCAACAUUCAGAGCAAAGUAACAGGUCUGAUCCACAUAUAGAGUACUGAACUUCCACGUUGACAACCAUCAUAGCCAAGUUAACUAUCUACUCCCACUAGACAAGUACUAACUUACUCUUAGCUAACUAGACAAUGCCGGCCGCCAUCUGCGGUACAGGCUAAACGCCGGCACCGGCGUCCUGCGCCUCGCCUCGGACUUGCUAGAGGUGCGAUAGGGCGCGUUGCUCGCGUGUGUUGGCCCUUUCCAUGCCGGCGUGGUCCACUGAAGCUUCGGCUUCCAAGUGGGAAACCCACUUGAUGAGCGGGUAGUAAAAAUCGGUGGCACGAACGCGUGCGUGCCCGACAGCCUCCAGGGCUAUUUGCCGGGCGCCGACCUCCAGGUAGUCGGCCCAGUUGCGGGCGCUCUGCUCGCGACUCAGAGCGUCGGUGCGCUACUGCUCCAUGUCCUGCUGGCGGCGCAAAUCGGUGAUACGCUGCUCCUCCGCCAGGCGGUCGCGCUCCAAUAACUCCUGCUCCUCUGCCAUGCAGUCGUGCUCCAACAACUCCUCGAUCUGCGCAUUGCCAUCUAAAGACAGAUAGAAUGCCUCCUCCCUCUGUCUGCCUUCCGGUGAAAAGCCAAACACUAGUUCCGGCGGUGACCGCCUCCGGCGUCGCCUACCGCGGACGGGCGGUGGCAUGGCGGACGUGGCGAGCAACGUCGGGCCGGUGGGGGCUUAUGAGUAUAUGGUGAGUUGGGUCACGGUGGCACUAGAGAAGGCUGGGAAAUAGUACUUAUAGGGGGAAGGUAGCGCGACGGUCAUUGGAAUUCAAUGCAUAAUGGCUUAGCGCGCCAGCUUGCCGUGGAAAACUAGGGAAACUGAAAUAAUGACUGUGCCAUCCCGUCCCAUCUGGGUCGCACGGCGGCAUGGCGGUCAAACGAGUGCACUCGAAUCAUCUCCCUCCUUGUCAAUAAUGAUUUCACGGAUUUAAAAAGCCCGCAACAAUUAAAGCGUAUCUUUUUCGCAUCAGUUAGCUGCCUUAAUUACGGCGGCUGCAUGCAGGCACUCAGAAUCGCUCGCAGGCAGUACGCGAAGCAGCAUGCAACAAGUCGUAGCCGAGGGCACGCAUGCAGCCACUUAAAUCACUGGAAUUAAUUAGGCUUAAACUUCUGCAUGCCGUUAAUUAUUUCCAUGCCUUGGUCUUGCUUCUUUGCUCACGGGACUAAUAAACCCAGACGGAGGGAGUACCUUGGUUGGUGAGAGGUUUGAAUUAAGCCCUGCAAACUGGAAAGGAGGUACUAGUACAUGUGUGAUCCGCUAUUUAUUCGUGUAGGAUCGAGUAGGUCGUUUCUUGAAUUGAGCCCUGCAAACCGGAAAGGAGGUAGUACAUGUGUGAUCCGCUAUUUAUCCGUGUAGGAUCGAUAGUGUAGCUUGUCAGUUUCUUCAGAGGUAGGCAUUUUUAUUCGUGUAGGAUCAAUAGUGUAGCUUGUCAGUUUCUUUAGAGGUAGGCAUUUUUAUUCAAAAAACUGCCACUUCGCAUCUUGCGUCGCAAAUAAAACUUCCAGGAGUGCAUUUGUAGGCUAGCUAGUGAUUGAUCAGUAACUUGUAAACACUGAGCGAACAGAAAUAAGUAACUGUUAAUGCAUCUCAAUGAUUCACAGAUCAUAUACAAAUAUGUAGCUCCAAAAGCAAAGAUCAGCCACUUCGGAUCUUGCGUUGCAAAUAAAACUAACUAGUAUGAUUCCCAUACAUAAGAUCAACAUGUUAAUGCAUCUCAAUGAUUCACAGACCAUAUACAAAUAUGUAGCUCCAAAAGCAAAGAUCUAGAAAAAAACAUCUGUUCUUCCUACGAACAUGGAUGCUUCUCUUGGCCAACAUUCAGUACAGACUGAAAGACAAAUUUGUUUGUGAAGUCUACAAUUCCUCUUGCAAACAUAAGUGGUUUCACCAACAGCUGGAACCAUGAGAAUGAACCACACAUGAUGGAGGAACAUCCACUGCAAUAUGAUUUGGUCUUCUCUCGAUCACACCGUGAGACUAUUUUCGGAAUACAAACUUUAACUUAGGGAAAAUGAUGCCCAUUGUAUAAUCAGACCAAAGCAAUGAAGCACCUAGUGUUGGCCAGUAAAUAGUACAAUACUACUUUUCUGCAGUCCAUGAAGUGACUAUCCAAUCUUUGUGUCUAUUUUCAAAUGGCACUGCAUGUAGUGACUAUACUAUUCUCUUGUGCAGUUCAACCAAAAUUGCGGACACUUUGUUUGUUUGCCAAAUAGCAAUGGGCAGACAUCUCUGUCUGCACAAAUAUCAAGCAGCUAGUAAACAUAUACCACACCAUGUUCGCAGUGAUGGAAGAGGUGAAAUCGAUACAACCAAAAUUGAGCAUCCAAUCAUUGAAUCCUGUCCUGCACCUCCAAUGUAGGUCCACCCUGCCAAUAAAUUCACAUGCAAACCACUAGUAUUACUAUCUAAUGACAGUACAAAAAGAGUAGUAAGAUAGUAGCAAACCAUGUACCUUCGUAAUGAACAGCUCAUAGUGCCACCAAUUGGAUAUAAAGGUUUGGAAAAAAACAUGCUCCUAAUGUUGAACCAGUUGGACUUUUUGUGCAGUUCCACUAAAAUCGAGCAUCCCUGUUUGCAUAGAUAUUAAAAGUGUGAUUACUAUAAAAGUGGCACUAGUUGAAGCAUAGACUCACAAAUGUAAGCAUUCCAGUUUCUUAAUGGGAAAAGGUAGCAAGACUGUUUCUAACCAACUGUUUGAAGGAAUAAAUAAAGCAACAGCGGCUGAUGUCAGGAAGGCAUACAUAGUUUUUUCUGAAAAACUGAGCCAUUCCUGACCUUUCCUCUUCUUUUAAGCAAAUUUUGUGCAGUUCUACUAAAAAUAAUGCCAUCACCACCUUGACAAUUCAGUGACACUAUACAAAAGGAAAUGACUUAACAUUACAUCAUGAUGUCAGGUAUGUAGUCGACAGGCAUUAGAGACAAACAUACGGACCUCCUCCGAUAACAUAAUGAACAUUCAUUUUAACAACGGUGUGACUAGCUUUACCGGGAUAAUUUGAGUGAAUUCUACACCCUCUGUUCCUUAAUAUAAGACGUUUUGCGGUCCAAUUUAAAGUACCCAAACGUCUAGUAUUUAGAAAAACAGGUAGUAGUUUUCUUGAGCACAUAUCUGGGAAAGCUUGCCACACUUUAUUUAUGUCCAUACGCUAAUGCAACACCAUUCGAAUACUACAAAUAUACACUAAUCCAGUGGCUAGUGCAACAGUAGAGUAGUUAGUUUAUUACAGGGUACAGUACAAUGGUUUUACUAAACAGAUUUCAAUAAACUCUAGCACUGGAAGGUUUCUAUAAGUAUUAACAAUACAAAAUGUAAAGGUAACAAGUUUCAGCAUUGGUAUACUAGCUGUGCAUGAGCAUUAAACCAAAUACAGAAGUCUGGAGGUAACUAGCAUUAUUAACUAAUGACAGUAUAAAAAAUUGCAAACCAUGUACCUCGAAGGUAAAUAUCAUUUCAAACUCGGGGGUACCUUAAAAAUCGUUAUCCCAAUCUUGAUAAUCGAUCAAACAUAAAAAACUUGAUCGAAUGAAUCAAGAGAACAGCCGGAGGAGGAGGUGCCCACUCUUGACCUUUCCUCAUGUCUUCAUAAUUGUCUGUGCAGUUUAACCAAAAUAAAAUGACAUCAGCGCCUUGGCAUUUUGGUGACACUGUACAAAAAAAUUAACUUAUCUCAUGAAAGUGAGCUAUGUAAUCUAUAAGCAUUAACAGUGCAAAAAUCUGAAGGUAGUAACAAGUUUCAUCGUUGGUAUACUGGCUGUGCAACAGCAUUAAUGCCUUAGCUGAAAAAUCUUUAAUACAUCCACAAUCAACAGCUAACCCUGAAAUGAUCCAGUGACAUUAAAUUGCACUGCUUAAAUUUAUCGGUGGCAUUAGACUGAGAGCGGCAUUAGUUAAAUGUGGCAUCACUUUAGCAGUAGCAUUGCUUGACUUGACUGCUGGUGUUAUACUAACAGCAAAAAAGUGGCAAUAAGAGCAUGGGAGGCCCAUUCGGACAGUGGGCGCACCAGUACGAUGUACCUCCACGGACGCAGGGUGGUGAGGGAGGUAUGGUUGCCCAGAGCAACAAAUAUCCAGGCAGCAUAUGUGGAUUAUGUCCCAUUUUUGUUCUCUUUAGCCACCUUUUUCCUAUGUGAGGACAACAAACCGAUCGACCUAGUCAUUCUCUAUUGCGUUGCCAUGCCUUUCUACCCUUCUUCAACCAAGAGACGCGAGACUUGUUCCUUAGCUACUGAUUUUCCCCUUUUCAACCUAGAUGCGGGUUCGAUGCCUACUCUCUUGGACAGUACAGUCUCCCUUCCUUUCCUUAUUCAAACCAGACAUGGAUUGGUCUGCAUGAAGUAGGGUUUCCUUUGAUAGUGCAAAUCAUGGUUUUCGUCUGUGUGGCCAGCAGAGCAGAGGAUAGCAAAUUGGGAAGAUGGUGGAGUGGAAAAAGACCCACAUGCAAUGACGUGCCAGAUGGGGCAAUAGAACAAGGGCAUGGUUCGAAAAGAGGUAGCAUACCUGAGGGUCGGCGGGAAGUGGCUUCGCUCAUGGUCGUCGUCCUCCGCACACACUACGGCAACAAGCUUGGGGACGGAGGCCAUCCCGCGCGGGCGCUAGGUCUGAGAGGACGGCCUUGUCGUCAGUGCGUGACCUCGCUCGCCGAUGACGAGUGCGUCAAUGCUGCACGUCCUUUUCUUCCCCGGCGGAUUUGUGACCGCCGAUGAGGAGGGGAGAGGGGUCGUCUUUUUUAGAUCUGGAGAGAGGGUGGUAGUGUGAGAAGCAAGUGGGCAGCCCUUGGCAAGAAAGCGCUGAAACUCCAGCCUAUAUAUCUUCUUUAUACUGGGUGUGGGUGACUGGACUGGAGGGAUGGCCUGGCCAGUGGUGGGAGUAGUAUGGGGGCGGUGAGGCCUCCGCAGCAGCACAUCGGCCACGGGAGGCAGGAGCAGGCGACACGACCGGUGCUGCUUUGGGCGGCUGGAGCAAGAAUACCAGAGGUUGAAGGAGCACUACGGCCGUUGGAUGGACGUCGUACGGUCAGUCGAGCUAGAAUCGUGCAUAUUGACUAAGUUGACAAAGCCCUUCGUCCCCGUCAACUUAGUAGGCCCACUAUACUGGGUCCCAGCUAGCAGGGGGAGUAUUCUUUUUUUGGGCGUAAUAAGGAGGCACUUCCUUGCGUGCGAAGAUAUAGCUGGUGGGUCUGAGCUGUUAGCGGCGGUAACGUUUUUUUCGCAAAAUACAGAGGCCCUUUUGGUGGGUCCCAGAUGUCAGGUGGAGGAAUCAUUAUUUUGCGCGUAAUAAGGAGGCAUUUCCUUGCAUGCGGCCGUGGACCCAGCUGUCAGCCUCUCCACAUACAGUCCACCUCAGAUGCAUGUCGGUCGUUGACCAUGUUGACCACGCCACGCCAAGAGCACCAGGGCGGUGGACGACGGUGAGGCCUAGGAAGGGAACGACAUGGAGGCAGGGAAGACUCGGCAGUUGUUUCCCACGUGGAGGGGAGUACGACUGUACGAGGGUUUACUGGUUCGUCUGCCGUAAACGAAGAAUAACAGCAGGUGUGGGACUGUGGGUGAGUAGAGGGAUGGCUAGGCCAGCGAUGGGAGUACGGUGGGGCGGUGUGGCCUGCGCGGCAGCACAGCCGGCCGCAGGGAGGAGGGAGCAGGCAGUCCCGCCGGCGCUUGUUUGAGCGGCUGGAGCAGGAAGAGCAGAGAUUGAAGAAGCACGAUGGCCGUUGGAUGGACAUCCAAUAGUAUACAGGCCAUCUGUGGAAAGCCUCAAAUCUGUGGAAAACAGCAUACAGCCCAUCUGCCAUUAUUUCAAAUAGUUUACAACCCAUUUGCUAAUUCUUACGGUUUUUUUGGAGCCCAUAUUCUUUUUGUUAGCAUUACAGACCAUAUUGUGGCCACGGUUAAAAAAUUAUACGAAAUUUGGCAUAUGUCAGUGCGGUCUGAACUGUUUUUAAUCCCAAAAUUUCGAGUCACAUUUAGACUAAUUUUAAAAACAAAUGUAUAUCAAUAUAAAAUCCAAUAAAUUGUCCAUGCAUAAAAAUCAAUGCAAUUUAAAAUCUCGAAAUGAAAAAAAGAUAUUUGAAACUAAUUGCCGGUUUGAUGUGUUUUAAAAAUGUACAACCCAUUUCUCAUUACUGAUUGGCCAUUUUCUCGGCCAGCCGAAUGAAGCUCUCCUCGUCUUGAAAGAUUUGCAGCCCAACAGGCCUGAUAAAGCGACUUACUUGACAAAUCACAAAAAACUGGGCUAGCCAUUUUCAAAAAGAAAAAAAAUAUUGGGCUGGUCUGUGGUAAACAUAAAAGAAAAGGUUGUCUAGACAGGCGAGAGAGUCCCGCACAACCCAGGUUGACACCCUGCUUCCGUCUCAAAAACAAAUUAGAUAAAUGCCACUGCAAUUUCCAAACAUUGAAAAAUGCCACUGCAACUUUUGCAAACUUUGAAAAACGCCACUGCAGUUUGCAAACUUUGAAAAACGCCACUCCAGACUUCGGAAAAUGCCACUAGAAAUGGCAUGAAAUGGCAUUUUUUAAAGUUUGGAAAUUGCAGUGGCAUUUCUCGGAGGCAUUUAUCAAAUUAACCCAAAACAAAAAUAACUGGGCGAGCUGUUGGGUCCCUGGUGUCAGCCGCUCGUUGUGCAAUUCUCUCGUUUAUUGACUACGUUGACAAUGGCAUGGGACCCAGAUGUCAGAAAUCCACUAGGAGGAGCCAUUUUUUAUUGGCUUGAAAUAAGGAGGCACUUGCUUGAGUACUGCCAUGACCUUGGCGGGUCCCUGCUGUCAUCCUCUCCAUGUAUAAUCAUCUCCUGAUUGUGUACACGUCAACUCGCUAGGCCCACAAGUCAGCCUCUAAACUCGUGGAGGACAAUACAACCCAUUGAAAAAAAUAGGGUCAUUUGCAUUACUGCCCCUAACUUGAACCACCUACUCACAUUUGCCCCUAAUUUCAAAGCAUGCUCAAAUUUUCCCCUUUGCUGUUAAGUCACUACAUAGAAAUGCCCUUCCGUCCAGUCAAAGGCCUUUGACCGUCAAAGGCCCAUGUGUACUGUAGUAGACGGAAAGUGCUACAGUAUUGGACGGAAAGUGCUACAGUAUUGUACGGAAGGGCAUUUCUGAGUAGUGACUUAAUAGGGGAGGGGUAAAUUUGAGCAUGCUUCAGAACUAGGGGAAAAUCUGAGUAGUGGGUUCGAGUUAGGGGCACAGAUGUAAAUGUCCCAAAAAUAUAACAGCCCAUUCCAUACGUUCAAACGGAAAGUUCAACAUUCAGAGCAAAGUAAUAGGUCUGAUCCACAUAUAGAGUACUGAACUUCCACGUUGACAACCAUCAUAGCCAAGUUAACUAUCUACUCCCACUAGACAAGUACUAACUUACUCUUAGCUAACUAGACGAUGCCGGCCGCCAUCUGCGGUACAUGCUAAACGCCGGCACCGGCGUCCUGCGCCUCGCCUCGGACUUGCUAGAGGUGCGAUAGGGCGCGUUGCUCGCAUGUGUUGGCCCUUUCCAUGCCGGCGUGGUCCACUGAAGCUUCGGCUUCCAAGCGGGAAACCCAGUUGACGAGCGGGUAGUAAAAAUCGGCGGCACGAACGCGUGCGUGCCCGACAGCCUCCAGGGCUAUUUGCCGGGCGCCGACCUCUAGGUAGUCGGCCCAGUUGCGGGCGCUCUGCUCGCGACUUAGAGCGUCGGUGCGCUGCUGCUCCAUGUCCUGCUGGCGGCGCAAAUCGGUGAUACGCUGCUCCUCCGCCAGGCGGUCGCGCUGCAAUAACUCCUGCUCCUCCGCCAUGCGGUCGUGCUCCAACAACUCCUCGAUCUGCGCAUUGUCAUCUAAAGACAGAUAGAAUGCCUCCUCCCUCCGUCUGCCUUCCGGUGAAAAACCAAACACUAGUUCCGGCGGUGACCGCCUCCGGCGUCGCCUACCGCGGACGGGCGGGGGCAUGGUGGACGUUGCGAGCAACGUCGGGCCGGUGGGGGCUUAUGAGUAUAUGGCGAGUUGGGUCACGGUGGCACUAGAGAAGGCUAGGAAACAGUACUUAUAGGGGGAAGGUAGCGCGACGGUCAUUGGAAUUCAAUGCAUAAUGGCUUAGCGCGCCAGCUUGCCGUGGAAAACUAGGGAAACUAAAAUAAUGACUGUGCCAUCCCGUCCCAUCUGGGUCGCACGGCGGCAUGGCGGUCAAACGAGUGCACUCGAAUCAUCUCCCUCCUUGUCAAUAAUGAUUUCACGGAUUUAAAAAGCCCGCAACAAUUAAAGCGUAUCUUUUUUCGCAUCAGUUAGCUGCCUUAAUUACGGCCGGCUGCAUGCAGGCACUCAGAAUCGCUCGCAGGAUGUACACGAAGCAGCAUGCAACGAGUCGUAGCCGAGGGCACGCAUGCAGCCACUUAAAUCGCUGGAAUUAAUUAGGCUUAAACUUCUGCAUGCCGUUAAUUAUUUCCAUGCCUUGGUCUUGCUUCUUUGCUCACGGGACUAAAAACCCGGACGGAGGGAGUACCUUGGUUGGUGAGAGGUUUGAAUUAAGCCCUGCAAACCGGAAAGGAGGUACUAGUACAUGUGUGAUCCGCUAUUUAUUCGUGUAGGAUCGAGUAGGUCGUUUCUUGAAUUGAGCCCUGCAAACCGGAAAGGAGGUAGUACAUGUGUGAUCCGCUAUUUAUCCGUGUAGGAUCGAUAGUGUAGCUUGUCAGCUUCUUCAGAGGUAGGCAUUUUUAUUCGUGUAGGAUCGAUAGUGUAGCUUGUCAGUUUCUUUAGAGGUAGGCAUUUUUAUUCAAAAAACUGCCACUUCGCAUCUUGCGUCGCAAAUAAAACUUCCAGGAGUGCAUUUGUAGGCUACCUAGUGAUUGAUCAGUAACUUGUAAACACUGAGCGAACAAAAAUAAGUAACUGUUAAUGCAUCUCAAUGAUUCACAGAUCAUAUACAAAUAUGUGGCUCCAAAAGCAAAGAUCAGCCACUUCGGAUCUUGCAUCGCAAAUAAAACUAACUAGUAUGAUUCCCAUACAUAAGAUCAACAUGCUAAUCCAUCUCAAUGAUUCACAGAUCAUAUACAAAUAUGUAGCUCCAAAAGCAAAGAUCUAGAAAAAACAUAUGUUCUUCCUACGAACAUGGAUGCUUGUCUUGGCCAACAUUCAGUACAGACUGAAAGACAAAUUUGUUUGUGAAGUCUACAAUUCCUCUUGCAAACAUAAGUGGUUUCACCAACAGCUGGAACCAUGAGAAUGAACCACACAUGAUGGAGGAACAUCCACUGAAAUAUGAUUUGGUCUUCUCUCGAUCACACCGUGAGACUAUUUUCGGAAUACAAACUUUAACUUAGGGAAAAUGAUGCCCAUUGUAUAAUCAGACCAAAGCAAUGAAGCACCUAGUGUUGGCCAGUAAGUAGUACAAUACUACUUUUCUGCAGUCCAUGAAGUGACUAUCCAAUCUUUGUGUCUAUUUUCAAAUGGCACUGCAUGCAGUGACUAUACUAUUCUCUUGUGCAGUUCAACCAAAAUUGCGGACACUUUGUUUGUUUGCCAAAUAGCAAUGGGCAGACAUCUCUGUCUGCACAAAUAUCAAGCAGCUAGUAAACAUAUACCACACCAUGUUCGUAGUGAUGGAAGAGGUGAAAUCGAUACAACCGAAAUUGAGCAUCCAAUCAUUGAAUCCUGUCCUGCACCUCCAAUGUAGGUCCAUCCUGCCAAUAAAUUCACAUGCAAACCACUAGUAUUACUAUCUAAUGACAGUACAAAAAGAGUAGUAAGAUAGUAGCAAACCAUGUACCUUCGUAAUGAACAGCUCAUAGUGCCACCAAUUGGAUAUAAAGGUUUGGAAAAAAACAUGCUCCUAAUGUUGAACCAGUUGGACUUUUUGUGCAGUUCCACUAAAAUCGAGCAUCCCUGUUUGCAUAGAUAUUGAAAGUGUGAUUACUAUAAAAGUGGCACUAGUUGAAGCAUAGACUCACAAAUGUAAGCAUUCCAAUUUCUUAAUGGAAAAAGGUAGCAAGACUGUUUCUAACCAACUGUUUGAAGGAAUAAAUAAAGCAAUAGCGGCUGAUGUCAGGAAGGCAUACAUAGUUUUUUCUGAAAAACUGAGCCAUUCCUGACCUUUCCUCUUCUUUUAAGCAAAUUUUGUGCAGUUCUACUAAAAUAAAAUGCCAUCACCGCCUUGAAAAUUCAGUGACACUGUACAAAAGGAAAUGACUUAACAUUACAUCAUGAUGUCAGGUAUGUAGUCGACAGGCAUUAGAGACAAACAUACGGACCUCCUCCGAUAACAUAAUGAACAUUAAUUUUAACAAAGGUGUGACUAGCUUUACCGGGAUAAUUUAAGUGAAUUCUACACCCUCUGUUCCUUAAUAUAAGACGUUUUGCGGUCCAAUUUAAAGUACCCAAAUGUCUAGUAUUUAGAAAAACAGGUAGUAGUUUUCUUGAGCACAUAUCUGGGAAAGCUUGCCACACUUUAUUUAUGCCCAUACGCUAAUGCAACACCAUUCGAAUACUACAAAUAUACACUAAUCCAGUGGCUAGUGCAACAGUAGAGUACUUAGUUUAUUACAGGGUACAGUACAUUGGUUUUACUAAACAGAUUUCAAUAAACUCUAGCACUGGAAGGUUUCUAUAAGAAUUAAAAAUACAAAAUGUAAAGGUAACAAGUUUCAGCAUUGGUAUACUAGCUGUGCAUGAGCAUUAAACCAAAUACAGAAGUCUGGAGGUAACUAGCAUUAUUAACUAAUGACAGUAUAAAAAAAUUGCAAACCAUGUACCUCCAAGGUAAAUAUCAUUUCGAACUCGGGGGUACCUUAAAAAUCGUUAUCCCAAUCUUGAUAAUCGAUCAAACAUAAAAACUUGAUCGAACGAAUCAAGAGAACAGCCGGCUGAGGAGGUGCCCACUCUUGACCUUUCCUCAUGUCUUCAUAAUUGUCUGUGCAGUUUAACCAAAAUAAAAUGACAUCAGCGCCUUGGCAUUUUGGUGACACUGUACAAAAAAAUUAACUUAUCUCAUGAAAGUGAGCUAUGUAAUCUAUAAGCAUUAACAGUGCAAAAAUCUGAAGGUAGUAACAAGUUUCAUCGUUGGUAUACUGGCUGUGCAACAGCAUUAAUGCCUUAGCUGAAAAAUCUUUAAUACAUCCACAAUCAACAGCUAACCCUGAAAUGAUCCAGUGACAUUAAAUUGCACUGCUUAAAUUUAUCGGUGGCAUUAGACUGAGAGCGGCAUUAGUUAAAUGUGGCAUCACUUUAGCAGUAGCAUUGCUUGACUUGACUGUUGGCGUUAUACUAACAGAAAAAAGUGGCAAUAAGAGCAUGGGAGGCCCAUUCGGACAGUGGGCGCACCAGUACGAUGUACCUCCACGGACGCAGAGUGGUGAGGGAGGUAUGGUUGCCCAGAGCAACAAAUAUCCAGGCAGCAUAUGUGGAUUAUGUCCCAUUUUUGUUCUCUUUAGCCACCUUUUUCCUAUGUGAGGACAACAAACCGAUCGACCUAGUCAUUCUCUAUUUCGUUGCCAUGCCUUUCUACCCUUUUUCAACCAAGAGACUCGAGACUUGUUUCUUAGCUACUGAUUUUCCCCUUUUCAACCUAGAUGUGGGUUCGAUGCCUACUCUCUUGGACAGUACAGUCUCCCUUCCUUUCCUUAUUCAAACCAGACAUGGAUUGGUCUGCAUGAAGUAGGGUUUCCUUUAAUAGUGCAAAUCAUGGUUUUCGUCUGCGUGGCCAACAGAGCAGAGGAUAGCAAAUUGGGAAGAUGGUGGAGUGGAAAAAGACCCACAUGCAAUGACGUGCCAGAUGGGGCAAUAGAACAAGGGCAUGGUUCGAAAAGGGGUAGCAUACCUGAGGGUCAGCGGGAAGUGGCUUCGCUCAUGGUCGUCGUCCUCCGCACACACUGCGGCAGCAAGCUUGGGGACAGAGGCCAUCCCGCGCGGGCGCUAGGUCUGAGAGGACGGCCUUGUCGUCAGUGUGUGACCUCACUCGCCGACGACGAGUGCGUCAAUGCUGCAUGUCCUUUUCUUCCCUGGCGGAUUUGUGACCGCCGAUGAGGAGGGGAGAGGGGUCGUUUUUUUAGAUCUGGAGAGAGGGUGGUAGUGUGAGAAGCAAGUGGGCAGCCCUUGGCAAGAAAGCGCUGAAACUCCAGCCUAUAUAUCUUCUUUAUACUACUAGUACUGGAGGUGGAGUAGUGCUAGAGUAGUUUAUAUUUUCUCUGUGUACAAUACCAGUUAGUCGUGCUUCAAAACUGAACGGCACGCCAUUAAAAAAUAAAGGUCGAUAACUAAUGCGGCACCUCGGGCCAAUGCGGCCAGAUCGCAUUUUGCACGAGAAAUUACACACCAUGUUUCGUUGACAUGUGGUCCCGUUCCAACAUAUCAGUGAGACGACGGCGAGUAGUAGGAGUAUUUCCGAACCACGUGUAGGCCGGGGCGCCCCUUCGUGAACCAUGGCAAACUGGCAACCGUCCACCGACUCUUCGCCUUUCCCUCUCGAUUUGGAACUGUUGUCGCACGCUCUUCCUCUCCCUCCUCCAUUUUCCUUCAGCCCUUCACCCUUUCUUCUGCCAUUGUUCGAUCGUCUUCUCCAUGGAGGGAACAGGACAGAAACGACCCCGUUAUUCUUGCCCCGAUCUAAAAGAUGACGUGGUGGAGGAGCUCAUUGAUCGGUGCGACGUCAUCACCUCGGCUAGCAUGGCAGGUUCGUUCAACCCCAUUCUCGACUCAACUAAUAACAUCAAUACAAGGAACCCAAGAGUAAAGGAGCGGUUUGAUCUCCCCUAUCUUCUUCGCCGUAACCCUGAUAACUGGCGCCGUCACGACAGAGGCCUCGCCCUGUGCAAGUUGAUGCCGCUUGAUAAUGAUACAUAUGAUGUUAAGAUGCCAUCGCUUGAGGGCAAGGCUUGGGCAGGCGCAAAUGGAUAUUGGGUUGUUUACAUUGGGUCCAACUGCGAGUGGGAACUUGUGAAUGUGUACACUCGUGACCGGGUUCCACUUCCAAAAAUCUCAGCAGAAUGCCUAGAGGUUGAGCACACCGUUAUUGUACGCAUGUUCAAAUACAAUCAUGGUGACUGUCUUCUAUGGAAGAUAGCAAUUUCUCGAGUUCGCAACCGCUCUUGGAAUUACAACAACUAUGAAGUUGUUGCUAUCUUCGACAAGCUUGUUGCCGUCCACAGUGGUUUGACUGGAUGGAUAUUGCUCAAAAAUCAGUUUCUAUACACGGAUGAGUAGUGUGAUGCAAUUCAAUACGAGGGCCUUGUGUUUGCUGCCACCACUCGUGGCACUGUUUUUGCAUGGCAUCCUCAUUGUUUCGGUACGUUUGUCUUCCACCGUAAUUAUAAUUGUUUCAUCCACAUGCAUGCGGGUUAGCAAGUUUCCCUUUAGGCUGGUCAUAGUGGGGAGUAACUUGGACUAGUAACAUGCAUAUGUUACUAGUUUAUGUUACUACCUCUAUAGUGCAUAGUAUCUUAGAUUAGUAUCAUCAGUGGUCUCAUUUAUUGCCAUGCAUGACACAUAGUAGCAUCACAUUUAUUAUGUUACGGUAUCUACCUAUGUUACUAUAACCAUCUCUCUUCCUUAAUUGCCUGCCACAUAAGCAUGUUUGUGAGUCCCAAGUGCAUGAUACUACUUAUGUUACCCCCAUUAUGGCCAGCCUUACUAAUUAACCUUCUUCUUGUGUUUCCAAGGUCCUGUGAACAUUCCACCGCCUAUACUUGAAGAUUUUUAUAACCAAGGGGGAGAUGAUGAUAGUGAUGAUCACGAGCAUGAGGACGAGCAGCGCCCAUAUACUAUUUGGUGCCUAGCAACUAAUUCCGAUGGAUCACCUCUUCUCGUGUGUAUACAGCCCACUGAUGAUGUUACUGCUAAGGAAGCAGGUGUAGUCUCCCAUGGUCGCACUCUCCGGACCUAUUCCAACACCCGUUGCAUGGUAUUCGGGAUGGAUACUAGUGUGCUAGCACCAACUCCUUCUUCCUGGUACAGAAUUGAUAGUCUUGGAGAAAACUCGCUCUUCCUUGGACAAAACUAUCCAAUGAUGGUGAAAGGCGAUCCAACUGUUGUUGACACAACGUUACUACCAUUUAUGAGAAGCAACUGUGUCUAUACCUCGGACAUUUGGGUGGUUCCCUAGCCUGGUACUGAUAUAGUAGGCCGCUUCAGCCUGGAUGAUCAGUCCUGCGUUGGUGUCCAGAUCGACAAUGGAUGGCCCGUCCCAGAAAAUCACUUGUGGUUCAAAGCAAGCAUUUCCAGCGCUGAGGAAUGGUUGAGUUGAAGUUCAUCUCAUUGCUUCUUAUUUGUUGUGUGGUGAAAACUUUAGUAUUUAUAAUGUAUCCUCGUUGUCGAUGUGGGUUGAUGACCUGUUGUAUGUAAUAAAAUGAUAUGCAUGUGAUAAACUUACUAAAUUUAUGAAUGGCUUUCGAGUUGCUUUUGUGAGUGAGUGGUGCGACGAGGCAAAAAUAUAUUUUCCGAAUACAUAAUUGUACAUGCAUUGCAACAGGUUAUCGGAUGAGGCCAAUCAACAAUAGUAGUACACUAUUUGUACUAGCUUCACAUGCUUCGUGCGUCGUGCGGGUGUUUUUACUGUAGCCAUAUUGUACUAUGUAAUCAGCACCUCGAAUCCUUGAUACUAGUAGUACUAUAUAGUAAGUAGUGGGAGUAGUAGGGUGGCAUGGGCCAGAACAAGCAUUCAUGUCCAGGAGUACGACACACGCCACCAGCACGACUUCCAUCUGACACCAUAUUUCUUGGAGUCCAUGCUAGAGCAAUCUCUUCAACCUCAUCGUUUCUCUAACUCAGCCAUCACGUGGCGGGCGAGGUGGGGGUUUGCCGAUAGUUGGUUUCCUUAACUGCGGUCCCACUUGUAAGGCCAACUGCAACGCACGACCCCAAACCGACCUCCGUUUUGCACGAACUGCAAUGAUAAUUUUGACUAGAAAAGCAAGACCAAAGGAAACAAGAACCACAAGAAUACAUUUUACUACUCCUGUAAGUUGGAUUAGUGCCUUAUUUAUUGCAUUCAUUGUUGAUUUGCAGAGGCUCGAUCUUGCGUGCUUCUUUCUUCUUCGAGUGUAAAGAAGUAGACGUUGCUUCCUCACAUCUAGUCUCAUGUCUAGCCUCUAUUCUAGUACUCCCUCCGGUCUGUUUUUCUCCGCGUCUAAGCAAAAACAUGCAUACCAAGUAGGAGUAUCAACAAGUGCACUAAUCUCAUCUAUAGCCUCUAUGCUAGCUAAAAGUGAUAGAACAUCUACUAAAUUGCGCUCUAUCAAUAUAUGGAUGUACUCUUCUUCCCAAUACAAAAACUUGCAUCCAUUCUACUCCCUCCGCUGCACAAUACAUGCCUUCUAUUUUUCAAAAUAUAUAUGUAUCUAGACAUGUUUUAGUAUAUAGGUACAUCCAUUUUUGGACAAAUGGAAGUCAAGUAUUUUGGAACGGAGGGAGUACACAAUAAAUUUUUUAAGUUAGCACAACUAGUCUAGUCCAAGAGCACAACCGAAGAUUUGGUCGGGUUCUUCCUCCUUUUGCUGACACGUGGGACAUCCAGCAUCCAGGUCGUGUCAUGAAAGAAAAUAGAGUGGUAGUUGAAGCCACGAGAUGUGCAUCUUGGGUUAAACUGUAAAUAGAAUCUUACUACUCUUGAGUAACUCCAAAAGCGGCCACCGAAGAUCUUUCUUGGAUUUGUUUUUCAUCACCAGCACGUUGAGGUGAAAGAUGUGCAAGUUCAGUGGGUCCGCUUGCGUUUUCACUGACAUGUGGGACCGCAUGUGAGCAAACAGACGAUGGGCUCUGCGCGUCCGCUGGCUGGCUGAGAAGAGAGAUAGAGGAGGGCUGAGCACGGACUGCAGGAAAUUUGUUCUACGUACCUCGAUAUAGCCUCGAUAUAGUGGGGUGGCAUGGGCCAUAAGUAGCAUUCACGUCUAGCAGUACGGCACACGCCACCCACACGAGUCCCAUCCGACACCAAUUUUCUUGGAGUCCGUGCUACAGCCAUCUCUUCUCCCUCCUGUUUUCUCAGCCAUCGCAUGGUGGGCGGGGUGGGGGUUUGUCGAUAGUCGGUUUGCUCAACUACGGUCCCACUUGUAAGUGAAAAUGCAACACCGCACGCAUUCCCGCUUGAGCGGUGUGCCGGACCAACCGUGUGGGGGUGCGACGCGAACACGGCAGGCUUUUCCUUUUGAACUCAUAACUUGUAAAAUUUGGUUUUGCUCCAUGGCGCGAUCGAUAGAUAGAAAAUAACUAUUUUGCCUAGAGUAAUGAGAAGUUUGGUUCUGGCGCCGUUCAUGCAUGGAGUACAUACAAAAAAUAUGAAGUUGAUGUGAAAGGUAAGAUAAUUACUGUAGUAUCAUAUACUACUACAUGGAUUUGACGGAAAGAUGAAAAUACAUAUGGAUCCAUCAACGACAUCCUCACGCCCUAGUGCGCCGGGUCACCAACCGACGUGUGAGGAGCAGCGGCGUUGGUGGCGAGCUCAACGUGCUUCUGAAAAGUGUCGUCCAAGGUUGCCCUGCGGUCCAAGAAGGCCAGCGUCCUAUCGUCCUCCUCUUGCAUGUAGUAGUCCUUGUGGACGAUUUGCGCGUAGACGUGGGUGAUUAUGUCGAUGGUGUCUUGCUGCGCCAGGCGCUGCGUGGCGAGCGCGACCUCGAGGUGGACAUUCUCCGGCGCGACGGCGGGCAGUCACAGGGACACCAGUGCGUCGAAGAGGUUGUCACCAUAGUGGCCGUUGAGGGUGGCGGGCAUCGCAGAGCCUAGGCACGUUGGCUGGAGGCUUACGUCAAAGUCGUCCGCGAGCUUCUUGACGAUGGUGAACUUGUCAAGGAAACCGACGAGGACCUCGUCGAACAAGGAGACGAAGUUGUCGUCCAAGCAGCCCCUCGCCCUGGCGGCCUCAAGCAAUACUACCUGGAGACGUUCCUCCUUGCCGGGCCGCAGGCCAGCGUCGUGGACCAUCUGGCACAGCCGGCUGAUGCUCGCGCUCAUGUUUACGCAAAUGUUAUUUAUAUCUACAAUACCAAAGAUACAUCAUACAAAACUACAUCUCAUGGUGAAUCUAAUGGUAUAUGUUUGUCGUACUAAUUCUUUUUCUCCACGUACAUGGUCAAACUUUGUGAUGUUGGACUUUUCAAUAAAUCUAUAUGCUAUGGGCGGAGGAGAGUGCCUCAGUCGAGACAGAUCAAGUGUGUGUGAAGGAGAAUGAGUAAGUGUGCAAAAAGAGUAUGUGUGUGAAAGAGAAAGUGACAACAAAUGAUAAAUUAGAGAGAGUGUGUGUUUUUUCAUUUCUUAUGCGGACAUAUCAUGCAUGCACCUCCGAGAUGGAAAAGCGAGGCGAGGAGAUACACGAAGAUAGCUAGUGUGUGAUUGUUUGCAACGGAGAGAGACACCCCUGUAGCACAUGUCCAAUAGAGGUCUGGCCAACAAGGAAAAAGGUCGGGAGGGACACAUGGAUGGCAUGGACGCAUGGGGAGGGAGAGAGGGUGUGUUUGUGAUAGAGAGAUCCCCUCGAGAUCGUGAGGGGACUAUAUGGGUGGGAUAUCGAGGAGUGCGUGCGCGAUAGAAAGAUGCCCCGAGAGAAAUCGAGAUAGACCAUGCACAUGUUUGUGAUGGAGACUAAGAUUAGCUAGUCAUAUACAUAUAGGGGGGACUGUGUGUGCCUCCAAUUGAGUGAGAGACCAUCAUACAUGGCUAGUUGGGCAUGAGAUUGUGUGUGUGUGUGCGUGUGAGAUGGAGAGAGAACGAGGGAGGGAGAUAGAGUUUUAGAUGGGCCUAUCAAGUGCGAGUGAGAUAAGCAUGUGUAUGUGUGACCCAGGUGGAUGGAGAGUUUGAGAGAGGGGGGAAGAGCUCCGAGACGACAUAGUCGUGCGUGAGAGAGUUACAGGCAAAGAGCCAAGGAAUUUGUGUGCGUACGAUGAGUGCACCCAAGAUAUCUAGCUUGGACUAGCUAGAGUAUCAUACAUAGUGUGCGAGAGAGACCUAUAGAUGGUGUAUAUAUGCAUGCGAACUAGAAAGACCCCCCCCACACACACACACACACAAAGAGAGAGAGAGAGAGAGAUGGAGAGAAAGGGAGAGGAACCAACAAGGUUUUUGUGUCGGAUGCGUGCGACAUAAUUGAAGAUUGUAGGAGAGAGAGAGGAGAGAGAGAGAGAGAGAGAGAGAGAGAACGGGAGUCCGGGAGAGGGGGAGGUCACGUUUUAUGCAUCAAAGACUGAUAUAAGCCAUGUUUCGAUAUAAACUUGCAUUCAAAUAUUUAAAUUGGAGAACAUGUUGUCUGCAAUCCACACAUAAACGGAUAUACGCGUAUAUCAAACAAGUUCAUUAAUUUGACUUUCAACAUGUUCAUGGAGUUCUAUAAUACUGUACAACAUGCUACUCGAUUGAGGUGUUCAAUUUUGGAUUUAGUUCACUAUUUUGACCUACUGAAUGAGCUAUUUCAUUGAAUCGAGAUAUUUCAUUUUGGGUUUGAUUCGCGUUUUUGAGUGGGUCAACUAUUUGUCAUAUAGUAAAUCGCUAGCAACGAGCAUGUAAAAACACAUUACUCCCGAGCAUCAUCUCUCCAUCUAAAAAAGAAGUGGCAAGCUAAUAUUUCAAAAUUUGAUUCGAAUCGACUUGGCAAGGUAGACGUGGAUGCUCGUUCUCCCAAAAUUUGAAUGAACCGUUAAACAUCCUCUCUGCUCGGUGGAAUUCGCCCGAGCAAAUAAAUGGGAGACACGAAAUUACCGUCCUAUGUGGGACACGCAUCAAUUGGCCCGUUGUACAUCGAGGGUAGGUUCGUAACUUCAUCCAAGCGCGCCUUCUCCUCGGCCGAAAUGACAUGUGCCAAGUAAUUCAUAAACUAUGGUCGGCAAAACACGCUCUCCUCGCCCAAAAUAGCUCGCGCCCACUAUUUCAAAACACGUUCUCCUUGCCCGAAAUCGCUCGCGCCCACUAUAGUUCAAAACACGCCCUCCUCGCCCAAAAUCGCUCCUGCCCACUAUUUGGGGAGAAGCAAAGUUACUCUACUAUCCCCGACCCUCAAUACACAGACCCAAGCCGAGAAGCCUAUAGGCAAGGGUAGAACUGUAACUCCCCCUCACAUUUCAGACAAAUGCGUCCGUAAGACAUGGUUCCACUCCCCUCCCAAUUCCCCCCCUCCCGCCCCCAUUCAUACCUCGUGGGCGCCAAAUCACCUUCUCCCCUGGAAGCUCCCUUCUCCUGAGCCGCGAAACCUCAGCCCCACCUCCAUGGCGCCCCCCACCGCACCAAUUUCACAGCCUCCCUCCUCCCUAAUGCCGGAGACACUGUCCAAUAUCCGUCGUGCACUGGGCCGUGUGCCUCUUACUCUGUGCUGCUGGUGCUGCCUCGACGACGACCGUGUGAACCGUACCGGAGCCGAUUCACCCCCGCCGUUGUUCACGGUGCCGGAGUGGCUCCAACUUCGGAUUCGUCCAGAGUCCUGGCGCUGCUUCACGUAGCCAUCGACCGUCGUGACAUCGCUCUUUCCCUGUCGUCAGUCGCCACCGCAACCGCGCCGGCCUCAUCGACUCGGCAGCUGGACCUGCCUACUUCACCAUACCGCCAGAUAGGUCGCACCCUCAUCUCAAAUCACUUUAUUUAGGCGUCAGUUGUCUAAAUUUUUAUUUUGGGCCAAUCGAUUCCCAAUGGGAAGCAGCACCCUUCGAGGCAGCGGAGCUCCUAGGCUGCCGGUUGGCUGGUGUCUAACGUAAGGGUGCGGGGCCGCAAGUUCGCCGCGAAAGCAGCGCUUAGAUGGCUAUCUUUUAGAGUUGCAUGGGUUGAAGGUACUGCCGCCGCCGGAUCUAGAUGACGGGGAGUCUUUGUGGAUUGGCCCAGGGGCGGCGCAACCACGGCAGUGCGGUGGGGCGGUGAGUGGGGUUUUGGUCGGGUCCACGGACGGCGGAGGCAGGCUGCUCUGCCGUUGGUCGCUGGCUCUUCGGGGAAGAUUCCGAACAGUGUCAGCCGGGAGGCACAAGACGGCCAUCAAGCCAUCCGGCGUAGAUCGGACAGUACCAAAAUAAAAUAAAAUCAUGUGACCCCAAUUUUGUCUUCAGUCAACAGACGUGUGACCACUCUCAUACCUUGUUGUUGAUCUCUUAGUAUAUUUCUUUAGAUCAAAGAGAUAUGUUGUUCUUAACAUUAUGCGUUAUCUGCAUCUUCAGACACACCGUCUUCCGACUCACCACAGCUGCUCCAACAAGGGAAGCAUACACCAGAAGGGAGCUAUAGUCCCCACUCAACAAUUCCCUGCAUCGAAUGCGCAUGCCCGACAUGGACAGCCACAACAACUGCAGGGCCAUCGACAAGUCAGCACAUGAUGCUCACUCCUAUGGAUGGCAGCCAGAUAGGUUGUACCCUCAUCUUACUUGUGUGCAACAUUUAUGGCUUUGUUAUUCAUCUAAGCAUGGAAAAUAGAUCAUCACAUUUCACUAUAUAUUCAUGCUGAUCUCUUAGGGGUCUUGUUCAGGAGUUCACGUUGUUCCAUAGUUCAGCUAAGAUACUUGUUCUUUAGGUAACGUUAUUCCAUAGUUAUCAUCCAUCAGCCAAUGCUAUCCCAGAGGCUGGUGAUUAUAGUAUUAUACCACUUCUAGUAUUACCUAUGUUGUUCUUUAAUACUUUUGUGUGCCAUCUAGUUAAUCUCGAGUACAAACGAUACAUAUUAUGUAGCUUUCAUCUGUGUUCUCCCUUUAGUUUAUGAGACCUGUUGGUGCUAGUUAACCCCAGUCCUAAUAUUUAUGUUGUCUCCUACAGGCACUCAUUACAUAAAUCUAACUACUAGUUGUCUUCCAUGCAUGUCAGAUAUAAUUGCGCACACUGAUAUAUCCACAAGAACCUCACGGAGCAAUGUAAAGGCCAAUAAACUUGAUGUCAAUGAUACCCAAUAUGAUGGAACAUGUAAAGGCAGUUCUUCAGAAGACUUGAAGAAAGAUGAUGAAUCCUCUUCACCCCACAAGGUCCUUGCUCUAACUUUGCAUGUGAUAUGGGUACAACAUGCAUAUAAUGUCCUGGAGUGUAUCUACUCUGUUGCAAUGCCAUGUGCUUAGCAUGCUGAUCAUGCAUGUAAAUAUGUCAUGCCUUCCUGUUUUUUAGUACCUAUUCCAUUCAUGAUAACAUGUUUUCAAAUUCAAGUACUAUCAUUCUACUCUAUCGUAGUGCCCUCUGCUUAAUUUGGACAUCAUGCUUCUGAAUAUCUUAUGCAUUGUUAUUCAUCAGUAUGUACUUCAUUUGUCUGCCAUACCAUGUUUUUUGACAUUGAAGUGUUGUUCUAGUGCUCUGUUGCAAUGCCAUCUUAUUUUCCCAAUCAUACACGUGUAUGUUGCCUUAGUUAUUUCUGUAUGUAUUCUGCUAGCAUAUAGUUUUACAUUCAACUAGUGUUUUAUUUUACUGUGUUGUCCUGUCAUAUCCCUAGCUCUUACACUAUACUCCCUCCGUCCGGAUUACAUGUUGCCGAAAUGGAUAAAAAAGGAUGUAUCUAGAACUGAAAUACGCCUAGACCCAUCCAUUUUUUUCUAGAUGGAGGGAAUACAUGUCAAUAUGGCAUGUCUUUUUAUUCUUCAGUACCUAUUCCAUCUCUCUGCUGUCGCAUGUUUUAUAAUUAAAGCACCAUUCUUCUAUACAAGGCAUGCAAGGGGAAGAUGACUAUGUUAGAAUCUGAAGGGUUACAAACAAGGCCUUUGCAAAAGAUCCAAACGCCAGGAGAUAAUAAACCAACCCCAGUUUUUAUAGAUACUGCUCCAGCACAGAGAAACCCAACUCCUACUGAUAAUAAGCAGAUUCCAGUGGCCAAAGAACUAGUCUGCUCCAGUCCAGCAAAAAUAUGUCAACUCAAUUCUAAGAAGUGUGUGUGUAUCCUUGCAUCAUGAAAUUUUAUAGCAUGCUGAUCAUAUUUUCUACAUGUUUCUUCCCCAUCUCUCUUUUAGAAAAUAAGCUUAACAGAUAGAAGAAUUUCUGCAAUGGUAUCGUUUAUGAGGAAAGAUUCUUGCAGGAAUUCUCUGUGCUCCAAUGUAGAUGUAACUACCUGUUGUAUAUCACUAUAUUUUUACAUCAGCAUGUAUUUUGUUAAUCGGCGUGAAUCCAAACUUUAACUAAUCUAAAUUUAGUUGUAGCAAAAUGUAUGAUUAAAGGCCACAAUGUUGAUUUUUGUAAGGAAAACUGCCUGGUAGUUUUGCAUCCUGAGCUGCAUGAGUGUACUAUCUCAUAUCAGUGGGUUUGAAUACUUUGGUUCUGCAGUGGGUUUUUUAGUGUUUUUUUACUGUGUUGUCCUAUCGUAUCCCUAGCUCUUACAUCAUACUCCCUCCGUCCGGAUUAAAUGUCGUAGAAAUGGAUAAAACUGGAUGUAUCUAGAACUGAAAUACGCCUAGACCCAUCCAUUUAUUUCCUGAUGGAGGUAAUACAUGUCAAUAUGUCAUGCCUUUCUAUUCUUCAGUACCUAUUCCAUCUUUGUUGUAGCAUGUUUUAUAACUGAAUCACCAUUCUUCUAUAUAAGGCAUGCAAGGGGAAGACGGCUAUGUUAGAAUCUGAAGGGUUACAAACCAGUUCUUUGCAAAAGAUCCAAACGCCAGGAGAUAAUAAACCAACUCCAUUUUUCAUAGAUACUGCUCCAGCACAGAGAAACCCAACUCCCACUGAUAAUAAGCAGAUUCCAGUGGCCAAAGAACUAGUCCGCUCCAGUCCAGCAAAAGAAUGUCAACUCCAUUCUAAGAAGCGUGUGCGUAUCCUCGCAUCAUGAAAUUUUAUUGCAUUCUGAUCAUAUUUUCUACAUGUUUCUUACCCAUCCCUCUUUUAGAAAAUAAGGUUAAACGAUAGAAGACUUCCUCCAUUGGGAUCGUAUUCGAGGAAAAUAUCUUGCGAGAAUUCUCUGUGCUCCAAUGCUGAUGUAAGUACAUGUUGUAUAUCACUAUAUUUUUACAUCAACAUGUAUUUUGUUAUUCGGCGUGAAUCUAACCUUUAUCUAAUCUAAAAUUAGUUGUAGCAAAAUGUUAAAGGCGCCAAUGUUGAUUUUUGUAAGGAAAACUGCCUGGUAGUUUUGCAUACUAAGUUGCAUGAAUGUACUAUCUCAUAUCACGCACAUUACUGAAUUGUAGUGCUUCUUUGGUUGCCCAUUCAUUCAUUGUGUCAAUGUUGCUUUCGUACUACCUUACCUGGCUGAUGAUAGCUAUGCCAUAUUGUGUUAAUUUGGUGUAGGCUAGUUGCCUAAACGUUCAUUGUGUCAAUGUUGCUUUCCUAUUAUCUGACUUGGCCAAUGAUAGCAAUGCUAGUGUGUUAAUUUUGUGCAGGCUGCUAAAGAUAAGAAGACAAACUCUGAAAACAGCAAGGUAACCCCAUUGUUUCUUUCCAGUAAAUCUAGGCCAGGUAAUAUGGCAAUAACUCAUGAUUAAUCUGUUUGGUUCCCGUCCUAAUUUAUGUUAUGAUGCAGUGGUCGAAACACUCUCCACUAUCAAUAAUACAAGCCUGCCAAAAUCGCCAUCUGAAUCUAUUCAGUAUACUCUGUCUCGGAUGCAAUAGAAUAAAUGUAUGUUUGUGAACCAAUUAAUCGCUGAAGCAAUGAUGGAAAUGGUGGAUGAAUCAGAGGUGCAGAGUCGUGCGACACAACAACUGAUCAAUGUUUUCAGAGACAGUAUAGCAAAGCAGCAAGAACUUGCCCACAUGCUUAUGGGCGUCAUCUCUGCUGAGGUUGCAGAUUGUGAUGUUGUAGAUGGUUAGAUUCUGCUCAUUUAUUUGCACUGGCAUCAAUCUUUGAUUGCCCAGUGGAUGUAAUUUCCUGUAAUAUAUGCUGGAUGUGCAACGUUAUUCCCUGUAUGCCAUACCUUUGCUUGAUCGGUUUUUGUCCUGUGCAUAAUUGCUCAUCGUAAUGGGCUCAAAUUAUCUAAUUUGGCCUAAAGACAUGUACGAACUUUAGUGGGCCCAUUAAGUUAAUGGGCCGUUACUAGGCCGAAAGUAAAUGGUCGGCCCUCUUACCUCCCGGGUCAUUAACAGGCCGACAUCAAAGCGGGCAACAGGUGGCCCCAAUUUAUUUCACGGGCCGUUAACAGGACGUUACUAAGUUUGGGCUACAUAUGGCCCAACUAUACUGUAGGCCUUUAGCAGGCCGAAAGAGACAGCGGGCUUGUACUGGACCAUGAAGACCAUGGGCCGCUAAGAGGACGAAAGUCAGGUCGUAUUGUAAAUGGCCCAACUGUGUUGUGGGCCUUUAGCAGGCCGAAAGAGAAAUCGGGUUGGUACUUGACCAUGAAGGGCAUGGGCCGUUAAAAGGCCAAAACUAAGGUCCGACUACAAAUGGCCCAACUCAUUUAUGGCCCGUUAACAGACCGAAAGGCACAUAGGGCCGGGAAUUGGCCCAACACUUAAAUGGGUCGCUAAAAGGCCAAAACUCAGGUCCAACUACAAAUGGCCCAACUGAUUUAUGGGCCGUCAACAGGCUGAAAGUGACAUCGGGACAGAAAUUGGCCCAACACUUAAAUGGGCCGCUAAAAGGCCGAAACUCAGGUCCGACAACAAAUGGCCCAUCAGAUUUAUGGGCCAUCAACAGGCUGAAAGAUAGACCGGGCCGGAAAUUAGCCCAACAUUUAAAUGGGUCGCUAAAAGGCCGAAAGAUGUACAUCCUGAAAAUUGGCCCAUCCAUUAAAUGGGCCGUUAACAGGCCGAAAUCUCAUCGGGCCGAUAUUGAGCCCAAAUAUAUAGCGCGUUGUUAACGGGCUCGAACGGACGAUGGGAUGCAAUGGUGUCAAAUCUUUAAUGGGUUGUUGACGGGCCGAAUUGGCACAUCUCGUAUGGGUCAUGGGCUUAAAUGGACCUGACACAAGUAGGCCUUAUAUGGGCCGGCCUGCUAAUUUUUACUGGGCCAGCCUUUUUCAUCAGAAUGGGCCACUGUUGGGCCGUGCCAUGUGUUGACCUAUCAUAGGCGCCUCCUGUCCAAUGAGUGGAUGGCAUCUGUCUCAACGGUGAGGCAACACGUGUUUCCUGCGGCCAAUGAUGAUUUUACACGUGGAAAAUCCCCAUUGGUCCAGGCUGUUAACGGGUUAUCGGAUCCAAAACCGGACCCAAUAGCUUAACGGCGUUCCGUUACGGUGGAUGCCACGUGUCGGUCACCCUUGACGAAAGCACUUCUGUGAUGCGCGAUUUAUUGUCAUGGAAGUGGACACUUCCGUGAUGAUAAUUUUGGUAAUGUCAUGGAACACUUCUACGACAGCACAUGUAUGACUAUCUUGAUUCCAUCAUAAAAUCGUCAUGGAUGUACAUGCAUGACAAAAAAACGUGACCUACUAUGACAAACACGUAUCAUCACGGAAGUGUUUUUUUGUAGUGAUAGCCUCCACACAAUGUCUAACGUUACACACAGAUUCCCAAACUCGGUGGGACUGAAUCAGCAAACUUGGUCAUACCGAUCCAGGUAAAAAUAUGAAUGUUAGAGUUUUUGAUGGGACCGAUAUAGUCAUCCCAGUGAGACCGACAUGCUAGGGUUUGGGCAUAACGUAAUCUCGGUGUGACCGAUCGCAUAAACUCGGUGGGACUGAUUUCAGCAAUAGGUACACAGAGGGUUGGUCAGGCAAACUCGAUGGGAUCGAUUCGCUCACUUCGGUGGGACUGAAGUGAUACGAAAAGGAAACAGGGAGUUUGCAAUGUAUACUCGGUGGGACCGAUUUUCUCAUUUCGGUGAGACCGAAAUGUUACAAAAAGUAAAUCGAGAGUUUGUAAUCCCAUCUCGGUGAGACCGAGAUCCCUAUCGGUGAGACUGAAGUAACUAGGAUUUGUGGCAGUGGCUAUGUCAAAUGAAACUUGGUGGCGCCUGAUAGAUCAAAUCGGUGGGGCCGAAUUUGACUUUUAGGUUUAGGACAUAUGUGGAAAUGAGAAAGUGGUUGAGGGUUUUGGAGCAUAUCACUAAGCAUUUUGAGCAAGUAAGCCAUUAAGCAACACCUCAUCCCCUUUUAAUAGUACUGGCUUUCAUAUGGACUCAAUGUGAUCUUGGAUCACUAAAAUGAAAAUGUAGAGUCUUGAGCUUGUUGCCAAUGUAUGUCCUUUGCAUUUUGAGGGGUCCACAUCUCUAGUCCAUGCCAUGCCAGUCAUUGAACUUUCUGAAAUGAUCAUCUUGAAAGAGCAUUAGUUCAAUGAACUAUAUGUUGUUAAGAAUUACCAAAACCACCCAGGGAUUAGUUGCACUUUCAUGUUUACAUAGUGUUGCUUGGUUCUCCUACUGGAUUGAUAACCUUGGUUCCAUAACUGAGGGAAAUACUUACUAUUGUAGUGCUGCAUAAUGCUCUCCUCUUUGGGGAAUUACCAACGCAGAUACAAGCAAUCAGCGUCUUCAGUCAUCGUGUAAGAGAAGGCCCUAGGGUAAGCUUUGCCAUAAAUUGUUUGGUUCCAGUUAUCCUUCCAGAAAAAGGGUGAGGAUCCACUACCAACUUGAAUUUUGGUCACACCACGGUAGGGGUGCAUAAGUUGGAUCAGAUCCUUCCACCAAAAGGAUCCGCAUGGGUGAGGGUGUUCUGGAUUAAGGGGUCCUCGGACAACCGGACUAUAUACUUUGGCCGGACUGUUGGACUAUGAAGAUACAAGAUUGAAGACUUCGUCCCGUGUCCAGAUGGGACACUCCUUUGCGUGGAAGGCAAGCUUGGCAAUUCAGAUAUGUAGAUUUCCUUCUCUGUAACCGACUCUGUGUAACCCUAGCCCCCUCCAAUGUCUAUAAACCGGAGGGUUUAGUCCGUAGGACAACAACAAUCAUAUUCAUAGGCUAGCUUCUAGGGUUUAGCCUCUACGAUCUCGUGGUAGAUCAAAUCUUGUAAUACUCAUAUCAUUAAGAACAAUCAAGCAGGAAGUAGGGUAUUACCUCCAUCGAGAGGGCCCGAACCUGGGUAAAACAUUGUGUCCCCUGCCUCCUGUUACCAUUAUCCUUAGACGCACAGUUCGGGACCCCCUACCCGAGAUCCGCCGGUUUUGACACCGACAUUGGUGCUUUCAUUGAGAGUUCCACUGUGUCGUCGUGGUAAGGCUAGAUGGAUCCUUUGAUCAUCUUCAAUGAUGCGGUCCAGGGGGAGGUUUUCCUUCCCGGACAGAUGUUUGUAUUCGGCGGCUUCGUACUGCGGGCCAACUCGCUUGGCCAUCUAGAGCAGAUCGAUAGCUACGCCCCUGGCCAUCAGGUCAGGUUUGGAAGCUUGAACUAUACUGCCGACAUCCACCGAGACUUGAUCUUUGACAUAUUCGAGCCCAUGUCAGGCGCGCCGGACGGUCACGGCGGGCAUGACUUUGAUCUGCCAUCGGACAAUAUUCGAGAGAUCGCGCCUGCGGCGGCGGCGGGAGUCAAUCCGGAGCAGAUCUUGCCCUCCGAGGAUGGGUGGAUGGACCCCGCCACGAAGGCCGCGCACUCAUCGACGCUGGAGCCAAACACUGACCCCACCUCCCGUGAGGGUGGUGUCAUCGGACCCUCGGACUUGUCUCCGGCUACAGGAUCCGAACCGCGUGUGUUCGUGCCUAUCGAAUCUGAUUGGGCACCGGUCAUGGAGUUCACCACCGCGGAUAUCUUUCAGCACUCGCCAUUGGGUGACGUGCUGAACUCAUUAAGGUCUCUUUCCUUGUCGAGAGAUUCUUGGCCGAACUAUGUCCGGCUCGAGUGGGAAGCGGACGAUGAAGAAAUUCGUUCGCCACCCACCACCCACUUAAUAGCCACUAUUGAUGACUUAACCGACGUGCUUGACUCCAAUUCUAAAGACAUCGACGGUAUGGAUGACGAUGCAGGAGAGGAAGAGGAACCACCGCCUAUAGGGCACUGGAUAGCCACCUCAUCAUACGAUAUAUAUAUGGUGGACACCCCUAAAGAAACCAAUGGCAAUGAGGCAACGAACGAUAACCCCUCGGAGGAGCAAUCUAAGCACCGCCGUCAUAGGCGCCGCUCCAAGCCCCGCAAUAGUAGAAAUAGCGAUACCGACACAAGAGAUAACAAUCCGGAUGGUGCUGAAGACGAAAACAAUCCUGCCCAACCAGGCUUCGAGCAAGCCGAGCAAGAGGAUGGGCAAGCUAGCCCUAAAGAACAGGCAACAGAUGGAGAAUCACAGGAUGAUAAUUACAUGCCUCUCCCCGAAGAUGAAGUGAGCCUUGGCAAUGAAUAAUUCAUCGUGCUUGAGGAUCCCGUCGAGCAGGAGCGCUUCAAACACCGGCUUAUAGCCACUGCCAAAAGCCUGAAGAGAAAACAGCAACAGCUUCAAGCUGAUCAAGAUCUGCUAACUGACAGAUGGACCGAGGUCCUGGCUGCCGAGGAAUACGAACUCAAGCGCCCUACCAAAAGUUACCCAAAGCGCAGGUUGCUACCUCAACUCGAGGAGGAGGCAUUAAAGCCCACACUACCAGUGCAUGAUGCGGCUGACCGGCCACCCCGUGGCCGCAACAAAGCAACGUACUAGCCCGAAGUCCAGACCGCACCCCAUCGCCAAUCAAACGAUAAUACUAAGGCCCGGGGCUACAUGAAGGACCUGCGAGAUGUAUUGGAAAACAAAGCAGGACAGUCAAGAUCGAUCUACGGAUCACGGGGGCGCGCCACAAGACGUGACGAUGACCGUCACGCCGGAUACAAUAAAACAAAGUUCGGCCGGGCCGAAUACAAUAGACCGGAUUCAUUUGAACUACGUCGAGAUGUAGCCCGGCAUAGAGGCGCCGCACAUCCCCUAUGCUUCACUGAUGAAGUAAUGGAUCAUGAAUUCCCGAAAGGGUUUAAACCCAUGAACAUUGAAUCAUACGAUGGUACCAUAGACCCCGCAGUAUGGAUAGAAGAUUUUUUCCUCCACAUUCACAUGGCCCGCGGAGAUGAUCUACACACCAUCAAGUACCUCCCACUAAAACUAAAGGGACCGGCUUGGCAUUGGCUGAAUAGCUUGCCGUCAAACAACAUCGGGAGUUGGGAGAACCUGACAGACGCAUUCCUUGACAACUUCCAGGGCACUUAUGUGCGACCACCGGGUGCUGAUGAUCUAAGUCACAUAACCCAGCACCCCGGAGAGUCGGCCAGGAAAUUUUGGACCCGGUUCCUAACCAAAAAGAACCAAAUUCUCGACUGUCCGGAUGCCGAAGCCCUAGCAGCCUUUAAGCAUAACAUCCGUGACGAGUGGCUUGCCCGACAUCUCGGCCAGGAAAAACCAAAGUCCAUGGCAGCCCUCACAACACUCAUGACCCGCUUUUGCACGGGCGAGGAUAGCUGGUUGGCUCGUAGCAACAAUACAGCAAGCAAUCCUGGCACAUUGACAGCCAAGGAUAGCAAAGACAAACCACGGCGCAACAAACACAAGCGCCGCAAAAAUGGUGAUAGUGCCGAAGACACGUCAGUCAAUGUCGGAUUCAGCGGCUCCAAGUCCGGUCAGCGGAAGAAGCCAUUCAACAAAAACAAUUCAGGCCCGUCCAGUUAUGACCGCAUACUCGACCGUCCAUGCCAAAUUCAUGGCACCCCAGGAACACCGGCCAACCACACCAAUAGAGAAUGCUGGGUCUUCAAACAAGCCAGCAGGUCGGAUGCCGAAAACAAGGGGAAGGGGUCUCAAAGCGACGAUGACGACGAUCACCUAAUACAGGAGGACAGAAGAAAUUCCCUCUCCAGGUGAAAACGGUGAAUAUGAUAUGUGCAAGCCACAUUCCCAAGUGGAAACGUGCACUAAGGGAGGUCUAUACAAUUGACCCAAAGUUUAACCCAUGGCCCUCUUGUCCGAUCACUUUCGAUCACAGGGACCAUCCUACCAGUAUCCGUCAUAGCAGUUCGGCCGCACUGGUCCUCGACCCUAUCAUUGAUGGAUUCCACCUCACAUGAGUCCUUAUGGACGGAGGUAGCAGCCUGAACCAGCUGUACCAGGAUACAGUGCGCAAAAUGGGCAUCAACCCCUCAAGGAUCAAGCCCACAAAAACCACCUUCAAAGGUGUCAUACCAUGUGUAGAGGCCUGUUGCACGGGCUCAAUCACACUGGAAGUGGUAUUCGAAUCUCCGGACAAUCAUCGUACCAGAGAUUUAGUCUUCAACAUCGUCCCCUUUCGUAGUGACCAUCAGGCACUGCUCGGACGAACCGCGUUCGCUCGGUUCAACGCGGUGCCACAUUAUGCCUACCAUAAAUUAAAGAUGCCCGGUCCAUGCGACGUCAUCACGGUUAAUGGCAGGUCCGAACUCCCCCUCAUUGCCGAAGAGUCUACCACCUCUAUAACAGUAAGAACAACGGAUGGCACCUUCCAACCGGACCUCGAGUCGACGAACAAGUUCCCGGACACCAUCAAAGGAGUCCGGACUACUGCGCGGCAGGAUAGCCCGAUUUGCCCGGAGCUUAAUUAAAAACACUCCGCAAAAAGAUAAUACAAGCCACAUACUGCGGCUCAACCGCCCUGAGGCGCAAAACAAUUUCUUGCAUUUUUUUGCAGGUUCACCUGUACAUAGGCCAGGAUGGAUGGCGUGGAAACAAUUCGAGCGUGUAAGGGAAUCUCUAGAUAUUCCCCUCUAUGAUCAUCCGACUACACCCCGGGUCCGAGCACAAUUUCCUCACACCCGGUAUCAGUAGGUUCCACAAUCAUAUUUAUCACAUCAUCUGUACUCAUACGCAUUAAGCUAUUAUUCAAGUACAACAUGUGGAUUUAUGUGAUGCUCAUCUGUUGCUAUUUCUUAUUUAAAACUCUUCUGUUAAAAGGCGGCUGCUUAUCACGAUAUGCCUUAAUAUGCCAGGGACUUCAUCAUGCCCAUACUACAGCAAAAAAGUCCGAACACCUUCAUGGUAGUUUGGCACCCCGAACUUAUAGCAUUAUAUGCAUCAGCUCUGAAUCAUGUCUUGGGUCAAUAGUUGGGUUUGCCCAGCUCCUAUGUUUUGGUACCUUACGUUCCGCUAUAUCGGCUAAGGUAGCACCGGGAGAAGUACUGCGAUUGUGUCCCGGUUCUUCCGGACGAGCACCUCAGUAGAGAAAGCCGAAAACUGACUGUCAUGAUGUAGCGAGAGCUGGUCAGCUGUUCGAGAGGUUCUAAAAUCUUUAAGGAUUUCUUCCGCAUAAUGCCAUAACCAAUGCAGCGUGCGACGGAUCGGCCUUUUCUGAUCAGGUGCUUAUAGAGCCCCUCGUGCGGUCUUCCGAACACCAGGGGCUGCGCCUACCUUCCUCGAAAAACCUCCCAUGGCUAAGUGAGAGCGAUAAAGCCCUAUAGUCCGAUUGCCUGGUUUGAUGUGCUGAACACCUCCUUUAGGGACCCAAAACUGGGAUAAAAAGUGCUCAGGUUUAUCUCGAACACCCCCAUACUCACUACGUGGGGGCGGAAGCCGACGACUGGCCGACUCUCAGGAUUAUUAUAAAAAACGGCCGCACAGGAGGAAAAACUUUCAUACGACAAGUAAUAAAUAAUGACCUUGUUCAAAUAUUACAAAGGAAAACAUGACCGUAUUCACAGAAAUAUAAUGUCCUUGGUGCAUUGCUUCGCCGCAAGGCGGGCCCCUUCCAGGACACAUUCAUAAUACAGGUCGGGCUUGCGGUGCUCUUUCCCCUCUGGUGGUCCCUCGUUCAUUAGCUUUUAUGCAUCCAUCUUCCCCCAAUGCACCUUUGCAUGGGCGAAGGCCAUUCGCGCACCUUCUAUGCAGACCGACCGCUUGAUGACUUCGAGUCGAGGGCAGGCACUCGCAAUCUGCUUCACGAGCCCGAAGUAACUGCUUGGAAUCGGCCCGGCAUGCCACAGCCGGAUAAUCAAAUCCUUCAUGGCUAUCUCGGCCGCCUUAUGCAGUUCGACCAGCUGUUUCAGCUGAUCGGAAAACGGCACCGAAUAAUUUGACGCUAGAUACUACAUCCAGAAGAGUUUAUCCGCGGUAUUCCUCUCUUCGGCUCGGUAGAAUUGGGCGGCGGCAGAUAUGCUGCGUGGCAGCUCCGCAAACACCCCUAGAAAAAUCAAAAUUUAAACUCUCAACUUGAUUUUCUCCUUUCAAAUACUCGCUUUGUACAGAAAAAGCCUUACCAGCCGCAAUCUUCCUUGCCUCCUGGAUUUCCUUCAGGGCACCUUUUGGGCCUCCCCCCGGGCAUCAUUUGCGGCUUGGUGAGCCUGGGAGAGUUCGGAUUCUUUACCUGCUAAACUCUUCUCCAAGGUCUCGCAUUUCUGCACGGCCUCUUGAAGCUCUCGCUCAGCCUCAAUAACUCUAGCCUCAUGUUUCUCAUGAAGAGCCUACUCUGCAGCUGCCUUCUUCUCGGCUUCGGCCACAACCUUCCUGAGAGCCUCAAUUUCAGCCGUCGCUCCUAGAGCAUGUUAUAAAAAUAUUUUCAUCAUGCACACUUAUUCAUUUGUGCUACAUAAACAAGGUUUCUACAUACCUUGAUUCUCCUCCAGCUGUCUCUUCACUUGGCCAAGUUCUCCUUCGGCCCGCUCCAGACUAUGCCUCAAUUCGGAUACUUCCACAGCAUGAGAGGCGGCAGUCGCUAUAGAUGCCUGCUGGUUAAAAAGAGUGAUAAAUGUCAUCAAGUGAGUCUCCUGGGAGCAUGAAUUUGAUCCUCUGUCCGGUUCUUUCUUUCACCGAACAGUGUAGGGCUACUAUCUAUACCAUGACACUCUCCCAAAAACUCAUAAAAAAUACCUCAAAGCCUCUUAUGAGGCUAAUACAGGAUUCAUUCAGUCCACUCUCAGCGGACUGAAUCUUCUCAAUCACCGUACCCAUGAGGGCACGGUGUUCAUCAACGAUGGAGGCACCCUUCAGCGCCGCUAAUAAAGUAUCCGGCACCUCUUGUUGGACAGAGGCGGCUGGUGGAGCAGGCAUACCUCCUCCAGUUGGCAGAGGCCAUUUGUCUGACUCGGGGACCUUAUGGGUCUCUAGAAUUGUGUCCAGCUUGUGUCCGGAUUCAAGAUGACCCCCGUCGUCGACACCCACGAGAGCUUUCUCUCCCGUGUGUCCGGCCCCUGAAGUAUGGCCUCCUGGCUCCGCCUUUGUGACCUUCUCCCCUCCUUCGUGGACUAGGUCCUUCUGGGACAAAACCUCGGUUUCAUUCCUACGUUUGGAGGAGGAGGCCUUCAGGGGUGUCCCCCUCUCCAUAGCGUCCAAACCCAGCAGAUCUUCUGACGAGGACUGUUCGGUGCGGGGCUUCACCGGACUGAAAAAAGCACGGCUCAGAUUAGAAUAUGAUGCCAUGACAAAUCCGGACGCAUGAGUGUGUUCGGAUUUUAUACUCAUGAGUUCACCAGGGGCUCGGCCCUGGGAUCCCACUCCGGGCUGCUAUCGGUGGCACCGGUGGACUCCUCUUGUAGAGGAGUUUUUCCCCUCUUAGGUGGCUCGCCCUCCAAGGAUGUGGAGGCCUUCCUUUUCUUUCUUCCCCCCGCGGCGGAUUCGUCUCCUUCCUCCUCCUCAUCCUCUUCGGAGGAAGAAUGGGCAUUGGACUCUUCGGAUCUUGCGUCCGAAGCGCCACGACGACGGAGGCUGCCCCUGGUCUUCUUGGCCUCAUUUCCGGCCUUCUUCUUCGGUGCCUUGUAAGGCGCCGUGACCAGCAUCUUCAUCAGAAGCGGGCCGGCUGGUUCUUCUGGUAGCAGGACCAGACAGUAGAUCCGCCCCGCCUUCUUCACCCAGCCCUAGGAAAUUUGGGGGAAACACUUCAGGCAUUUUCUUAAAAAAUAUGCGAAUGAAACAUACGAACUGUCAACAAGCGAUCCCUUACCGAACUUGCCGGGCGGGACAGUUGGUACCCGCGGUCCUCGGCAGAGUCCGGCCAUGAUUUGUCGGACUUGAAAAGCACCUUCCAUAUGUCCUUAUGCGAAGAGCCAAAGAGCUCUAACAAGGUCUGGUGCUUGGCCGGGUCGAACUCCCAUAGAUUGCAAGCCCGGUGUUGACAAGGUAGAAUCCGGUGAACUAACAUCACUUGGACUACAUUGACGAGCUUGAUGUCCUUUUCUUCCAUAUCUUGGACGUGCGUCUGGAGCUCUGAUAGCUCAUCAGACGAAGCCCAGUCCAAGCCCUUCUUGGGCCAGGACAUAAGCCACAGGGGGGCGCCGGAUCUGAACUCUGGGGCGGUGGCCCAUUCCUUACCAUGCGGCUCUGUGAUGUAGAACCACUGCUGCUGCCACUCCUUGACGGAAUCAUUGAAAGCACCCGUUGGCCAUGUAACGUUGGGCAUCUUACUCACCAUGGCACCUCCGCAUUUGGCAUGCUCGCCACUCACUACCCUGGGCUUCACAUUAAGAACCUUUAUCCAUAAGCCAAAGUGCGGCGGGACAAGGCCUCGCACACGAUGAUGAAUGUCGAGAUAUUGAGGAAAGAAUUGGGAGAUAGAUCAUGAAAAUCAAUCCCAUAAUAGUACAUGAUGCCGUGAACAAAUGGGUGGAAGGAAAACCCUAGCCCGCGGACAAAAUGAGGGAGAAAUACCACCCUCUCGUGGGGUUCCGGGGUGGGGACGAUUUGUACCGCCGUCGGAAGACGGUGGCUGAUUCUCUUGGCCAAAUACCCUGCCCCCCGAAGCUUUUUGAUGUCCUUCUCCUGGACGGUAGAGGCCAUCCACUUGCCUCCUACUCCGGAUCCAGACAUUUUUGGGAAACCUUUUUGAUGGAGAAGGUGGACGCUUGAGCGCUAGGGCUUGAGCAAGAAGGGACGAAUGCGCAAUGGAAGAAGGCGCGGGUGAAAGAGGGAGUUCUUAUCCGCCUAUAAAGGAAGCAGGGAUCCUGCGCCUCCCCACUUGCCCGUUAAAAUCGCUUAUUCCCCAAGCGCCACGUUUGAUGGCACGGUUGGGUUACCCACGUCCGUAUUGAUGAGGAUCCCGUGAUAAGGGGACACGAUCUCUACUUCGAAAAGACGUGCCGAUAAAACCACCUCGCAAUAUGUGCGGUGGCUGGUUGUGAAAAACGGUUCGAAUAAUGACCGGACAGUGGCGUGAUGUCAUGCUAUAAAAAGUUGUCAGCAGAUUAGAUUUGUGGAGUAUUGUACUCUCUACAGUGGUAUGUGGAAUUUGUUUUGCAGAGCCGGACACGAUCCUUGUGUUCUAAAUCUUCUAUGGAGUAUUCGGAGAAGGAACCCGCCUUGCAAUGCCGAAGACAAUCUACGCGCCGGACUCAUCGUCAUUGAAGCCUGGUUCAGGGGCUAAUGAGGGUGUCCUGGAUUAAGGGGUCCUCGGACAGCCGGACUAUAUACUUUGGCCGGACUGUUGGACUAUGAAGAUACAAGAUUGAAGACUUCAUCCCGUGUCCGGAUGGGACUCUCCUUUGCGUGGAAGGCAAGCUUGGCAAUUCGGAUAUGUAGAUUUCCUUCUCUAUAACCAACUCUGUGUAACCCUACCCCCUCUAGUGUCUAUAUAAACCGAAGGGUUUAGUCCAUAGGACAACAACAAUCAUAAUCAUAGGCUAGCUUCUAGGGUUUAGCCUCUACGAUCUCGUGGUAGAUCAACUCUUGUAAUACCCAUAUCAUCAAGAUCAAUCAAGCAUGAAGUAGGGUAUUACCUCCAUCGAGAGGGCCCGAACCUGGGUAAAACAUCGUGUCCCCUACCUCCUGUUACCAUUAGCCUUAGACGCAUAGUUCGGGACCCCCUACCCGAGAUCCUCUGGUUUUGACACCGACAACGGGUCCUUUGCAUGCGGGACUGAGCUCCCAUAGUAAGACUCCCAGAUCAAGUUCACCCAAGGUAUAUCCUGCCUAUUAUAAAAUUUAUGAAGAAAUUUGAGUAGCAAGGCAUCAUUUUGAACUCGCAAGUUAAUGAUCCUCAAACCCUCGCUCUUCUUGGAUCUGCACACCAUGUCCCAGGCCGCGAGCGAGUUGCACUUGAUACCAUCAUCAGUCUUAUUUCUCCACAAGCAAUGUCAUCUGAUCUUGUCCAGUUGGGUUACAAUUUUUGGUGGUAAUCUAAUGGUGCCCAUUGGAAACAUAAUUAGUGAUGUGAUCAAGGAGUUCAUGAGGGAUUGUUUGCCGACGUACGACAUGAAGGACAUGGCUGUUGUGAUGUUUCUUUCUGCUUUGUAUACCAAUGGUGUCAGUCUCAUGUCUUGAACUGAUGGUCUUGUGAUGCCCAAGGGGAGCCCUAGGUACAUGAAUGGCAUGGCAGCCACAGAGAAACCAAAAAGGACAACAAGACCGUUGCAUUUUUCAGUUGGGGUGUUGAUUGGGACCAACGUUGACUUAUGGAAGUUAAUCUUGAGCCCAAUAGACAUGGCAUAGUCGGCUAGGAUCUCUUUGAUCUUAUUGGCUUGAUUCAGGCAGGCUGGCAUGAUUAUGAUAGUGUCAUCUGCGUAUUGUAUGACAGGGUAAUCUCCAUUAUCGGAAGAGCAAAUGGGAUAAUCCAGUAGAUUCCUACACAAAGCAUCAUUGAUUGUUGUUUGAAGAAGAUCCGCGGCAAGGACAAAUAUCAGGGGGGCAACGGGUCGCCUUGUCUGACACCACGUUUGCAGUGGAAGAUUUUUCCCGGGGUGCUAUUUAAGAGGACAAGGAUUUGCCCGAUGAGAAUAUACAUUGAAUCCAUUGGAUCGAUUUGUCAUUGAAGCCCAUGUUCUUCAUAAUUUGCAGCAUGGCAGAAUGUUGGAUAGUGUCAAAGCCUUUGGAGAAAUCAAGUUUAAACAAAACCACCUCUUUUUGUGAUGUCUGACAUUGAUGUAUGUACUCGAAUGCCCAUGCUAGGCAGUCAUGUAUAGAUCUUCUAUGUAGAAAAUCGUAUUGGUUGCGGUGCACAAUUUGCAGGAUGAUUUUCUGUAGUCGGUUGGCCAAGAGUUUGGUGAUCAUUUUAAGACAACAGUUGAGCAAUGGGAUCGGACGAAAUUCAUUGACCAUUUCUUGUACAUUGUUUUUGAGUAUUAAUGUGAUGUAUCCAUUUUUCAAACACUCUAGAUUGAGCUCUCCAUGAUGGAAUUCGUCACAUAAUCUAUAGAAGUCGAAUUUGACGAUAGGAAAACAUGCUCUCAGAAAUGCCCCAUUAAAAUCAUCAGGGUCGGGGGCCCUAUCAGGGGGCAUCGUUGAUCGCCGCGUCAACCUUAGCAUGUGAGAAGGGUGUGCUGAGACUAUCAAAGUCCACAUGCUGCCUGAGAAGAGCCGAUAGAUUAAAUUUCAUGUUCAGAGUGGUGCACGUACCCAAGUGUUGUUUAAAUGCUUCUAGCAGAAUGGAUUCUUUGCCCGUGUGGUUGUCGACAAGCACCCCCUGGUUAGUUUUCAGAGUUGCAAUGUAGUUACGCCUGUAUCUCUCUGUGGCAACAGUCUGGAAAAAUUUAGUGUUCUCGUCGCCAAAUUUAAUCCAUCGAAUUGUGCAUCUUUUCUUCCAAUACUCCUUUUGAUAGUGGAGUAAUCUAAUGAGGUGAUGUUUGAGAAUGUUCCUAAAGUUGCCUUCGGGUAAGAUAAAGGUUCGAUGCUCUUCAAUCUAGUCUAGCUCCAAAAUAGCUUUAUAUGUGUUGUCAAUAGCUACCUUGAGACGAGAGAUUUUCUUACUCCAGUGACUUAAAUCCUGACGCACAGCUUUCAGUUUUUGAUGGAGUAUGGAAGCAGCCUUAUUAUUUUUCCCAAACUUGAUUGGCUUGUUCCAGGCACUUUCAACAACUUCCAUGAAGCCCGGGUGUGCAAUCCAAUAUGAUUCAAAUCUGAAUAUUUUGCUUUUAGGUAUCUAGGUCUGUAUAACAAUUGUGCAAGGUAUGUGAUCAGAUAUAGGACGUCCAAGAGGGUUUACCAUUGUAUUGGGGAAGGAGGUGGUCCAAUUUAGAGUGGUAAAAAAACCAAUCAAGCUAUUCGAGGAGAGGUUUUGCUGCAUGUUGGACCACGUAUAGGCCCUACCUUUGAUAGGAAGUUCAGUGAGUUCUUGGUCUCGAAUAAAAUCAUUAAAGGUGAACAUAUCUUGUGUGUUUCCUCCAGGCAUGCUACGAUUAUCAUGUGAACGAAUAUAAUUGAAAUCACCGAGAAGUAACCAAUCUUCAGUAGAGGGAAUGUCAAGAUCAAAUAACUGAAGGAAAUAUGCCCUAGAGGCAAUAAUAAAGUUAUUAUUUAUUUCCUUAUAAUCAUGAUAAAUGUUUAUUAUUCAUGCUAGAAUUGUAUUUUCCGGAAACAUAAUACAUGUGUGAAUACAUAGACAAACAGAGUGUCACUAGUAUGCCUCUACUUGACUAGCUCGUUAAUCAAAGAUGGUUAUGUUUCCUAACCAUGAACAAUGAGUUGUUAUUUGAUUAACGAGGUCACAUCAUUAGUAGAAUGAUCUGAUUGACAUGACCCAUUCCAUUAGCUUAGCACCAGAUCGUUUAGUAUGUUGUUAUUGCUUUCUUCAUGACUUAUACAUGUUCCUACGACUAUGAGAUUAUGCAACUCCCGUUUACCGGAGGAACACUUUGGGUACUACCAAACGUCACAACGUAAAUGGGUGAUUAUAAAGGAGUACUACAGGUGUCUCCAAUGGUCGAUGUUGGGUUGGCGUAUUUCGAGAUUAGGAUUUGUCACUCCGAUUGUCGGAGACGUAUCUCUGGGCCCUCUCGGUAAUACACAUCACAUAAGCCUUGCAAGCAUUACAACUAAUAUGUUAGUUGUGAGAUGAUGUAUUACGGAACGAGUAAAGAGACUUGCCGUUAACGAGAUUGAACUAGGUAUUGGAUACCGACGAUCGAAUCUCGGGCAAGUAACAUACCGAUGACAAAGGGAACAACGUAUGUUGUUAUGCGGUCUGACCGAUAAAGAUCUUCGUAGAAUAUGUAGGAGCCAAUAUGGGCAUCCAGGUCCCGCUAUUGGUUAUUGACCAGAGACAUGUCUCGAUCAUGUCUACAUUGUUCUCGAACCCGUAGGGUCCGCACGCUUAAGGUUACGAUGACAGUUAUAUUAUGAGUUUAUGCAUUUUGAUGUACCGAAGGUUGUUCGGAGUCCCGGAUGUGAUCACGGACAUGACGAGGAGUCUCGAAAUGGUCGAGACGUAAAGAUUGAUAUAUUGGAAGCCUAUGUUUGGACAUCGGAAGUGUUCCGGGUGAAAUCGGGAUUUUACCGGGUUACCGGGAGGUUACCGGAACCCCCCGGGAGCCAUAUGGGCCAUCAUGGGCCUUAGUGGAAAGGAGAAAGGGGCAGCCCAAGGUGGCUGCGCCUCUUUCCCCUCCCCUAGUCCUAUUAGGACUAGGAGAAGGUGGCCGGCCCCCCUCUCUCCCUUCCCCUCCGAGGAAUCCUAGUUGGACUAGGAUUGGGGGGAGGAAUCCUACUCCCAGAGGGAGUAGGACUCUCCUGCGCCUCCCUCUUUGGCCGGCCAGCCUCCCCUCCUCUCCUCCUUUAUAUACGGAGGCAGGGGCACCUCUAAACACACAAGUUGACACAAGUUGAUCCACGUGAUCGAUUCCUUAGCCGUGUGCGGUGCCCCCUGCCACCAUAUUCCUCAAUAAUACUGUAGCGGAGUUUAGGCGAAGCCCUGCUGCUGUAGUUCAUCAAGAUCGUCACCACGCCGUCGUGCUGACGAAACUCUUCCCCGACACUUUGCUGGAUCGGAGUCCGGGGAUCGUCAUCGAGCUGAACGUGUGCUCGAACUCGGAGGUGCCGUAGUUUCGGUGCUUGAUCGGUUGGAUCGUGAAGACGUACGACUACUUCCUCUACGUCGUGUCAUUGCUUCCGCAGUCGGUCUGCGUUGGGUACGUAGACAACACUCUCCUCUCGUUGCUAUGCAUCACAUGAUCCUGUGUGCGCGUAGGAAAUUUUUUGAAAUUACUACGAAACCCAACAGUGGCAUCCGAGCCUAGGUUAAUGAUGUUGAUGUUAUAUGCACGAGUAGAACCCAAGUGAGUUGUGGACGAUACAAGUCAUACUGCCUACCAGCAUGUCAUAUUUUGGUUCAGCGGUAUUGUUGGACGAGACGACCCGGACCAACCUUACGCGUACGCUUACGCGAGACCGGUUCCCUCGACGUGCUUUGCACAGAGAUGGCUUGCGGGCGACUGCCUCUCCAACUUUAGUUGAACCAAGUAUGGCUACGCCCGGUCCUUGCGAAGGUUAAAACGGAGUCUAUUUGACAAACUAUCGUUGUGGUUUUGAUGCGUAGGUGAGAUUGGUUCUUACUUAAGCCCGUAGCAGCCACGUAAAACAUGCAACAACAAAGUAGAGGACGUCUAACUUGUUUUUGCAGGGCAUGUUGUGAUGUGAUAUGGUCAAGGCAUGAUGCUGAGUUUUAUUGUAUGAGAUGAUCAUGUUUUGUAACCAAGUUAUCGGCAACUGGCAGGAGCCAUAUGGUUGUCGCUUUAUUGUAUGCAAUGCAAUCGCGAUGUAAUGCUUUACUUUAUUACUAAACGGUAGUGAUAGUCGUGGAAGCAUAAGAUUGGCGAGACGACAACGAUGCUACGAUGGAGAUCAAGGUGUCGCGCCGGUGACGAUGGUGAUCAUGACGGUGCUUCGGAGAUGGAGAUCACAAGCACAAGAUGAUGAUGGCCAUAUCAUAUCACUUAUAUUGAUUGCAUGUGAUGUUUAUUUUUUUAUGCAUCUUAUCUUGCUUUGAUUGACGGUAGCAUUAUAAGAUGAUCUCUCACUAAAUUAUCAAGAAGUGUUCUCCCUGAGUAUGCACCGUUGCAAAAGUUCUUCGUGCUGAGACACCACGUGAUGAUCGGGUGUGAUAGGCUCUACGUUCAAAUACAACGGGUGCAAAACAGUUGCGCACGCAGAAUACUCAGGUUAAACUUGACGAGCCUAGCAUAUGCAGAUAUGGCCUCGGAACACGGAGACCGAAAGGUCGAGCGUGAAUCAUAUAGUAGAUAUGAUCAACAUAAUGAUGUUCACCGAUGAAACUACUCCAUCUCACGUGAUGAUCGGACAUGGUUUAGUUGAUUUGGAUCACGUGAUCACUUAGAGGAUUAGAGGGAUGUCUAUCUAAGUGGGAGUUCUUUAAUAAUAUGAUUAAUUGAACUUAAAAUUUAUCAUGAACUUAGUCCCUGAUAGUAUCUUGCUUGUUUAUGUGGAUUGUAGAUAGAUGGCUCGUGCUGUUGUUCCGUUAAAUUUUAAUGUGUUCCUUGAGAAAGCAAAGUUGAAAGAUGAUGGUAGCAAUUACACGGACUGGGUCCGUAACUUGAGGAUUAUCCUCAUUGCUGCACAGAAGAAUUACGUCCUAGAAGCACCGCUGGGUGCCAGGCCUGCUGCUGGAGCAACGCCAGAUGUUAUGAACGUCUGGCAGAGCAAAGCUGAUGACUACUCGAUAGUUCAGUGUGCCAUGCUUUACGGCUUAGAAUCGGGACUUCAACGACGUUUUGAACGUCAUGGAGCAUAUGAGAUGUUCCAGGAGUUGAAGUUAAUAUUUCAAGCAAAUGCCCGGAUUGAGAGAUAUGAAGUCUCCAAUAAGUUCUAUAGCUGCAAGAUGGAAGAGAACAGUUCUGUCAGUGAGCAUAUACUCAAAAUGUCUGGGUAUAAUAAUCACUUGAUUCAAUAGGGAGUUAAUCUUCCAGAUGAUUGCGUCAUUGACAGAAUUCUCCAAUCACUGCCACCAAGCUACAAGAGCUUCGUGAUGAACUAUAAUAUGCAAGGGAUGAACAAGACUAUUCCCGAGCUCUUCGCAAUGCUAAAAGCUGCGGAGGUAGAAAUCAAGAAGGAGCAUCAAGUGUUGAUGGUUAACAAGACCACUAGUUUCAAGAAAAAGGGCAAAGGGAAGAAAAAGGGGAACUUCAAAAAGAACGGCAAGCAAGUUGCUGCUCAAGAGAAGAAACCCAAGUCUAGACCUAAGCCUGAAACUGAGUGCUUCUACUGCAAGCAGACUGGUCACUGGAAGCGGAACUGCCCCAAGUAUUUGGCGGAUAAGAAGGAUGGCAAGGUGAACAAAGGUAUAUGUGAUAUACAUGUUAUUGAUAUGUACCUUACCAAUGCUCGCAGUAGCACCUGGGUAUUUGAUACUGGUUCUGUUGCUAAUAUUUGCAACUCGAAACAGGGACUACAGAAUAAGCGGGCACUGGCAAAGGACGAGGUGACGAUGCGCGUGGGAAACGGUUCCAAAGUCGAUGUGAUCGCGGUCGGCACGCUACCUCUACAUCUACCUUCGGGAUUAAUAUUAGACCUAAAUAAUUGUUAUUUGGUGCCAGCGUUGAGCAUGAACAUUAUAUCUGGAUCUUGUUUAAUGCGAGACGGUUAUUCAUUUAAAUCAGAGAAUAAUGGUUGUUCUAUUUAUAUGAGUAAUAUCUUUUAUGGUCAUGCACCCUUGAAGAGUGGUCUAUUCUUACUAAAUCUCGAUAGUAGUAAUACACAUAUUCAUAAUGUUGAAACCAAAAGAUACAGAGUUGAUAAUGAAAGUGCAACUUAUUUGUGGCACUGUCGUUUAGGUCAUAUCGGUGUAAAACGCAUGAAGAAACUCCAUACUAAUGGACCUUUGGAACCACUUGAUUAUGAAUCACUUGGUACUUGCGAACCGUGCCUCAUGGGCAAGAUGACUAAAACACCGUUCUCCGGUACUAUGGAGAGAGCAACAGAUUUGUUGGAAAUCAUACAUACCGAUGUAUGUGGUCCGAUGAAUAUUGAGGCUCGUGGCGGAUAUCGUUAUUUUCUCACCUUCACAGAUGAUUUGAGCAGAUAUGGAUAUAUCUACUUAAUGAAGCAUAAGUCUGAAACAUUUGAAAAGUUCAAAGAAUUUCAGAGUGAAGUUGAAAAUCAUCGUAACAAGAAAAUAAAGUUUCUACGAUCUGAUCGUGGAGGAGAAUAUUUGAGUUACGAGUUUGGUGUACAUUUGAAAAACUGUGGAAUAGUUUCGCAACUCACGCCACCCGGAACACCACAGCGUAAUGGUGUGUCCGAACGUCGUAAUCGUACUUUAUUAGAUAUGGUACGAUCUAUGAUGUCUCUUACUGAUUUACCGCUAUCAUUUUGGGGUUAUGCUUUAGAGACGGCCGCAUUCACGUAAAAUAGGGCACCAUCAAAAUCCGUUGAGACGACGCCUUAUGAACUAUGGUUUGGCAAGAAACCAAAGUUGUCGUUUCUUAAAGUUUGGGGCUGCGAUGCUUAUGUGAAAAAGCUUCAACCUGAUAAGCUCGAACCCAAAUCGGAGAAAUGUGUAUUCAUAGGAUACCCAAAGGAAACUGUUGGGUACACCUUCUAUCACAGAUCCGAAGGCAAAACAUUUGUUGCUAAGAAUGGAUCAUUUCUAGAGAAGGAGUUUCUCUCGAAAGAAGUGAGUGGGAGGAAAGUAGAACUUGACGAGGUAACUGUACCUGCUCCCUUACUGGAAAGUAGUUCAUCACAGAAAACUGUUUCAGUGACACCUACACCAGUUAGUGAGGAAGCCAAUGAUAAUGAUCAUGAAACUUCAGAUCAAGAUACUACUGAACUUCGUAGAUCAACCAGAGUAAGAUCCACACCAGAGUGGUACCGUAAUCCUGUUCUGGAGGUCAUGCUACUAGAUCAUGAUGAACCUACGAACUAUGAAGAAGUGAUGGUGAGCCCAGAUUCCGCAAAGUGGCUAGAAGCCAUGAAAUCUGAGAUGGGAUCCAUGUAUGAGAACAAAGUAUGGACUUUGGUUGACUUGCCCGAUGAUCGGCAAGCGAUUGAGAAUAAAUGGAUCUUUAAGAAGAAGACUGACGCUGAUGGUAAUGUUACUGUCUACAAAGCUCGACUUGUCGCAAAAGGUUUUCGGCAAGUUCAAGGAAUUGACUACGAUGAGACCUUCUCACCCGUAGCGAUGCUUAAGUCCGUCCGAAUCAUGUUAGCAAUUGCCGCAUUUUAUGAUUAUGAAAUUUGGCAAAUGGAUGUCAAAACUGCAUUCCUGAAUGGAUUCCUGAAAGAAGAGUUGUAUAUGAUGCAACCAGAAGGUUUUGUCGAUCCAAAGGGAGCUAACAAAGUGUGCAAGCUCCAGCGAUCCAUUUAUGGACUGGUGCAAGCCUCUCGGAGUUGGAAUAAACGUUUUGAUAGUGUGAUCAAAGCAUUUGGUUUUAUACAGACUUUUGGAGAAGCCUGUAUUUACAAGAAAGUGAGUGGGAGCUCUGUAGCAUUUCUGAUAUUAUAUGUGGAUGACAUAUUACUGAUUGGAAAUGAUAUAGAAUUUCUGGAUAGCAUAAAGGGAUACUUGAAUAAAAGUUUUUCAAUGAAAGACCUCGGUGAAGCUGCUUACAUAUUAGGCAUUAAGAUCUAUAGAGACAGAUCAAGACGCUUAAUUGGACUUUCACAAAGCACAUACCUUGACAAAAUUUUGAAGAAAUUCAAAAUGGAUCAAGCAAAGAAAGGGUUCUUGCCUGUGUUACAAGGUGUGAAAUUGAGUAAGACUCAAUGCCCGACCACUGCAGAAGAUAGAGAGAAUAUGAAAGAUGUUCCCUAUGCAUCAGCCAUAGGCUCUAUCAUGUAUGCAAUGCUGUGUACCAGACCUGAUGUGUUCCUUGCUAUAAGUUUAGCAGGGAGGUACCAAAGUAAUCCAGGAAUGGAUCACUGGACAGCGGUCAAGAACAUCCUGAAAUACCUGAAAAGGACUAAGGAUAUGUUUCUCGUAUAUGGAAGUGACAAAGAGCUCAUCGUAAAAGGUUAUGUUGAUGCAAGCUUUGACACUGAUCCGGACGAUUCUAAAUCGCAAACCGGAUACGUGUUUACAUUAAACGGUGGAGCUGUCAGUUGGUGCAGUUCUAAACAAAGCGUCGUAGCGGGAUCUACAUGUGAAGCGGAAUACAUAGCUGCUUCGGAAGCAGCAAAUGAAGGAGUCUGGAUGAAGGAGUUCAUAUCCGAUCUAGGUGUCAUACCUAGUGCAUCGGGUCCAAUGAAAAUCUUUUGUGACAAUACUGGUGCAAUUGCCUUAGCAAAGGAAUCCAGAUUUCACAAAAGGACCAAACACAUCAAGAGACGCUUCAACUCCAUCCGGGAUCUAGUCCAGGUGGGAGACAUAGAGAUUUGCAAGAUACAUACGGAUCUGAAUGUAGCAGACCCGUUGACUAAGCCUCUUCCACGAGCAAAACAUGAUCAGCACCAAGGCUCCAUGGGUGUUAGAAUCAUUACAGUGUAAUCUAGAUUAUUGACUCUAGUGCAAGUGGGAGACUGAAGGAAAUAUGCCCUAGAGGCAAUAAUAAAGUUAUUAUUUAUUUCCUUAUAAUCAUGAUAAAUGUUUAUUAUUCAUGCUAGAAUUGUAUUUACCGGAAACAUAAUACAUGUGUGAAUACAUAGACAAACAAAGUGUCACUAGUAUGCCUCUAAUUGACUAGCUCGUUAAUCAAAGAUGGUUAUGUUUCCUAACCAUGAACAAUGAGUUGUUAUUUGAUUAACGAGGUCACAUCAUUAGUAGAAUGAUCUGAUUGACAUGACCCAUUCAAUUAGCUUAGCACCCGAUCGUUUAGUAUGUUGCUAUUGCUUUCUUCAUGACUUAUACAUGUUUCUAUGACUAUGAGAUUAUGCAACUCCCGUUUACCGGAGGAACACUUUGGGUACUACCAAACGUCACAACGUAAAUGGGUGAUUAUAAAGGAGUACUACAGGUGUCUCCAAUGGUCGAUGUUGGGUUGGUGUAUUUCGAGAUUAGGAUUUGUCACUCCGAUUGUCGGAGAGGUAUCUCUGGGCCCUCUCGGUAAUACACAUCACAUAAGCCUUGCAAGCAUUACAACUAAUAUGUUAGUUGUGAGAUGAUGUAUUACGGAACGAGUAAAGAGACUUGCCGGUAACGAGAUUGAACUAGGUAUUGGAUACCGACGAUCGAAUCUCGGGCAAGUAACAUACCGAUGACAAAGGGAACAACGUAUGUUGUUAUGCGGUCUGACCGAUAAAGAUCUUCGUAGAAUAUGUAGGAGCCAAUAUGGGCAUCCAGGUCCCGCUAUUGGUUAUUGACCGGAGACGUGUCUCGGUCAUGUCUACAUUGUUCUCGAACCCGUAGGGUCCGCACGCUUAAGGUUACGAUGACAGUUAUAUUAUGAGUUUAUGCAUUUUGAUGUACCGAAUGUUGUUCGGAGUCCCGGAUGUGAUCACGGACAUGACGAGGAGUCUCGAAAUGGUCGAGACGUAAAGAUUGAUAUAUUGGAAGCCUAUAUUUGGAUAUCGGAAGUGUUCCGGGUGAAAUCGGGAUUUUACCGGAAUACCGGGAGGGUUACUGGAACCCCCCGGGAGCUAUUUGGGCCAUAGUGGGCCUUAGUGGAAAAGAGAAGGGGCUGCCCUAGUUGGGCUGCGCGCCCCCCUUCCCCUAGUACUAUUAGGACUAGGAGAGGUGGCCGGCCCCCUCCUCCUCUUUUCCCCUCCGAGGAAUCCUAGUUGGACUAGGAUUGGAGGGGGAAUCCUACUCCCAGAGGGAGUAGGACUCUCCUGCGCCUCCCCCCCUUGGCCAGCCAGCCUCCCCUCCUCUCCUCCUUUAUAUACGGAGGCAGGGGCACCUCUAAACACACAAGUUGACACAAGUUGAUCCACGUGAUCGAUUCCUUAGCCGUGUGCGGUGCCCCCUGCCACCAUAUUCCUCGAUAAUACUGUAGCGGAGUUUAGGCGAAGCCCUGCUGCUGUAGUUCAUCAAGAUCGUCACCACGCCGUCGUGCUGACGAAACUCUUCCCCGACACUUUGCUGGAUCGGAGUCCGGGGAUCGUCAUCGAGCUGAACGUGUGCUCGAACUCGGAGGUGCCGUAGUUUCGGUGCUUGAUCGGUUGGAUCGUGAAGACGUACGACUACUUCCUCUACGUCGUGUCAUCGCUUCCGCAGUCGGUCUGCGUUGGGUACGUAGACAACACUCUCCUCUCGUUGCUAUGCAUCACAUGAUCCUGUGUGCGCGUAGGAAAAUUUUUGAAAUUACUACGAAACCUAACAAGAACAUCCUAAAAUACCUGAAAAGGACUAAGGAUAUGUUUCUCGUAUAUGGAGGUGACAAAGAGCUCACCGUAAAAGGUUACGUUGAUGCAAGCUUUGACACUGAUCCGGACGAUUCUAAAUCGCAAACCGGAUACGUGUUUACAUUAAACGGUGGAGCUGUCAGUUGGUGCAGUUCUAAACAAAGCGUUGUAGCGGGAUCUACAUGUGAAGCGGAAUACAUAGCUGCUUCGGAAGCAGCAAAUGAAGGAGUCUGGAUGAAGGAGUUCAUAUCCGAUCUAGGUGUCAUACCUAGUGCAUCGGGUCCAAUGAAAAUCUUUUGUGACAAUACUGGUGCAAUUGCCUUGGCAAAGGAAUCCAGAUUUCACAAAAGGACCAAACACAUCAAGAGACGCUUCAACUCCAUCCGGGAUCUAGUCCAGGUGGGAGACAUAGAGAUUUGCAAGAUACAUACGGAUCUGAAUAUUGCAGACCCGUUGACUAAGACUCUUCCACGAGCAAAACAUGAUCAGCACCAAAGCUCCAUGGGUGUUAGAUUCAUUACAGUGUAAUCUAGAUUAUUGACUCUAGUGCAAGUGGGAGACUGAAGGAAAUAUGCCCUAGAGGCAAUAAUAAAGUUAUUAUUUAUUUCCUUAUAAUCAUGAUAAAUGUUUAUUAUUCAUGCUAGAAUUGUAUUUUCCGGAAACAUAAUACAUGUGUGAAUACAUAGACAAACAGAGUGUCACUAGUAUGCCUCUACUUGACUAGCUCGUUAAUCAAAGAUGGUUAUGUUUCCUAACCAUGAACAAUGAGUUGUUAUUUGAUUAACGAGGUCACAUCAUUAGUAGAAUGAUCUGAUUGACAUGACCCAUUCCAUUAGCUUAGCACCUGAUCGUUUAGUAUGUUGCUAUUGCUUUCUUCAUGACUUAUACAUGUUCCUACGACUAUGAGAUUAUGCAACUCCCGUUUACCGGAGGAACACUUUGGGUACUACCAAACGUCACAACGUAAAUGGGUGAUUAUAAAGGAGUGCUACAGGUGUCUCCAAUGGUCGAUGUUGGGUUGGCGUAUUUCGAGAUUAGGAUUUGUCACUCCGAUUGUCGGAGAGGUAUCUCUGGGCCCUCUCGGUAAUACACAUCACAUAAGCCUUGCAAGCAUUACAACUAAUAUGUUAGUUGUGAGAUGAUGUAUUACGGAACGAGUAAAGAGACUUGCCGUUAACGAGAUUGAACUAGGUAUUGGCGAAUCUCGGGCAAGUAACAUACCGAUGACAAAGGGAACAACGUAUGUUGUUAUGCGGUCUGACCGAUAAAGAUCUUCGUAGAAUAUGUAGGAGCCAAUAUGGGCAUCCAGGUCCCGCUAUUGGUUAUUGACCAGAGACAUGUCUCGAUCAUGUCUACAUUGUUCUCGAACCCGUAGGGUCCGCACGCUUAAGGUUACGAUGACAGUUAUAUUAUGAGUUUAUGCAUUUUGAUGUACCGAAGGUUGUUCGGAGUCCCGGAUGUGAUCACGGACAUGACGAGGAGUCUCGAAAUGGUCGAGACGUAAAGAUUGAUAUAUUGGAAGCCUAUGUUUGGACAUCGGAAGUGUUCCGGGUGAAAUCGGGAUUUUACCGGGUUACCGGGAGGUUACCGGAACCCCCCGGGAGCCAUAUGGGCCAUCAUGGGCCUUAGUGGAAAGGAGAAAGGGGCAGCCCAAGGUGGCUGCGCCUCUUUNNNNNNNNNNNNNNNNNNNNNNNNNNNNNNNNNNNNNNNNNNNNNNNNNNNNNNNNNNNNNNNNNNNNNNNNNNNNNNNNNNNNNNNNNNNNNNNNNNNNNNNNNNNNNNNNNNNNNNNNNNNNNNNNNNNNNNNNNNNNNNNNNNNNNNNNNNNNNNNNNNNNNNNNNNNNNNNNNNNNNNNNNNNNNNNNNNNNNNNNNNNNNNNNNNNNNNNNNNNNNNNNNNNNNNNNNNNNNNNNNNNNNNNNNNNNNNNNNNNNNNNNNNNNNNNNNNNNNNNNNNNNNNNNNNNNNNNNNNNNNNNNNNNNNNNNNNNNNNNNNNNNNNNNNNNNNNNNNNNNNNNNNNNNNNNNNNNNNNNNNNNNNNNNNNNNNNNNNNNNNNNNNNNNNNNNNNNNNNNNNNNNNNNNNNNNNNNNNNNNNNNNNNNNNNNNNNNNNNNNNNNNNNNNNNNNNNNNNNNNNNNNNNNNNNNNNNNNNNNNNNNNNNNNNNNNNNNNNNNNNNNNNNNNNNNNNNNNNNNNNNNNNNNNNNNNNNNNNNNNNNNNNNNNNNNNNNNNNNNNNNNNNNNNNNNNNNNNNNNNNNNNNNNNNNNNNNNNNNNNNNNNNNNNNNNNNNNNNNNNNNNNNNNNNNNNNNNNNNNNNNNNNNNNNNNNNNNNNNNNNNNNNNNNNNNNNNNNNNNNNNNNNNNNNNNNNNNNNNNNNNNNNNNNNNNNNNNNNNNNNNNNNNNNNNNNNNNNNNNNNNNNNNNNNNNNNNNNNNNNNNNNNNNNNNNNNNNNNNNNNNNNNNNNNNNNNNNNNNNNNNNNNNNNNNNNNNNNNNNNNNNNNNNNNNNNNNNNNNNNNNNNNNNNNNNNNNNNNNNNNNNNNNNNNNNNNNNNNNNNNNNNNNNNNNNNNNNNNNNNNNNNNNNNNNNNNNNNNNNNNNNNNNNNNNNNNNNNNNNNNNNNNNNNNNNNNNNNNNNNNNNNNNNNNNNNNNNNNNNNNNNNNNNNNNNNNNNNNNNNNNNNNNNNNNNNNNNNNNNNNNNNNNNNNNNNNNNNNNNNNNNNNNNNNNNNNNNNNNNNNNNNNNNNNNNNNNNNNNNNNNNNNNNNNNNNNNNNNNNNNNNNNNNNNNNNNNNNNNNNNNNNNNNNNNNNNNNNNNNNNNNNNNNNNNNNNNNNNNNNNNNNNNNNNNNNNNNNNNNNNNNNNNNNNNNNNNNNNNNNNNNNNNNNNNNNNNNNNNNNNNNNNNNNNNNNNNNNNNNNNNNNNNNNNNNNNNNNNNNNNNNNNNNNNNNNNNNNNNNNNNNNNNNNNNNNNNNNNNNNNNNNNNNNNNNNNNNNNNNNNNNNNNNNNNNNNNNNNNNNNNNNNNNNNNNNNNNNNNNNNNNNNNNNNNNNNNNNNNNNNNNNNNNNNNNNNNNNNNNNNNNNNNNNNNNNNNNNNNNNNNNNNNNNNNNNNNNNNNNNNNNNNNNNNNNNNNNNNNNNNNNNNNNNNNNNNNNNNNNNNNNNNNNNNNNNNNNNNNAUGCAUAUCUAUCAAAGCGUUUAGGGUAGAGGGACUUAAGGGUGGUGGCAUCAAACAUCAUCAUUUUUGUUUCUUGCAAGAAUAUAAUCACGCACCCACUAUUCUGGAUAGCAUUCGAUAGCGCUAACUGUUUUUGGAGGGAUUAAGUCCACGAAUAUUCCAACAUAAAACAUUCCAGUUCUUCAAAAGUACCAUUUAACUAAAAAUAAAACAAACGCGGCUCUUAAGCAGAGGAAGAGGAGCCUAUCUUGUCUUUAGUGAGCGCGACGAUGGAGAGUUCCUCCUCGGGAAUGGCACAUAACUGGGUGCCAAUGGCUUGCAUGGUGGUGAUGGCAUGCUGGUGGAGGGACUGGGUCAUUCUGCAUCUGAAGCAACAUUGGAAGUAUUGGUAGCAGCAGAAGGAAUGACAUGGGGCUUCACUUUGGACUUGUUAGGACAAGCUUCAGAGAGUGAAGAGGCACGAAAUCCAUUAUAUUUGUCAGAACGGUUGCUGCCCCUGAGUGUGGAAAUGUCAACCGGGGCCGACAACUUCUCCUUACGCUUGCUAGCAGUAGAGCUGUCAAUGAGAGUAGACUAAGAGAUUACCACAGUCGUGGAUUGCAACAAACCUGCCUAGGUUUCAGAGUGUCCGGCCACCAGACCAGUCAGAGAUGAUUCAGUAUCAACAACAGCAGGAGUGAUAUAAGUUUCAGAUAUCUCAGAGGUCUCCACAUUCACUGGUUGAGGACCAAUCAUCCUAUCAGAGACAAUAUCCAGGCCAUCAUCAAUCUCCUCGAUGAUCACUAAGGACUCCAUCACAAGUGUUGGGAGGGCAAUCUGGUUAAACUGCGGACCAUCAGGAGCAGCCAAAACCUGAACCUCAAUGUGAUAACUAUCCUGCCUAAAACCAUAGCCGAUAGACCAGGGUCCCAUCGAAUCAAUUAGUGGGCGAAGAGCAUCAAGCAAGACAUUAUUGAGCCGCUAAGGGUAUUGGAUCUGACAACAUGAUGGAUAACAAAGCAUCUCCCUGAGCAGAAAGACCAAACCGCAUACCUUGGCUAUGAAUAUCCACCAAGAUAGUUAACAUUUCUUCAGUAGAUUGGAUCAUCUGGCUGGGCUGGGAUGUAGUAGCUGAACCUUGAUCAUGGAGAGGAACAAUGACCAAGUUUGAUUGUGCAUAAGUACUAUCAUCAAAAACUGUAAUAGAAUCAUUUCAGGCUUGCAUUGGGUUGUCAGAGAUAUUGUUACCAGGCAUAAUUCCAUGCAAAAUAGUGAGACCUUGAGCUGCAAGCCAUACCUGGUAAUUCACUAGAUGAGGUGGCAUGGGAGGAGCAGGGGGUUCAGGACAGGCUCCAUAGCCCGCAUCCGGAGCAGGACCAUCAUUGGGAGUAGCAUUGUUAUGUUGAGCACCAUUGGGGGUGCCGCAUUUUGAACUACCAGUUAUGAACUUGUUGUUGAUACAACUGUUCAGCAGUAAGAUCUGGACCAAACUGUGGGUGUGGAUUACCGCCAGGUGGUGGUGGUUCCUCGCUAGCCGGAGGCACUUCUGGUAGCAAUCCAUUCCACUCAUUACUACGAAGGAUUGUGAUCUGAACUAUCCAGCAGUCACGCACACCACCCAAUUGCUAGACCACAAAGCUCUUAGGAAUCAAAUUCAUACGAAUCACCCGUGCUUUGAGAAGGAUGAACCGCCUAUCUUGUCGCGGAUUGUACCAAGAAACCAAGGAACAAUAACCCCCCAAAGCUUUGUUGAUGUAGUAGUCAGUUUGGUAAUCGUAGGGAAAACCAAAAAACAUAAGCCAAAUCUCUGGACUGAAAGAAGUGGUGUGUCUAUUCAGAGCUUCAUUGUGAGUAACAAAGGUGAUUAAUAAAUCCUCGUCUUCAAGUUCAAGGGGGUGGCAACAGCAGUAUCGCGCAUAAAAGAAUCCACAAAACCAAAAACCCCUAUGCCGAACGAAUGGUCACUGGAUUCAGUAGUGAAAAGUUGGGCUUCAUGAAGCAAACCUUCGACCAUCAUACGAAUGGCGGCCCGACGGUGGAGCAGAACGUAGUGACUUGCUUCAGCUAUGGCCAGGAAAUCGUGGUUGAGCGGCGCGAUAGGUCCGACCACCAUGCCCAACCGCACCAAACGAUCCGCUAGCCCUGGCUCCACCGCAAAGCUCGGUGGCAGGAAGGGCACGGGGUUAAUUGGGCAGUUCUCCAUGGCAGAGGAUGGGGCUGGGGUGGCAACAAUGGUGGCAGUGGCAGUUAGGACACCAUUGUGAGAGGGGGGGGGGUUGGAGUGGAGUAGGAGGGGGACGUUUGGGCAAUCGAGGUGGAAGACGGAGCGUGAGGGGUAGGAUUGUCAAUAGGAGGUGAUUUCAGGACCCAUACCCAUCUAUUCUCUCUGAUCCUACGCAAGCAGGAUCGAUCCACGUGUCCAUAGAAUCCACACGUCGUGCAUCUCACUUUAGGACGCAGCUUCUGUUUACGGUGAGAGGGAACCGUAGGUGCCAAAAUGCCAUUGUGAUUGAGGUGAUCCCCGGGGUCAGCAAAUAUUUGACCAAAAUUGGGUUGUUGCUUGAUUAUCAUGGGACAAUUAACUGCCUUGUGGUCAGGCACUGAACAUUUAGUGCAAAUGAGCCUGGCUUGACAAGAAAUCUUUUUAUGGACCCAUUGGAGGCAUCUCGAGCAUAAAGAAGCCCAAUUAGUGGCUAAUUCCAUAAUUUCCUCAGCAGAAUAUUGGGCUUGGGCCAGGUCGGCCUUGUGGUGAGUUUCGAGCAAAGGAGGCCAGUCUCAUGGGGGGGCAUAUUUGAACGUUGAGGUGAAAAAACAUUGCGGCAGUGAUGGAUAUUGGGUCUUAAUUGAGCAUUUAAAGCUGCCUAGGAGAAUAUACUCAGCUAAUUGAUUUCCCUCAAAUUGCUCCUGCCUGAGAAACAGCUCCAAUAAUGAAAAAUAAUUUGAAUAAUUCGCUUAAUGGGCUCUGGAUUCAAAUCUGACUGAACGAGUGACCGAUCUGGAACCUUGGAGCUACGGUCUUUUAGGCAGGAAGUGGAAGCUUCAGCAAAGUUUUUGUUCGAGAAAGCCAUGUGAUCAAUGCAAGCAAGCUGAAAUUUGCUUAGGACAUGAGCCGACGUGGAGACCAAAGUAGAAUUCUUUGGAGGAGAACCCAAAUGAGUUUUGACCGCUAUAGGGUCUCUCGUAGAGAUGUCUAACAAUUCCUCAUCAGCAUGCCAACAAGAAUCAGAGAUGGGAGCUCGAGUAAACCGGUCAUUGUAUAGAUGAAAGUGACACACAAAAUCCGGCCAAAUACAUUCUUCCAAACCAUAUAUGAAAUGCCCCACUUUGUUAUUGGCCACAGAGAGUCUGAAUGAACGAGAAUUGAUCUGAACAACCUUAAAACCAGAGCUUAAGCCAUCGAUGCAGCAUUAUAGAGCAAUGCCAACUGAGUCCACUGAGAGAGGGAAGAAGGCUGAGGUGAACAUGACAACCAAAAGGAACUCCUUGAAAUCCCGAGAAGGGGAAAAGUGAACCGUUGAGCCAAACUUGCGUCUCGCCUGAUCUACUAGGGCAAGGCUCGGAGCAAAAGCCCAAUGUAGAAGACCGUCCACCGAGGGUAGAACUAGAGAUCUCCAUUGGAGGUGGUGGGGAGGUGGUGAGGGAGAGGCGGUUGGGAGGAGGAAAGGGAGGAGGAGGGAGCCGUUAUGCCCAGCUCGGAUCCGAUAUGAAUUCUAUGCAUUAAUUCCGAAUGACAAAGUUUCCUUUUAAAAACCAUUACAAAUUCUUACAAAAAUAAUGAACUAUAGUACAUCUAUCUAUUUUCUAUCAUAUUUAAAUAUAUAUAAAUCUUCAAGAUCUUCUUGAUCUUCUUCAUUUUCAAAACCUGCAAAAGAAGCACCAAAGGAGAAAGAAACUAUUGUUGUUAAAAGCGCCCCCUCCUUCAUGGAGGGAUAGUAAGAUUGAGCCCCACCUCCUUCCUCUUCUCAGUUUCCCAAGGCGUCCUUCGCCUCGGUGCUCGUAUCGCAUUAGAUCUCUGUACUGAAGCCAGAUUGAGCUCGCCGUCGCUGGUGGGUUGUCGGCGUCGGACUAGAUGUUGGAGGGGCCAGUGUUUUGUGUGGCCGGGAGGGAAGGAGUGGGUUGGGUUCGUUGGUGGCUGACGUCGGCCCCGCAUCCCUCGCCUCGUGACUCGUUGUUGAUGCCGUUAUGAUGUGCCUGUCACUAGGAGUGGUUGCCUCAGCCAAACUCGUAGCUGCCUGCCACGCUAGGCCUUCUGGUGUGGAAAGAUAUUUAUGAUUCGUAAAUGGUAAAUAAAAAUAGGCAGUUAGACCGUCUAUUGAAAUGACACUAGCUGAAGGUCAACGUUUUCUAAGACCUUUUCAUAUUUCCAGAGCAAUUUAUUCAAAAGAAAAAAGUCAAUUUUACUAUCAUGAAUAAAAUGAGUGGUUUACUUUACCCCGGGUCUAUUUUUCUGCUUCUUUUACCCCCCAAACAAACCCAAACCAGACAAAACACCCCCUGGCUGGUUUUUCUCCACCCGCUGCUGAUUUGGCACUAGUCAACGACGGUUUUGACCUGGGUGGGGUCCCCUUGUCAGGUUUCUCUCACCUCUCUCUCUCUCUCUCUCUCUCUCGGUCGGUCGGAUCCGCCGCCGCCCGAAGGAGCUCGCGCUGGGCUGAUCGGGCCCGAGUCACUCGCGCCCCACCUCCCUCACCGUGUCGCCCAGGAGCCGUCGCCCUCUCCCCGCCAUCGCGUCGGCGUCCUGCCAAAGGAGCCCCGUCCCGCGCCGUCGUGGAUCGCCCUGCCCCCGCGCCGCCGCCGCUUCGUCGUCCCCGCCGGCCAUGCCAUUCCGCCGCCGCGCGAGCCCGCCCCGAGUACCCACGGCCGGUGGUUGCCACAACCACCUCGACCCGCGCGCCACCGCCUCCUGCCGACCCCGCCUGGCCCUGCUCUGCUCGCCAGCGGGUGCAGCGGCAGCUCUAUCCGACCUGGAGAGAGAGAGAGAGAGAGAAAGAGAAACCUGACAAGGGGCCCCACCUUGGUCAAAACUGCCGUUGACUAGUGCCACAUCAGCAGCGGGUGGAGAAAAAACCAGCCGGGGGGGGGUGUUUUGUCCGAUUUGGGUUUAUUUGUGGGUAAAAAAAGCAGAAAAAUAAACCAGGGUGUAAAUUGAACCACCCACUUUAUUUAGGGUAGUAAAAUGGACUUUUUCUAUCCAAAACUUAGUUACCACAGAAUUCAGAGGUCAAAGCAUGCCUGGAAGUGUCGUACUCCAUUUUUCUCUUGUUCGGAGCUACACUGAUUUAUCUACUACAGUACAUAUGGAACUUGCAGAAAUACGAGUGUAGUGACUGCGACACCAGCUUGCUGACAUGCUCUCUCUCUCUCUCUCUUUGUGUGACAGCAUGGCCGCCCUUUGUUGCUGCUGUCUGCUGGAAGCUUGCUUCUAAGUUCUAAGCGAGAGGGGACAGAUUUGGUGCAGCUAUGUGUUCCAUAUUGAAAAUUGUGAUUGGCUUGCUAAUUAGUACUCCCUCCGUCCGAAAAUACUUGUCAUCAAAAUUGACAAAAAGGAAUGUAUCCAAAACUAAAAUAGGUCUAGAUACAUCUCAUUUUAUCUGUUUUGAUGACAAGUAUUUUCGGACGGAGGGAGUAGGAGAUUAGAACUCCUUGCCGUCAUGUUCGUAUGUUCAGAUGAUUGCUGCACCUUUUCGCAAAAGAAGAGAUGAUUGCUGUACCCAGUGAACAUGAAAAAUCAAGCAUGAAAGCUCUAGCAAAGCCACAAUACCCUGAAGAAAAGGCUAAUCCACGACAUGCUGUCUGAAGAUAAAACUAAUUCAGAGUAGAAUAUACUACCGUUUAUGUCAGAGUCAGACACACACUGAUAAUAACUUUGAAAUUCACCAGGGUUUCAACAACACAACAAACUUGCUAAUCCAGCAGGAGUUCAAGAAAUUCAGCAGGGUUUCAACAACAUAACAAACUUGGAAAUUCAGCAGGGUUUCAACAACAUAACAGACCACGACAGUACCAAGGGUGUGCCACUAGUGAGCAUCCGACAGAUCACUGCUGCACACCGUUACAGCAGCAUACACACACAUACACAUAACAGAACGGAGGAGAGGCGAAAGCAUCAACUGAAGGCAGUCACUCAGUGGCAACCAGCGGCCUGUUUCUGCGGUCUGAUCCAGUCGUGCAGCACCAUGGUCACCCUGUCGUGCUGCUUCACGGAGGAGCCGUGCAGGAGCGGGGCGGCGCCGGCGAGGAAGCGGUUGUAGUGGACGUACUCCUUGUGCCGGAACCUCUCCUGCUCGGGCGGCGUCAUCUCCUCCCACUCGGCGUGCAGCUUCUCCGACAGGCUCCAGUCGAUGUUGUACCUGGUGGCGCCGAAGCACGUCUGGCUCAGGACACGCCUC
This 183690-nucleotide long non-coding RNA is filed under the name Triticum aestivum (bread wheat). RNAcentral's name for it is "long non-coding RNA (TAES_LNC016649)". The stretch from base 182799 to 182933 matches the Rfam family "MIR1120/MIR1122 microRNA precursor family". The record is from RNAcentral. Lineage: Eukaryota; Viridiplantae; Streptophyta; Magnoliopsida; Poales; Poaceae.